CCAGAUCCACUGCCUGGAACGCCUUGUUUCUCAAAAAACUGUUGUCUCUGGUUAUACCUGGAAGGCGGAGGUGGAAGGCUGACAGGAGAUUGACCAUUGCCAGGAGACUGAGGAUUCCCCAGAGACUGAGUAUCCCAAGGAGCAGGAGGUAGCCCAUCUAUAGAUUUGCUUCUAGGAGCCGGUUCAUCAUAUACAGGCUUUCCAGUGAAUAUAGGUGAUGGAGUUGUGUUUUGGGAAGAAGGGUGUGAAGGUGAUAGUGGAGUCAAUCGUGAGGUGGAGCUGGAAUGAACUGGAGCGGCAAAAGAUGUGGAUUCUGAUGUUGCAGAGGAUCCUUCAGAUUUGUAGGCUUCUCCACUGAGAUAAUCAAUCACACCAGGACCUAGAGUGAUUGGCCUUUGCGAAGACGGUGGAAGAGGAAGAAGUGGGCUGACUUGCACAGGUUCAGCCUUGGCAUUGGCUGAUCUCUGGCCCUGUCCUUGUGAAUUAUCUCUUGAUGACCUGCAAUGCAUCUUACCGAAUUUUACUAAGAGGAUAAGAAUAUUAAAAGUAAAAAACUAACAGAACUUGCAAUAUUCAUAUUCUGAAGCGCACACAUACAAGUAAAAUUGGUAGAAACAAAAACAAGUGAGAAUGAAAUGACAAUGCAAAUAAAACUUAGAAGUGUUCCUCUAACAAUCACCUGUGCGCUAGUUGGGAAAAUUCAUCCUCAGACACAUCAUCCUCAUGGUUCACAUUCACAAGUGGCACAACUGAAGAUUCUGCUCCUCUUACUGUAGUUGUAGUUCCUUUCACAAUAUCGUCAUGCCGAGAAAUUACACGCUGCAGAUCAUCGUUCAGUGCCAAUCCCUGACAUAGAAGCUCCUCAUCUCUGAGAGGAGAGCAACCACAACUGUCACUAUUGCAUCAAAUGUAUGAGUAAAACUCAAAUCCAUAUCAAAUCACUUACGCAGUCUCAUUCACAAGAAGCCUGACACGCUUUUGGUAUGAACGGCACUGAUCAACAAGGUCAACAAUCACUUCUUCCUUCAAACCCUGCCAUAGUAUUUCAUUUUGACCAUUUAUGACCAUUAAAUUUGCACACAUUAAAAGCCCGGAUGGUAAUAUUACGAUUUUGGUUCAUUUUUUAUUUUUAGUAAAAGCCGAAGAGGAAUUGUAUGGAGAAAAUAGGGAGAAAGAAAGGGCUCAGAUGGAUGAGCAUUAAAAUGAAUAUGGAACGGUAUUUAAACCACAAAUUAAAUCAAUCUCAACUAUUCUAUUUUCUCCUUCAAGUUUUUAUUUCACCCAUUCCCCUUCAAUCAUCCAUACCUCCUCCCUUCUACAAGCACAAGAAAAGUGCAGCCCUUAAAGGUACUAAUUUGCGAGUAAUUAACCACCUAAUUCCAACUCUGCUAAAAGUCCCAACUUCAAAAAAUUUUACAAUCACAGUAAUUGACACCUCUGGAUAGCUAGCCUUAUAAAUAAAGUUUUGUUAUCAAUAUAUCUCCUCAAAUAAUUUACAUACAGUGCAUAAGUAAGGAAAAGUAUGGACCAUAAAUAUUCUCCACAAUUGACCAUAUACAACUUUCAGAAUUUUCUACUGUGGGCACAUAUGAAACUUUCACCGCUAGAGAACUCCACACACAAAAACAAAAAAAUAGAAUCAUUGGCCUCUCAACAAAAAAAAAAUUCUAGAAAAACAUAAAUAAGAAAUUAUCCUUUAAUAAUACCUUUUUGGAAAGAAAUUAAUCAGAAGUAAAAAAAUAAGGUAGAAAAUAUAUUACCUCAGGAUUCUUAGCAUCCAAGGCAUUAAGCAUUUCCAUCAACACAUCUGCAAUUCCACGAGCAUACUGAAUCUCUGGCAAGCUGAUUAAAGACAGUUCCAAUCAGGAUGGAUCUAUCAUAGCUUCAAUAAUAAUUCAGACAAUUUUUACCAAAAAUAAAAAAGCAUCCCAAAGCAUAAAAAACAGAUAGCAUCUGUUACAAUAUCAUUAUGUUGGAAUUGUCUGUAUAGGUAAUUAUGGGGGAUUCGGGAAAGAUGGAAUAACUAUACAACAACAACAAAGCCUUUUCCCACUAAGUGGGGUCGGCUAUAUGAAUCCUAGAACGCCAUUGCGCUUGGUUUUGUGUCAUGUCCUCCGUUAGAUCCAAGUACUCUAAGUCUUUUCUUAGGGUCUCUUCCAAAGUUUUCUUAGGUCUUCCUCUACCCCUUCGGCCCUGAACCUCUGUCCCGUGGUCACAUCUUCGAACCGGAGCGUCAGUAGGCCUUCUUUGCACAUGUCCAAACCACCGUAACCGAUUUUCUCUCCUCUUUCCUUCAAUUUCGGCUACUCCUACUUUACCUCGGAUAUCCUCAUUCCUAAUCUUAUCCUUUCUCGUGUGCCCACACAUCCAACGAAGCAUCCUCAUCUCCACUACACCUACGUGUUGAUGCCUCACCGCCCAACAUUCUAUGCCAUACAGCAUUGCCGGCCUUAUUGCCGUCCUAUAAAAUUUUCCCUUGAGCUUCAGUGGCCUACGACGGUCACACAACACGCCGGAUGCACUCUUCCACUUCAUCCAUCCAGCUUGUAUUCUAUGGGUGAGAUCUCCAUCAAAUUCUCCAUCUUUUGCAAGAUAGAUCCUAGGUAGCGAAAACGGUCGCUCUUUGGUAUUUCCUGAUCUCCGAUCCUCACCCCUAACUCAUUUUGGCCUCCGUUUGCACUGAACUUGCACUCCAUAUAUUCUGUCUUUGAUCGGCUUAGGCAAGGACCUUUAGAUUCCAACACUUCUCUCCAAAGGUUAAGCUUCGCAUUUACCCCUUCCUACGUUUCAUCUAUCAACACUAUAUCGUUUGCGAAAAGCAUACACCAAAGAAUAUCAUCUUAAAUAUUAAGUUUGUGAUCUUCGCUAGAUUGCUCCGGUCAUUAGUGUGGAUAAGUAUGUAAAUGGAUAGAGACAGGAAGCAAACACAAGAUGUACGUGGUUCACCCAGAUUGGCUACGUCCACGGAGUAAAGGAGUUUUCAUUAAUUGUGAAGGGUUUACAUAGUAUAUAGGUUCAAGCUCUCCUUUAGUGAGUACAAGUGAAUGAUUUAGUACGGAUGACAUUAGGAAAUAUUGUGGAAGAAUGAUCUCGUAAUCACGAAACUUUUAAGUACCGAAGUGUGGUAUCGUCUUCACUUGCCUUAUCUGUGUCAUAGGUAGAUGUGGCAUCUUCUUUGGAAGUACUCUUCCUCCCUCCAGGGGUGGUAUCUUUAACUGGUGGAGAUGCACAAGGUAAUGUAUCAAUUUCACUUGACGCUUACUUGUAGUUUCAGGCUUGGUCAAGCGCGAUACAAACCAUGUAGUAGGAGUCCCCCAAGUCGCCGAGCUAGGGGAUCUGCUGAAAGAGGUGACAAACAAGGUAAGCAAUCAGAGAUCCAAGCAAUCAGUCCCAUAUCAGAAGUUUGAUUUCGAGUUCCGGCUGAUUGUUAUCAUUCUCCUUAUCUUGCAGGUAGCAUGAAGGAUAAAGAGAAGAAAAUGAGAAAAGGUGAUAUGAGAUAUUUUUGCUUUUGAAGAAGUAACUUUCCAUAGGCUUAUUCUUGAACUGAGCUGGAGGGUUUUCUUGUUUCCGCCAGAGUAUAAGGCCGACUGAAGAAUUUGAGGGUCAAAACAAGUCCAUCAAAUCUAGAGUACGUUCGACCCUGCUGAUAUGGGAUACUUUUGCCGUUGGCAAAGUAGUGGAUGUAUCGACACGUGUUCUGUUGCGCUUGUCUCCACAUGCUUCCUUGUAUCCUUCUCACUUGCCCUAUUUGUUCCUCAGGCAGAUGUGGUAUCUUCUCGGGAAGCAUAAGAUGUUGAAGAUGAGUACUCGAGAGCAAUGGGGUUCCAGGCAGUCAGUUCCGGACUAGAAGCUUGAUUCCAAGUGUUGACUGAUUGCUAUCUUUCUCCUUGUCUUGCAGGUAUAACAAGGCCAAAGGAAAAGACGGGGAAAAAGCAUGAUAUGGGAUACUCUUGCUUUUAACCCUGAUGAUAUGAGAUAUUCUUGCUCUAGUGUAGCUUGUUUGUAGAGGUAUUCUCGGGGGGAAAGAAAGCUGAGUAUUCCGAGAGGCUUCGUUGGGAGUGCCCUCUCAGAUAUGAGGAAGGGUUGAGCAUUUUUGCAGGUCUGCCUGUCCGUUGAGGAUGAAGGUCGACAUAUAUAGGAGUCUCCCUAACAAGGAGUAAUACUAUUCUUUUACCCUGCUUGGUCAUAGCACGGUAGUGGGAGCUGCCAACUUCACGUGUUUUAACUCUGUCAGAGCACUUUGAAAAAAUGGUCUGUGGUAUCUGGAAAGCUGAUGUUACGUGUGAAGAUUACAGACAAGCUUUAUCCAAGGAGAUCUAGCUCUCGAAGUUGAGAAAGCGAUGUGAGGAUUACAGACAAGCUUUAUCUAAGGGGCUCUCGAAGUUGAGAAAGCAGUGGCUCUUCGGUUUUCUAACAAGCAAUCCUGUCGGGGAUCUGUCUCUCGAGAUUCGGAGAACGGUGCCUCUUCGAUUUUUGAGAAAGCAAUCUUGCUAGGAGUCUGGCUCUCGAGAUUCAGAGAGCGGUGUCUCGUCGCUUUUUGAGAAAGUAAUCAUGUUGGGAGUCUGGCUCUCGAGAUUCGGAGGACGGUGUCUCUUCGAUCUUGAAGCAAGCAAUCUUGUUGGAGUGUUUUCUCGAAUGUGAGUAAAGGUUAGGCCUGUUUGCUAGUCUACCUUGCCACGGAGCACAGAGGUUGACCCACAAGGACUUUCCAAUUAUCCAGCAAUGGUCCUGUUCUUUUACCCUUGUGGGUAAUAAUAUGGUAGCUAGACCUUCAAAAUUUAUGUGUCUAAACUUUGUUAGUGCUGUUUCUUUGCUAUUCUUUUACCCUUCUUGGUCAUAGCGAUGUAAUGGGAGCUGCAAGCUUCACGUGUCUAAACUUUGUCAGAGAUUUUUGGCAAAGUUAUCUGUGGUACUCGUGAGCUGAUGUUGCGUGUGGAAAGUGAAUGAUUGAACAGUAACAUUCACGUGCUUUCUACUUCACUAGAAAUCUUUGACAGAAUGCCCGUAAUUUCUGCAAAGUUGAGUGUGCAUGUGACAGGUGCUGACAAGGCUGAAAAAGCAGGUGCCUCUUCGAUUUCUGAGAUCGACCCUCGUGGUCUCUGAGCAGCCCAGCUUUUGAGAAAGCAAGCGCAUCUUCGAUUUCUGCGAUCGACCUUCAUGGUCUUUGAGCAGCCCAGCUUUUGAGAAAGCAAACGCCUCUUCGAUUCCUGAGAUCGGCCCUCGUGGUCUCUGACCAGCCCAACUUUUGAGAAAGCAAACGCCUUUUCGAUUUCUGAGCAGACGCCUCUUCGAUUUCUGAAGCUCCAUCGAGUGCGGAUUUUUAUAAAGGCUGGUAUUAAGUUCCAAAGCACACUUGAAUCUUCACCAGUAGAAGCUCCCUUCUUGCAUUUCUAAGAUCUUGAUUUGUCCGACCUCUUUUCUCUUCAACACCUUUGAAAAUGUCUGGCCCCUCCAACCGUCGUUUUGACUUGAACCUUGUUGAAGAGGCAGCCAUGCCUUCUCUAGACAACAUAUGGCGCCCAUCCUUCUUAUCUCCUACUGGUCCUCUUACCAUUGGGGAUUCCGUGAUGAAGAAUGAUAUGACCGCUGCGGUGGUGGCCAGGAACCUUCUCACUCCCAAAGAUAACAGACUACUUUCUAAACGGUCUGAUGAGUUGGCUGUUAAGGAUUCUCUGGCUCUCAGUGUUCAGUGUGCAGGUUCUGUGUCUAAUAUGGCCCAACGCCUAUUUGCUCGAACCCGCCAAGUUGAAUCAUUGGCGGCUGAAGUGAUGAGUCUCAAACAGGAGAUUAGAGGGCUCAAGCAUGAGAAUAAACAGUUGCACCGACUCGCUCAUGACUAUGCUACAAACAUGAAGAAGAAGCUUGACCAGAUGAAGGAAUCUGAUGGUCAGAUUUUACAUGAUCAUCAGAGGUUUGUGGGUUUGUUCCAAAGGCAUUUAUUGCCUUUGUCUUCUGGGGCUGUACCGCGUAAUGAAGCUCCAAAUGAUCAACCUCCGAUGCCUCCUCCUUCUAGGGUGCUGUCCAGUACUGAGGCUUCGAAUGAUCCCCCUCCGGUGCCUUCUCUUUCUGGGGCUCUGCCGACUGCUUAGACUUCUCCUAAGCAACUUUUGUGAAGGCUCCCUCUUGUUUGUUUAUUUUGAUUCGUGUAUAUGUACAAAGAAGAUAAAUGAUUUGAAGUCUAUUGUUCAAUUUCUUAUUAGCACAAAAUUCAAUCAAGCAAGGAUGAAUUCUUUCAUAAAUUACAGUUACGGAUCAUGACAUUCAACAAGCAGUAGCUGAAAUAAUUGUACAAGCAUAAAAAAUAUAUGCCGAUUGACAUCUCUUACUAAAGAUUAAGACCCUAGGACUGACGGGACUUAUAAUAGUAAGGAUGUAAGAGACAUCCUCAUGUCAAGGGGAGAAUUGAUGAAUACUUGACAAGGUUAAGGCCUUUCAGAUAUAUAGUCAAAUUUUUCUGCAGUAUUAAAGCAUGCACAACACAUUCAAAUUUGAUAAUGAGAAAGGUAUAAAAUUUUUUUUUUUUUGAAGAAGUUGAAGAAAUAAAAAAUGAAAGAGAAACAAUCGAAUCGCCAAUUUAUGCAGUACAACAUAUGUAGAACAUGUCAUACUGAGGGUUUUAAUCCUGGGACAUUUUCCAAUUGCCUACAAAUAUUUUUAACCUCUCUCAUGCAAUCAACACGCAAGUUUAUAGUUGUGACAAACAUGCAUGUGAAGGAAACAAUAAUUGUUUGAACAGGGAAUAAAUACCAUACUCAAAAGGCCCAAAAAUGUAUGUUUCCAAGAAAACCAUAUUCUCAGCUAGUACCUAAGGCCCGAUGCAUCCGACUGGAGAGAAGCCUGAAUGGCAGCAUCAUCAUAUGAUGUAACAGGAGAAACUACUGGCUGGGUCUGGGGCGGAGUAAAUAUUGGUACACUGUUCUCUUCUCUUGGUGGAAAUUCAACUCCUGCAGACUGUCGGUUAUUCAUUAAGAGAGUUAGGGUGGAAGAAGAAACAGAAUAAAGAGAAAAUAAUUAAAAUCCACAGUUAUACUAAAUAUUGAAUAGCAAGCUUUCCCAUAACUGUAGGAUUACAUCAAGGCUCAUCCUUAAGUCCUUACCUUUUUGCGUUGGUAAUGGAUGAGUUAACAGGACAUAUUCAAGAUGAUAUUCCUUGGUGUAUGCUUUUCGCAGACGAUAUAGUGUUGAUAGACGAAACUCAGGAAGGGGUAAAUGCAAAGCUUAACCUUUGGAAAGAAGUGUUGGAAUAUAAAGGUCUUCGCCUAAGCCGAUCAAAGACAGAAUAUAUGGAGUGCAAGUUCAGUGCAAAUGGAGGCCAAAACGAGUUAGGGGUGAGGAUCGGAGAUCAAGAAAUACCAAAGAGCGACCGUUUUCGUUACCUAGGAUCUAUCUUGCAAAAGAACGGAGAUUAGAUGGAGAUCUCAACCAUAGAAUACAAGCUGGAUGGAUGAAGUGGAAGAGUGCAUCCGGCGUGUUGUGUGACCGCCGUAUGCCACUGAAGCUCAAGGGAAAAUUUUAUAGGACGGCAAUAAGGUCGGCGAUGCUGUAUGGCACAGAAUGUUGGGCGGUGAAACAUCAACACGUACACAAAAUGGGUGUAGCGGAGAUGAGGAUGCUUCGUUGGAUGUGUGGGCACACGAGAAAGGAUAAGAUUAGGAAUGAGGAUAUCCGGGGUAAAGUAGGAGUAGCCGAAAUUGAAGGAAAGAUGAGAGAAAAUCGGUUACGGUGGUUUGGACAUGUGCAAAGAAGGCCUACUGACGCUCCGAUUAGAAGAUGCGACUAUGGGACAGAGGUUCAGGGCCGAAGGGGUAGAGGAAGACCUAGGAAAACUUUGGAAGAGACUCUAAGAAAAGACUUAGAGUACUUGGAUCUAACGAAGGACAUGACACAGGAUCGAGCACAAUGGCGUUCUAAGAUUCAUAUAGCCGAUCCCACUCAGUGACUUGGAUUUUCCAAGUCUCCAACCGAGAAGUUUUCCUCACUCGGAAAAUUAAGGGAACACUACCCCAACCUACCUACAUGCUCCACUCAGAAAGCUUCAACAUACAAGCUUCAACAAAAGAAAAUUCAAAGAACUUAGCGAAGAAGGCUUUGGUGUAUUUAACACAAUACGUUGAAAUGAAGGAAAACUUAUUUAUUGAUAUCCCCGAUAAGCUACAAAUAUGUACAUAUACAUGAGUCAAAAUAAACACACAAGAGGGAGCCUUCACAAAGGUUGCUUAGGAGAAGUCUCAGCAGUCGGUAGAGCCCCAGAAAGAGAAGGCACCGGAGGGGGAUCAUUUGGAGCCUCAGUACUGGACAGAACCCUAGAAGGAGGAGGCAUCAGAGGUUGAUCAUUUGGAGCUUCAUUACGCGGUACAGCCCCAGAAGACGAAGGCAAUAAAUGCCUUUGGAACAAACCCACAAAUCUCUGAUGAUCAAGUAAAACCUGACCAUCAGUUUCCUUCAUCUGGUCAAGCUUCCUCUUCAUGUUUGUAGCAUAGUCAUGUGCGAGCCGGUGCAACUGUUUAUUCUCAUGCUUGAGCCCUCUAAUCUCCUGUUUGAGACUCAUCACUUCAGCCGCCAAUGAUUCAACUUGGCGGGUUCGAGCAAAUAGGCGUUGGGCCAUAUUAGACACAGAACCUGCACACUGAACACUGAGAGCCAGCGAAUCCUUAACAGCUAACUCAUCAGACCGUUUGGAAAGUAGUCUGUUAUCUUUGGGAGUGAGAAGGUUCCUGGCCACCACCGCAGCGGUCAUAUCAUUCUUCAUCACGGAAUCCCCAACGGUAAGAGGACCAGUAGGGGAGACGAAGGAUGGGCGCCAUAUGUUGUCUGGAGAAGGCGGGGCUGCCUCUUCAACAAGGUUCAAGUCAAAACGACGGUCGGAGGGGCCAGACAUUUUCAAAGGUGUUGAAGAGAGAAGAGGUCGGACAAAUCAAGAUCUUAGAAGUGCAAGAAUGAAGCUUCUACUGGUGGAGAUUCAAGUGUGCUUUGGAACUUAAUGCCAGCCCCUAUAAAAAUCUGCACUCGACGGAGCUUCAGAAAUCGAAGAGGCGCCUGCUCAGAAAUCGAAGAGGCGUUUGCUUUCUCAAAAGCUGGGCUGCUUAGAGAUCACGAGGGUUGAUCUCAGAAAUCGAAGAGGCGUUUGCUUUCUCAAAAGUUGGGCUGCUCAAAGACCACGAAGGCCGAUCUCAGAAAUCGAAGAGGCGCUCGCUUUCUCAAAAGCUGGGCUCCCCAGAGACCACGAGGGCCGAUCUCAGAAAUCGAAGAGGCACCUACUUUUCCAGCCUUGUCAGCACCUGUCACACGCACACUCAGCUUUGCGGAAAUUAUGGGCAUUCUGUCGAAGACUUCUGAGGGAAGUAGAAAACACACAUGAAUCUUACUGUUCAAUCAUCCCACUUCCCACACGCAACAAUAGCUCAUGGGUACCACAGAAAAACUUUGCCAAAGUUCUCUGCCAAAGUUGAGCACGUGAAGCUUGCAGCUCCCACUACAUCGCUCUGACCAAGAAAGGGUAAAAGAAUAGCAAAGAAACAGCACUAACAAAGUUUAGACCCAUAAAUUUUGAAGGUCUAGCUACCAUAUUAUUACCCACAAGGGUAAAGGAACAGUACCACUGCUGGAUAAUUGGAAAGUCCCUGUGUGUCAACCUCUGUGCUUCGUGGCAAGGUAGACUAGCAAACAUGCCCAACCUUUACUCACAUUCGAGAAAACACUCCCAAUAAGAUUGCUUGCUCCAAAAUCGAAGAGGCACCGUCCUCCGAAUCUCGAGAGCCAGACUCCCAACAUGAAUACUUUCAAAAAAAUCGAAGAGAGGGUAAAGGAACAGUACCAUUGCUGGAUAAUUGGAAAGUCCCUGUGUGUCAACCUCUGUGCUUCGUGGCAAGGUAGACUAGCAAACAUGCCCAACCUUUACUCACAUUCGAGAAAACACUCCCAACAAAGAUUGCUUGCUCCAAAAUCGAAGAGGCACCGCCCUCCGAAUCUCGAGAGCCAGACUCCCAACAUGAUUACUUUCUCAAAAAUCGAAGAGACACUGCUCCCCGAAUCUUCGAGAGCCAGACCCCCAGCAUGAUUGCUUUCUCAAAAAUCGAUGAGGCAUCGUUCUCCGAAUCAAUCGAAGAGGCGCUCGCUUUCUCAAAAGCUGGGCUGCUCAGAGACCACGAGGGCCGAUCUCAGAGAAAUCGAAGAGGCACCUACUUUUCUAGCCUUGUCAGCACCUGUCACACACGCACACUCAGCUUUGCAGAAAUUAUGGGCAUUCUGUCGAAGACUUCUGGUGAAGUAGAAAGCACAUGAAUCUUACUGUUCAAUCACCCACUUCCCACACGCAACAAUAGCUCAUGGGUACCACAGAUAACUUUGCCAAAGUUCUCUGCCAAAGUUGAGCACGUGAAGCUUGCAGCUCCCACUACAUCGCUCUGACCAAGAAAGGUAAAAGAAUAGCAAAGAAACAGCACUAACAAAGUUUAGACACAUAAAUUUUGAAGGUCUAGCUACCAUAUUAUUAUUACCCACAAGGGUAAAGGAACAGUACCACUGCUGGAUAAUUGGAAAGUCCCCUGUGUGUCAACCUCUGUGCUUCGUGGCAAGGUAGACUAGCAAACAUGCCCAACCUUUACUCACAUUCGAGAAAACACUCCCAACAAGAUUGCUUGCUCCAAAAUCGAAGAGGCACCGUCCUCCGAAUCUCGAGAGCCAGACUCCCAACAUGACUACUUUCUCAAAAUCGAAGAGAGGGUAAAGGAACAGUACCAUUGCUGGAUAAUUGGAAAGUCCCUGUGUGUCAACCUUUGUGCUUCGUGGCAAGGUAGACUAGCAAACAUGCCCAACCUUUACUCACAUUCGAGACAACACUCCCAACAAGAUUGCUUGCUCCAAAAUCGAAGAGGCACCGCCCUCCGAAUCUCGAGAGCCAGACUCCCAACAUGAUUACUUCCUCAAAAAUCGAAGAGACACUGCUCUCCGAAUCUCGAGAGCCAGACCCCCAGCAUGAUUGCUUUCUCAAAAAUCGAAGAGGCAUCGUUCUCCGAAUCUCGAGAGCCAGAUACCACAGACCACUUUUUCAAAGUGCUCUGACAGAGUUAAAACAUGUGAAACUGGCAGCUCCCACUACCGUGCUAUGACCAAGCAGGGUAAAGGAAUAGCAUUACUACUUGUUGUUAGGGAGACUCCUAUAUAUGUCGACCUCCAUCCCCAACGGACAGGCAGACCUGCAAAAAUGCUCAACCCUUCAUCAUAUCUGAGAGGGCACUCCCAACGAAGCCUUUCGAAAUAUUCAGCUUUCUUUCCCCCCGAUAAUACCUCUGCAAACAAGCUAUACUAGAGCAAGAAUAUCUCAUAUCAUCAGGGUUAAAAGCAAGAGUAUCCCAUAUCAUGCUUUUUCCCUGUCUUUUCCUUUUGGCCUUGUUUUUACCUGCAAGACAAGGAGAAAGAGAGCAAUCAGUCAGCACUUGGAAUCAAGCUUCCAGCCAGGAACUGACUGCCUGGAACCCCUUACCUGAUUACUUACCUGGCAUUGCUCUCGAGUACUCAUCUUCAACAUCUUAUGUUUCCAGGGAAGAUUCCGCAUCUGCUUGAGGAACAGAUAGGGCAAGUGCGAAGGAUACAAGGAAGCAUGUGGAGACAAGCGUAACAGCACACGUGCCGAUACAUCCAUUACUCUGUCAAAAGCAAAAGUAUCCCAUAUCAGCAGGGUGGAACGUACUCUAGAUUUGAUGGACUUGUUUUGACCCUCAAAUUCUUCAGUCGGCCUUAUACUCUGGAGGAAACCAGAAAACCCUCCAGCUCAGUUCAAGAAUAAGCCUGUGGAAAGUUACUUCUUCAAAAGCAAAAGUAUCUCAUAUCAUCUCUUCUCAUUUUUUCUUCUCUUUUAUCCUUCAUGCUGUUGCAAGAUGGGGAGAAGGUGAACAAUCAGUCGGAGCUCUGAUUGCUUACCUUGUCUGUCACCUCUUUCAGCAGACCCCCUAGCUCGGCGACUUGGGGGACUCCUACUACAUGGUUUGUAUCGCGCUUGACCAAGCCUGAAACUACAAGUAAGCUUCAAGUGAAAUUGAUACAUUACCUUGUGCAUCUCCACCAGUUAAAGAUACCACCCCUGGAUGGAGGAAGAGUACUUCCAGAGAAUAUGCCACAUCUACCUAUGAGACAGAUAAGGCAAGUCAAGACGACACCACACUCCGAUACUUAGAAGUUUCGUGAUUACGAGAUCAUUCUCCCACAAUAUUUCCUAAUGUCAUUUGUACUAAAUCAUUCACUUGUACUCACUAAAGGAGAGCUUAAACCUAUGUACUUGUGUAAACCCUUCACAAUUAAUGAGAACUCAUCUAUUCCGUGGACGUAGCCAAUCUGGGUGAACCAUGUACAUCUUGUGUUUGCUUUCCUAUCUCUAUCCAUUUAUAUACUUAUCCACACUAAUUACCGGAGCAAUCUAGCGAAGAUCACAAAAAGCGACCGUUUUCGCUACCUAGGAUCUAUCUUGCAAGAGAAUGGAGAAUUAGAUGGAGAUCUCAACCAUAGAAUACGAGCUGGAUGGAUGAAGUGUAAGAAUGCAUCCGGCGUGUUGUGUGACCGUCGUAGGCCACUGAAGCUCAAGGGAAAAUUUUAUAGGACGGCAAUAAGGCCAGCGAUGUUGUAUGACACAGAAUGUUGGGCGGUGAAGCAUCAACACGUACACAAAAUGGGUGUAGCGGAGAUGAGGAUGCUUCGUGGGAUGUGUGGGCACACGAGAAAUGAUAAGAUUGGGAAUGAGGAUAUCCGAGGUAAAGUAGGAGUAGCCGAAAUUGUAGGAAAGAUGAGAGAAAAUCGGCUCCGGUGAUUUGGACAUGUGCAAAGAAGGCCGAAUGACGCUCUGGUUCGAAGAUGUGACUACGGGACAGAGGUUCAGGGCCGAAGGGGUAGAGGAAGACCUAGGAAAACUUUGGAAGAGACUAUAAGAAAAGACUUAAGAGUACUUGGAUCUAACGGAGGACAUGACACAAAACCGAGCGCAAUGGCGUUCUAGGAUUCAUAUAGCCGACCCCACUUAGUGGGAAAAGGCUUUGUUGUUGUUGUUGUUGUAAGCUUAUAAGUAUUGCUGGCCAAAAUGAUGGAAAUGUUAUUUUGGACCUAUUAAACAUCAUCAAAAGGUAGAAAGGUAAAUGCGUUGAAAUCUAAUUGUGUGAAAGCUGAGGCGUAGUUGCCUCUUUUGUCAGACAAGGCAAGGCAUAAGCCUCUCGGACAUGAAAUCUUAUAGGAAGCAAAUAAAUAAUGCAAUACUAAUAAGUUGAAGUGCUAGUGAGUAACUGAAGUAUAAUAAGAAAUCCCAAUAUGACCACAUAUAAGUUAUAACAGUCAUUCAAGCAUAACAACCAAUCACAAAAAUAAAAUACUCAAUUGGUCAUACAAAUAUUCAAAACCCCAAAAGAUAAACUCAGUUCACCACAAUACUUGUGAUGAAUAGAAACUAACAUCACUAUCAUACUGGUCCAACAGACUGAUGUGAUAAGGGACGCAUAGCAGUGACUUGCACUAGAGGAGAGUUUGCAAGAUCACUAUUACUUCCAUUGUUCACAACAUUUACUAUCAUCUGUCAAAGCUGAAGGCACUUGGGCUGAACAUGUUUACCCAUUAAUCUUAACUUAACUAGGUCAUAUAAUUAAACAGAAAUGUUUAAAAACAUGGCCUAUUAAGCAACUCAAAAGAAAGAUGACAGCAAAGAAUGUCACUGAUUGGACCGGGUCAGACUGGUGAUAUCAUAAAUAUAUAACAACAUGAUUCUAUUCUCUAUAUACUAUAUCCAUUCUUCGACAAAUGAAAGAAAUAUCCUAUAAGGCAGUUUUAAAAGGAAAUACUUUUUAGAAGACGGUCUACUUUGAUUAGUAAAUUGAAAAUUAGUAAGAUAGUUCCAUGGGAACACAGCACAAGUACAAAUGCAGUGUACAUAGUACAGAUUACAAACAAAAGCUUAACAUGAGUAUAACAAAGAUGUGAUAAAACAAUUACCCUCAAUUCAUUAUAUGCUGCAUAAUACUGGGGAAAUCUUCCCCUUGGUCCCCCAAAAGCUUCUUGCCAUGUAUCUAUCAAAAUAGUAUCUUUUCCCUAACAUUCAAGUCUGGCUGCAUAAUGGAAUUAGAAUAACAAAGCAGAAAGAAAGUUAGUAUCCUAUUCAUGCACAAACUGGAAAGAAAAAAGGAAGCAACAAGUUAGUGAAAACAGAAAACAAAAGGUUGGGAGAGAAAUGCAGCACCUUCUUCUUUACUAUUUUGACCAUUUCAUGCAAGAUAUCACGCUCAACGAUCUGCUGAAAAACAUUCUCACCACAGUUCUUGCUCACAGUCUCCAAUGCCUGCAUCGAAUAAUAAAUUAGGAGAAGGAAAAAGACACCAUUGCUCAGAAAUGGCUUGUUUUGUGCUGAUGAUAGGCUAAUGCAAGGCAAUCAUUGAACCACAACAGGUCCAUCAUAAAUCACAAAUUUAUUGACAUUUUCACAUGUAUACAUAUUUUGGGAUGGGAAGGGUACCACAAGCUUUACAUCAUGAAUUUAAAAUUUUAAAAGAAAGAUGCAAAAACAUGACAAGAAAUAACACAAAAAAUACUGAAAGUCUCACAAAGAAAAGGAAUAGUACUAACAAAAAGAGCCAGGAGUUGUAUUUUUGGAUUUUUGCUGCCCAGGCGCUUCGUAUCUUCAAGGCCUCUUUUGCUUGCCUGAAAGUUCAAACCAGUUCAUUGGCAAAACAAAGCAUUCCGAAUAUUUAAAUUAGGAAAGAGAUUCUAUGGGAAAAAUAAUCCACAACAAUAGAAAAUAAAGAGGAUAGUCUUCUGCAGAGUUUAAGAGCUAAGAAAUGUCCAACAUAUAAAAGAAAGCCCGAUACACCAAGAUGCUCAUGGAAUCUAUUUGAAAAAUAAAUUACUCCUUCUACGAAGUUUCCAGUUCAUCCCAAAUCAAUGUAGCGAAAGCAUUCUACUACCCUGUCAAUUUUUUAAAGUGUUACUUUUCAGGAGGACAUGAUUUCCUUAUGAGAUGAGCCACAUCUCCCUUUCAGGAGGAGAUCUCCUCUUCUACCAGGAGCCAAGUAUUAAACUUCGUGUGUAUGUGCGUGCACAUGUAUAUAUGAAUACAUAAUAAGCUCUGAGCACUUUAAAGUUUCAACCAACGACUACGAUAUCAAUAUUUCAGAAAAGAUUCAACGUACUCAACAAUUUAAGAAAUGCGAACUCUAAACGGGUGGAUAUACCUAUAUAUAAUAUUCAAUCUAAAAAAUGAAAUUGAGGGAAAACAAAGUAAUCAUACCCAGGGUCAAUAUUGAUAAUAUCACAUAAUUUGCCCAGUCUGGGCCAAUCAACAUAUCACUUGUUGCCCUCUCUGCACAGGCCGCACCAUUACCAGCCAUGUCGUAAUCCCCUUCACGCAAGUCUUUUUCCUUAAAACUUCCUAAAUCAGAAGCCAAAAACAAGUUCAACUACGCGCAAUUCAACAUUUGUGAUGUAAAAGAACUUAAUAAAUGCUAGAAACGGAAGAUCAUAAGACACCUGUAUCACUAAUUAGCUCGAUGUCAGUAAUCUUGUUCAAUUCCAAAAGUUCCACAAAUUAUUUCUUACCCACCAAGACAAAACCUAUGAAAAUCCCAAUUUAAUUACGAUAAUUGAAAACAGCGGAACUAUACAAAAUUGAUCCAGAAAAUAUUAAAAACCCGAAAUCGCAAACAAAUAGGGUCUAUAAACAAAUUCAACUAUCUGCUCAUCCCCAUCACAAAUACGUAUCCCAAAUCAAAAUAACAAACAAUCAGAUCGUCAACAAUGUACGCUUAACACCAAUACAAGUCCCACAUCAAGAAACCCACAAAAAUUUGUGCCCAUAAAACACAGACAAGCAAACCCAAUUGGAUAUUAGUACUAAAAUUGAAAAUCAAAAUUCGAAUUAGCAAGAUAAUGGUCCUGUGCUUAAAGUUAAACCCAGUUGACAAAACGAUCAGAGAAUAAGGGAAAGGAAUGAGAGAUUUAUGCGACCAAACCAUUGCUGAAUGUUUACUUGCUUGAUGCUGCGUGGUUAGGCUUAGUCGACCUCACUCCAUCUUCAUUGCUUUGCUACUUGAAAUGAGGGAUUCCAAACAUAUUGGCGAAGCCGGCCAAUGUACCCUUCAAUCUGUUGGAAAUUCAAAUUAAAAGUCAUGUGAUGUCUAACUAUCUGUCCAUGUGAUGCUAGCUUUUCUUUCCAUGUUGUAUCCCGCAAAUAUAAACAUCAUUACUCCUCCAUCUGUUAACCGAAAGCUGAUUUAAAGACAGCAUAGAUGUGGGCUGCUGUGUGCUAGCCGAAAGGUUGUGUUUGCAAGCUGGAAGGAUGCAAUGCAUGUGUGUGCCAACUAUCCAAAGUUGCUGCAUGUGUUUGAAAGGGUGGAAGGAUGGUAAACACCAUCAUUCAUUACAUGUUGUUGUAUUGUUUAUCAAUUUCUGUUUUGUAUAAAUAGGCCUUCUUGCUAGGCUUUAGAACAUCAAUUCCAUUCCAAUUCCUUUCUCAUUUUCAGCUUGUAAGCUAUUGGUUUUGUAAACUCUCUUUUCAUAUAUCAAAGUCCAAGUGUUUUGCCGAAGCUUGUCCCUCCUUUCUCUAUUUCUUUGUCCAAUUUUAUUGAGAGUGCAAAGUGAGAGGUGUGAUAGAGUUUGUAAACUUAUCAUCCACAUAUUUUGGUAUUGAGUUAGUAAACUUUUCAAUACCAACAAUUGGUAUCAGAGCCAGAAUACCAUUCUGGCAAGUGCAGCAGUUAUGGCAUCCAACUUAGUGCAGCUCCAAGUUCCCACAUUGAAGAAAGAAAAUUAUGAAAGAUGGUGCAUCCAAUUCAAAGCAUUGUUUGGAUCACAAGAGCUAUGGGAAGUUGUCAGUAGUGGGUAUGUUGUACCCACUACCGAGCAAGAAGCCACAUAUACUGCAGAUCAAAGGAACACUCUCAAGGAUUUACGAAAGAAGGACCAGAAGGCGUUGUAUCUUCUCUAUCAAGGAUUAGAAGAUUCAACGUUCGAGAAGGUUGCAGAAGUAACAACGAGCAAGCAAGUAUGGGACACACUCAAUACAAUCUACAAAGGAGUAGAUCGAGUCAAGAAAGUGAGGUUACAGUCACUUCGAGUAGAUUUUGAAACUGCUCACACGAAUGAAGGGGAGAGCAUCUCCGACUAUCACUCAAGGCUCAUUGUGAUGGUAAAUCAGAUGAGGAGAAAUGGCGAGAGACUCGAUGAAGUACGAGUUGUGGAGAAGAUACUCCGGUCACUUACAUCUAAGUUUGAGCAAGUGGUGACUGCCAUUGAGGAAUCUAAGGAUUUGGAGGCGAUGAGCGCAGAUGAGCUACUAGGAUCCCUCCUAGUUCACGAGCAACGCAUUCAGAAGAAUGCAAGCCCCACAACACUAGAGCAAGCUUUGGAGUCAAAAUUGAAAAUUGACAAACCAAAUAAAGGUCGUGGGCAGUGGAACUCACGUCGUGGGAGUUCAUCCAACCGUAGCCGAGGACGAGCCCGAGGAAGAGGUCGAGGCUAUGAACAAAACCGAGGUCAAUCUCAAGAGUGGAGAUAUACCCAAGGAAAGGCGUAUAUCCAAUGUCACACUUGCAAGCAAUAUGGACAUUAUGCAAAUGAAUGUUCAUAUAAAAAUGGUGAGCAUGUCAACAUGGCAGAAUCAAAUGGAAAUGCUGGUGAGGAAUUUACAGUCUUACUAGCACACCAUGAUAUCAGUAGCCAACAAGAUGUUUGGUAUUUAGACUCUGGUGCAAGCAACCACAUGUGUGGAAAGAAAGAGUUUUUUGCAGAACUCAAAGAUGGGCCUUAUGGAUCUGUGAGUCUUGGUGACUCUUCAAGGUUACCAGUUGAAGGCAAAGGAAAGAUCAAAAUCAUCCAGAAGGAUGGUAAAGAAGAAUACAUCUUCGAUACCUACUACAUACCAGGUAUGAAGAGUAACAUUCUGAGCAUUGGUCAACUGCUCCAGAAAAGGGUAUGUUAUACAUAUGGAGGAUAUGUUUCUCACUCUCAGGAAUGCAAGGAGAAAGCUUAUUACAUGUGUUCAAAUGUAAAAAAACCGAAUGUUCCCGUUGAAGUUGAACACAAAGAUUGGGAGUUGCAACAUCGAUGUAAUGGAAGAUGAGUCAUGGAAAUGGCAUCUUCGAUUUGGCCAUCUUCAUUUCAAUGGCCUAAAGUUGUUGUCAAGUGGAGGAAUGGUUCGUGGUCUACCCCAGAUUGAAGCCACAUACAAAGUAUGUGAAGGUUGUGUGCUUGGCAAGCAAGCACGACUAUCAUUCCCUGUUGGUGAUACAUGGAGAGCAAAGGCACCACUGCAGAUGGUACACACGGAUAUAUGUGGUCCAUUGGAUCCUAUGUCUUAUGGAGGUAAUAGGUAUUUUAUUACUUUCAUUGAUGAUUUUAAUAGGAAGACUUGGGUUUAUUUUCUCAAGGAGAAAUCGGCUGCCCUAAGAAUCUUCAAGGAGUUCAAGGCACUCACAGAGGCUGAAAGCAACCACAAGCUUGUGGCUGUGAGAUCAGAUAGAGGUGGAGAGUACACCUCUAAUGCUUUCCAAGCAUACUGCAAGGAGCAAGGAAUUAGGCAUCAACUGACUGAUGCCUAUACCCCACAGCAAAAUGGGAUAGCCGAAAGAAAGAAUCGAACCAUCCUUGACAUGACAAGGUCCAUGCUUAAGGAGAAGAAUUUACCAAAAGAAUUGUGGGCAGAAGUUGUAGCUUGUUCGAUUUAUUUGUUGAAUCGAUGUCCAACAAAGAGUGUCAAAAGGAUGACACCACAAGAGGCUUGGAGUGGAUACAAGCCGAGUGUUGCACACCUAAGAGUUUUUGGUGUGUUGCAUAUGCUCAAGUUCCAGAAGCCAAGAGGAGAAAGCUCGAUGAUCGAGGUGAGAAGUGUGUGUUUGUGGGCUAUAGUGAAGAGUCCAAUGCAUACAAGCUCUACAAGCCACUAACUGGCAAACUAGUGGUUAGUAGAGAUGUCAUCUUCAGUGAGGAAGAGGCAUGGAAGUGGAACAACAAAGAAGUCAGUAAAGAGAAGAUCGUCUCCACUGAUUUUGAAGAACCAGAAGUUGUACCACCUGUUGAGCAAUAGCUUGCUUAAACAAUCACAACAACUCCAGUGCACAGAAUUGCAAGGAGUGGUCCUACAUCUAGUGAAGAAAGCAGCUCCUCAACUCCAGUGAGGCUAAGAAGUCUUACCGAGAUAUAUGGACAAGAAGAAGAAGAAGAAACCAACCUUUUCUGCUUGUAUGCAGACCACGAGCCUCUCUUAUUCAAUGAAGCUGUGGAAGAAGAUCGUUGGAGAAUAGCCAUGGAGGAAGAAAUCCAUGCCAUCGAGAAGAAUGACACUUGGGAGUUGACAAAGCUCCCACCAAAUCAGAAGGCUAUUGGUAUCAAGUGGGUGUACAAGAUCAAACGCACUGCAGAUGGGAGUGUGGAUCGAUACAAAUCAAGGCUUGUAGCAAAAGGCUACAAAAAAAAGUACGGAGUGGACUAUGAUGAAGUCUAUGCUCCAGUUGCAAGACUUGACAAGGUAAGAUUGCUAAUCUCUCUUGCCGCUCAUCAUAAAUGGAAAAUUUAUCAACUAGAUGUCAAGUCAGCCUUCCUUAAUAGAGUUCUUGAGGAAGAAGUGUACGUGGAACAACCAGAAGGCUUUCAAGUACAAGGAAAAGAAGAUAAGGUGUAUCGUUUGAAGAAGGCGUUGUAUGGCCUCAAGCAAGCACCACGAGCUUGGAACUCAAGGAUUGACAACUACCUUCACCAAAAUGGAUUUCAGAAAUGUCCAUACGAGCAUUCAGUUUACAUGAAGAAUGGUGCAAAAGGGGAGUUCUUAAUUAUUUGUCUCUAUGUAGAUGACUUGUUGUUUACAGGAAACAAUGAAGCAAUAUUUUGUGAGUUCAAGCAAUCCAUAUUCAGUGAAUUCGAGAUGACUGACAAUGGAUUAAUGUCAUACUUUCUUGGCAUAGAGGUGAAGCAAGAAAGUGACGGUAUCUACAUCUCUCAACAAAAGUACAUGAGAGAUAUAUUGGAGAAAUUCAAUAUGGAUAAGUGCAAUAUUGUCAACACUCCAGUUGCAACUGGAUUGAAGCUGUCUAAGGAAGGAGAAUGUGAGUUUGUAAACUCAACCGUGUACAAAAGCUUGGUUGGAAGCCUAAGGUACCUUACAAUCACAAGACCUGAUAUAGUUUAUGGUGUUGGACUCGUGAGUCGAUACAUGGAAACACCAAGGGAGUCUCAUUGGCUGGCUGCCAAGAGAAUUUUGAGGUACAUAAGAGGUACUCUAAACUAUGGUUUAUUUUAUAAUUUUGGUGAAGAUGCAAAAUUAUUUGGUUAUUCAGAUAGUGAUUGGGGAAGUGACAAAGAUGAAAGGAAAAGCACAACUGGCUAUGUGUUUUUUCUAGGAUCAACAACUUUCUCAUGGACUUCAAAGAAGCAAUCAAUUGUUGCUUUGUCAUCAUGUGAAGCUGAGUAUGUUGAUGUAGCCUCAACAGUGUGUGAGGCAAUUUGGUUAAGAAAUCUAUUGAAGUCAGUGUGUCAUCCACAAGUGGAAUCGACUGUGAUUCAUGUGGAUAACAUGUCUGCAAUCAAGCUUGCAAAGAAUCCUGUUCAACAUGGAAGGAGCAAACACAUUGAUACCAGGUUCCAUUUUCUAAGGGACCAUGUGAAGCAAAAGACAAUUGAGCUUGUCUAUUGUCACACGAAGGAACAAGUGGCAGACAUCUUCACUAAGCCACUACCAGUUGAAUCAUUCCGACUACUACGUGAAAUGCUAGGCAUGAAGGCGUUUUAAUUUGAGGGGGCAUGUUGGAAAUUCAAAUUAAAAGCCAUGUGAUGUCUAAUAACUGUCCAUGUGAUGCUAGCUUUUCUUUCCAUGUUGUAUCCAACAAAUAUAAACAUCAUUGCUCCUCCAUCUGUUAACCGAAAGCUGAUUUAAAGACACCAGAGAUGUGGGCUGCUGUGUGCUAGCCGAAAGGUUGUGUUUGCAAGCUAGAAGGAUGCAAUGCAUGUGUGUGCCAACUAUCCAAAGUUGCUGCAUGUGUUUGAAAGGGUGGAAAGAUGGUAAACACCAUCAUUCAUUACAUGUUGUUGUAUUGUUUAUCAAUUUCUGUUUUGUAUAAAUAGGCCUUCUUGCUAGGCUUUAGAACAUCAAUUCCAUUCCAAUUCCCUUCUCAUUUUCAGCUUGUAAGCUAUUGGUUUUGUAAACUCUCUUUUCAUAUAUCAAAGUCCAAGUGUUUUGCCGAAGCCUGUCCCUCCUUUCUCUAUUUCUUUGUCCAAUUUUAUUGAGAGUGCAAAGUGAGAGGUGUGAUAGAGUUUGUAAACUUAUCACCUACAUGUUUUGGUAUUGAGUUAGUAAACUUUUCAAUACCAACACAAUCUACCACAUCGCUAAUGGAUUGGGUCGCUAUUUUAUCCAACUCUUCCACAUCGCCCUCGUACACCAAACGAGUGCCGCAACUCUUCACCAAGCAGGGGCCUGAGCUUUUGAAAUGAAAAAUUAACUGACUGAAACUGUUUUGCCACUCUGUACCAAAGCUUAUACCACGAGACACAUAGAUCAGCCAAAUAUGAUCUGACACGGGCUGGACAUCCAAAGAUAGGAGAGGCGCAGGGUACUCUUCCUUUCCAUUGACUUCCAAAACACCAGAGAGCUCCCAUCCGCUCCCAUAAACUUCAAAUACAGCGCACAGAGCAUAUCCCAUCCACUUGUUAUCACGCCAUUGCCGAGUUAGGUCAACGCUUACUUCUGAUCCCAUACUUUGACGAGUGAACCACCUAGGAAUUUCCUUUCCAGGCAUGACAAUUUCACAUCUAUCUCCUGCAUAAGGGACUCCCUGUACAGGUGAAACAGUGAUGUUAAGCAAUGAGAGAGAGAGAGAGAGAGAGAGAGAGAGAGAGAGAGAGAGAGAGAGCGAGAGAGCACCUUAAGAUAUCUUUGGAGCAUAGUAAAUGUAAUAUGAUUGUAGCUUUCUUUCUCAAGCAUUCCAAAGCAAUUGAUGAGAUUGAAGCAUGACGAAUUCAAUCUGUCCAAAUUUGAGGGACAUUCCAGCAUUUCCAGUUUAGUACAAUCAUCUGCAGUUACUUGUAGUAAACCUACAUCUGAUGAAAGAACUGGAAGGUGUUGAAGCUUCCUGCAACGACUCAAGCAUAAAUUCUCAAGUUUAGAGAGUUGGCUAAUGCUUGUAGGAAGAUUAACAAAAUUGUUUCCACUUAAGUUCAAUGAUACCAAAGAUGAUAAGCAGCCAAUAUCAUUGGGGAUUGCUCCUUCACAAAGAUUGUGACCACUUAAGUCUAAUUCCAUUAAAGAACAAAGGCCUGAUAGAGGAGGCAAGAACAAACUGAUGGGAUGAUGACGGCUCCCUGGCAUUAAUCUUAAAAGGAGCGAGAUAAGCCAUGGUCGUUGUGAUGGCCCUUCCAUUCCAUGAAAAAUCAAUGCUUUAAGGUUUUUCAGAAGGGCAAUGGAAGAUGGACAUUCCUUUAUAGCAGUUCCACUUAAAUUAAUCUUCUCCACAAACUCUAAUUUCCCGAGGCUUUCUGGCAAUUUGGCAAGAUUUGAGCAUCCAGAAUCAUCAAGAAUUUUAAUAGCCCUCAAAUUUCCAAUGGCACUAGGAAGACAUUUCAGAUUUUUGCAAUCUCUCAAGUCCAACAAAGAAAGGCUGGUUAGAUGUUCAAGUGGUGAAGGUAUACAUUCAAUACCAGUCCCAUCUAAAGAAAGCUUCCGUAAAUGCUCCAUAGGUUCCACAAAAUUUGGAAUCUUUUUAACGCUUGAGCAGCCAGAAAGAACAAGAACUUCUAGGUGCUCCAUCUCAAUCUCAUCCGGAAGAAGCUUGAGACUUUUGCAAUAUUUAAGAGUCAAGAAAGUAAGCUUUUUGAGAGUUCCUAUGGAAGAGUGAAUCUCAUCUAAACUUUCGCAUCCUUCAAAGUCUAAUCUCUCAAGAUUCUGAAUCCCUUCAAAAUCAGGGGUUCUAGUCAAACUUUUGGAAUGACUAACUUUAAUGAUUUUCAACUUGUCAAAAUUCUGUAAUGUUUACAAGAAAUGUAGAAUAAUUAGAUCCAGAAAACUCAAAUAAGGUAAUGAAAUAUAUACUUUAACAAAUAAGGUAAAUAAUAUUGUAGAUGUAAGUGCUUACCUUUUUUCCGUUCCAGAGCUGUUCAAUUCUACUAUGACACAUGAUCAGUUCAACAAGCUCAUCCGGGUCGAAUCCUGAUGGGAGAUAUUGUAGAGGAUAACCUCUCCAUUCAAGAAAUCUCAAGGAAUUAGGGAGACGGUUGAGGCCUUCAGGAAGGCGCAUGUUGUGGACUUUGAGCAAUCUAAGAUUAACCAUCUGAGAAAAAGCUUCAGGAGGGCAUUCCACCUCUUUUGUUUCCAGCAAGUCUAGGACAAUGCCUUCAACUGUUGGUGUCCCCUGAUAACCAAGAAUAAAAAAACAAGUGAAUUGCAGUAUAAUAUGCACAUUAUAAAAGUAAAGGAAGAUGAGUAAAACAAACUGUUUUUUUUUUUUUUACGUGCCUCUUAAUCGUUAGAUUAAUUUACAUUUGACGUAUUAGGUAAGCUCUUACCGUUUUUUCCUUCAAAACAUGAAAGAUGUCCUUACAAUUGUUUGACCCUUUUUUUGUAACAAAUCAUGCAUCCGCACCCUGUUAUCUGAAAUUGUUGUCAGAGACUUCUCCAUAAGGACAUCUAUGUCAAUACCUGGAUUAAAACCACAACUAUCAAGUAUUUCAAAUACUCGAUCUUUGUCCUCCCCUUUAAAGAAACAUGCGAUGUCAAGGAAAAUCUCUCUCCCUUGCGGAUCUAAUCCCUCGUAACCUGUUAUAAGAAUCUUCAUAAUUUUUUCAUCCAAUGUGAAAUCACCCUCUAGUUUACGCAAUUGACUGCUCCGUGCAUCUAGAUCUCUUCCAUACAAAAAAGACCCCAAGACUUCAAGAGCUAAUGGAAGGCCACUGGCAUAGUCCACAAAACUGUACGACAGAGCCUUAUAACUUUCAGGUGGAUUCUCUCUAGGGAAGGCUCUCAAGUUAAAAAGUUUAAGAGCAUCAACUUUACCCAGCUCCGGCACCUUAAAUUGUUUUUCUACACCAUGUGAAAUUAGCAAGCGUUCAUCUCUAGUCGUAAUAAUGAUUCUACUCCCCUGACCAAACCAAGCUGGUUUUUCACAUAGCUCUCUUAACUGGAUACUAUCGUCCACGUCAUCAAGAAUGAUGAGAACCUUUUCUGAAGUAAGAAACUUCUCCAUCUGGCAGCUUCACCGGCAGCCCAGUCUUGUAUAUUUCUUUUCAUAAGGCUAUUGGAAAGCUUCCUCUGUACACAGGCCAUACCGUGUGCCUUAGAAUCCUCUCUAACUCCGUCAUGAAAGCUUUCGGCUUGAAAUUUAUGACGAAUCCUCUCAUAACAUGCUUUGGCAAGGGUUGUCUUACCUAUCCCACCCAUCCCCCAUAUUCCUAUAAAGAGAACAUCAUUUGACUCUAGUUCUAAAAGCACAUCAAGUUCCUUCAGUUUCGAUUCAAUGUCAACUAGCUUUUCUGCAGGUUCCAAUGAUAAAGGUCCUACUUUAUUCCGUACAUUUUCAAUAAUUUGUUCGAUGACAUCUGGUUCUCUACAAGAAAAAUAGACAAUGUCAAGAUAUGACCUAAUACACAAGGAAAUAAAAGAGCCACAGACUAUUUUUGUUUUCGUCCACCUGAAGUCAUAGUACCAAGUGGUCUCUGCGUCCAUCUAUAAGAGGGUGGUUUGGUAUUGGACAAAAUUAGAGACGGUUUAGGAAAAGGGGAGGACAAAAAAGCGUAGCAGUAUUGGAUUUCAAACAUAUGACUUCUUAACUGGAUCAAUUUUUUCCCCUUAGACUCUCAAAUGGACCAAAUAAUGGUAAAAAGAAAGGCUCUCUAGGAUGGAACUGUAGGCAUAAACACAGUCUACAAAGCCUCAAUGUUUAGUCAUUAAGUUGUAUUGGGAUUAAGCGGUUAUGAAGCACCUUCAUUACUGUGCAAAAAGUAAAUGAUAUGAAUUCUUCGAUUUUCCUAUAAGUUAUUGUAUCAGGCUUUAGAAGAAUUGAAUUAUAAAAAAAAUAGCAAGAAUGAAGGGUCAAGUGCUGAUUGCUAAAGCUUUUGAAUUGAGUGAAAGAGAAAAACAAGUAAUGCCAACCUAUUCUUUGAAGUAGACCCUUUGAUUUUUGCCACUUUUUGUAAGGCAUCUUUCCAUUGUUCCAAAAUCACUUCGGCAUUCUCACUCUUUGUCAUUCUUACACUUUUGUUCGAGUUCAGUGAAGCCUUUCCCAAAACUCCCAGACCUAUCUCCAACAUCGCAGGGUUCCACCUGGUAGAAAACUGGUAUAAUUGCCCCUCUCUCUUCCAUGCAUUCAAGAAUCUUUACGAGUUCGUUCAGGCACCAUUUUGAAGAAGCGUAGUUUGGAGAGAUGACCAUGAUGGCAAGCCUCGACUUUUCAAUUGCCGGGAAGAUUUCAGAAACUUUUCUUCCUAUUUCAAGAUCAUUGUCAUCAAAGAAAGUUCUUGUAAUUCCUUGUUCUUCCAAUUCCUUAAGUAGAUGGGCGGUAAAACCUAAGCGCGUGUCGUCGCCCCUAAAACUCAAAAAGACAUCAUACUGCCAUUCAAGAGCUGAAGGAAGAGAUGAAGCGGCUCGUUGGGUGCUCGAUGCCAUUGAAUACAAGCUAACUGGAAUGGUGGUAUUAGUUUUCCAAGCAAAAACAUGACCAGAAAAAUAAUUCAGCAUUCAAAAUAUUGUAUUAGCCAAUAACAUGAACAGAAAUAACCAUGAAUCAGAAAGAUGAGCAAUAACCUGUGUGUAUGUAAGAAAAUGAAGUCACAGAUCAAGUCAGAUCAAGUCAGAGGGGGCAUGAGAGGGGCUACAAGUCUGUCUGUAUGUCGUCAAGUCCAAUCAAUGCUUAGGUACACCAAGUUGCCUAGUGGCCGUCGUCGUCUAACGAAACUUCACCGCGGAGGCUUGAUGGACGUGAUUCAACUGCUGCUUCUAUCCGACGGUCAAACCGCGUAAGCUCUAUUUUCCCACUUUUUAUUUUAUUCGUUUGGUGAUUCAACUGCUCCAUUAUUUUAUUUUUGUGUAGCUCCAUUAUUAUUUUUUAUACUAAUGCAGAGCACACCACAGUUGAAUGUUUCUAACAAACACAAAAUUUAAUUGCAUGCACUUCUUUUCUUCCAGAAACACAAAAUUUAAUUUUCUUUAAGUUGACCCAGUGCGUUUACUUAGACAAUCACCUGUGCACUAGUUGGGAAAAUUCAUCCUCGGACUCAUCGUCCUCAUGGUUCACAUUCACAAGUGGCACAUAAAAAUCAGGUGUUGAAAUUAGAGAUAAAAUGUAGAAGAUACUGUCGGCAAAAGCAAAUAAUUUUUGUUUUGUUUUUUUUUAUUUUUUUGUUUUUGUUUUGUUUUUAAUAUAACCUAAGAAAUAAACUGCAGCUAGAAAUUGAAAGUAAUGAAAUAAAAAUGAAAGAAAGUAAAGAAAAAGUUACUUUAAGUCUGUAGCUAGACGUCGCAGAAGCCCGGUGGCUAGAUCACUGGUUCCUUCAGAGUCAAAGACUCGCUUGUACCAAACUUCUUUGGGAAUGACUUUAGUAGAGACUUCUUGACCUUGAGCACACAACCCCUGCCCUCUAGUUCAAUGUCCACAUUACUGUUUUGAAAAACUUGCUUAACCAUAUAAGGUCCCUUCCACCGAGACUCUUGUCUCCCUGGAAUUAACUUGAAACUGGAAUUUAACAACCACAUCUUUCUACCAGGCUGUAUUUUUGCAACUUUUUAUUCUUUCCCUUGAUAUUUGGAUGUUUUUGGUCAAUCUGGUGGCCUAGAUAGUUGUCAAACAAAGUUGGUUCUGCUUUUGAUUUUUACACUUCAACCGCCCGAACUUUUUGCUGUUGCACUUUACUAUCACACUCACGAAUCACAUCUUGAGUCUUUAUGAGCAGAUGGUUAGUUAAUGAUCUGGUCAUAAAUUUGGCCUUAGGUAAACCAUCUAAUGCAUCAACACGCAUGCAUUCUUUCUUGUCACUUGGAUGUGUGAUGACUUCAAACAAAUUGAAAACAACUGUUUGAUCUUCAACCCGUAGUGUUAAUGUUCCUGCUUCAACAUCAAUAAGAGUUCGGGCUGUUGCCAUGAAGGGUCGUCUCAAAAUGAUGGGUGUUGUCAAAUCUUCAUCCAUGUCCAACACCAUAAAAUCAGCUGAUAAAUAUAAAUUGUCAACCUUAACAAUAACAUCUUCGAUGAUUCCUCUAGGAUAGGUAAUUGAACGGUCAGCCAAUUGAAUAAUGUUGGAGGUUGGCUUCAGCUUGCUUUCACCUAAACGUUUAAAAACAGAAUAAGGCAUUAAGUUUACACUAGCACCUAAAUCAAUUAACGCACUUUAAAAAUCAAAAUUGCCAAUAGUACAGGGAAUAGUAAAACUCCCUGGAUCUUUCUUCUUUGGAGGCAAUUUGUGUAGUAGAACUGCACUGCAUUGUUCUGUGAGCACAAUUUUCUCUGUUUCCACGAGCUUUUUCUUCUUAGUGCAAACAUCUUUCAAAUAUUUAGCAUAAGAAGGAAUCUUGUUAAUCGCUUCCCACAAUGGUAAAUUAUUUGAACUUUAGCCAAUGUCUGUAUGAAGUCUUUUAACUGCUGAUCCUUAGCCUUUGGUAUUAACCGUUCUGGAUAUGGUACUGGAGGAUUAUAAACACGCUCAGAAACCUGUUUUGGGACAGUUUCUGCACUGGUCAGAUUCUGUUUUGAUGCAGAAUUGGCAGGUUCUACCCUUGUUUUUGCAGAUUCUGUAGAAAUUUUCACUGCUGGCAGAUUCUGUUCAGUGCCAUUUUCACGGUUGUCAUAACUUUUACCACACCUUAAAGUCCGUAUUGCACAACAAUCCUCUGUACCUCUUGGAUUAUACAUCAUUUGACUAGGAAACCUUCCUUUUUCUCUGUCUGAAAUCUGUGCAGCUAGCUGCCCAAAUUGUAACUCUAAACUUUUAAUUGAUGCCUCAAUAUUCUGAAAUCUUUGAUUGCUGCCUUCCAUGAAUGUUUGUGUUGUUGCUGCCAGUUUAGUCAUUUGAUCCUCCAAUGAUGGUUUGGAUGGUACAAAAGGUUUUUGUGCUUGUUGGAAUGGUCUUGCAUUAUUUUGAUUGUCACCCCAUUUGAAAUUAUGAUGAUCAUUCCAUCCUGGAUUGUAAUGAGUUGCAUAUGCAUCAUUCCUAGGCCUUUGAUAACUGUUCAUCAUAUUAACAUGUUGCUCGACAAGCUCUGGGUAAGAUUCUUUAUGUGGACAGCCCAAUAUGUCGUGUGUAGCCAUGCUGCAGAUAGUGUAGAUUGUUGAUGUAGGUUGCUGCUGCUGUGUAGAAUUUGCUAUCUGUUGUAAAAUAAUGUCAAACUUUGCAUCAAUUUUUUUCUCCAUUUUUUCCAUUUGUGCAGACAUAUUAGAGGAACCUGCUGAUAACUCAAAAAUGCCCCUUUUUUGUGAAUGUUCUGCUGCCCACUCUUGAGAUUCUGUAGCCAUUGUAUCAAAUAAUUCAAAUGCUUCUCUUGCAGAUUUAUUUGACAAUGAACCCCCAUCUGAUGCAUUAACAUGACUUUUAGAUGUAGGAUUAAGCCCAUCAAAGAAAAUAUUCAUUUGUUUAUCUGAAUCAAUAUUAGCAUGUGGACACUUUAUAUACAUUUCUGUAUAUCUCUCCCACGCUUCAUGAAAUUCUUCGUUUGGCUUUUGAGUGAAUGUCAUAAUCUCCCGCUUGUAAUUUAAUGUCUUGGAUGCCGGAUAAUAUUUGUUCAGGAAUUUUGUAUGCAAUUGUUGCCAAGUAGUAAUGCUAUUAGCUGGUAAAGUGAACAACCAAGUUUCUGCCUUAUCCUUCAAAGUAAAAGGAAAAAGACGUAACUUAAUAGCCUCGACAGAAAAACCCCUGAUCAAAAUAUUUUUGCAACCCACGAUGAAUUUUGCAACAUGUAAAUUCGCAUACUCGUUAGGCAGCCCACAAAAAGUAGGUAAAAUUUCAAGCAUAUGGUGCUUGAUCUCAAAUGAAUCACCAUCUUCAUGGGCAGGAUACACAAUACAAUUAGGAACAUCAUUGACUCAGGCAGCCAAUGACUCUCUGAGUGGCCUGCCUGCAGCAGGCAAUUGCAACGCCAUUGUGAUUUUACUGCCUACAAAACCAGCAAACAAUUCCUGCAGGAAUGUGCCUUGCACUGCACAGUCCCAAACCAAAUUAUUUUCUCUCCCCUGUCUAUGCAGUGUGCGUUCGGGUUCUGGACCAAACUGUGCAAUCUGGGCAGUUCCUGAUCUAGUUUGGACCAUGCAAUUUACAGAAUCUACAAUCACACAAAAGCGUUAAAAUAAUUUGAAUUUUUUGUUGUCUUUUUUUGACGAAAAAUAAUAUAAAAAAAAAUAAUCAGAAAAAGUUUAAACAAAAAUUAUCUAAAAUAGUCCCCGGCAACGGCGCAAAUUUCUUGAUAGGAUUUUUAACGUCUAUGCAAAUAGGGUCAAAAUCACAUGAAAUACUUGCAAGAAUACAAGGAUGUUGUAGUAUAGAUGCUCAUGCACGGUCGUUUUCCUCAAUGAUUAUUUGGAUAAUUUAUGUAGAAACAAUUCCUAAUUAAAUAUUUAGAGUUAAAACUUGAGAAAAGAGAGUUUGAGAGUGGGUAAUAUUAAAAGCGAAUUUUAAGCAAAAACUAAUAUAAUCAAAGAAAAGAGUUUUAAAUACCAAUUUAUAAAGGCACCAGGGUUCCACCAUCACCUAGCAAUUUUAUGUAUUUUUACCAAUUACUUAUAAUUUAGACAUGCCACUUCGAAGGUUAGGUUUUCCUAAUACAUAUUCUCCUCGUGAUAGUCAAGCAAGAACAUAUAUCUAACAUGCAAUCCGUAUGUGAUAUUCAGAUCAAAUAUGAAUAUGCAAGACUCAUUAAGUUUUAUGAAAACCUUUUGAAGAACCAUGCAACCCCUAAGAACGUGAUAUUCGCCUUAGAUGAAAUUACAAUUAUCAAUCACAAGAAGCAAUACUCAAUCCUCCGGUGAUAUUCCGACCGAAUUGCAUCCAAUUACUUGUCUAAACAUCCUAAUAGUGGCCAGUCAUCAAGAUAAUUAGAUAGUUUAAAACAGUGAUCAAUAAUUCAAAGUGUGCAUGCAAUCAAUCAUAAGCAAUUAAAUAAAAAUUACAUAUUCAUGCUAAGGCUCAAGGUUUCGCCCUAGCAAAAGGAAUUAGUUAUGCAUAUUCAUAAUUGAAAUCAUAGAGCUUAUUAUUAAAAAUAAAAGGAAUGAAAGCACCUUAAAGUAGAAAAUCUCCAAGAACCCUAGCCAAGUUCUUUGUCUCUAAAGUUGAAUAAUAAUAAGCGUAGAAAAAAACUAUAGACGGCCAAAGCAAUAUAUUUGCUCAGCCCUUACAAACCCUAAGACAUAGGUUUCUUAUUCCAACUAGGAAACUAAAAAUAAAAUAAAAUAUCUUAGAAAAUAAAACCCUAAUUAAACUAGGAAUCUGCCAAGUACUUGUCCAGCCACGUUUUAGCCUCAGAUCUCCUCCAAAUCCAGCCCAAGAUAGCUUGUUUUAAAUAAGAACGUUCCGAACAGAUCUCCAGAAGGCCACGAAACCAUUCGAGGUCAUCUUGGGCUCCAAAAACGCAAUUUAAGCCCAGAAACGUCAUUUUUCAGCACCGCGCAUCGCUCCUUUAUUUUAUCGCCAAAAAAUAACCGCUUGAUGGAAAAAUCCCAAUUUUUGAUACGAUCAAGCUAAGUGACUCACGAACGUCUUCCAACUGGAAUUACUCCAAAAUUCGUCCAUUUGACCACGUUUUGCUUCAGAGGAAGUCGAAAGUCCUAUAUUGAAAAUACAAUUCAAAGUAUCAAAAUUCUUCUAAAAUAUGAACCAAAAUAUACCAAGAAUAGGGUUAAAUAUAUAAUAUAAAAUUCACUUAUCAAAGCUCCUCAUCUCUGAGAGGAGAGCAACCACAACUGUCACUAUUGCAUCAAAUCUAUGAGUAGAACUCAAAUCCAUAUCAAAUCACUUAUGCAGUCUCAUUCACAAGAAGCCUGACACGCUUUUGGUAUGAACGGCACUGAUCAACAAUCACUUCUUCCUUCAAACCCUGCCAUAGUAUUUCAUUUUGACCAUUUAUGACCGUUAAAUUUGCACAUAUUAAGAGCCCGGAUGGUAAUAUUAUGAUUUUGGUUCAUUUAUUAUAUUUUAGUAAAAGCCAAAGAGGAAUUGUAUGGGAGAAAAGAGGGAGAACAAAAGGGCUCAGAUGGGUGGGCAUGAAAAUGAAUAUGGAACGGUAUUUAAACCAAAAAGCAAAAUCAGUCUCAACUGUUCUAUAUUUCUCCUUAAAGUUUUUACUUCGCCCAUUUCCCUUCAAUCGUCCAUACCUCCUCCCUUCUACAAACACAAGAAAAGUGCAGCCCUUAAAGGUACUAAGUUUCGAGUAAUUAACCACCUAAUUCCGACCCUGCUAAAAGUCCCAACUUAAACUUUUUUUACAAUCACAGUAAUUGACACCCAAUUACUAGCCUCCUCCACCUCUGGAUAACUAGCCUUAUAAAUAAAGUUUUGUUAUCAAUAUUUCUCAUCAAAUAAUUUACAUACAGUGCAUAGUAAAGAAAAGUAUGGACCAUAAAUAUUCUCCACAAUUGACCAUAUACAAGUUUCAGAACUUUCAACUGUGGUAAGAGUCCCAUAUGAAACUUUCACCGCUAGAGAACUCCACACACACAAAAAAAAAACAUAGAAUCAUUGGCCUCUCAACAAAAAUAUUUCUAGAAAAACAUAAAUGAGAAAUUAUCCUUUAAUAAUACCUUUUCGGAAAGAAAUUAAUCAGAAAUCUAAAAUAAGGUAGAAAAUAAUAUUACCUCAGGAUUCUUAGGAUCCAAGGCAUUAAGCAUUUCCAUCAACACAUCUGCAAUUCCACGAGCAUUCUGAAUCUCUAGCAAGCUGAUUAAAGACAGUUCCAAUCAGGAUGGAUCUAUCAUAGUUUCAAUUAAAAGGAUGAUUUUUGCAGCAGAAGAACAACAUUGACACCAUUCAAAUACAAACAUAUAAGACAAUAACAUAUGUUUCAACUCUUCUUCCAGCCUUGAAAUAGAUUUGGAUGACUAAGAACUCCUACUCUCAAGCCUUUGGUGACACGCCCCGAUCCCGAUAUUCCCAAAAUACCAGGAUAAGCACAUGCUGGUUGACACCUGACGAAAGCCAUUUAUUGAAUGCAAAUGUUGAGAAUAAGGAAUAAAUAAGACUUAGAAAUAUAAAAGAAUAAUGAAUAUGCAUUUAAGGAACGCGUUCAGAGAAUACAACUAACUAGAACACUAAAAGAAAUAAUAUAAAAUUCAAAGAAUAAAAGAAUGGGUCCUACACCGAGAGGACUCGAAGAUGCCGAUGCGGAAGUGCCUUGACGUCAGGAUUGUAUGUCUCGAUUCUAAGUCCUGAAGGGGGCGCAAAACAAACAUGAGUGGACCAAGUUGCUAUAUAUAUAUAUAUAAUAAAACAGUUAUCAACAUACUAACCCCCAGGUUUUAUGAAAACACAUAUAUAUCAUGAUAAACAUAUGUUUUCCGAAACCUAGCAUGUCGUGCAAUGUCUCAAAUCAUAACUUGUAUAUAUAAUAAUCACUAGUGAAUUGUCCGAUAACCCCCAGGCCCCAUGCCGACUCCCCGUCUCUGAGCAGACAGUCAAAGGAAAAUACACUUCAAGUCCCAUGCUGGCUCCCCGUCCCUGUGCUAAAUAGGCAGAGGAAACACACUCCAGGCCCUAUGCCAACACCAAACCGUCACCAGGGACGGACCAGAAUCUAUCCCUACGUCCCGUAGCGGAAAUGACCACUAGGUAAGUACAAAAUCAUUGAACAUAUAUAUAUUGAAAAACAACUUCAUAGUAUAAAGUCAUCCAUCAUCUAUACUAUAAAGAGGUGUUCGAAACAUGUUCUAAAUAUUAUAUCGUCAUCCAUCGGAUAUUUAUAAGAACACGGGUUAUAGGAAAAAUAGGAAUAAUUCAACUAGCCUCAAUAAGCAUAUUAUCUCAUAAAACGUUUCAUAAAACGUAGUCAUCAAAUCAUGUUUUUCAUGUAUGCAUUUCUACUAUCAAAACAUGCAUUUUUAGAAGGGGUCCACUCACAGAUACUUAGCCGCCAAAGAGCCACGCAAACUAGCAAACACGGAAACGCCACAAUAAUUGCUCCUAAGCACGUAAAUGGUCCAAUUAAUAAAACUAUACUCAAACGAUUUAAUUUGGGAAAACAGACGUCGAAAACGGAUUCAGAACAUCAAAUUAUCUUAAGAAGGGUCCCGGAUAAAUUUCGUAAACGUCAAUAGAAUAUUCCAAAGAAUAUUCCUUGACGGAAUAUUUUCUGAUGGAAUAUUCCACAAAAAGGUUUGAGCCGGUUAGGGUUUAGGGUUGGAAGGGUUAAAGGGUUUAGGCUUAGACUUUUAGGUGGGUUGGGUUUAGGUUUUUAAACUGAAAGGGUUGCUUUAACAUAUAAGGGCCAAUGGCCUUUAAAACCAAAACAAAUAAAAUAGAAAAUAAAAAGGGCUGGAGGGUUCUAGGCCCAAAGGCCUAAACUAAAAAAGGGUUUGGGGUUUAAAGUGUAUGGGCCCUAAGCCCUCACAGCAAUGGCCCAAAGGCCUUUAAUUAAACAAAAUAAAAUUAAAACAAAAUAAAAAGAGAAAUGGGUUUGGGUUGGGCUCGGCAGGAAAGGCCCGAAGGGCCUAUGUUUGAUGGGUCGCUAGACCCAAGGAAGAAGAAGGCUGGAAUUCGGCCGAAAGGUUCUCUAACUUUAAACGUUCAUAACUUUGUCAAUACUCAACGAAAUCAAGUGAUUCAAAAACAGAAAUCGUAGCCCUCGAAGAGACGAAGAGAAUGGUACCUUGCACGACGUCUAACUCAUCAUGGUUUGGCCGAAAAUUUCCUCGAAAGGGAUGAGUCCCUAGUCGGAAAAUCUAGGGAAAGCUCCCCAAGUUGUUUUCACGUCUAAACCUUCACCAAAUACCAUAUUUUAACAACCUCUAAGCCUUCUAGACUACUAUGAAGGAAGAUCGAAGGGUGUUUUUGACUUACCUUGUCAGAAAUCACGUGCACCGUGACUGUGCACAGUGCCUAGACGAGAGAGAGAUCGCAGGGUGGUGAGGAAGAGAACGAUGAAGGUCAGAUGAUGAAGAUGAUGGUGAAGUUCUCCUGUUGGCUGUGUGUAUGUAUGUAUGGGUGUGUGUGUGAUGAUACUCGGGGAAGGAAGGAGAGAGUGCAGAGAGAGUUGAGAGAAGAAAGAGGGAAAAAGAGAGAAAGAAGAGGAUCACGGGGAGGGAACACAAAUAAAGGGGUUGGGCUCACCAAUUAAGAACUAAAAUUCAUUUUUAAAUAAAAUGGGGGUGGGGUGUAACAUUUGGUACUACUAAAGAACCGUAUAUUUAUUCGUAGAUGAUCAAUUGAAACACCCCACGGAUCAAUUAAUUCAAAUCAUAAUUAAAUACUAAUAGUGGCUUUAAAGAAUGUGUUACAUAUACAGAUGAAAAAGAAGAUUCAACAUCGUUACCAUUCAAAUACAAACAUACAAGACAAUAACAUGUUUUAACUCUUUUUGCAGCCUUGUAAUAGAUUUGGAUGACUAAGAACUCCUACGCUCAAGCCUUUGGUACUACCAAAGAACUGUAGUUUUCUUCCUAGAUGAUCAAUUGAAACACCCCAGAGAUCAAUUAAUUCAAAUCGUAAUUAAAUUCUAAUAGUGGCUUUAAAGAGUAUAGGCGUGUUAUAUAUAUAGAUGAAAAAACAGAAUCAACCUAUCAUAUAUACAGGAUGGCAACUUGUUUGGUGAUAGAUUCAGAACAACAGAGAGAAUUUUUUUUUAAAGAUAAGAUACCUUAAUGGUGUUUGAGUAAUAACACAUACAGACAUUAAAGGUGAAACCUUUUCCAAGCAGAUGCAGACAUACAAAAAGAUAUUAAGCUUAAAGACCUUAAUAUCCAGCUUUGGGUAUUGGCAAGUAUCUGCUAACCUUCCCUUAUACGUAAAAAAUUCUGAUAACCACAAUCAAGGCAACAACAACAAAAACAAAAGCAAAAAUUCCAUGCCUUAAGUAGAAAAAGUUCACUUAUGUUGUAAAACCCAUUCAUAAAGAUUUAGUCAACCAUUAACAAUCAUUCACUGUUGUAUCAACAAAAAAAAAUAGAAGGAAACAAGUUCUUAUGAUUGAAAGAGAUGAUUGUGAAAGGGUUAGGAUAUACCUGCUGCUAUGAAUUAUAGAUUCCAGUGGAUGAGGCUCUCUGUUUUUGAAAAACGUGCGUAUGGUUGAACGGCAACGAUACAUGACAUAGCAAAAAAUUAGAGGGAAAAGGAGUUUGUAUUCAAACACAGUAAAGAGAUUUGUAUUAGAAAUUAGUUUGUAUAAAAGUUAACAAAACAUAACAAAAUUUAAAAAUGGAUAGACAAAUACCUCAGUGUUUGAAUGAAUGGUUGCUGUGUGAAUGAAUGGUUUGAUCUGUAUGCUUGUGUUGGAUCUACAUGCAUAUGAAAAAUUAAAUUAAAAAGUGCAUCACAGAGAAAUGGAAAAACAACCUAGCAACAUAGAGAUAUUCGAAUGAUGUGAAGUGGAAAAGGAACCUGAAGGUGAUUUGGUGAGAAGCAAAUAGUAGGAAAGCAUGAAGAAACACACAAAUGAGCACAGUGCAACCCCUUUAUUUAUAAAGACAGAAAUCUCACACUAACAAUGAACUAAACGGCCUAAACCCACUAAUUAAAAAAUAAUAAACUUAAAAAGGAGUCUAAAUUUUGUUUACUCAUAAACAAAGGAAAAAAAAUUCUGAAAAACACAAAUAUCAAGACAGUGUAGUCCCCUAAUUUACAAAGACUAAGAGCAAACUCUAAUAGUUAACUAAACAAUUUAAAAAUAUCUAUGACAACUUUAAUGAAGGGAAAAUUAGCCAUGACAAUUUAACAGUGUAGCCCCCUAAUUUACAAAGACUAAGAGCAAACUGUAAUACUUAACUAAACAAUUUUAAAAUAUGUAUAGCAGUUUUAAUGAAGGAAAAAUGAGCUAUGACAAUUUAAUGAAGGGAAUGGCAAAUCAAACAAUGAACAGCAAAUUGAAAACAAUAAAUUGUAUAAAUUUACAUAUGUUUUACUCAAUUUUUUUUUUCCAUUAAGCUUUCAUGUUGCUGUAAAUUUAGGCGUUUUCUCUCUGUGUUGGUGUAUCUGCCUAAACUUGUAAAAUGUUGGUUCAUCUUAUGCAAUUUUUGAUAUACUUAACAACCUACUGCCUAUGUGCAAUGGAGCACCACAAAUUUAUCUACAUUAUGGUUGUUAGGACAAUGGAUUAGGUUGUAGGAUAAAUUCGGACAUACAGCUAACCCUAGAGGUGAUCUAAACAAUCUACAAAAGACUAAGAGCAAACCCUAAUAGUUAAGUAAACAAUAUAAAAUAUAUAUGAUAGCAUUAAUGAUAGAAAAAAUAUCUAUGACAAUUUUAAUAAAUGGAAUGGCUAAUCAAACAGUAAACAACAAUUAAAAACAAUAAACUGAAAAAGAGUUAACCCUAAGGUGAGCUAAACAAUCUACAAAGAUAUAUGACAAAUUUAAUGAAGGAACAAAAUAUCUCUAACAAUUCUAAAACAAAAAAAAGGAUCAAUCACACAAAAAUUAAUCAAGAAACAAACAAAUUAAAUCAGUGGAAGACCCUAAUUGAAAAAAAUAGAGACAUAAUCCUAGCACCCAAUUGAACAAUUUAUAAACAUCCAUGACAAUUUGAAUGAAAGAACAAAAUAUAAAUGAAAAUUUUAACAAAGCAAAUGGCAAUUGGAUACUAAACAAUGAAAAAAAAAACAGUGCAUUACCUUUUGAAUCAAGGGAGAAAGUUGAAAACCCAGACCCUGCCAUUCGUCCCUCAGCCAUCCCCUCUUCACCGACUCUGUGCGUAACCCGUUAACCCUAAAGAAUACACACACCCAUGCUUUCCGCUCUGUAUCUAUCUCCCUGUCCAUCUCUCUCUCUAAAAUGGGAGAAAAUCCCAUAGAUCCUAGCAGAGGACCUAGCUAAAUCUAUCUCUCACUCAGUCCAAACCCAUAGCUCCCAUCUCUCUCCAAUCUGUCAGGCCUUGUGUCUCCCUCCUCUCUAGUCGCUCCGUCCCCCUUUCUCCGCUCGCCACAGCCACAACCACACCCAGCUGUCUCCGAGUAAAAAAUAGGAACGAUCGUCUCUCUCCAAUUUGUCAGCCGUGAUGUCCCCCUCCCCUUUCUCUCCCCGAGUCAAAGCUGAAAUGCAGCCAACGGCUGAUAAUCGGUUUUUAAGCCUGAGUGGCAUUUUUGUAAUAAAGCGAAAGUUGGUUAAAAGCACCCUGAGUGGCAAUCUUGUAAAUAAACUGAAAUGUCUUCCAAAACACUGCUCAAUUGUACAAUGCAAUUUCCCCUCCUUCAUUAGACUAAAGUAAUAAUAAUUCAGACAAUUUAUACCAAAAAUAAAAAAACAUCCCAAAGCAUAAAAAAAGAUAGCAUCUGUUACAAUAUCAUUAUGUUUGAAUUGUGUAUAUAGGUAAUUAUGGGGGAUUCGGGAAAGAUGGAAUAACUAUACAAAGAAGAGAAAUGAUUUGAAGUCUAUUGUUCGCUUUUCUUAUUAGCACAAAAUUCAAUCAAGCAAGGAUGAAUUCUUUCAUAAAUUACAGUUACGGAUCAUGACAUUCAACAAGCAGCAGCUGAAAUAGUUGUACAAACAUAAAAAAUCGAUGCUGACUGACAUCUUUAAUUAAAGAUUAAGGCCCUAGGACUGACAGGAUUUAUAAUAGUAAGGGUGUAAGAGACAUCCUCAUGUCAAUGGGAGAAUUGAUGAAUACUUGACAAGGUUAAGGCCUUUCAAAUAUGUAGUCAAAUUUUUCUGCAGUCUUAAAGCAUGCACAACACAUUCAAAUUUGAUGAAGUAUAUAUGAAACAACCAACAUGUCUUCGUUGAUUCUCAAUUUCCAACACAUGUUUGCAAAUUGAAACAUUCUCUCUAUGGUCUUAAACAAGCCUCAAGGGCGUGGUUUCAAUGUUUUUUCCAACCACCUAGAACAUCUCGAUUUUGUGUCUUCUUAAGCAGAUUCGUCUCUAUUUGUUUACUGUCAUGGUUUAGUUCGCAUUUAUUUACUAAUCUAUGUUGAUGACAUCCUUAUCACAGAAAAACAUGAACAUAAAUAACCAUGAAUCAGAAAGAUGAUCAAUAACCUGGGAGUAUAUAGAAAACGAAGUCACAGUGUUCGGGCGAAGAUUUCUCCGGAUAGGGCUCCUCGGCUCUCAGCACAGCUCUCCAAGGGAUUGGCCUUUUGGAUGUGUAGUUAAGCUCUUGCUUGUUGAUGUGUUGCAAGAAGAGGAUAGAGUUAGUUUUGAAAGGUGCCUUUGUAGGGCCUUAAGUGUAGGCCUUGAGACUCGCAAUCAAAACUAACUGAAUGCUAGGCGUGCCACUGCUAUCUCAGUAUAGCAGAUGUAGAACAAAUGUGUUUUAGUCGAUUACUUACCCCCCAAGUUACUCAGACUUCUUGUUAUCAAAAGAUUGUCGUGGAUGGGUUAAGUCCACAUUAAGUUCUUUUUCUUGCCUUAUGACCAAGGACUUUCAGUUCAUAGUCUUGUAUGUUCAAGUGAGGGAAGUCCAAAUCUCCUUAAGUCAUCUACUCGGUUCUUGAUUGGUUUUUAAUGAAGGCAUAUUCAUUUAGGUAACCAGAUGCGAGCACAAACGAGACUCUUAAAAUAGGAAAACAGAUGGAUAUGACUUGAAUACAUGAUGGAGAAUACAUUAAGUAGUAGAUUUAUUAACUUAUAAAACAAACAAAGAGCUUUGAGCAAGAUUUCACCUUGUCGGGCAAGGUUGAACUUCUUGCAAUCACUUCUCUUUUGAGUUUACAAGGUUUAUUUGCUAAGAAGGGAUGAAUGGUAAACAAGUUUACACAAGAGAAUCGAUACUACGCCACUAGGGGUGAUAACAGAGCUUCUAAACUAGACAAAAGAUGGCUUUUGUGGGGAAUGAUCAUGAAAAGAUGGCUAACUACAGCUUUUAGAUGCAAAUCCGGCUUGAGAUAAGAGUUUGUAUGAUUGGUUGAGUGUCAUUGUCUUUGGGGCCUCUUCUUCCUUUUAUACACAGAUUAGCCCGACUAUUGUAGCUUUGCUCUUGCCCAAAAGUAAUUGAAGGGUAGUGAGUCAUCAACUUUUUACUUGUAUUGCCAUUAAAAAGUGCUUUUUGGCUAAUUAUGGGUUAGUCCCCAUCACUUGACACUUAAAUCAUAGGCACAUGACCAAUGCAUUAAUGAGAAGGCGCCAAUUUAUCUCUGGGCUUGAUGCUGGGCUUUGGGCAAGUCUUCCUUUAAUUGGUGUUUUUGCUUCUACACACUUGCAGCCUAAAGUUCAAAUAUUAACCCAAACAAAACUUCUAACCCACGAUCAUAGUGGUCACUCCUCACACCCCAAGCCAGAUCCCUCGAUUGGAUGCAGCUAAUGAAUCUCUCUCUACAAAAGGGACUAGCAUCUUCCCUAAAAGCGUCAUGGAAGACCGAAGUUGUAGAGGGCAGAGAUGUCUCCGAGUUGCUUGGAGAUUUUGAGGACGAAGCCGAGCUUGUAGUUGAGUGUUGGCCUACAUGUCGGACUCCGGCAAUGGUGGUAGAAACUUCAGAGUCUGAGCCCGAAGCGUGGCUGGCUCCAACAAAGAAAAAGAUGCGGGCACAAACUUCCACAGCUUCAAAGUCUUCUACACCAGUGGCUGAGGUGGGUAGGGAGAAACGGAAAGCUUUUAGUAAGUAAUCAUUGCUUCAUUUUAUUCACAACUUCAUGAUGAGAGUUGACAACUCUCUUUUCUUUGAUUCCAAGGCCCCAAGUGACUAAAAAGCCUACCAUCGCUUCAAGGGAUGACCCAUUGCGGGCUGAGAUGUCUCAAAAAGCAAAAAAUCUGCAAGAUUUCACCCUGGAGGAACUUGAGGUACAUCUUGCAUAUUAAAUUUUAUUCCAUUGGGUUCUUCCCUUUUCCUUCUUACUCUCCUCCAUACUAUCUGCCUAUUUUCUGAUUUAGGCCAUAAGGGAAGGAAAGAUCUCUCCGCCCGAGGCCUCCUCACCUCCAGCCCGAAUGGUACAAACUUCUCCCCCUCAGGCUAAGUCUUCAAAGGUAUAUCUUUUCUCUUCUUUUAGACUUGUAUCUUUAACAAUCCCAGAGUUCUAACACUCGAUUUGUACUUUCGUAGGCCAAGGUUGGAGAGGUUGCUUCCUCACUGGGCAUAGUUUUACCUUCAUUCUUCCAGCCUCUCUUCCACUGGUGGUGGCUCCUACUUCCUAGUUUGAUCCAAGCACUGCAAAGUUGUUACACUUUGUAGAAGAUAAUAGUCGCCCAGUAAGUACUUCCAUUAUCCUUUUUAUGUUCAGAGUUCCUUUUUUUCUUCCUUACUUAUCAUCUGUUGCCAUUUGUAGCCUUCCUUAUCACAGACAUCUCACCAACCAGCCGUGUUUGCUUUUGGAGAACCCGUAGUCCCUGAGAUCCCUGUGGUUUCAGAGGUGACUAGCCUGAGGGCUUCUCGGGCAGAGUCUCUUGAUGUAGUUGUUUCUGAAUUACCUAUUUCUCAACUUCAAGUAUAUCAUUAUCUUAAACUUUCGCUUCUUGUUUUCUGCAAAUUGUCUUUUUGACACUUGUUCUCUUUGAUGUCUAAAGGCCUCAGGUAAAGGCCCAGGCAUUAUUCCUUCCUCCUUAACAACCAAAAAUGGUCCCUCUCCACAACUAAAGGAAACAACUCUUCCUCCAUCUCAUUCCUUGGCUCCGAGCUCAACCCAGGUAUAUUGUCCUUACUUGUCUCGCCUUCCGCCAUUCUGAAUCAUAAAUUAUUUCCUUAAUUUUUCUCCAUUGGUUGCAACAGGGCUUUGGGGAAGGCUCAGGCAAGUCUUCACCACGCUUGGUGCACAAAAUAGAACUCCCUCGACCUUCUUUAGCUUCUAGGGUCAUAGGGAUUCCUAUCCCAAGGCCGAAAAAGAAGACUAAGACCAUAACUGCUUCUAUCUCUCAGGUUCCUCCCUCGGUUGAAACUUCCUCCAUUGCUGCACCCUCUGAAGUAGCUGGAGUACGACCUUCUUCUCCUGUACCGGUUCCUUCAACAGUAUCUCUACCCGAGCUUUUUAAAGAAUUCGGGCAACUCAAGACAAAGUUAAGAUCUCCCAAGCAUCCAGGCAAUUCAAAACAAAGCUAAGAUCUCCCAAGCAUCCAUCUGAAUCUUCAGGCCUCCAAGAUCAACGCCGAGUCUUCCGAGAAUGGUUUAGAAGGGAUUUCUCAGCAUCCUUUAGCCUCAAGGCCCUCCAUGAUGUAGAGAAAGUAGUGACCGACAUUUUCAAGGCCGAUCAAUUAUCAAAAGUUCAGUAUGAGUCAUUUAUCUCAUAUUUUGAAAACUUGAAGGCUCUUAGAAAUCAGCAUAGUCGGGCUGAGAGGCAAACCAAUUGAGUAAGGUGCUUCAAGGAGAAACAAUCUAGUACUUUAACUCAAAUUUAGCAGCUAAUAAAUAAAGGCUCAGCCACGGAGGAGAAGAUCAAGAUGGUCUCUUCCAAUAUCCAGAAGUUAGAGGAGCAACUUGCUGUGUUGAAGGCUGAACAUGCGACUCUCAUUGGCAAGCUUCAGCAGCAAAUUGAAGGAGUAAAAAAGGCCAACAUGGAACUUGAAGACGCCGAAUCUCAACUUAUCAAUAGCAGCAUUGUUUUGACGGAGCCUACCAAAAUUUUCGCGCUCAUGUAGACUUAUUACUCCAGAAUAAUUACUCUGGGUGAAGAUGUACAUCUGUUAGGCUAUGAUCAAAUAUAAUCUUUUCUAAAAUAUACUUCUUUUCAUCUUGACUUGUAUCACUUUAAAUUGAAAUUCUUAUUGCCUUUUUUACUUCACCUCUUUUUUGAAAUCAUUAACUUUGUUUAAUAUAACGAUUUCUAACCCUCAAACAGUUGGAUGUCACCUCUUUAAACACUUAAUACUAACUGGAUGUCUUUGUAAGUUUUCUCUAAAUUGGUCGAUUAAUAUUUCCCUUUAUCUUGUGUUUUUCUCUCUUCCACACACCAAUAGUCUUUUGAUUAAGUACCUGACUGCAACUACCUGGUCAUUUCUUCUUUGUUCUGACAUUACUGGUGUUGGGAAAAUAUGGGGUCGGUCCCAUUCUUCCCUUGUAAGGAACAACCUUUGUUCCAAAAGCUUUUGGGCCGUCACCUUAGUCGGGCGGUCGUUCUCAUCAGCUCCUAAACACUGGAGAAUCUCAAUGCUAGGAUUAUAAAAAUUGACUUUUGCAACAUUGGUAGUGGGAAGGAAUGGCCGUGACUCGGCCUCUACCAUCUCCCAAAAUCCAGGUCCCAUAGCGCAUUCUUCGUGAUAAACUGCUACUUGUUGAUGUAGGGUGGAUGGCACCGAGAGACUUUGAUGAAUCCAAUCUCGGCCUAGUAAAGCUCCAUAUGUGGAAGUACUAUCCACAACGAAGAAAUCUAACAUGAUUUGCUUGAAACCCAAGUUAACCUCAAAGGGUCAUAUCCCAUGGGUUUUAAUGAUGGCUUCAGAGUAAGUGGAAACUGUUAAGUCCGUGGGGAUGAGGUCCUCCUCAUUUCUACAUACCCGCUUCAUCUGCUAAAGGGCAACACAUUGACCGCGGCUCAUCCAUCAAUCAAAACCCUCUUGAAGGGCACUCCCUCCAGAUGAGCAGUUACAUAAAUGGGCUUGAGAUGGUUGGCUAGGGUCAAACUCGGAUGACUGAAGACAAUCAUGUAUGUGUACACUCUCUCAGGCUUUCUCUUUGUGGGCUCGGGCACAUCUACUCUGCCCGAUUCCUCUUUUCCCACCUCUUCAACACUAACAUGUGCCAUCAUCGGUUCCGUUGCUAAGUAGUCAUCCUCCAUUAUGGCAGGUUGAUCAUGUUUCAGCACAAAACAUGGCGGAUAAAACAUAUUUUAUGUUUACGUGGAAGUUGCUAGGUUAAGAUAAGUUCUCAUUUUUGCCCCCAAUGCGGCUCAUGAACUCAUCUAACCAGGCCUGCGCUUCUUCUGGCAGCAUCAGCUCAGGCACCCUUUCUUCCCAGGUUAUGCUAAAGUUUGGGAUUUGUUGUGGAGCAUCGCAAAGAGUAUCAACCAACAAUGGUGCGGGCAACCCUCUCUCAGGUGAGAUAGUUCCAAAGCAUAUUGGUUCUAGGCUCCACCUUGGGGUUGGCAUCAUUACUAUAUCCUGUUGAGCUCUCUUAAAGAUUUUGUGUUUCCCAGGAUGGGGGUUCUAUGGCACAUGGUCUUCUUCCCUUUCGAUCUUGCUAUUAGACUUUUUCACCUCCUUCUUGGUUCUCCAAUGGAGUUGAUUUCUUCCAUCAACGAGUACUUUCUCAAACUUUACAUUCUCUGAGGUUUAUAAGGCAGUUGGGACUUUCAAUGAGUUCAUGUGGGCUUUAUGUUGCCUCUGGACUCUCCUAAUCAUGGAGGCUCUCAUUUCUUUAACGGGUCUCCCAUCAUUUCCGACCACAUACCAUUUCCUCCCGAGUCGGGCAUGAUUCUUCUUCGUGACUGGAUUCACAAUUCUACCCUUAACUCUGACAUCUCCACCAGCAUAGCUUGGUUGGGGUGGCCUCACAUCCACCCAUCUUGGCACCUUGGCCUCUUUGUCGUCCACCUCUUCAGAAGCUUCGUAAUUUCUGAAUACUUAUGACAAACCCUUUGGUUGGGAAUCUCCUUCCAACCUUUGGAAAACAUUCCUAGAGGUCUCUCAUUCAGCUGCCCACAUAACAUUUUUGCGUGCUUCCUGCUCUUAUUUCUUUCUUAUCUUGAUCAGCUCUUGAUCAAUAAUGGCUCCUAGUGCUGGGACUUCCAGCUCGUACUCACAUUGGCAUCUACUGCACAAUAUCACUCCCUUGAUUAUGGCCGCCUUGGGUUUCUCGGGCAACUUGAUGGCUCCAUUGGUUGGCCUAUCAACUUGCCUCCGUUAUGCUUUCACCUCACAUGUAGCUUUUCCUUUUCCCUUCUUAGCCCACGUCAAGUUGAUCAUGUUUAUUGGUACUUCUGGGAAGGGGUCAGAGUCAAUCAUCAUGUUGGCCUACGUUUCUCCAGCAACAACUUUCCUUUUAAUAUAAGGUCUUGUAUCCAAUCCCUGAUCUGGACAGAGUUGGUUAUAGAGUGAUUGAAAGUGUAAUGCAGCUUGCAAUAUUUUUUCCUUCUCAGUUCUCCGGCCUUGGGCAGUUUUUUGGCAUUGUCAGACACGAUGACUCUUGCUUGAACCAGCUCCUCAUAAAUCUCCGCUGCCUUGGUUAAAUUAAAGGAAUAACUCUGGUACUUGGGGGGUUUCAUGAGGAGCAAUCCACCAUCAUUCGUGACCACUUUCUAGUCUUUAAUUGGCUGUACUAACCCCUUUACAGUCAAAGGAUUAAAUGGGGUAGUCAUCUCUGCUGCGCAUACGUCCAUUCUCUCUCCUUCAUGACAUUAUUCUCUUCUGGCUUUCCUUCAAACUCCACUUGGUGAAUGGCAGCUUUGCUCUUAUAGAAAAGAGGCACCUUAGAUGAGUGCUUUACUUACUAUUCCUCCAGCAACAGCCUCUCAUACUUGUUGGUCGCAAUCACUAACUCAUUCAGCUCAUUGAAUUGUACAUCAUAAAACUUCUUCAUCAAAGACAAUCUUAACGCCCUCUGAGCAAUGGAUAUGAGAUGUGCAUGAUUUAUGGGGAACCGUCACCUCAUCCUCGUCUUCCUAAACCUCAUCAUGAAGUCUUCUGUAGACUCAUGCUCGUACUGCUUCGCCUUCACAAGGUCAUUGAUAACCAUCUCAGGUUUAACCCUGUAAAACUGCUCAUGGAAUGCCAUCUCCAUUUGCCCCCCAAUUGGCAAUAGAAUUAGAGGGCAACAAAGAAUACCACUGAGAUGCUAAGCCCACCAAGGAGUUCCCAAACAAUCUCAACUUGUAGUUGGGAUUGUCUUCAAAUGCCACACAGUGAUUAAAGAACUUGAAAAUAUGAUCUCUAGAAGACACAUUGCCAUCUUCUCCGCUGAAUGUUGGGAAUGCGGGCAUCUUGAAGUUGACUAGAAAAAGGUUUUGCUCGUCAACGUACUCAGGAUAAGGCUUCUGAUAAGUGCUCCUAAACAGCGGGCGAGCUUGUGGCUGAUCAUUCCGGGCCACCAUCCUCCUCAACUCGGCUAACUCAUCCCUGAGCUGUUAGUGAGUUGUAUUAUCAGGAAGAGUAUGAAGAGGUUCCUAUUUCGGGCUACGAUCAUUGCCCGAGAACGUCUUUUUUCUUGGCUCAGGCUUUCUCCACCUAGCAUCCCCUCCCUUACUGGCUAAUGACGAGGGCCUAUAAGGAAGAGGCUUGUCUGGCUUGGUAGGCUUGCCUUUUCCACUGGAUUUCCCAAUCAACUGGGGCCUCCCAUACUUCGUUCUUUCUUGCUCGCUCUACCCCUACUAUUAAGUGGAAAUAGUGAAGGGUCGGGCAACUCCACUUCUAGGAUUUCCUCCAAAACUGGCCCACUAGUGCCAGAUUCAUCAUUGUUUUUAUGUUUACCAUUCUUCCCCCUGACUUCUCAGAUGAGGUUGGGCUUCUCAAAACAGUUGGUCCUUGUAAAGAGGGAACGUUCUCUAGGCGGUCUGCCAUGUUUGAUUUUGGUAGUUAUUGGGGUAGCUUGUACUCUGUGUUCCACCUGAAGGUUUUCUCCUUCCUUCUUCUUCUUGACAUACAAGACUAAUGUGAUCUCACCGGGCAUGCCAAAACUAUGUUUGGGCGAAGAUUUCUUCGGAGAUGGCUCAUUGGCUCUCAGCACAGCUCCCCAAGGGAUUGGCACUUUGGAUAUGUAGUCGGGCUCUUGCUUGUAAGAAGAGGAUAGAGUUAGUUUUGAAAGGUGCCUUUGUAGGGCCUUACGUGUAAAACUUAAGGCUCGCAAUCAAAACUAACUAAAUGCUAGACGUGCCACUGUUAUCUCAAUAUAGCAGAUGUAGAACAAAUGUGUUUUAGUCGAUUACUUGCGCCCCAAGUUACUCGGACUUCUUGUUAUUAAAGGAUUGUCGUGGAUGGGUUAAAUCCACAUUAAGUUCUUUUUCUUGCCUUGUGACCAAGCACUUUCAGUUCAGUUUUGUAUAUUCAAGUAAGGGAAGUCCAAAUCUCCUUAAGUCAUCUACUCGGUUCUUGAUUGGUUUUUAAUGAAGGCAUAUUCAUUUAGGUAACCAGAUCCGGCACAAAUGAGACUCUUAAAGUAGGAAAACAGAUUGAUAUGACUUGAAUACAUGCUGGAGAAUACAUUAAGCAACAUAUCUAUUAACUUAUAAAACAAAGAAAGAGUUUUGAGCAAGAUUUCACCUUGUCGGGCAAGGUUGAACUUCUUGCAAUCACUUCUCUUUUGAGUUUACAAGGUUUAUAUGCUAAGAAGGGUUGGAUGGUAAACAAGUUUACAUGAGAGAAUCGAUACUACGCCACUAGGGGUGAUAGGGCUGAUUACAGCUUUUAGAUGCAAAUCUGGCUUGAGAGAAGAGUUUGUAUGUUUGUUUGUUUGAUUGGUUGAGUGUCAUUGUCUCUAAGGCAUCUUCCUCAUUUUAUAGGCAGAUUAGCCCGACUGUUGUAGCUUUGCUCUUGCCCGAAAGUAAUUGAAGGGUAGUGAGUCAUCAACUUUUUACUUGUAUUGCCACUGAAAAGUGCAUUUUGGCUGAUUAUGGGUUAGUCCCCAUCACUUGACACUUAAAUCAUAGGCACAUGGCCUAUGCAUUAAUGAGAAGGCGCCAAUUUGUCUCUGGGAUUGAUGCUAGGCUUCGGGCAACUCUUCCUUUAAUUGGUGUUUUUGAGCUUCCACACACUUGCAGCCCAAAGUUCAAAUAUUAACCCAAACACACUGUCUCACAGAUCAAGUCAGAUUGGGCAUGAGAAGGGCUGAAGGUCCAUCAGGAAAAAAAAAAAACCCCUUCAUCUCUGUGUGUUUGCUACAAGUCUGUCUGUAUGUCGUCAAGUCCAAUAAAAUGUUCAUCUUUUCCUGUAAAGAAACAGUGAAGAUGCCAAGCUUGAUGAGGGUUUUAACUUUGGGAAAAAUAAUCAUUAUUAUAAUAUUAUGACAUGGACACACUAGAUCUAUAGACUCUAGCAAACCACCAAUUAAAACACGACAUCUAAUUUGAGGUGCUAUUUCGGUUUCGGUGCGAUUUUCAAAAGCCAAAACCAAAACCAAAACCAAACUGUUUCCUACACUGCGGUUCGGUUUCCAAACCACAACCGUUUCAAAACUGCAAAACCGAACCAUUUGGUGCGGUCCGAUUUGGUUCAUGUUUGGGUUUUGGUUUUCGGUUUCAAGUGCCCACCCCUAGUACUAAGUGGCUUAUCACAUAAGUUUUAUGUAAAGUGAUUAAACAAUUUAGCAUGUGUCAGUUUACUAGAGAUUCUUUCGAAGGACUAUGAGAGAUACAACUCACGAUCCAGGAAGGAAGUCGAAUCUAAGACAGUGAAGAGGAAUAUUACUAGACCAUAUUAAGUGGCAUCAUAUCUUCUGAAUUUUUUAAAAUCGACUUUACUAGAAACAACAAACUCACUCAUAGUUUUGGCCUAUCAAUUACAUUCUUCAAUGUACAACCCCUCACUCCAACUUUCUCAGAAACCUGUUUGUAGCCUAACAGGGGUUCCUUCAGAAAAUCUGAAUUCAAAGGAAGGACAUUGCACCACUGCCCCGUCAACGUUUUUGAUGAUUCAAAUAUCCCUUAAAUUUUAGGGGUCCAUAUUUUUUUAUGGUCAACGUUAGGCGUCCAGAUGAUGGGCAAUUUAUCAAUUUGGAUAUCAUUGAGGACUGAAUUCGGAUGCAUAAGGUCUAAGCAAGAAGUACAGACAAAUCAUUCCAAUGCAAUUUACACUCAUUAAACAAAUACAGUUGAAUCUGAUUCUCACGGAUGCAUGGUUAAUUACCUUAACGCCUUUCAAGCAUUUCACUCAGAAAAAAGAAACAACUAUCAAAAUUGUGCAUGACGUCGAUUAAGAUAAGAUACAUGAGUUAAGAAAAGACACGUCCUAUUUGCAUAGUUCAUUUACCAGGUAAAGAAAGUACCUCAUCUCAUAACCGGUUUCCAGCUUCCUUGGAUAAACGGAUGUUCUUUGAGACUGCAUCGCACUCACUGGAGUUGCUUGUUUUUGCUUGUUUCCUCUAGAUGAAAGGAUAGUCAAAUUCAUGAUUGCACACAAGCGAUGUUUGGUCAAUAAGGUUGCUUUAAUCCAACCAAAUCUCUCUCGUAGAUGAGACGCACCCCACACCUCUUCACCUCCAAACCAGGGCCUAAGGUUUUAAAUGUAAACUCAAGGUGAUGACAACUGUCUUGCCAUGUUGUACCAAAGUAUUCACCAGAUACAACGGAUAGCCAAAUGUGCUCUUUCUCAAUUUGCCCUAAUUCUUCGCUGCAGGCGAAGGAAGGACACCAGCCACCUACACCCAAAUUCCCAGGCUUAACUUCGCAACGAAGACCAUGUGCAGUGGUAUGGGUUCCGUAGUUCCAUUUGCCAAGCAGAUUAGGUGGGAGUCGUCGACGGAGAGUGAAACAGCACACAAUGCAUAUCCCAUCCACUCGUUCUUGUACCAGUGUUGAGGGAGCUCCACGCUUACCACAGGCCUCUCACUUCGAUAACUAAACCACUCAGAAAUUUCACUGCCAGGAUAUAUAGCUUCAAAUUUAUUCCCUACGUAAGGGAUUCCCUAUAUAAUACAAAAUUACAAAUAGUGAAGUCAAACAAUUGAUACGACCGUCUUAUAAAUAAGUACAAAAUGCUUUUAGUUUAUUUUAUUUUUUCUGUGUGUGUGAGAGAGAGAGAGAGAGAGAACCUCAAGAAUAAAUCGCAAUAGGAGAACAAUAACUCUGUAGAAUACAAAACCCAACUAUUAGGUAGUAAAUCACCCCUGUUAGUAGCAGUAAGCAAAGAAAGACAUAAUGAAUUCCAAUAACUAGAAGGAAUAGAAUUAAAAGUAACCAUAGGUUCAUAAAUGCAAACCAAUCCGAAUGAUGGGAAAGGCAAACAUUGGAAAGCUCCAUAUGCGUAUCUGUUUGGGCCCAAAAUAAUAGUUUGGGCUGAGGGUAGGAUCACUCUCGGCCCAGGAGGCCGUGCGGCGAAAGGGCCAUGGAUCGUUCAGCUCAUGGGCUUCCAAGCCUAGGUCGGUUAAAUCAGAACGCAAGCCGAGUCCUAGUACAAUAGGGACUCUCGACAGGAUCAGUAAUCCAGAAAGCGAAUCCGGCUCAGUUAAGGACUAGAUUCGUAGUCCUAGUGGAGAUAGGAUUGGUCGAGGUGAUGUUGAUCCAGGGAGGGAAACCUAGUCCGAAUAGGAUUGUAACUCGGGCUCGAGGACCAGCACUAUAAAUAGAGGAAGCUGUGCAUUAAGGAAGGACCCCUGCAAAUCAAUACAAAAUUGCCCUGCGCAAAUUCUCACAACUUGUGAUUUUUCUUUUUCCUUUUUCGCUGACACAUCUUCCGUUGGCAUCAACAGCACUGUGGAAGCAACCGGUGAUAUCUUAAGUCGGCAUAGAUAGCUCUGUCACCGUAGAAUCAAUCGGUCUCGCAGUAUCUACCGUUGGCAUCAACAGCACUGCGGCGAGAACGGUUGAUUACCUAUCCAAGUCUCGGUCGAGAAGGGUUUCUGAACCCUUAUUGGUCGAGGUCAUCUCAUCAGCCUUCUCGGCGAAGUGAGGUGUUACACGUUAUUACAUUCAGCAUAUUGAAAGCCGAAUUUGAUAUUGAACUUCGUAAGAAUAGUAACCUUGUCUUCAGGUUCGAGAGCCCAAGAGGCCGAGACGUGUUCCUUUCUCGGCCGCAAUCGCAAGACGUAGAAGUCAGCCGCGCACCCAACGCAACAUCAACAAAUUUACUCCUCGGCCGAGCUCGGCUGACGAGUUGGCACGCCCCGCAUUCACCGAAGGACGUAGUUAGCUCAUUAAUUACUCGACCUGCGCGCCACGUAGGCUUUGUAGUUUUUAGGGUCAAUAUUUUGGCACGCCCAGUGGGACCCAGUGCUAAACUACGAAGUUCAUGCCAAUUGAAACAUGAUCGGUAAAAAAGAAAACAACUAUGGGAAAGUCGACAGCCGAUUUGCCGAAUCAAAGCCUGGGACAAAGUGUGCUGCAGGCGCAGAAUCCCCUUAGCGCUGUGACACCUGAGUCCAUGAGCGCGACUCGCCGAGAGAGAGAAGUUAAUCUCGGCAGUCAACUACGCGGUCUAGAAAUCCCUAACAGGAACACUUGCGUUCUCACUGAAGGGAUAGUAGAGGAGUGCGACGAGGAUGGUGGUGAAGGAUCUGAUCCACCAACAAGGUCGUUUCUUCGAAAACGACUAGACGAGCAGUCUCGGUCAGUCGAGCAGACGUUUAGUCGAGGCAUUGACAAGCUGCAUGAGGUGAUACUCAGUUCCAAUGAGCGACAAACCAGGCUGCUCGAGAUGUUGGUUAGUAAAGUCAGUGGCAGCAAGCCUUUUGACCUUCUUCAGCAUUCCACCAGGGAACAAUCCGAUACCAAUUGUACCGACCGAGCCUAUUCCUGCUCAGCUCAAACCAAUUGACUUGGAAAAAGAAGGAGGGUCGAAUAGUAGGUCAGACGGAACCGACCAGAGGGUCGAAGCAACACCUGUUGAUAUGACCGAAGUUCAGCGGAUGAUCGACUCGGCCAUGAAGAAAGGGCCGAAGUUUCCUAAGUUUAUUCAUCCGUACUCGGCUUACAUGGAAACGUUUGGAUACCCGAAAGGUUUCAAGAUCCCAGAUUUUAGUCUUUUUGCCGGUGAGUCGUCCCUGUCUUCGUUGGAACACGUGGCUCGUUUCACCGCGCAAUGCGGAGACGUUAAUAGUGAUUUCCAUAAAUUACGGUUGUUCAACUUUUCAUUGACCGGCUCAGCGUUUGCCUGGUAUAUCAAUCUCCCUCCUAAUUCCGUCCAAAACUGGGAGGAGUUGGUAGAGAAAUUCCACGAGCAGUUUUAUCGGCCAGGGAUGGAGAUGUCAGUUUCUUCGCUAGCACGGAUGGCUCAGGCAUCUGAUGAGUCACCAAUGGAUUAUCUUACCAGGUUUAAAUCGGCCAGGAAUUGGUGCCGGGUGUGAUAGGAGCAUUUUUAUGCAACUUAAUUGGCUUGUUCUCAUGCAUUUAUGUUGUUUUUCCUUAGUUAGUUUAGUGUUUAAAGUCAUUUCGUGCAAUUUCAGGUUUUAUUGUCAAAGUAUGCAAAAAUGAGCAUUUUGGAGCUUUUAGGAGCAAAAUUGGGCUUGGAAUGAAGUGCAUAUGCAUGGAGCAAGGAGUUUGGACGAAUUUGAAGUCAAAACAUCAAAUAAACAUGCUAAAAAUCUGGUGAAACAAAUACAAGUUGCAAGAAGGGAUAGGUUUCUAGAAGGAUUGACCAAAAUUCCACUCAAAACCAUGUUCACACCCCAGAAAUUCAUCUUUGCCGUGCAUCCUUGACUCACUUCCACCAGAUUUUUGAGUGGAUGAUUCAACACCUACUCUUUAUUGCUUUUACUUUGCCAUAUUUGCCAUGUUUGCUAGUUGUGUUAUUUGCUUGUUUUUAUGUGAGUCUAUGUUUGAAACAUUGAGGACAAUGUUUGGUUUAAGUGUGGGGGGGUGAACAAAGUGUUUUUGUUGCAAAAUUCGUGGGAUUUUACCACCUAACAUUUCAAAGGUUGUUUUUCAUUGUUUUUUUUAGUGUUUUUAGAAUGUUUUGAUGUGUUUUUAUGUGGCUUUACCAGAAAAUACGAAAAUUCAAGAAAAAAUUAGAAAAAUUUUGAAAAAACCCAAAAAGAGUUGUUUUUGUGUGUUUGUUUGUGUCUUAGGGUACCUUCCAACACAAUGAUGAGGAUUUGGUUUUUAAUUGCAUGACUGUUAAAGAGAGUUAUAAGCAUGGAUGAAAGUUUGAUUUACUCUUGGUUUAUGCUUGGUUGUGGUUAUAACUUAUGAAUUCACAUGCAAUCUUAAAGGAAAAAUCAGUUUUUGUUUGUAACAUGCUUGAAGGAAGCAACUCAAAUUAACACUACAACCUUGUGAGACUUGAGCCUAAACGUUUAUUUGGAGAGUUAUUAAUCUGUGCAUUCUUGUUUUCUAAAGUCGUUGCAUGAUCUCAUUAUUCUUUGCUUGGUUGCUACUUAGAAUGCGUUUCAUCACUUUAGUUCCAAAUGCUAGAACUCAUGCCAAUUUCAUUCAAAACAUGUUAUUGAAUUGCAUAACACAUAACAAGAUGAAGUUGUUUAGUAGUUACCACCAUAGCCAAAAAGCCUUCAUUCCAUACAUUUGUUUUUGUAGGUUUAACCCCGUUGAGCCUUAUUUAGCCUAUAUUGUUUGUUAACCCACGUUAUCCUUACCUAGCCUAGAUUAGGAUCAUCCAUACCCUUGUUCUUAAAGCAUAGUAAGCAUGACGUAAAAUGAAUUCCUUUUGAUUGAGGGUGUGCAGAAAACAAGUGUGGGGGAAGUGUUUUUCAUGAAGAAUUGUGUGCCAUAGGCACGGGUAGAAAGAAAGAAAGAAGAAAAGAAAAAUGUUGUGAAAAGUGAGAAAAAGAGUUGAAAGAGCAUGAAAAUGAGUUCUAAGGUGUGGAUUGUUGAAGAAGGGGUCCAAAACAUUGAAUUUGACCCUAAGUGUUGCAUGAAUUUCCCCUUUGAGUUUAAAAGUUGAUUCUUGCACCCAAAAGUGAAUUCUAAGUGUCAAUUUCAAUGCUUUGCUUACUAUUGUUUUAAGAACGUUUGUUUAUCCUUCACCUUUCUUAGCCAAUAUCCCAAGCCCCGUUACAACCCUCAACUUCUAUCUUGAGUGUUGUGUAUUUCAAUUUGUGGAGUUUGGGAUUGGUAUGAGCAUAUGGUGUCACUGGUUCUCGCGUCUAAGUAGUAGCAUUCUUUUCAUGUGAUCAUAUACAUUCUUAUCAAAUUCAGAAAAAACUUUCCUUGUUAUAACAUAUGUGAGCAUUCGUUUUCAUAUCUACAUCAAUCCUCUCACAUAUAACUAGCAUAGGGUGUGUAGUCAGAAAAUCUGUGCGAAAAUUGAGUGCAUAUCUAGUAAGGAAUUGAGCAAAUUCUCUAAGGCAUGUUGCUACAUUCAAAAUCAUGUUUUAAUUGGUUAGAUGCGAACGAGUACGUAGUGACUAUAAUUAAGUAUGUGCUUAAGUGUAAAGAUGGCUAAAAUCUGUGGGAAUGAUGAUCUUUAACAUGUUAUGUGCAUUGGAAAUCCCUAAGGCAAACGUUGGAAGGUUUAGGUUGUUUUUGUUUGUUUGGUUUCGUUUUGUUUUUCUUUUGUUUCUUUGUUUUGCUCGAGGACUAGCAAAAGCUAAGUGUGGGGGAAUUUGAUAGGAGCAUUUUUAUGCGACUUAAUUGGCUUGUUCUCAUGCAUUUAUGUUGUUUUUCCUUAGUUAGUUUAGUGUUUAAAGUCAUUUUCGUGCAAUUUCAGGUUUUAUUAUCAAAGUAUGCAAAAGGAGCAUUUUGGAGCUUUUAGGAGCAAAAUUGGGCUUGGAAUGAAGUGCAUAUGCAUGGAGCAAGGAGUUUGGACGAAUUUGAAGUCAAAACAUCAAAUAAACAUGCUAAAAAUCUGGUGAAACAAAUACAAGUUGCAAGAAAGGAUAGGUUUCUAGAAGGAUUGACCAAAAUUCCACUCAAAACCAUGUUCACACCCCAGAAAUUCAUCUUUGCCGUGCAUCCUUGACUCACUUCCACCAGAUUUUUGAGUGGAUGAUUCAACACCUAACAUCCACUUCUUGCUGUGCAUUCUUGAUUGUUUUCCCACCAGAAAAUUGAAUUAAACAAGUCCAUCCUCUCCCUAUAAAUACCCAUGGCAGCAACCUUAUUGAGGACAUCCAGAAAUUAACCAUUCUCCAAGCCUUGCCUUGCCUCUCCCUACAUAUCCAAACUCCUUCCCAUCCAUUCCUCCACCACAGCCGUGCCUUCCCACCACCAUCACCACCUUAUGCAGCCACCAUUGGAGGAGAAAGAAGUAGUGCCAUGCAGUCCAAAGGAGGAAGACACCUUGCACAUGCAAUCUGCCAUUAGUGGAGUGUUUGGAGUUCUUUCUUUUCUUGUUUCUGUUUUCAUGUUUAAUUUAACUUGCUUUCCAAUUAUGUUAAACAUGUGGAACUAAUUUCUUUUUAGUUAGAGGUGAAUUUGAAGCCAUGGACAUAUGUUGGUUAUGAUUUGAUUUACUCCAGUUAUGAAUUCAUGAACUUUAAAUGUGGUUUACUUUUCUGUUUUGAUUAAGAACUUGUUUAUGUAUGUAGGUUGAGGGUCGACACUUAAUUUGCAUGCCUAAACUUGAUACUAGGAUAUAAGGGAAUUUCACCUAAUCGUUAUGAACUUAUAUUCAUAAGUAGUAAAGAUCGCUAGUCACGAUUGUGUUAAGUAAACCCUAGGUUGGAUUAACAUGCGUAUUCCAUAGUUAUGAAUGCCUAGUCGAUGUUUAUGAUUUCCGUUGAACUUAAUGAUCUUUGUUGAAUGUCUCUAUCAUGCGUAUUCCAUAGUUAGGGAUUUUGAUGAGGAAUAAUUUGGUUGCGAUGCGUAUUCCAUUCAAUCCAAUGAAUCUAGGGAAAUCGGAAAGUUAAUUUAAGCGGACCUAAUUAACUUGGAGCAUUGUCAUUCAUCGUUUGUUGAAGUCAUAACUGGGAGUCAAAUUGUAUGCAUAUGUUCAUGUGUGGAUAAGGAACCCUCUAACUAGCUUCUCACCAUUCUAUUUAAUCAAAAUCUGUUUUAGUUUGCUUUGAUUUGCAAUUUGUUUAGUUUUAAUUCAAUUUCGUCAAAAAUCAAUCCCCCAUUUAUUUUAAAGUAUUAAAUUAGUUAGAAAUCAAUUUAGUGUUAGGUACUCAAAACUGCCCAGAAAGUGCUUUGAGUCAAGUUAUAGUCCAAAUUCGUCCAAAUUAGUGUUAGGUACUCAAAACUGCCCAGAAAGUGGUUUUAAGGCAGUUUUGAGCCUUUUAGUUGCUGUUUUGAGUUUUUAGUUUGUUUAGGUGUUUUAAACUCUAGUUUUACAUUAAUUAAGUCUAGUUUAGUGUUCUACAUUAUAUUUUUUAUGUUCUUGAGUCAGUUUUACAUUGAUUAGCAUCCCUAGUUAAUCCCCGGUCUAGAACGAUCCCUAUUUGCUCAUAUACUACAAUUGUCAUCCAUAGGGUUUAAUUUGUGUGUCAAGUUAAUUUUCACAUCAGGGUGCCUUUACCCGAAGUCGAAUUUGUCAGGCUUGCUUUGAACAGCCUCAACGUCGAAUACAAAAAGAAAUUCUUGGGGGCGAACUUUCGGGAUAUGUACGAAUUAGCCCAACAUGUCGAACAUUAUGAUUAUUUGCUCCGCGAGGAAAAGACUUCGAAAGCUCCAACUCGGGGGACGAUUUACAAGAAUCCUACUGUCAAUUAUGCAUCAGCCGAGGAUGAAUGUGUUAGUGUGGAUGCAGCUGAGAUAGUGAUCGAUAAGCCAUACGUUUGCAAGGCAUUGACUCAGGUUGAUUCUAGAAAAGCCAAAAGUCCCUCGGCCACUGAAGGAACAUCAAAAUCGUUAAAGGUUUACACUUUUGAUAUUACCAAGGCGGACGCAAUUUUUGACCAACUGUUAUCAGCAAGAAUCAUCAAGCUUCGGCCUGGUCACGACAUUUCUAAGGCCGAAGAACUUAAAGGAAAGGUAUAUUGCAAAUACCACAAUUCGAGCAAACAUACGACAAACAAUUGCGUCGUAUUUCGCGACAACGUCCAAAGCUGGAUUGAUAAUGGCAAACUGAAGUUUCCCGAGAAGAAGAUGAGUGUUGAAACUGAUUCGUUCCCCACGGCAACAGUAAAUAUGGUCGAUGCGUACCUACCCAAGGACAAAGGGAAAGGCAAGGCCGAAGUGGUUGAACGCCUGCGGAAUCAGAAUUCUCGGCCACGGUUCAUGGCCGAUUUUCGUUCAAACAAACCACCCACGGCUUUAACGGGGCCCGCUAUUGUCAAACCUAUGAUGGAUUAUAGCACCGAUGAAGACAGUGGAACGGUGGUUUUGUGCAGGAAAUGUAGAGAAAAGGUCGACAGUGAACCAGAGGAGAAGCCCUCUUCGCAACCUGUGGCCGCAACCCGGCAAAAGGUAGCCAAUAAAGGCCAACAUCAUGGGGUCUUUGAGAGGCUCGGUCCUAAAGUACAGAUGGAAGAGACACCCCCAGUCAGACGGCGCCUCGAUUUUGAUGCUUCAUUCUAUGACGAUGAUUACUAUAAGCGUAAUUCUAGCAGUUCAGAAUCAUUGCGGAGCAAAAAGACCUUCAAGCCUCCCGAGCCUAGAGAUCAACGUUGGUAUACAUAUCAUUCUUCGAGGGGGGUCUACAUCGCGUUGUCCAAAUCUCAGAAACACCGGCAUCAAAGGAUAGAUUGCAUGGCCCGUCGACGAGCAGCCCAAGAAACUUUGGCCCCGAAGUGGCGGUCGAAGAACAUAGUUGCCACUGAUGAUGAGCGACCACCUCCAGCAAUUAUGACAGAGUUGGCUCAAGGGAAACGGCUGGUCGACCAAGAUGUCGAGACCACGUUUGAAGAGGCUGAUAAAUGGAUCAAACUUCUUCUUCGACCAGGGGAGAUGAAGGCACGCCUCGAGCAUUUCAAGCAAGAGGCCGAAAGAAAAUUUCCUCCGCCAGCUAUACAAGAACCUUUGAUCAGAAUUCGACGGAAUUUGCAUCCACCAUUUCUUGGGGAGGCUUUAGAAUAUAUGCGAGAAUUUCAUAAGAAACAUUCGGCCAACGAUCUGUAUGGUUUGCCGAAGGCAUGCCAGGACACCAUUGAUCUAGUCCUGACUUGUCCGGAUGCCGAGCGAAUCAUUCAGAAGACCUCAGAUCCAGGAUUGAAAGUAAGGUUCUAGCAUAUACGAAAAGCUCGUGUCCUUGGAUUUGAAGUUGACCCGUACACCGAUAUCGAUGCAGCCGACCUUCCUUUCUCAACGGAUGACCUUCAGUAUUUACGAUAUCACUUCGAAGUAUUUUCAGCUGUUUCUCUCUUCGGCCUUACGGCCGAUGAAAUCGCACGUGUUGCACGUUUCGACGCUUAUCUCAACACCAGGGAUGCCCGAUUACAAUACCAAGAGCAGGUUCAGGUUCUGAUCCCAAGUGCACCGUCAAUCUCAACCUUACCUGAGGCGGUCACGCAGGACCAACAAAUCGUCGAUGCAGCACCGCCGAAUGAAGCCAUCAAAGAAGGAACAGAAGCGUCUCGUUGUCCGACUCUGACGGCAACGGAGUCCGUAAUCGCUGACCAACCGAGCGAGGAGGGUAUUGACCCAAUGGGCCCGUCAGUCCUGGAUAAUAUGGAAAUCAGUAUGGUCCAUGUGUUACCUGCCAAUUUUCAAUCAAGCACGGCUCAACCAAAUUUCCUCGACGAAGAUGUGGUGGCCGAAGAGGCCGGCCAUGUUGAUUUUGUAUUUGUUGCUGAAGUUGAGUUAGCAACAAAAGCUGACAAUCUAAAGGCGGCUUUGGCUGAAUUGUUUCCUCGUUCAUCAUCGGCCAAACUUCGCCAUUUAAAGCCUUUGUAUGUGACGGCCCAUAUCGAGGGGUAUCCAGUUUCUAAAGUUUUCGUCGACUGUGGAGCUACCGUCAAUAUCAUGCCUCUGAACAUCAUGAAGGCCUUACGUCGCUCGACUGACGAGCUUAUUCCUUCAGGGAUCACAAUGAGUAGUUUUGUCGGCGACAAAUCCCAAACCAAAGGUGUGCUUCCGUUAACUGUAAACAUUGCCGGUCGCACCGCCUUUUUCGUGGUUGAUUCCAGAACCGAGUAUAAUGCACUGCUCGGUCGAGACUGGAUUCAUCAAACCAACUGUAUUCCUUCAUCAUUGUAUCAAGUGCUUGUCUUUUGGGACGGUAACUCGGUCACUGUUCACCCGGCCGAUAGCCAGCCUUUCGAAGCUAACAUGAUCCAAGCACGGUAUUAUAAUGACCAUGUCGGCUACAUUACAUUGCAAGGCUUCAAUGAAGAAGGACGACCGACUCGGAUUUCGGUUCAUAAAGCUAUCGAGGUUGGCGCCGAAACUGUCCAGCAGGAUUCGGCGAGACUCGGAUUAGCCAAUUUCCUCCCCGAAGCUGAUGUUUGACACCGAUCGGGAAACACGUAGGGCCGCGGUUUCAUCUACUAUGGAACGACUGCUGGCCCAUUGGUAUACUAUAUCCAAACAACCAAAUUCGGGCGUUAACCUCGUCGAGUUCCUUGCCGAAGAAGAUAAUGGUCCUGUUUUGUCUCUUGAUAAAAUUCAAGCCGCCCCGGCCGAACUCGAAGAUCAUCGGCCCCAAGUUAAGGACCCCUUGGAAGAGAUUAAUGUUGGGACGGCCGAUGAUCCACGACCUUUGUUUGUUAGUGCGUUACUUCCCCAACAAAUGAAUGACGAGUUUCGUGCCUUGCUUACGGAGUUCAAAGAUUGUUUUGCUUGGAGCUAUCAUGAAAUGCCCGGCUUAGAGCGCACUCUGGUCGAGCAUGAAUUACAUAUUAAGCCCGGAUGCAAACCUUUCCGUCAGCCACCUCGUCGAUUCUCGACCGAAGUGCAACUCGGCAUCAAGGACGAAUUGGUUCGGCUUUUGAAAGCCGGGUUCAUUCGGACAGCUCGAUAUGUUGAAUGGUUGGCAAAUAUCGUGCCUGUUUUAAAGAAAAAUGGUGCCCUACACAUCUGUAUCGAUUUCAGAAAUCUGAAUCUGGCAACUCCCAAAGAUGAGUAUCCAAUGCCGAUCUCAGACCUCUUGAUCGAUGCUGCGGUGAGUCAUGCAAUCUUAUCCUUUAUGGAUGGACACGCCGGAUACAACCAAAUAUUCAUUGCCGAAGCCGAUGUGCACAAAACUGCUUUCCGUUGCCCGGGGGCACUCGGGACUUACGAAUGGGUUGUUAUGCCGUUCGGCCUCAAGAAUAACGCCGCCACAUACCAACGGGCGAUGAAUACCAUCUUCCAUGAUUUAAUUGGAACCAUCGUCGAAGUUUAAAUCGACGAUGUUGUCAUCAAAUCUAAACGCCGACAGACACAUCUGGACGAUCUCCGACAGGCUUUCUUCCGCAUGCGUUGGCACAACCUCAAGAUGAAUCCCGCCAAGUGUGCUUUCGACGUAUCGGCCGGAAAUUUUCUUGGCUUCCUCGUGCAUCACCGUGGGAUUGAAGUCGAUGAGAAUAAGGCCCGCGCAAUCAUCAAUGCCCCACCCCCAACAACGAAGAAACAACUCCAGUCCUUACUCGGCCAGAUCAAUUUCCUCCGCCAAUUUAUUGCCAACUCUGCAGGUAAAAUGAAAGCGUUCUCCACGCUUUUGAAACUCAAGGACUCCGAUAAAUUUGUGUGGAACGAUGAGCAUCAGGCGGCGUUUAUGCAAAUCAAAGUCUCCCUCAUGAACCCACAUGUCCUGGUUCCUCCUCGGCGCGGUAAGCCUCUUAAGCUCUACAUCUCGGCGGUCGAAGAGUCCAUCGGCUGCCUCUUUGCACAAGACAGCGACGCCGGCCGAGAACAGGCUAUUUUUUAUCUCAACCGCAAUCUCAGUCAACCGGAGAUCAAUUAUCCAGCCGUCGAGAAGCUGUGUCUGGCCGUGUUUUUCGCCGCUUCCAAGCUUCGGCAUUAUAUGCUCCCAUCGGUCACCCAAGUUAUUGCUCAGACCGACGUCAUCCGCUACAUGCUCACCCGACCAAUCGUAAAAGGCCGCAUUGGGAAAUGGACCAUGGCACUAUCCGAAUUUAGCUUGCAGUAUGUAGCCCAGAAAACUGUCAAGGGCCAGGCACUGGCUGAUUUCCUUGCUCAACAUCCUUCCCCAUACGGGUGUGGGGGCAACGACGUUGAAAUCGGCAUGGUUCAGACGCGCAACAACCACUGGACGAUGUACUUUGACGGCUCCAGUACGUCAUCUUCGGCGGGUGUGGGAAUUGUCAUUCAAUCCCCGAACCACGAUCGCUGGUUAUUUUCGCUUAAGUUGGAUUUCGAAUGCACCAACAAUCAGGCCGAAUACGAAGCCCUAAUUGUCGGCCUUGGAAUCCUUCAUGACCUGCGGGCGACCCGCGCCCUCGUCCUCGGCAACUCCGAACUUGUGAUUAACCAACUCAAUGGUUCUUUUCGUUGCAUGAGUUGUACCCUGGCGCCUUACCACACGAUCGCCAGCUAUUUGGCCAAGUCCUUCGACGGUAUUACAUUUAAACAUAUUUCCCGGAGUCAUAAUACCGACGCAGACGAAUUGGCUCAAAUUGCCUUCGGCGCACAUCUCUUGGGGGGCAAGCUAGGCCGAGAAAUACCCAUGUUGUGACAGCUAUACCCAGCCUUGGUUAACCAACAAGUCCUCCAGCGCGACAACGUGAUACGUACAAGAGUCAUGUCCUUACCUUCGUUGUUAGAUCGAGACGACCCUGUGGAGAUUUGCACGACCGAGGCAAUACCAGAUGAUUGGAGAAAGCCCAUUAUGCAGUACCUCGACAAUCCCAAUGGUAAAUAUGAUCGCAAGACAAGAGUUCACACCACGAACUAUGUCAUGUAUCAGAACGAGUUAUACCGAAAAGGCGAAGAUGAUUUAUUAUUACUAUGCCUCGGCCCCCAAGAGAGUGCUCAGGCGAUUACAAAAGUCCAUGAAGGGAUAUGCGGAGCUCAUCAAUCUGGACGGAAAAUGCGAUGGCUACUUCGACGGCACGACUAUUUUUGGCCAAGGAUACUAAAGGAUUGUAUCGAGUUUGCACAAGGAUGUGUACAAUGCCAAAUCCACGGGCCUAUACAAAGGGUCCCGGCCGAAUCUUUGCAUUCGGUCAUAAAGCCAUGGCCAUUUAAAGGAUGGGCCAUGGACGUAAUCGGCAAAAUCACGCCGUCUUCUGGAGCUGCUAAGCACGCAUGGGUAAUAGUCGCAACCGAUUACUUUACUAAGUGGGUCGAAGCGAAAUCAUAUGUCGAACUAACAUCUAAAGAAGUUUGAGAUUUCGUGGAGGAACACAUCGUGACCAGAUUUGGUGUACCAGAAAUGAUCAUAACUGACAAUGGAACAAUCUUCACAGCCGAGAGGUUUAAAGAGUAUACGGCAAAUUUAAAAAUUCAGCUUGAACAGUCUACACCGUAUUAUCCACAGGCGAAUGGGCAGGCCGAGGCAAGUAAUAAAGUGUUGAUCGGCAUCCUUGAAAAAAUGAUAAAAGAAAGGCCUGGCAUGUGGCAUUUGAAGUUGAACGAGGCAUUAUGGGCAUACCGAACGACGCCCCGGUCGGCGACCACGACAACCCCAUACGCAUUAACCUACAGACACGAUGCAAUGUUACCAGUCGAGUUAAGCAUAAAUUCGUUGCGAUUAAUUGAACAAAGUAGUUUGUUUAGCGCCGAAUACAAUCAGUCCAUGAGACAAGAAUUAGAAGAUUUGGAAGAAGUGCGACUUGACGCUUAUAACUUACUGGUGGCACAGAAACGGAUUGCCGAACGAGCAUACAAUCAAAAGGUGCGACGGAAAACAUUCGGUGAAGGCGAAUUGGUUUGGCAAACGGUGUUACCCGUAGGACUAAAAGACCCUAGGUUCGGCAAGUGGUCGCCAAAUUGGGAAGGACCGUUCGUUGUACAUAAGGUAUACGAAAAAGGGGCGUAUCAUCUUCAAGACCGGACCGGUUCAGUUCACAAAUUACCAAUCAACGGGAAGUUUUUUAAAAAGUACUACCCGGUAACGUGGGAAAUGUGAGAAUAAACAAAACCAUCUCAUUAAGAUUGAUGAGCAUGUACAAGCUAAGUAAGUCAUUCAGGUUAAAACUAAGUACAUUCAAGGGGAAGAAGGUAAGAGGGUGCCGAGAAGGGCCUUCAAUUCCAACCACCGCACCUCGGCCAUGAUAACUUCAGCUUGCCGAUUCUUCUUGUCCAGCUUCAACCGCUCGACCCGCUUUGUUGUCGCUGCGUACUCAGUUAGGCGAUCCUUUCCACCCGACUCGAAGUCUCUAGCAAGCUCGGACGCGAUGGCCGAUCGACGUUUUGCUAGUUCAGCCAUCUGACGGUCGAGCUCGGCUAAUACUUCUCCUUUUGCCCUUAGAGCGUCGAUUUUCGGACGGAGAGUGUCUUGAACGGCCGUGGCAGCUUGCAGGUCCUGUUUGGCCUUUAGAGCGGUCUGGAAGACACUAAAUGUCUCCUGAACCCGCUCCAAAGCAGACGAUGCCCAAACGAUGGCAUUUCCGCUCAGGCGACCGUCGGCCCCAAGAUCGUUCAGACACACGCCAAGCAGAUCAAGACCGUUGCGCUCGAGUACUUGCGGUGCUGAAAGCGACAGAACUUCUCGCAACUGGGUUAGAGCGGUUGGAUCGGCAGCCUCAAUCGGAGCAGCCGAAGGCCCGGACUCGGCAGUUGUGCUGGAGAUGAGGGCUUUGAAUUCGACCUCCCACGAAGCAUGGACAUAUAAAUCAGUUUAGGCUUAAAGGAAGGCAGUGCAAGAAUAGCAAGAAGGUUUCAUUUUUUAACCUGCCGAGAGGAGACCUCGGCCAUGUCCCCAAGAUCGUUGCUCGAACCUAAAGAACUCAACGGCCGAGCCCAGUGUCUCAGAUUGCUUCUCAGUUCACGCGGUCGAUGGAGGUUAUCUACGUUUGAUGGCCACUGAGGCGGCCAAGAAAUAUAGAUAACGCCCUUCGGCGCGUAGAAUUGUCGGUGAAAAGAAUGUACAGGCACCUGACAUUUAGUAUUUUCCUCGUUUAGAAUUCUAAAGCGGAAAAGCAAUCAAGGAAAGACGGUGGAAGAUACUUACGAAGGCCGAAGUAGCCUCCUGCGGAGGAAUGUGGAAGCCCUGGUCUUGAGGAUGAACGAGCGAUUCCGCCGUUGCCUCGGGUUCCUCGACUGGUCGUUUGCCACGGUCGGCUGUGGAGGGGCCGACCGGGACAGCUGCUUCUGAGGAAGGAACACCCUGGUCCUAAGAAGGAGCAAGGGGUUCGGACACCGCCGUUGGUUCCUCGACCGGACGCUUGUCACGAUCGACCGUGGAGGGGCCGGCUUGAACUGCCAUCUCGGACACUGGAGGAGGUUGUCGGCGAGUAUGAGGACGAUGUGCCAGCGGGACCUCGUCGCUCCCCUCACUCUCUUUCAGAACGAAGACCGAGGGCUUUGGAUUUUUGGGAGAGGUGCCCUCGGUCGCAGAAACCGCCUUCUGUGGGACAGGUGCCUCCUCGACGGAGGGAGGCAUGACUGGUGUGCCGGCCCCAGAGACAGGCUGCGCUUGAACUAUCUCUGCGACCGAAGCUGGCGGUUUCUCGACCAAGGAAUGGCCGACGGCGGGAGAAGGGGAAGCACUGGGAGUCGUCAUCCCCGUAGUAUGACUGGAGAUGACGUGGAUGUCUCGUGCACCUUUCUUCGCCAGUGUUUUUACCCGCUUGCAGGCGGGGGAGACUCGACAGCCGGCUCGACCUCUGGGCAAGGCCGUUUGAUCAGCACGGCCCGACCAGCAGUUUUGUUCUUCUUGGCCACGACCGAUUUUUUCUCGGCCGUAGCAGCGGCAACUGCAUCCGUUUUUCUUGAAGGCCGACUACCUGAGAAGAUAAAAGCAAUUCAGCAAGGCAAAUCAGUAUGCAGAGUUGAAAGAAAAGAGGAGAAAUGAACAAUUACCUUGAGAUUGGGGGGCCGAGGCCUUCUUCGGUCGGUCACCGAAGAGUUUGUUCAGCACCUCUUCGACCGGAGCACCAAAGAACUCUUGGGUCUAAUUUUCCCACCAUUCACCGAAGGUGUCGGUGCAAAGGGUUUCUGGGGUGGCCGGUCGAAGGCGGAAUUUUUUGCAGUACUCUUGGAACUCCCUCGCGACAGUUUUACAUUCCUUCUCCGAGGAACGAGGUUCACGUCCACGGCUUAGGACUGUUCGGGAGGAGAGAAGGGGAACAGGGCAGCCCUGAAGAUAGCCGAGCUGUCGGGCAAGGAAGUUCGGAUGGUACACUUCCCAACCCGACCAUUUCCCAUCGCAGCCAAGAGGGAGGUCGCGAGCGAGCACAAACGACCCCCAAGUCUGACGAAGCUCGGCAUCCUCCUCCGCGCCCCACACAGAGGUAGGUAGUCUGAUGGAGGAAGGAUAGUCCCGAUGACGACAUAUCAAGAAUUCAUCGUUGGAGAGAUCAUCAAGAGCGAAGAGGUACCGAAAUACCUCUUCGGCUUGGUGAGGAGGUGUCGGUCGGGAGGCCAGCUGAGGUCCAAGAGCCUCCGUUGGCGAGAAGUCAGCUAUGGCCGGCCGAAGGGAGGCGAAGUACACUUGUAACCAGAGCUGGAAGACCCAGAGGGGACCAUUCUGGUGUGGGUCGACCUUGUGGAGGGUCGUCUCGGCCAGGCAACGGAAGAGAUGGGCGAGAAUGUUGGAACUCAGUGCCAGGACGUGACCACUAGCCAGGGCUUCGGCUACCAGCAUGUUCUCGACCAAACACUUGUUCGACUUGGUACAACAAAUGUAUUUGUUGUACCAAUAGAAGAGGAAGGCUUCAUGCUCUUCCUCUCGCAGGUCCUCUUCUCAUCGGCCGGCGAAAUGAAGAUAGAGGGUGUUGUAAUUAAAGAAGUUCUUGUGGAGCUUCUGAAUGUCUUCCUUCGACGGGAUUUGACCGUCACGGUUCAAGGUCUCGAAGGCUCGUCGAUCGAAAAGCGUCUUCAGAUCAAUAUUCGAUGGGUGCCCAGAGAGGGCCGCGUCGAUAGGGAUCCCGGUUGCCGAAGUCCCCAGAAUGGCGGUGACAUCAAGGAUGGUAGGACCGAGGGGACCAAGAGGAAGAACCAGGGUGUUGGUGGCCGAGCACCAGAAGCACAAGGCGGCUAGGAGAAGCUCCUUGUCGAGAAUGACAUCCAUUGACGAGAGAAUGAUGGCGUCGUAAAUGCCGAGGGCUCUCCAUUGCUCGCCGAAGAACCAUUCCAGGCUGCCCAGGUUGUGGUCGUCGAGGGCCAGGAGCCUUGGGGUUUCGCCGCAUCCCAUCUUGACCAUUCAAACCCUUGGAACAAGGGUGUUAGGCAGUGCUCCUGGAGAAGGCCAGUAAUGGUCGACGGUAUUGCAGCCUUGAAGAGAGGACCCAAGAUUUGGUGGACAGUGCUCAUGUCACUUUCAAACCGUAUGGUUUUGAUCGAGCUCCGAUCAAGGAUUUUCUGGUGCUGUUCACAUUCCCUGGAAAGCUUGGAGAUGAAAGACGCCAUUAUAGGAAGGAAGCACGGCGUAAAAGGUUUUCUGGGUUGGGGGAUUUGAAGAUGAAGACCUGGAACAAGAAAUGUGCUGGAGAAGAAGGGCAAGAGAUUUCAGAAAAUUUUGAGAGCAUAAAGUGCAAAUGAGAGAAUUCGGUAUUUAUAGAGUUGUGGAGGGAAGAGCAAUCGUUCGAAAUUCAAAACAAAGGGCAAAAUCAACCGAAGGAAUCGUUGAUCAUGAUGAACAUUUGGGAAAUGCAGUUGAGAAGACCGAAGGUUUCAGGUUUUGGGGGCGCACGAUCGCGUGUGAUGGCGAAAUUAAUGGCAGAAGACAUUUCGACGCUUGCACGAUGACAGGUGGACUCACGGAUUGAGAAAGCGGCUCGUGAAUUGAGGUAAUGGUUAAGUUGACGGUUCAGGUAGCCGCACGCCUUAGACGUCAUCAUUGGGGUUGGCCGUGUUGGAGAACGCCACGUGGCGAGUUUGGUUAGCAGGAUCAAGAUCGUGCAAUCAUGUUCAAUAAAUGCGCCUUGGAACUUGGGCAUUAGGGUUCUGAGUGGUAGAUUCGCUUCUUCAAGGCCGAAACUCGGCCAAAGAAUUCAGGCCGAGGACCUCAGAAGCGAGGGGGCAAUGUUUGGGCCCAAAAUAAUAGUUUGGGCCGAGGGUAGGAUCACUCUCGGCUCAAGAGGCCGUGCGGCGAAAGGGCCAUGGAUCGUUCAGCUCAUGGGCUUCCAAGCCUAGGUUGGUUAAAUCAGAACGCAAGCCGAGUCCUAGUACAAUAGGGACUCUCGACAGGAUCAGUAAUCCAGAAAGAGAAUCCAGCUCAGUUAAGGACUAGAUUCGUAGUCCUAGUGGAGAUAGGAUUGGUCGAGGUGAUGUUGAUCUAGGGAGGGAAACCUAGUCCGAAUAGGAUUGUAACUCGGGCUCGAGGACCAGCGCUAUAAAUAGGGGAAGUUGUGCAUUAACGAAGGACCCCUGCAAAUCAAUACAAAAUUGCCCUUCGCAAAUUCUCACAACUUGUGAUUUUUCUUUUUCCUUUUUCGCUGACACAUCUUCCGUUGGCAUCAACAGCACUGUGGAAGCAACCGGUGAUAUCUUAAGUCGGCAUAGAUAGCUCUGUCACCGUAGAAUCAAUCGGUCUCGCAGUAUCUUCCGUUGGCAUCAACAGCACUGCGGUGAGAACGGUUGAUUACCUAUCCAAGUCUCGGUCGAGAAGGGUUUCUGAACCCUUAUUGGUCAAGGUUAUCUCAUCAGCCUUCUCGGCGAAGUGAGGUGUUACACGUUAUUACGUUCGGCAUAUUGAAAGCCGAAUUUGAUAUUGAACUUCGUAAGAAUAGUAACCUUGUCUUCAGGUUCAAGAGCCCAAGAGGCCGAGACGUGUUCCUUUCUCGACCGCAAUCGCAAGACGCAGAAGUCAGCCGCGCACCCAACGCAACAUCAACAAAUUUACUCCUCGGUCGAGCUCGGCCGACGAGUUGGCAAGCCCCGCAUUCACCGAAUGACGUAGUUAGCUCAUUAAUUACUCGGCCUGCGUGCCACAUAGGCUUUGUAGUUUUUAGGGUCAACAGUAUCAGAAUUAACAAUACCGCGAAAUAUUCCAGUAAACUAGCUUCAUUUGGAGGUUGAAAUAACUUGUCUUCCUGCCCUAGUAACAUAGGGUUCUUCUUGCCUAUCUGCGUUAGCUAAGCUUUCCCAUAACUGUAGGAUUACAUCAAGGCUCAUCCUUAAGUCCUUACCUUUUUGCGUUGGUAAUGGAUGACUUAACAGGACAUAUUCAAGAUGAUAUUCCUUGGUGUAUGUUUCGCAAACGAUAUAGUGUUGAUAGAUGAAACUCAGGAAGGGGUAAAUGCAAAGCUUAACCUUUGGAGAGAAGUGUUGGAAUCUAAAGGUCUUCGCCAAAGCCGAUCAAAGACAGAAUAUAUGGAGUGCAAGUUCAGUGCAAAUGGAGGCCAAAACGAAUUAGGGGUGAGGAUCGGAGAUCAAGAAAUACCAAAGAGCGACCGUUUUCGUUACCUAGGAUCUAUCUUGCAAAAGAACGGAGAAUUAGAUGGAGAUCUCAACCAUAGAAUACAAGCUGGAUGGAUGAAGUGGAAGAGUGCAUCCGGCGUGUUGUGUGACCGCCGUAUGCCACUGAAGCUCAAGGGAAAAUUUUAUAGGACGGCAAUAAGGUCGGCGAUGCUGUAUGGCACAGAAUGUUGGGCAGUGAAGCAUCAACACGUACACAAAAUGGGUGUAGUGGAGAUGGGGAUGCUUCGUUGGAUGUGUGGGCACACGAGAAAGGAUAAGAUUAGGAAUGAGGAUAUCCGGGGUAAAGUAGGAGUAGCUGAAAUUGAAGGAAAGAUGAGAGAAAAUCGGUUACGAUGGUUUGGACAUGUGCAAAGAAGGCCUACUGACGCUCCGAUUAGAAGAUACGACUAUGGGACAAAGGUUCAGGGCCGAAGGGGUAGAGGAAGACCUAGGAAAACUUUGGAAGAGACCCUAAGAAAAGACUUAGAGUACUUGGAUCUAACGGAGGACAUGACAAAUGACAGAACAUAAUGGCGUUCUAAGAUUCAUAUAGCCGAUCCCACUCAAUGACUUGGAUUUUCCAAGUCUCCAACCGAGAAGUUUUCCUCACUCGGGAAAUUAAGGGAACACUACCUCAACCUACAUGCUCCACUCACAAAGCUUCAACAUGCAAGUUUUAACAAAAGAAAAUUCAAAGAACUUAGCGAAGAAAGCUUUGGUGUAUUUAACACAAUACGUUGAAAUGAAGGAAAACUUAUUUAUUGAUAUCCCCGAUAAGUUACAAAUAUGUACAUAUACAUGAGUCAAAAUAAACAAACAAGAGGGAGCCUUCACAAAGGUUGUUUAGGAGAAGUCUCAGCAGUCGGUAGAGCCCCAGAAAGAGAAGGCACCGGAGGGGGAUCAUUCGGAGCCUCAGUACUGGACAGAACCCUAGAAGGAUGAGGCAUCAGAGGUUGAUCAUUUGGAGCUUCAUUACGCGGUACAACCCUAGAAGACGAAGGCAAUAAAUGCCUUUGGAACAAACCCACAAAUCUCUGAUGAUCAAGUAAAACCUGACCAUCAGAUUCCUUCAUUACGCGCCAUAUGUUGUCUGGAGAAGGCGGGGCUGCCUCUUCAACAAGGUUCAAGUCAAAACGACAGUCGGAGGGGCCAGACAUUUUCAAAGGUGUUGAAGAGAGAAGAGGUCGGACAAAGCAAGAUCUUAGAAGUGCAAGAAUGGAACUUCUACUGGUGGAGAUUCAAGUGUGUUUUGGAACUUAAUGCCAGCCCUAUAAAAAUCUGCACUCGACGAAGCUUCAAAAAUCGAAGAGGCGUCUGCUCAGAAAUCGAAGAGGCGUUUGCUUUCUCAAAAGAUGGGCUGCUCAAAGACCACGAAGGCCGAUCUCAGAAAUCGAAGAGGCUUGCUUUCUCAAAAGCUGGGCUGCUCAGAGACCACGAGGGCCGAUCUCAGAAAUCGAAGAGGCACAUACUUUUCCAGCCUUGUCAGCACUUGUCACACGCACACUCAGCUUUGCGGAAAUUAUGAGCAUUCUGUCGAAGAUUUCUGGUGAAGUAGAAAUCACAUGAAUCGUACUGUUUAAUCACCCACUUCCCACACGCAACAGUAGCUCAUGGGUACCACAGAUAACUUUGCCAAAGUUCUCUGACAAAGUUGAGACACGUGAAGCUUGCAGCUCCCACUACCUUGCUCUGACCAAGAAGGGUAAAAGAAUAGCAAAGAAACAACACUAACAAAGUUUAGACACGUAAAUUUUCAAGGUCUAGCUACCAUAUUAUUACCCACAAGGGUAAAGGAACAGUACCACUGUUGGAUAAUUGGAAGGUCCCGGUGUGUCAACCUCUGUACUUCGUGGCAAGGUAGACUAGCAAACAUGCCCAACCUUUACUCACAUUCGAGAAAAUACUCCCAACAAGAUUGCUUGCUCCAAAAUUGAAGAGGCACCGUCUUCCAAAUCUCGAGAGCCAGACUCCCAACAUGAUUACUUUCUCAAAAUCGAAGAGAGGGUAAAGGAACAGUACCACUGCUGGAUAAUUGGAAAGUCCCUGUGUGUCAACCUCUGUGCUUCGUGGCAAGGUAGACUAGCAAACAUGCCCAACCUUUACUCACAUUCGAGAAAACACUCCCAACAAGAUUGCUUGCUCCAAAAUCGAAGAGGCACCGCCCUCCGAAUCUCGAGAGCCAGACUCCCAACAUGAUUACUUUCUCAAAAUCGAAGAGAGGGUAAAGGAUCAGUACCACUGCUGGAUAAUUGGAAAGUCCCUGUGUGUCAACCUCUGUGCUUCGUGGCAAUGUAGACUAGCAAACUUGCCCAACCUUUACUCACAUUCAAGAAAACACUCCCAACAAGAUUGCUUGCUCCAAAAUCGAAGAGGCACCGCCCUCCAAAUCUCGAGAGCCAGACUCCCAACAUGAUUACUUUCUGAAAAAUCGAAGAGACGCCGCUCUCCGAAUCUCGAGAGCCAGACCCCCAGCAGGAUUGCUUUCUCAAAAAAAUCGAAGAGGCAUCGUUCUCCGAAUCUCGAGAGCCAGAUCCCCGACAGGAUUGCUUGUUCGAAAACCGAAGAGGCACCACUUUCCCAACUUCAAGAGCUGAAUCUCCUUGGAUAAAGCUUGUCUGUAAUCUUCACAUGCAACAUCAGCUUUCCAGAUACCACAUACCACUUUUUCAAAGUGCUCUGACAGAGUUAAAACAUGUGAAGCUGGCAGCUCCCACUACCGUGCUAUGACCAAGCAGGGUAAAGGAAUAGCAUUAUUACUUGAUGUUAGGGAAACUUCUAUAUAUGUCGACCUUCAUCCCCAACGGACAGGCAGACCUGUAAAAAUGCUCAACCCUUCCUCUUAUCUGAAAGGGACGAAGCCUUUCGAAAUAUUCAGCUUUCUUUCCCCCCGAUAAUACCUCUGCAAACAAGCUAUACUAGAGCAAGAAUAUCUCAUAUCAUCAGGGUUAAAAGCAAGAGUAUCCCAUAUCAUGCUUUUUCCCUGUCUUUUCCUUUGGCCUUGUUCUUACCUGCAAGACAAUGAGAAAGAGAGCAAUCAGUCAGCACUUGGAAUCAAGCUUCCAGCCAGGAACUGACUGCCUGGAACCCCUUACCUGAGUACUUACCUGGCAUUGCUCUCGAGUACUCAUCUUCAACAUCUUAUGCUUCCAGGGAAGAUACCGCAUCUGCCUGAGGAACAGAUAGGGCAAGUGAGAAGGAUACAAAGAAGCAUGUGGAGACAAGCGUAACAGCACACGUGCCGAUACAUCCACUACUCUGUCAAAAGCAAAAGUAUCCCAUAUCAGCAGGGUCGAACGUACUCUAGAUUUGAUGGACUUGUUUUUACCCUCAAAUUCUUCAGUCGGCCUUAUACUCUGGAGGAAACCAGAAAACCCUCCAGCCCAGUUCAAGAAUAAGCAUGUGGAAAGUUAUUUAUUCAAAAGCAAAAGUAUCCCAUAUCAUCUCUUCUCAUUUUUCUUCUCUUUAUCCUUCAUGCUGCCUGCAAGAUAGGGAGAAUGUGAACAAUCAGCCAGAGCUCUGGUUGCUUACCUUGUCUGUCACCUCUUUCAACAGAUCCCCUAGCUCGGCGACUUGGGGGACUCCUACUACAUGGUUUGUAUCGCGCUUGAUCAAGCCUGAAAUUGAUACAUUACCUUGUGCAUCUCCACCAGUUAAAGAUACCACCCCUGGAUGGAGGAAGAGUACUUCCAGAGAAGAUGCCACAUCUACCUAUGAGACAGAUAAGGCAAGUCAAGACGAUACCACACUCCGGUACUUAGAAGUUUCGUGAUUACGAGAUCAUUCUCCCAAAAUAUUUCCUAAUGUCAUUUGUACUAAAUCAUUCACUUGUACUCACUAAAGGAGAGCUUGAACCUAUGUACUUGUGUAAACCCUUCACAAUUAAUGAGAACUCCUCUAUUCCGUGGACGUAGCCAAUCUGGGUGAACCACGUACAUCUUGUGUUUGCUUCCCUAUCUCUAUCCAUUUAUAUACUUAUCCACACUAAUGACUGGAGCAAUCUAGCGAAGAUCACAAAAAGCGACCGUUUUCGCUACCUAGGAUCUAUCUUGCAAGAGAACGGAGAAUUAGAUGGAGAUCUCAACCAUAGAAUACAAGCUGGAUGGAUGAAGUGUAAAAGUGCAUCCGGCGUGUUGUGUGACCGUCGUAGGCCACUGAAGCUCAAGGGAAAAUUUUAUAGGACGGCAAUAAGGCCAGCGAUGUUGUAUGGCACAGAAUUGUUGGGGUGUGAAGCAUCAACACGUACACAAAAUGGGGUGUGGCGGAGAUGAGGAUGCUUCGUGGGAUGUGUGGGCACACGAGAAAGGAUAAGAUUGGGAAUGAGGAUAUCCGAGGUAAAGUAGGAGUAGUCGAAAUUGAAGGAAAUAUGAGAGAAAAUCAGUUCCGGUGGUUUGGACAUGUGGCAAAGAAGGCCUAAGACUCUGACGCCCGGUUCGAAAAUGUGACUAGGGGACAGAGGUUCAGGGCCGAAGGGGUAAAGGAAAAGACCUAGGAAAAAACUUUGGAAAGAGACCCUAAGAAAAGACUUGAGUACUUGGAUCUAACGGAGGACAUGACACAAAACCGAGCGCAAUGGCGUUCUAGGAUUCAUAUAGCCGACCCCACUUAGUGGGAAAAGGCUUUGUUGUUGUUUGUUUGUUUGUUGAGAUUUACUAAGAACGAGAGUAAAGUCAUUGGAUCCUACAUGCAUCCACAACAUUGACCUCUUUCGUCGUGCCAAAACUAGGUGGGACAUCCUCAUCAUCAUCAUAUUCAACAUACGUAUUACCUUUUCCGAUGUAGUUUUGAAGCCAAAACCGAAAUGAAACCAAACCAUUUGGUUUGGUUCGGUGCCGUUUCAAACGGUUUUGGUUCGGUUUUAGAAAAGAAAAAAAUUUACAAUUUAAAAUUUAUACCUAUAUACGCAUAACACGGUCUCAUUUUUCACACAAUAUAUUAAUUAAUCAACCCAUAUGAGAAUUCUUUUCUUUACUGCUCUCUCUAUUCUCUAAUGUACAUUUGAUCACAACAAGAAAAUGGUACGGGAGAAUGAUAUAUAAACAACUAGCUUAGCAUAGCUAGCUAAUUGCACGAAUGAUGGACUCUGUGACUGAGCAGGAAAAAGCACCCAAAUGGAGUGAUGUGGCUAGGGAUGGGCAAAAUACCAUGGAUUUGGGUAACCGCGGUUACCCAUCCAUUUAAAGUUCACGGUUACGGUUAUGGGUAACCGUUUAGACGAACAAACGGUUAUGGGUAUAAACGUUUAUCCAUGAAAUUUAAAUGGGCGGUUAUGGGUAUUAUCCAUGGUUAUAACGGGUAUCCAUCGAUUAUGGGUAUUACUAGCGGUUAUAACAGGUAUCCAUUUACCCAUUUAAUUUAAUAUAUGUAAAAUUUAAAAAAAAAAUUUAAAUCCUAAAUUUUCAAUCACUCCGCCAAACUCAGAGUCUUAAACGCCUUGUCCCCCGCUCAUCUCUCCCUCCUCACUGCCCUUUGUCUCAUCUUCGCCAUUGUGAGGCGAAAACAAUUCAAGUAAACAGUUAAGUGCUAAAUCACCUUGUCCAUGUAACGAUUGAUGAGAGCAGGGAUAUCCGAUUUAGGUUCGAGUCCUCCAAAUAAGGAUCCCAUGAGGGUUUUGCCGCUGUGAAGGAUAUCAUGAAAGGGAAGGCUCGCCUUUGAGGCUCUGACCCUGGCUUGUCGACACCUACCAUAACUGUCUCUCCCCAACCCUGAAGUUCAAAAGAACGAUAAUAUUUCAAUGCGUAGUGCAGACAAAUUAUAGUUGCCUAGGUUCAUCAUGAUGGUUGAUCAGUACGAUGCAGAGCAUAUUCUUGUUUUGUAAUUUUCAAGUUGUUAAAAAAAAACAUGUAGAUGGAUGAAAAAAAUGGGUAAAUAGGUAAAAAAAAGAUAAACAGAUUCAAAAACGGAUAAAUAGUUAUGGUUAAAUGGGUAAACGGUUAUGGUUAAAUGGGUACACAGUUAUGGGUAUGGUUAACCGUUUAUAAACGGUUAUGGGUAUGGGUAUAACCGUUUAUGCAAUUACCCAACGGGUAAACAGUUAUGCGAGUAUGAACAUAAACGGUUAUGGGUAAAUAACUGCAGUUACCCAUCCGCUAUAAUCGUUGCCCAUCCCUAGAUGUGGCUUAUUAUUUGAUCAGAGAUUGGUCUUUGUAUCUCUCAUUUUGUGACUAACUCUUACUUGAAAAUUAGGAUUCUGAGGUGCUUUUACUGGUAAUAAAAUGUUCAUCUUUUCCUGUAAAGAAACAGUGAAGAUGCCAAGCUUGAUAAGGGUUAUAACUUUGGGAAAAAUAAUCAUUAUUAUGAAAUGUAAACACUAGAUCUAUGGACUCUAACAAACCACCAAUUAAAACACGACAUCUAAUUUGAGGUGCGAUUUCGGUUUCGGUGCGAUUUUCAAAAGCCAAAACCGAAACCAAACCGUUUCAUACACUGCAGUUCGGUUUCAAAACCACAACCAUUUCAAAACCGCAAAACCAAACCAUUCAGUGCGGUUCAAUUUGGUUCAUGUUUGGGUUUCGGUUUUGGGUUUCAAGUGCCCACCCCUAGCACUAAGUGGCUUAUCACACAAGUUUUAUGUAAAGUGAUUAAACAACUUAGCAUGAGUCAAUUUACUAGAGAUUCUUGCGAAGGACAAUGAGAGAUACAACUCACCGUCUAGCAAGGAAGUCGAAUCUAAAAUAGUGAAGAGGAAUAUUACUGGACCAUAUUAAGUGGCAUCAUAUCUUCUGAAUCUUUUAAAAUCGCCUUGACUAGAAACAACAAACUCACUCAUAGUUUUAGCCUAUCAAUUACAUUCUUCAAUGUACAACCCCUCACUCCAACUUUCUCAGAAACCUGUUUGUAGCCUAACAUGGGUUCCUUCAGAAAAUCUGAAUUAAAAGGAAGGACAUUGCACCACUGCCCCGUCAAAGUUUUUGAUGAUUCAAAUACCCCUUAAAUUUUGGGGUCAAUAUUUUUUUAUGGUCAACGUUAGGCGUCCAGAUGAUGGGCAAUUUAUCAAUUUGGAUAUCAUUGAGGACUGAAUUCGGAUGCAUAAGGUCUAAGCAAGAAGUACAGACAGAUCAUUCCAAUGCAUUUUACACUCGUUAAUCAAAUACAGUUGAAUCUGAUUCUCACGGAUGCAUUGUUAAUUACCAUAACGCCUUUCAAGCAUUUCACUCAGAAAAAAGAAACUAUAAUAAAAUUGUGCAUGACGUCGAUCAAGAUAAUAUAAGGAUUCGACGUAAUCAUGGAGUGCCGGCUGUCGACUACCUGACGUCCUCCCCCUCCUCCUUUAUCCGGGCUUGGGACCGGCAAUGUAAGAUAAACUUACACGGCGGAGUUCAUUUACCAGGUAAAGAAAGUACCUCAUCUCAUAACCGGUUUCCAGCUUCCUUGAAUAAACAGAUGUUCUUUGAGACUGCAUCGUACUCACUGGAGUUGCUUGUUUUGCUUGUUUCCUCUAGAUGAAGGUUGCUUUAAUCCAACCAAAUCACUCUCGUAGAUGAGACGGACUCCGCACCUCUUCACCUCCAAACCAGAGCCUAAGGUUUAAAUGUAAACUCAAGGUGAUGACAACUGUCUUGCCAUGUUGUACCAAAGUAUUCACCAGAUACAAAGGAUAGCCAAAUGUGCUCUUUCUCAAUUUGCCCUAAUUCUUCGCUGCAGGCGAAGGAAGGACACCAGCCACCUACACCCAAAUUCCCAGGCUUAACUUCGCAACGAAGACCAUGUGCAGUGGUAUGGGUUCCGUAGUUCCAUUUACCAAGCAGAUUAGGUGGGAGUCGUCGACGGAGAGUGAAAACAGCACACAAUGCAUAUCCCAUCCACUCGUUCUUAUACCAGUGUUGAGGGAGCUCCACGCUUACCACAGGCCUCUCACUUCGAUAACCAAACCACUCAGAAAUUUCACUGCCAGGAUAUAUAGCUUCAAAAUUAUUCCCUACGUAAGGGAUUCCCUAUAUGAUACAAAAUUACAAAUAGUGAAGUUAAACAAUUGAUACGUCCGUCUUGUAAAUAAGUACAAAAUGCUUCUUUUUUUUUUCUUUUUUUUUUCUUUUUCUGUGUGUGUGUGUAAGAGAGAGAGAGAGAGAACCUCAAGGAAUCUCCUUAACGCUGCAAAUGCUACAUUGUUGCAGCCUUGGUCGUCAACCACUUCAAAGCAAUUAAUAAAACUGAAACAUGAUGACAGCCUUUCCCGUGAAAAACUGCCUUUUCCCUCAACACUCAAGUUCAAUUCUGCUGAAAGGUCCGGCAAUUUUUUAAGACACUUACAACCACCCAAAUUCAAAAUCUGAAGCUUAGACAGCUCUGUGAUGCUCUUGGGAAGACUAACAAAACUGUUUUUACUUAGAUUAAGCGAUACUAUUGAGGACAAGCAGCCAAGAUUUUCCAGGAUUGUUACCUCCUCAAGAUUACAGUCACUGAGAUUCAGCACUGUCAAAGAAAGCAAACCAGAAUCUGUGGUCGGCAACAGCAAACUCAGUAGACUUGUCUUCUUUCUUCGCAUCGAUUUGCAACCACAAAUGGAUAACAAUUCAAGAUUUUCCAGGCGGGAAAUGGAGGAUGGUAGAUCAUUAAUAGAGGUACCGCCCACAUCAAGCUCCUUCAAACAAACCAUAUUUCCCAAGUUUUUUGGCAGUUCUUCAAGCUUUGAGCAUCCACUGAGAUUGAGACUUUUGAGGGAACGCAACUGGCAAGUACUGCUUGCAAGGGAACUGAGAUUUCUGCAAUCUCUCAGGUUUAAUAAAGUAAGGCCAGUCAGACAUUCGAUCGAAGAAGGUAAUUCUUCUACAGCAGUCUUAUCUAAAUAAAGUUCCAACAAGUUUUCCAUAGGUCUCACAAAUUCUGGAACUUUAUUAAUUUUUGAACAACCAGAAAGAAUAAGAAUUUGAAGACUUUCCAUUUCAAAACAUUUGGGAAGGCGUUUAAGACUUCUGCAGUCCUUAAGAUUUAAGAAAAUAAGCCUUUUGAGCUCAGCAAUGGAUGGGUCGAUCAUCACCAAGUUUGUACAGCCUUCAAGAAUUAAUCUAUGAAGAUUUGGAGUAACAGUAAAGUCCGGGGUCCUGGUCAGGUUCUGGGAGUAGCUAACAUUAACGAAUUUCAGAUUGCCUAAGCACUGUUCAAAACAUUAAAGCACAAAAUUUAGUACUUUAUAUAAAAAAAAAAAAACCCAACUUUUUAUGUGCUACCCAUAAUCUGACCUUUGUUCUAUUCCAAAGUUGUCCAAUGCUGCUAUGGGACAAGUUAACUUCACAAAGUUGCUCAAGUUCAAAUUCUCGUGGGAGAAAUUUUGAAGGAUACCCACUCCAUUCAAGAAACUUUAAGGCAUUAGAAAGUUUUUUUGGGCCUUGGGUCAUUCGCAGAUUAUGAAUUUGGAGAAAUCUGAGAUUAUGCAUCGUCGAGAAGGCCUCCAAGUCCCAACAUGCCUCUUUCAAUUUAGGGAAGUCUAAGGCUAUACCUUCAACUGCAUUUGUACCCUGAUAACAGAGAAUUCAGAAUAAGUUCAUUAGACAGUAUAAUUAAGUUUAGAAGUACUUACUAAAUUAGUAUACUCCAUCUUCCUUCAAAACCACUUACCGUAUUAUUCCUCAAUACAUGAAUGACAUCAUCAUGAAGCCACAACCUGCUUUGCUCUCCAGGAUCCUCAACAGCAUCUCUGCGUACCAAUUGUCGUCCCAAUUCUUGUAUCAACCCAUGCAUCAACACUUUGUUAUUUGAAAUAGUUAUGAGAGAUUUCUCAAAGAGAGCUUCCAUCCCAUCCUUCGGAUUAAAUCCAAAACAAUCUAGUAUCUCUACCACUCGUUCCUUGUCCAUUCCUUGAAAGAAACAAGCAAUAUCUAGAAACAUUCUUUUCUCAUUGUCCGCCAGUCCAUGAUAACUUAUUUCAAGUGCUUGAGAAACAUUUUUAUCAGGAACAUGCUUCAGCUUUUCCAAUGCAUUACGCCACUCUCCCGGACUUCUGUGGAACAGAGAGGAUCCCAAAACCUUGAUUGCUAAAGGAACGCCUCCAGCAUAAUGAACCACCCGUUUAGACAGAUCCAAAUAAUAUUCUCGGGGUUCAUCACUUUUAAAGGCGUGAAUAUUGAAGAGCUGACGCGACUCACCCUCACUUAAUCCCUUAACUUCAAAUAUGCUUUCUACACCAUGCUCUCUUAGCAAAUUCUCAUUUCUAGUUGUAAUGAUGACUCUGCUCCCCAAACCAAACCAUUCUUUGUUUCCACCCAAUGAUUUCAGUUGGUCUAAGUCGAAAACAUCGUCUAAAAUGAGAAGAACCUUUCUCUUACAUAGAAUGUUCUUUAUCAUUAUGGCUCCCUCGUUAACAUUUGGAACAUCUAUGCCUUGCCCCAAAGCCUCAUAAAGAAGUUUCUUUUGCAAUUGCAGAUGACCCAGUGUUUCGCUUAGCCCACAAGUAAUCCAGGUGAAAAUUUCAAAUUCAUUGGAAAUGUUGUCAAAAACCACUCUGGCGAUAGUUGUCUUGCCCAUCCACCAAUUCCGCAUAUCCCUAUGAAGCGAACAUCAUUAGAUUUGAUGUCCAAAAGCCUAUUUAGUUCCUCUACUCUUGAGUCAAUUCCCACUAGGUCCUCAAGAUAAGAUGGCAGAGUUUGCAAUGUAUUCAAAACCCAUUGAACAAUUCGUUGGAUAAAUUGUGCCUCAUACCUAUGCAGAAGAAAAUAAAUGUCAAUCAUUCGGAAAUAUUUGAAAGAAUCCCGAUUGUAGUGUAAGCCUUUUGUUUAAGAACAAAAAUGUAUGACAAUAACCUAUCGUUCUCUCAUGAGAGAACUAAUAGAAAAGCUAGCAAGCAACGAAAAUUCAUCUCUUUGGACAGCUUAACAUAUGUUAUCAUAAAUUACAGCAGGAAAGAAUACAAGCAUACAUAUUACAUAGCAAAAACUGAAAUAAAAUAAAAUUUAUUUGCUACUGAAAGGAACUACCCACCCAUCCUCGUCCUUGUAUAGGUCAAAUCCAGACAGAUUGGCUAAUUGACGAAGAGCAUCCCUCCAGGCGCGCACUUUGUCGAUAUUGUCAUUGAAACGUCCUUCAUGCUCGGCAAAAAAGUCACCGAAAUCGCCUGUCUGUUUUCGUACCUCGGAUGGGCUCACAUCAUAGAAGACAGGCAAAACUAUCUGGCGAGCCACUUCCUUGCAUUCCAUAAUUUGCUGAAGCUCAUCCAAGCACCAUGUUGACCUGGCAUACUUUCUUGAAAGAAUGACAAUUGAAAUUUUUGAACUUUUAAUUCCCCGAUAAAGUUCAUCAUCUCCAAAUACGACGACUCCUCGGUUACUCAGAGCAGCACGUAGUUGGUCUGCGAAAUUCCUGCGAGUGUCUUCGCCACUGAAACUGAGGAAGACAUCGUAAUCAGUUGUUUGCGCAGUCGCCGUGGAUCCCAUCGGAAUACUCGGCUUUCUUCUUUUUCUUGAUUGCGUGGUGGCGAUGGAUCCCAACGGAAAUCUCUGCUCUCUUCUUCCUUAAUGGAACCCCAGACCGAUCAAAUCCAGAUCUCUCGGUCUUCUAGCAUAGGAAUGGAAUAUGAAAUGUCAACGGCCAAUUGCAACCGUCCGAUGCGGAGCAGCAAAUCUCACCCGUCUAAUAAGUUCCAGUCGCCAUCCACUGUUGCUCUAGUUUCUCUCGUUUUAUUUUUAUUUUAUUUGUGUGGGGUCCAUUAUUAUUAUUAUUAUUAUUAUUAUUAUUAUUUUAUAGGAAAAAUAAUGUAUUAAAUAGAACAACCCCUUACACAACCAGUGUCAUUACCGUCGAAAAGAAAAGCCAUAUUAGCUUCCAUUGGGAGAAAAACAUCCCAAAUGCAAAGCUCCUUUCUCUUCAGCCCAACAGACGCUAUGGCAUUUGUAACAAAAUUUGCUUUCUUAAAAAUAUACCUCCACUUGAUAUCAUGAAAAUUUGUUUGAAGCACACCACCUGGGAUCCAUUAUUUUGAAUUAAGCACUUUGUCAUAUUUACGAUACAGCGUUUUUCACGGACAAACUUACCAUCUAAUCUUAAUUUCAAGCACACCCAUCAGUGUCAUCACCAUUUUCCAUUCAGAGCGGAUUCAGGUAAAUCCAUCCAUCUAUCACGAAAGUGAGAAAUUCAUUCUCAGAGUGAAGUGAAUUGACUAUUGAAGUUCGUUUCUUCUUUUCUAUAUUUCCUUUUUUUUUUUAGGUCAAAGUUUUAUUUGAACUUGUGAAAUUGUGAUUAGAUGGUGGGUAGUGAAAUGAAAUUGUAAUUAGAUACAGUUUCUCUCUUAAUCGAAAUUGUGAAAUGAUGGAAUUAAACUCGGAAAAUUAAAGCCCACUUUUCAUGAAUUUUUCCGCGCGGCAAUUGUUGAUUUCUGCGCGUCAAGUAGCCAAGCACAUCAAAUCCAAUUCACAUCCCUCAAUUCCUGACUUGUUUUUUCCACACACAGACAUACUAUAAAAUCAGUUUCUAGUUAAAUACACUUUUCUUUUUCUUUUUUUAUAGAAAAUCUCGACGGUACGAAGAGAAUUUAUUGAUAUCGAAAGAAAAAAAAACACCUAAUUAGGGAGACAUAAACCUAACCUCUCAUAAUACAAGAAAAAAUGAUAAAAGAUACAUGAAAAAAGGAAGACAUAAACUUUACCCUUCUAGAAACAAAAACAACAAAGAUACAAGCAACAUCACAAGGUUAAGAAGAAAGAUAAGAAGGUGAGACAAACUUGUAUGCCUAGAUGCACAUUUAUUUGAGAAGCGGAAGUCAGGAAAGCCAACAUAGUCUGAAGAACCGUCAUAGGAUUUGAAUCAUGCCAUACCAAAGUUGGAGAAGACAAGACCAUGUUAGCAAAAGUGUCUGCAACCACAUUUCCUUCACGAUAUAUGUGAGAGGAUAGAAUGUCAUCUUUCGAAUGCAGUCCAAACAAAUAGACCAUUGCGUACGAAGAGGCUAAUGAGGAUCAAAAUUAGUCGAUUGGAGAGUAGAAACAACACUAGAAGAGUCAUUUUCCAGCCAAAGACAAUGUCGACCCCACUUAUAAGCAAACUCUACGCCAAUAAUAACUAUUGAUAGUUCUGCAAAAAAAAAAAGAGUUGCGAUGACAAUUCCUUGGCAGAAACCACCAUGAAACUGACCAUGCCAAUCUCGAAAGACUCAUUCACAAGCAAGAGCAAUGGAUCGAUACUAAGCAAUGGUAGCAGCCAUGGACGAAGGGAGGUAAGUCCUGGGGGGGUUUUAAACACCCCUUCUCCCUUUUUUUUCCCUCACGUACUAAUGUUUAAACCUUGCUGAGUUACAUGUAUUUGAUUAAUUAGUACGAAUGAGCAUUAGAUUUCCAAUACAACAAUUAAAAACAAAAUUAGACAAUAGGGUAAUAAAAUUAGUCAUUUGUAAAAAAAAAAAAAAAAAAAAAAAAAAAAAAAAAAAAAAAAAAAAAAAAAACUAGCUUUAUUUGUCCAAAAAAUGAGCUGAAAUUUUUAAGGUGCCCCCUCUUAGUUAAAUUUAUGGCUUCGUCCCUGGUAGCAACCCUUUCUACUUUAGGGGAUAAGGACCACAAAGUUGCAAUUAAUAUUUAGAUAAAGUCAGCCCCGCUUAAAAAAAUCUUGUACAAAUGCAAUAACAUCUAAAUCAACAAAUCCAAGCAUGAUUGAUAGAAAGAAGCAGGAAAAGAAUCACAUCCCGGAGCACUUGAGGGAUCCAUAGAAAAAAAAUGGCUUUUUUGAGUUCAUUAGCACAAGGUAAACAAGAAAGAGCAAGAUUUUCCUCUUCUUUAACCAUAGGUGGAAUUACACCACAAACAUCCUCAAUUCCAUUUGAAGUGAACAAAGAGUUAUAUAAAGAUUGAUAAAAGUUUACCACAUGACUAGCAAUAUCAACAAGGGAAGAUGGCACAUUAUCACCAUCCAAUAGAGUAACAAUCCUGAAAGAAGAAAGCCUACCUCGAGCAUAAGUAUGGAAAAAAACAAUAUUACGAUCACCUUUAGUAAGCCAAAAAGUUUCUCACAUAUGAAGAGCAUCUAGGACAGUUGUCUUAGCCACAGCUUCCUCAUUAAACCUCUCUUGAAAAUUCCCAUUAGAAAAACAGUAUUUUGGAUAUUAUGAAGUUUGUCCUUAGCAAUAGUGAUAUUUCUAUGGACAUUAGCAAAAACAUAACAAACAUGGGACACCCGUAUGCAAUAGUUGACUGCCAGCACUUAGCAACCAAAUUAGAAAAGCUUGAAUGUAAAGUCCACAUGGAUUGAAAUCGAAAAGGUCGGGGAUCCUCCAAGAAGAGUAGCAAAAGCUGAGAAAACAAGACAAUUAUGACCAGAAACUACCCUUGGCAAAGUUGAACAAUUUGUAUGAGGUCAAGACUGUAACUAGCGUGUGUUACAAAGAGAGCGGUCAAGAAGCCUCUCCAUGUAACCACAGACACUCCAACCAUUAGUCCAAGUAUAAAAAGCACAAGUAGUAUCCAUAUGAGUAAAUUCACAAAGCUCAAUAGCAGUACGAAAGUCCUCACACGAAAUUCGAGCAAGCGACUCCUCAUUUGUUCAUGAGCUCCAACAAUAGCAUUAAAGUCACCAAUUGCCAUCCAAGGUAUUGUAGUAUUAGAAUGAAUACUUAAAAGAUCACAUCAUAAAGCACGACGAAGACUCGAUGUAGUAGCCGCAUAAAAAAAAAAAAAGUAAACCGAGAAAGAACACCAUCAAAAGAAGCCUGAAAAGUAAUUUGUUGUCCUGAAGAAGAAAUCACAAUAGGAGAACAAUAACUCGUAGAAUACAAAACCCAAUUAUUAGGUAGUAAAUCACCCCUGUUAGUAGCAGUAAGCAAAGAAAGACCUAAUGAAUUCCAAUGACUAGAGGGAAUAGAAUUAAAAGUAACCAUAGGUUCAUAAAUGCAAACCAAUCCGAAUGAUGGGAAUGACAAACAUUGGAAAGCUCCGUAUGCUUAUCAGAAUUAACAAUACUACGAAAUAUUCCAGUAAACUAGCUUCAUUUGGAGGUUGAAAUAACUUGUCUUCUUGCCCUAGUAACAUAGGGUUCUUCUUGCCUAGCUGCAUUAGCUUUUUAUUUUUUUUAUUUUAUUUCUUUGCUGAGAUUUACUAAGAACGAGAGUAAAGUCAUUGGAUCCUACAUGCAUCCACAACAUUGACCUCUUUCGUCGUGCCAAAACCAGGUGGGACAUCCUCAUCAUCAUCAUAUUCAACAUGGGUAUUACCUUGGUUGGUUGUAACUCAAGAAGCAAUCCGUCUGCAUUUGUCUCUAACUGUCCAUGAUGCACUGCAAACGAAUCAAUUACCCUAUCAGUCAACAUACUUAACUCAUUAUUCACAACACUCAUUAGUAUUUGAUUUGCAAAACCGUUAACUUGGUCAGCAUGACGUUGCUCAAGAGAGCUACACAAUGGAAUCUCCAUGCCAUUAUGAAGUUCAAAAGUAUGUUCUUUGUGAAUAAUUUCAACUGAAGGAGAACGUCCCUUGUGAAUAGUAUCAACUGAAGGAGAAACAGUCUUAGUAGACGGUUUUGAACGAUAAACCUGAUGAGUUUUUGAUCAUCUGCGAUGAUGAAUCUCAACAUUUGGUUGCAUCCCAUCUUAGUGAUUACAAGCAUUUAACUGUCGAAUUUUACUCGUGUUAUGGCCAAUUACACCACAAGUUGGAGGCAAAUUCUCAUAAAUAAUAUCAGCAUAGAAACCAUGUUGUUCCCGCUCAACCGUAAUAGAUGAAGGCAAAUCAGCAGAGAGAUCCACAUCCACCAGAACUUUAGCAUAGUAGGCAUAUAAAUUUCACGUGUAGCAUGAUCCAACUGAAGUGGAAUACCCACACCAUGAGAAAUUUCCAUAAGAAUGCAAGGGUUCAAUAUUCUUGACUUGACCCAUAUAUUUUGAUCAAGACAUGUGCAUGAGUUUGGGGAAGCAUGUCACCAGGCUUGAAAUCCGGUUGCUAUUGAGACAACCUAAAAAUACCGAAUUGAAGUGUACAUGUUCCACCAACCCACACUUUUCUAAUGUCUUCUUCGGUGGAAAAGUGAAGAUCAAAAUAUCCCUUACCUAAUGAUACCAGUAGCCAAGGAUUGUGAAUCUUUCAUGGGUGCUUUUUUUUAAGCACCUCACUCCCAAACCACCCCUCAGUCUUCAUUGGCAUGGUACUUUUCUUUAACAAAAGUUUACCAAUGAGGUUUGUCCAGAAUGAGCACAGUUGUCUUGAUAAAGGCCCACUAAUUUGACAUCAGUCGCAUCUCUCUGAAUUAGGAGCAGGAAGUUGACUUAAAUUAACUGAACUUUCCUUACUAUUUGAGACAAUGGCAGCAAAGGUCCGUGCUUUCCAUACUAGUUGAGGAAGCCCCGGGCAUGAAGCACUUAGGUGACUUGUUCAUGAAAACCUCAACCUAGUCUACCUAGAACAAAAUUCAUUCCAAAAUAAUGUACAAAAAAAUAAGAAUAUAAAAUAGAAAAUUAUAACCUGAUCAAAGUGCAGCAGUUUUGAGAAAAGUGUUAAAAGUGUUCCAAAUCGUAGGACUCAAUGGAACUUAAUGCAGAAAGACCAAAUGCCUCCAAAAGCUGCAGCAAGUUUGAGUACAAAUCGCAGAACGAGCAAAUUGUAGAAAAUCACAAACCGCCCUAAGUUGCGAAUGAAACGACCGACGCAUCGCGUUCCUUUCUCCAAAAAACACAUAAACCACCCUCUAAAGACGCAAGACGAGAAGAGGGCAAUAAGCAGAUCAACCUGUUCAGAACAGUAAAGGACGAAGCGAUGUGGACAGAUGCGGGGAACGAUAAGCGGCUUCCCUUUUUUUGUCUUCUAGUUGAUAUCUUACAGCCAUUUCUUAAAUCAGUGUUAACGAAAAAGGUUUGGGCUAACUUUUAUUUAAUGAAAAACUACCUUAAACUAUUAUUUAAUAAAAAUGACUUAAGAUUUAAUCAUAAGGACACAAACUUAUAUCUCAAGUCCUACAAAAACUAAAACACACAGGUUCAACAAAAAGCCCAAACCAGAUAACAAUUAAUAUUCCAAAAUUACCCCUAACGGAACCUAACCCAACUUGUUGAGCCAAAAAUAAUCACAAAGCGACCCGAGGAUUUUUGGAAAAAAUAUGACAAAAAUACCCUUGAGGCAUACCAGGAUUCCUACGCGCGAACAGCAGGCAAUCAUCGCUCAAUCAAGUGAAAAGUGUCCAAAAUAAGUAACAAUUCAAAGCCUAUUGUAUCCAUCCUCAUCAAAUCCUAUUUCACCCAUAUGGGUUUGCUCUCGAGUGCGAGUGCGAGAGGAUAAACUAAUUAUUCUCUAGUGCAAGAGGUAAACCAAUUCCUAGACACCCAUAUGGGUUUGCUCUCGAGUACGAGAGAAUAAACUAAUUGCUCUCCAGUGCCAGAGGGUAAACUAAUUCCCCGACACCCAUCUGUGUAAGCUCUCCAGCGCAAGAAUGCUACAUAGCUCAAAAUAUCAAAUGCUUGAAUAUCAGCUAGGCAGCAAAUGGUCAGGGGGCAGCAGCCACUUUUGCACUUAACACACUACAAAAAAAUGAGCACUGUGCACAAUAAAUUAUCUAUGCCCUUUGAGGCCAAAAAGCACCAACAAGUGUGCUCAUAGACCAAUAGCAACAGUGUAGCUACUAUCUUUGUGUUUGUGCCCUCUAUGGGCGUCACCAUUGGGCACAAUACUGAGUUCUGUGCUCAUGAUGUCAGCACAAAUAAAGGGUGUUUUGUGCCUAACAAAGUUGUCAGACUACCAUUUCCAGCCAUGUUGGCACUUAAAAUGUAAUUGUGCCUGCAUGAAUUAAAUAUUAAAAAAAUUCAUAAUUUGAAAAAUUGAAACUGAAAUUGAGGUUUUUUUUUUUCAUAAAAUGUAGAAAGCCUACAAUACAUUCUCAAUCUCACAAACAUAUAUUGUAAUGUUACAUAUUUCAUCUCUGUUUGUACCAUACUUGACCAAUCCCGAAACUACCGAGCACCGGCCAACGCUAUACUGUCAAGGACCCAGAAGAGUUCCCCUCCGACCAGGAGGCUAAUCACUACUCGACACGUGUCAAGAUUAGAAGCCAAUCAGAGCGCAGCACGUGUCAACAUCAAGAACCAAUCAUAACAUGACACAUGUCAAUGUGACAAAGCUACAAGUUUUUCUAUAAAUAGGGGUCAUUCCCCCACAAUAUUGCCGAAUGCCAUUUGUGUUAAAUCAUUCACAAGAACUCACUAAAUUGAGAACUUGAUCCUUUGUACUUGUGUAAGCCCUUCACUACUAAUAAGAACUCCUCUACUCCGUGGACGUAGCCAAUCUGGGUGAACCACGUACAUCCUGUGUUUGCUUCUCUGUCUCUAUUCAUUUACGUACUUAUCCUCACUAGUGACCGAAGCAACCAAGCGAAGGUCAUAAAACCUGACACUUUCUGUUGUACCAAAGUCUUCGCUGAUUUUGUGCAUCAACAUUUGGCGCCGUCUGUGGGAAACGACACUUAUUCCUACUCUCUUCAGCUGUGUCAAGCUGGUUUCUAUCAUUCGUACACUUUCUUUUGAUCAGGCAUCCUUCUCCAGCAUAGGAAGCGAAGGAAGCCACAGCACACAGAAUGACACCCCCCUUGCACAUAGUGCGAAACAACGAAAGAAGGAAGGAAAACGAGUUCUUCUUCAAGCUAAAGUCGAUGAGUUGGAAGCUCAGAACAACAAGAUAGCAAUGAGGAAUGAGGUCCUCCAGGAGCAAUAUGAGAAGCUCUUCGAGACACUUCACGAAGCUAGGCAAGCUCAGACACGCGAGCUUGUUGCCCCCGUGGAAGUCAACCAUCAACUGGGUGCCCUCCAACAUGGAGGGUCACAUGCAUUCGACAUAGAUAUCCCUGAUAGGGAACAAAUUACCCCUCGAUUUGAUAAUCAACAUGAGGCUUCUCUUAACCCAGUUGCUUCGACCCGAACCAUGAGAAGCGGAGGGAGACACCUCUUUGCUGAAGGGGCAGAAGGAUCGAAAGCCGUCUUUCGCGAUUGUCGGGAUUUCCUGAAGCAACGUCGAGAGAAUUCCAUCCAUAUAAGCUCAAAGAUCAAUGACCCAAGGAUUUCUGAGAGACUCGGUCCCCUGCCACGGCCCGAGCCGGCCACCAACUUUGGGGAAGGGGCAACAAGUCCUAGAGAGACAUGAGGGUACAGGGGACUCAGAGGUGUUCCGACAGACAUACCCUGGAAGCCAGUACAGCGAGUCCAGGGAAAAAUCACAUGCCCUUGAUCAAACCUUCCUAAUUCCAAGAGGAGAUGGAGAUUUACGAAAGAAAGCUCCAGUGGCACAUAACUCCGCUCAGGACCCCCUUGUCCUACAACUUCUUGAGGAAGUAAACAAGUUGAAGGCUGAACGUCAGGCUGAAAUACCUGACUGGAACCAACCCAGGCCUGGCCCUCUUACAAGGAGGAUCCUCAACACCCCCUUCAAGCAAAGACAAAGCAGAAGCUUGGCUUGCAACUUUAUACUGGGAAAGAGGACCCGAUUGAGCACCUUAACCUCUUUGAGUCCACCAUGGCAUACCGGAUGCACACCGACGAAGAGUGAUGUCUUCUCUUCCCCUCCACCCUCUCUGGCGGAGCUCUAAAUUGGUAUUGUCGUCUUACACCUGAGACGGUAGACUCAUUUGAGGAAUUGAGGAAACUAUUUGUUUCCCAACACAUUUUCCAAACCGAUCGCUUGCAAUCUGCAGAUGACCUGUACACUAUCCACCAGAAGCCAGACGAGUCAUUACGUAUGUAUGCUGGCCGCUUCAGCCAUGAAUACUCCCGGUGUGCCGAGGCAGACGACAAGACUGCCCUCAAAGCCUUCACGGCAGGCCUACGUGAUUGUUUCUUUAAAUACAUGAUCAAUGCCAAUACUUGGAAGACUUACUCUGAGGUGAUGGCGCAGGCUUAUAACCAUGCCUCCGCCGAGGCAAAGACAUAUCAGGAGAAACCCCCUACAACCAUCCUUUAUCAACAAGUGGGAGGUGGAAGCCAGACUCACCUAAAUGAGAAGACCUCGACUUUCCAAACAGCAGUGGCACCUCCCCAUGCCUUGCAUAAUGCUUCACCGAAUCAACAGACAUAUCAAUUUCAAGGCAAGAGGAAGGAUUUCCAUCCUCACCACUCUCCUUUCAGUAAAAAGAGUAAGGGACACUAUCCCGAUAACCAAGGGUAUCGCCACAAUAACGCUCGCCCCCAGGCAGUCAAUGCAGUGGGUCAAACCCGCGUCAAGAUACCCCCUACCCCAAGGUAUGAGACAUACACGCCCUUGAAUGCCACAUGCGCGGCCAUUUACCCCAGCAUAGCUCACCUGAUACCAAAGCCAAAGCCGAGGCACCCAGAUUACACGCCCCCGAAUAACGCGGGCAUGUUUUGUUGCUACCAUGAGCAUAACGGCCAUGAUAGCGAGAAAUGUAUCAUCCUCCGUGAUCGUAUUGAAGCUUUGGCACGAGAAGGAAAAUUUGAUCAAUUCCUUCUUCACCCUCAAAGGGAUAACCGUAACCAACGCCAGGUGAAUGUCAUAUAUUCCAUAAGCGGCGGCACACCCAUAUCUGAAUCUUCCAAUAGGGCCAUGAAAAACAGUGAACGAAGUCUGAGGCCUGGUCACCAAGUGUUUCACGUGGAAGACAUCAGGGGAGGGAAGUAUCAAAAACCUAACUGGGAUCCGAUAUGUUUCUACCCUGAGGAAGAAAGAGGCAUCAUCUACCCUCAUAACGACCCAUUGAUCGUGGAGGCUCACAUAGCCAACUUUGAUGUUCGACGAAUCCUCGUAGACACAGGGGCUUCGGUCAAUAUCAUGUUUGCCGAAGCUUUCAAGGGCACUCAGUGUAGCUGAACACUUGCUCGAUCGCUCGAUUUCUCCUCUGAUAAGCUUCUCCGGUGAUAUCGUGCAACCCUUAGGGAGCAUACAUUUACCCUUUACUAUUGGUACAGGCCCUUACACGGCUACCAUUACCACUAACUUCCUAGUGGUUGACUGCCCAACGGCAUACAAUGUCAUCUUUGGGCGCACAGGCAUCAAUGAUCUCAAGGCUAUGGUAUCCACGCAUAUGCUGUUGAUGAAAUUUCCAACCCCCCAUGGCAACGGCUACAUCAGAGGAGAUCAGCUUAGUGCACGAUCAUGUUACAACACUUCAGUUAAGCAACAACACUUGCCCGGACCCAAGGAAACCCUGUCUGUACAUGACCAAGUCACAAAGACCAGCCUAGAUGAAGCGAACUUGGAUCUUCCUGAUAGCAACAAUCAACCCGAUGAUGAUCCUCGAGAUGACUCUUUCACCCAGCAAGCCCAACCUGCUGAAGAGUUGGAGAAGGUACCUAUCUCAAGAGAUUAUCCAGAUCGCAUGGUGAAGAUUGGCACCACAUUGUCACCACCCCUUCGGUUAGCAUUGAUAUCUUUUUUGAAAGAGAACACUGAAGUCUUCGCCUGGUCAUACGAGGACAUGCCAGGCAUCUCUCCCGAUGUCAUCUGUCAUCGUUUGAGUAUUGACCCCAAGAUCAAGCCGGUGAGACAGAAGCGAAGAUCUUUAUGACGCUGAACGAUACGAGGCAAUGAAAGCAGAAGUUGAAAAACUCAAAGGCAUAGGCUUUGUCCGCGAAGUCAAUUACCCGACAUGGGUAGCAAAUGUGGUCCUUGUUAGGAAAAAUCCGACCAAAGAAAGUCUUUCGCUUCAAAAGGUCUUGUGGAGGAUGUGUGUUGACUACACCGACCUAAACAAAGGGUGUCCGAAAGAUAGUUUCCCUCUUCCUCUUAUUGACAGGCUUAUAGACUCUACGGCAGGGUGUGAGCUCUUGAGCUUUAUGGACGCUUAUUCAGGAUACAACCAAAUCCUCAUGAACCCCUCAGACCAAGAACACACGGCCUUCACUACUGACAGGGGACUAUAUUGCUAUAAAGUCAUGCCUUUCGGCCUAAAGAAUGCAGGAGCAACUUAUCAGAGACUGGUCAAUUCAAUGUUCGCCGAACAAAUUGGGAAGAACAUGGAAGUUUACGUUGAUGAUAUGCUAGUCAAAAGCAAACAUGCUGACCAACACAUCACCAACCUAUCUGAAACUUUCACCAUUCUAAAGAGGUAUCGAAUGAGGUUGAACCCCAACAAAUGUGCCUUCGGCGUGGGCUCUGGCAAAUUCUUAGGCUUCAUGAUUAGCCAACGAGGCAUUGAAGCUAACCCUGAAAAGAUCAAAGCAAUCCUCGACAUGAAAGAGCCAAUAACUUCAAAAGACAUCCAAAGCCUUACUGGCAAGGUGGCAGCCUUAACCAGAUUCAUCUCUAAGGCCACAGACAGAUGUGCUCCUUUCUUCAAAGCACUCAAGGGAAAUAAGAAGUACAUUACAUGGACGGAGGAAUGUGCCAAGGCAUUCAGGAACCUCAAAGAGUACAUGAGUAAAGCCCCUCUGCUCUCCAAACCAGAAGUUGGUGACACUCUCAUCAUCUAUCUAUAUCGGUUUCGGCUUCAGCAGUCAGUUCUGUUCUUAUUCGAAUGGACAGUGGUGUCGAACGGCCCGUCUACUACGCUAGCAAGGCCCUACAAGAUGCGGAGACACGAUACUCCAACAUUGAGAAAUUAGCUCUAGCAUUGGUCAUGUCUGCUCGGAAACUUCGCCCUUAUUUCCAAGCACACGCCAUCAUCGUGCUUACCAAUCACCCUCUUCGACAGAUACUCCAGAGUCCUGACACGUCUGGACGAAUGAUCAAAUGGGCGAUAGCAUUGGUUGAGUUUGACAUCUCCUACCAACCAAAACCAGCCGAAAAAGGUCAAGCAGUAGCAGAUUUCAUCGCCGACUUCACAUAUCCUGUUGACAUUGCUUCUACACCUGAAGCAGUAGCUUCAUUACCAUCGGAAGCUCAGAAAGUAGAAUCAACGACCUCAGCAUGGAGUCUGUAUGUUGAUGGCUCAUCCAACCAACAGGGCUGUGGAGCAGGACUAGUCUUGACUACGCCCGACAAAGUAGCAAUGGAGUAUGCUCUUCGUUUCAAAUUCAAGGCAUCAAACAAUGAGGCCGAGUAUGAAGCCCUUCUAGCAGGAUUACGUUUGGCCAAACACAUCGGGGUUAAACAAAUUGAUAUUUUCAGUGACUCCCAAUUAGUGGUCAACCAGGUUACCAACAACUUUGAUGCUAGGGACAGCUCCAUGGCAGCAUAUCUUGCGCAAACACAACUUUUGCUCAAGCACUUCCACUACCAGAUCACCCAAGUUCCUCGAGCGGCAAACAGUCAUGCAGACGCCCUGGCUCGCCUCGCCUCAGCUGUGGAAGACAAGAUUGGAAGAAAAAUUCAUGUCGAACUGUUGGCCAAGCACCAUGGUCGCAGAAGUAUGCAACUUACAACAGGGGGAUAGUUGGAUCACCCCGAUCUAUACUUUCCUUGCUCAUGGCACCCUCCCAAAUGAUAAAGUCCAGGCUAAGCAAAUUCGAUACAAGUCUACCCGCUACCUAAUCAUCAAUGAUCAACUCUAUAAGCGAGGUUUUAGCCUGCCAUACUUAAGGUGUCUUACGCCUGCCGAGGCGGAAAUCGUCUUUCGGGAAAUACAUGAGGGAGUCUGUGGAGAUCAUGCUGGAUCUCGGUCCCUAGCACACAAGACUUUUCGCCAAGGAUAUUACUGGCCAACACUCCACCAGGAUGCCAUCAAAGUAUCCCGCUCAUGUGACAAAUGUCAACGAUAUGCAACUAUUCCUCAUUCCCCUCCAGAGCCUCUUACUCCUAUGAUCAGCCCUUGGCCCUUCGCCCAGUGGGGACUUGAUUUGAUCGGCCCAAUGCCGGCAGGGAAGGGCAAAGUCUGUUACGCAGUCGUUGCAGUGGACUACUUCACAAAGUGGGCCGAAGUAGAACCCUUGGCAACCAUUACUGAGGCAAAGAUAGAAGACUUCGUGUGGAAGAACAUCCUUUGUAGAUUCGGCAUUCCCAAUGCGAUAGUCACUGACAAUGGGCGACAGUUUGACAACAAGAAGUUUAGGUUGUUCUGCUCUAAGUUCAACAUCAACUUAUGCUUUGCCUCUCCAGCUCAUCCCCAGUCUAAUGGACAAGUUGAGGCCAUCAACAAAAUAAUCAAGCGCACUUUGAAAACCAGCUUGGACAAAGCUAAAGGCUGUUGGCCAGAAUUUGUACCCCAAGUUCUUUGGUCAUAUCGCACUUCAUAUCGGACUUCAACAGGAGAAACUCCAUUCUCACUUGCCUUUGGCACAGAGGCGGUUGUCCCUGUUGAGCUCGAGCAAGCAACAUUCCGAGUCCAGAACUACAUUCAAAGUGAAAAUGACAAACAACUCACCCUCAACUUGGAUUUAGUCGAGGAACACAGAAACCAAGCUCACUUGAGGAAUGUCGCCUACAAGCAGCGCAUCUCGAACUAUUAUGACUCUAGGGUCAAGCCUCGUUCUUUCAAAAUAGGAGACUGGGUCUUAAAAAAAAGAUUACUCUGCGACAGAGUCCCGAGUGAAGGCACACUUAGUCCAAACUGGGAUGGACCGUAUGAAGUCAUUGGCAUCAGUCGCCCUGGCUCUUACACACUUAGAAGCUCCGAUGGCAAGACCCUUGGCCAUCCAUGGAACGCUGAUCACUUGAAGUACUACUACAAAUAGACUCACGAUGUACAAAUGUUGAGCUAUAGCCGUUCGGCAUCCUAUGUAAUGAAGGCCAUUUGGCAAUGAAUUCAAUAAAGAGGUAAUUUAGCCAACUCAGCCCUCACUCUUUUACAUUCAUAGCAAGCGAUGCCGGAACCCUUCUCAAUCAGAAAGCAAUCCGUCUUCCACAGUCACUACAAAACAAGCAAAUGAAGACCGUGUCAAGCGCAAAAAAAAAAAAAAAAAAAAAAAAAAAAAAAAAACAGCUUCAUCCAAAAAGCUUCACCCGAAAAGCUUCACCUCCAAAGCUUCACCCACAAAGCUUCACCUAAAAAGCUUCACCCAAAAAGCUUCACCCGAAAAGCUUCACCUAAAAAGCUUCACCCAACAAGCUUCACCCGAAAAGCUUCACCUCCAAAGCUUCACCCACAAAGCUUCACCUAAAAAGCUUCACCCACAAAGCUUCACCAAAAAAAAAACUUCACCCGAAAAGCUUCACUUAAAAAAGCUUCACCUACAAAGCUUCACCUAAAAAAUCUUCACCUAGAAAGCUCCCUCUACAUACUUUCACCAUCAAAGCUUCACCAUCAAAGCUUCACCUAGAAAGCUUCAACACCAAAGCUUCACCUACAAAGCUUCAACACAAAACCUUGCUCCAAAUAAACAAAUUUUGUUCACAAAACCCAAGAUGCCCUUGAACUUGUACAAAAACAUUUGGGUAAACAUAAACAUUUUUUGUUUUACACCCACAAGGGCCCAAAAUUUUCCUUCUUAUUUAUUCACUUAUAUAUGUUCCCAAACAUAUUAUAAUAGAUCCAACAACAAGCCAAAGUCCCAAGUUUCAUAAUGGACAAAAGUACAAGCAAUUCAUCAAUAAUGAAGGUGCUACAAAAAUUGGAAUCUGCCCCAAAAUAGAAAUCCAACCCAAGAGACUUUUUCUCUCUCUCCCUCUUCCGCCUCCUUUCAUCUAUCAAAUUUCUGCAACCUCUGCUCUUCUCCAAUGGAGCUGAAUUUUGGACACCCUAUAGUUCUUGAGCAUAUGAACAACUUUCAAGAAGGAACCAUUUCUGUUUGAGCGACGGAAAUUAAAGUGUUGAAGCUCCAAACAUGAUAGUCGGCUUCUUGCAGAUUUCGAAGCUGUUGUGAUGUUUCGAAGAUCUGGAAAUAUUUAACCGUUAUUUCAUCCUGAAUUUUUGAUAUGUUAUGAAAGAGUCGAUGAGGAACAACUUCAAUGAAGAAAGCAUACCGAUCUGAACAAGAGAAAAUGGAGUUUCGAAGCUCACAACAAAUCUGACGGGUUGACAGAAAAAUAAUAACCCGUCAUUCAUCAUACCUGGAUUUCUGGAGUUAUACUGCUCCGAGGGAUCUCAAAUUUGGAUAUGUUGUAGUUCACAAGCUGAGGAACAACUUCAAUGAAGAAAGCAUGCUGAUCGGAGCAAGAGAAAAUAGAGUUUCAAAGCUCACAACAAAUCUGACGGGUUGACAGACAAAUGAUAAACAGUCACUCAUCAUACCUGGAUUUCUGGAGUUAUACUGCUCCGAGGGACCUCAAAUUUGGAUAUGUUGUAGUUCACAAGUUAAGGAACAACUUCGAUGAAGAAAGUAUGUUGAUCUGAACAAGAGAAAAUGGAGUUUCGAAGCUCACAACAAGUCUGACGGAUUAACAGAACAUUGAUGAACAGUUACUCAUCAUACUUGAAUUUCUGAAGUUGUACUACUCCGAUGGAUCUCAAAUUUGGAUAUGUUGUAGUUCACAAGAUAAGGAAAAACUUUCAUGAAGACGACUUUGCAAUCUGAGCUAUAGAGAAAGGUGUUAUCUUGCAUCCACUCAGGCUGAUUAGUGGAAACGAAAAGCAAUUCCACCAAAGAAAAGAUGAAAAAGAGAGAAAAGCCACUAAUUGCACUUGAUCUUGUCUAGUCAAUAGCAUGCAACAUCAAACACACAAAAGUUGGAAAUAUUUUUAGAUAAAGCAUAUACGAAUGUGUGACAUCGAAACAAGAAUUCGUUACUUUGACAAAUUAGUAACACGCGAGACACCUCAUUCGGCAACUCUCUUCGCCUGAAGACUUGGGGGACUCCCACCAUAUGCUACUGCACCUUGAUACUCGGCAGUCUCACAACCACUCAGUGACUUGGAUUUUUCAAGUCUCCAACCGAGAAGUUUUCCUCACUCGGGAAAUUAAGGGAACACUACCUCAAACUACAUGCUUCACUCACAAAGCUUCAACAAUACAGGUUUCAACAAAAGCAAAAAUUCAAAGAACUUUAUGAAGAAGGCUUUGGUGUAUUUAACACAAUAUGUUGAAAUGAAGCAAAGCUUAUUUAUUAAUAUUUUCGAUAAGCCACAAAUAUGUACAUAUACAUGAGUCAAAAUAAACAAACAAAAGGGAGCCUUCACAAAGGUUGCUUAGGGGAAGUCUCAGCAGUCGGUAGAGCCCCAGAAAGAGAAAGCACCAGAGGGUGGUUAUCCGGAGCCUCAGUACUUGACAAAACCCCAAAAGGAGGAGGCAUUGGAGGUUCAUCAUUUGAAGCUUCAUUACCAGGUACAGCCCCAGAGGACGAAGGCAAUAAAUGCCUUUGGAACAAACCCACAAACCGCUGAUGAUCAAGUAAAACCUUACCAUCAGAUUCCUUCAUCUGGUCAAGCUUCCUCUUCAUGUUUGUAGCAUAGUCAUGGGCGAGCCGGUGCAACUGCUUAUUCUCAUGCUUGAGCCCUCUAAUCUCCUGUUUGAGACUCAUCACUUCAGCAGCCAAUGAUUCAACUUGGCGGGUUCUAGCAAAUAGGCGUUGGGCCAUAUUAGACACAGAAUCUGCACACUGAACACUAAGAGCCAAAGAGUCCUUAACAGCCAACUCAUCAGACCGUUUGGAAAGUAGUCUGUUAUCUUUGGGAGUGAGAAGGUUCCUGGCCACCACUGCAGCGGUCAUAUCAUUCUUCAUCACAGAAUCCCCAACGGUAAGAGGACCAGUAGGGGAUAUGAAGGAUGGGCGCCAUAUGUUGUCUGGAGAAGGCGUGGCUGUCUCUUCUCCAAGGUUCAAGUCAAAACGACUGUCGGAGGGUCCAGACAUUUUCAAAUGUGUUGAAGAGGGAAGAGGUCAGACAAAUCAAGAUCUUAGAAGUGCAAGAAAUGAGCUUCUACUGGUAGAGAUUCAAGUGUGCUGUGGAACUUAAUGCCAGCCUCUAUAAAAAUCUGCACUCGACGGAGCUUCAGAAAUCGAAGAGGCGUUUGCUUUCUCAAAAGCUGGACUGCUCAGAGACCACGAGGGCCGAUCUCAGAAAUCGAAGAGGCGUUUGCUUUCUCAAAAGCUGGGCUGCUCAGAGACCACGAGGGCCGAUCUCAGAAAUCGAAGAAGCACCUGCUUUUUCAGCCUCGUCAGCACCUGUCACAUGCACAAUCAGCUUUGCGGAAAUUACGGGCACUCUGUUGAAGAUUUCUGGUGAAGUAGAAAGCACGUGAAUCUUACUGAUCAAUCAUCGCUCUCCAUAUGCACCAUCAACUCCUCGGGUACCACAUAUAACUUUGUCAAAGAUCUCUGACAAAGUUUAGGCACGAGAAUUUCGAAGUUCCAGCUACCCUACUAUUACCCAUAAGGGUAAAGGAACAGCACCACUGCUUGACAACUGGAAAGUCCCUAUGUGUGUCGACCUCCGUGUUUUGCGGCAGGACAGGUUGGCAAGAACGUCCAACCUUUACUCACAUUCGAGAAAAGACUCCCAACAUAAUUACUUUCUCAAAAACCGGAGUAGCACCGCUUUCCGAAUCUCGAGAGUCAGAUCCUCGACGGGAUUGCUUGUUCGAAAACCGAAGAGGCACAACUCUCAGAACUUCGAGAGCCAGAUUUCCUUAGAUAAAGCUUGUCUGUAAUCUCCACACGUAAUAUAUCAGCUUUCCAGAUACCACAUACCACUUUUUCAAAGUGCUCUGACAAAAUUAAAACACGUGAAGCUGGCAGCUCCCACUACAUUGCUGUGACCAAGAAGGGUAAAGGAAUAGCAUUACUACUUGUUAUUGGGAAAUCCCUAUAUACAUUGACCUCCCUCCUCAACGGACAGGCAAACCUGCAAAAAUGCUCAACCCUUUCUCGCAUUCGAAAAGGCACCCUCAACAUAACCUCUCGAAAUACUCAGCUUUAUUUCCCCCCGAUAAUACCUCAGCAAAUAAGCCACACCAAGAACAAGAGUAUCUCAUAUCAUCAGGGUCGAAAGCAAGAGUAUCCCAUAUCAUGCUUUCUCCCUGUCUUUGUCUUUGUCCUUGUCCACACCUGCAGGACAAGGAGAAAGAGAGCAGUCAGUCGGAACCUGAAAUCAAACCUCCAAUUUGGAACUGACUGCCUGGAGCCUUUGCCUGGUUGCUUACUUAGCAUUGCUCUCGAGUACUCAUCCUCAACUGCUGUCAAGGUCACGAAUUCCACCGGCAAAUACCUCAUGACAGUUGAUCAGAUAUUGGCUCUUUACACUGAAGCUGCCAAGCGUGGAUGAGUCACUAUGAAGGAAUGUUCUGAAGGACCAUUUAAAUGCAAAGGUUGCACACCACUUCUGCCAUGCAAAAGAUUGAAGCAGAAGGUUCAACGGUGAGCUGAAACAGAUCACUACAGCACGACACAUUUCCAUACCACAUUCAUUAUUCCGUCAACAGCAAAAGUAUCCCAUAUCAUCAAGGUCGAACGUACUCUAGAUUUGAUGGACUUGUUUUGACCCUCAAAUUUUUGAGUCGGCCUUAUACUCUGAAGGGCACCAGAAAACCCUCCAGCACAGUUCAAGAAUAAGCCUGUGGAAAGUUACUUCUUCAAAAGCAAAAGUAUCUCAUAUCAUCUCUUAUCCAUUUGCUUCUCCUUAUCCUGGCAGUUGAAUGAGAGACAAGGAGAAUGAGAACAAUCAACCGGAAGCCGAAGUCAAACCUCUGAUCCUGGGUUGCUUACUUGGAAGUUUGACUGCUUACCUUGUCUGUCACCUCUUUCGGCAGAUCUCCUAGCUCGGCGACUUGGGGGACUCCUACUAUAGGGUUUGUAUCACACUUGACUAAGCCCGAAACUACAACUAAGCUUCAAGUGAAAUUGAUACAUUACCUUGUGCGUCAACAUCAGCUAAAUACACCAUUCCCGGAUGAAGGAAAGGUACUUCCAGAGAAGGGCAGAUGAAGAUCAGACCACACUUCGGUACUUAGAAGUUUCGUGAUUACUCAAGGGAUUGGAUCUUGCAAGUCCCCAACCGAGGAGUUUCCCUCACUCGGGAACUUAGGGGAGCACUGUUUGUACCAUACUUGACCAAUCCCGAAACUACCGAGCACCGGCCAACGCUAUACUGUCAAGGACCCAGAAGAGUUCCCCUCCGACCAGGAGGCCAAUCACUACUGACACGUGUUAAGAUUAGAAGCCAAUCAGAGUGCAGCACGUGUCAACAUCAAGAACCAAUCAUAACAUGACACAUGUCAAUGUGACAAAGCUACAAGUUUUUCUAUAAAUAGGGGUCAUUCCCCCACAAUAUUGUCGAAUGCCAUUUGUGUUAAAUCAUUCACAAGAACUCACUAAAUUGAGAGCUUGAUCCUUUGUACUUGUGUAAGCCCUUCACUACUAAUAAGAACUCCUCUACUCCGUGGACGUAGCCAAUCUGGGUGAACCACGUACAUCCUGUGUUUGCUUCUCUGUCUCUAUUCAUUUACGUACUUAUCCUCACUAGUGACCGAAGCAACCAAGCGAAGGUCAUAAAACCUGACACUUUCUGUUGUACCAAAGUCUUCGCUGAUUUUGUGCAUCAACAAUCUCUAAUGCAAAAAGAACUUGAAAGCAGACAUUUUUGGACAGAUGCAUCUUCCCCAGCAAGCCUUGCACCUCAUCAAAUCUCUGCUGCUCCAUAAAUGAAUUAAUGAAGAUGAUCAUCAAGAGAAGAUCUUCCAUUUCUGUUUAAGUAUUCCUUCAAAUAGUUUUUCCCUAUCCUCCUACACAACAACAUUAGUAAACUCAAUAAUUUAAUGAUUAUAGUAAUGUAAAACAAGAUAAUUUUAAUACAUAAGAAUAGAACCUCCAACAAUAUGCAAUUGAAAUAUAAGUUUUUCCACUAUAAGAACAUCACCGUACCUUGAAAUUCUGGACAUCAGUAAGUGGAUAAGCAAGACAAAAGUUGGUACUUACAACAACAAAAGUUGAUAAUUAUCCUAAAUAAUGUCAUUUUGGCCUACAAGAGAUCGCAAACCAAGUCACAUUUUCACCAAGGAUGGGAAGUUCAUGAGUUGGAGGGCAAACAUAUUUCAUAGUGGUCAGAGAAAGUAAACUUCAGAAAGAAAAAGAAAUGUGCAAGGUUUUGAGAGGAUAGAUGUACACAUGUCUCACCUGGCUUGCAACAAGGAGAACUGCAUUGGCAUUUUCUUUCUUGUAAUUUAUCUAAAUGUGUUUUUGUCACCAUUGCAACCCGAUCAAUGUAUGGCUCGGUAUAUUUCUUAGCUUCCUGCAAUAACACAGAAAUGCCAUAAGAAAGAAUUCCAUCCACCAAAUCCAUAUAUUUAAAAAGUUCGCUUGAGGGGCUCACCUGAAUGUAAGGAUCUGCCAUAUUUUGUGCCUUGAAAACAAGUGGUCAUAUAGAACUCUUUGAUGAACGAUAUACAUCAACAGUUUUUGUAGUGACUAAUCAAAUGUUUGGUUCAAGAUAGGCUUUGAAUUCCAAAGACUGUUUCUUCAACCUUGGGAUCCAGUUCUUCAAAUUAAAAGAGGAAGAAUUAGAAAGGUUGCCAACUUGGUUCAAUAUCUCAAAUAGAAAAGUUGAAUGUACACUAAUUGUUCAGAAAAGAGGAAGAUGUCAAACACCAAAGCUGAGUCUAAUGACUUCAGAAUUUAUUAGUAAGAUAGGCUCUUGCUGCUUUAUGUUCCUCUUCAGAACUCGAGUUUUGAAACUCAAAUUUUGCCACUUAAUCCCAUAAAACGCAACUUGUGUCUCACUUUGUAUUUUGUAUUAUAUGAAGAAGAGUUGGGGAUAACAUAUUGUUCUGAUUCUUUCAACGAUGAUCCCAGCCCAACCCUUACCAUGAGCUUUCAUUUUUAAGGCCUGAGGACAAACAAAUAAAUGAAUACUUGGCUAUUCCAGUUUAUUCACCUGGCAAGUGAACAUCUUUAUUGGAGAAGUUUAACGAAUAAAGUUUGGAAUAUCAGACACACCUUUUCAAUUCCCAGAUUGAAGGCUGGUCUUCCAAGCUCAUUCCAGUAAGUCACAAUGUACGUCUGCACAUAAAUAUUGUGUCAUGAAAUUAGACUGACAUUGUUAUCCAACUAAUCUGCGUGGAUUUACCUGAAAAUAAUCUACAUGAACUCCAAAUGUAUGUGGAAGCCAUCCUCCAUGGACCUGAUCAUGGGUCAUAGCAGGAUUUAACUAUUGGCAGUAUGGUGAACUUAAUUUUAAAGUACUUGUAAAUGGUAACAAGAACAUGAUACGCUUCACUGUUAUUCAAGCUUAAAAGUUUGCAUAUGAUUAAUAAGAGAUGGGGCCAUAACAGAAUCCACCUUUAGGCAAUUGAUAAAUUUACUAAUUGACUAGUCUCACUAAACGAGGUAAAGACACAAGAAUUAAACCUAAAGUGAUAACAACAACGUUACCAACAACAGCAGGCAUUAGAAAAUUAUAGCAUUACCAUUUCCUUACCUUAGUCAAAUCUUCAAAUAUCGAAGAAAUCCCAAACUUCUCCUUCACCAUUUCUUUCUGAGAUAUCAAAAAAAUUAAUACCAUAUAGCAAUUGAUAGUUUCAGGUAGCAAAUAAACGGACAACAAACCUCUGCAACUUGAAGAUCAUGUUCAGUUUUCCGAAUUCCAGUCUUUUGUUCAUCAUUUACUUUUCAAAGCUGAAAAAGAAUAGAAAGAGAGAUUAAAUUGGCCAAUUAAAUUACACUAAAGUCUGCUUUUACAAAGAAAUUUUGCACCCAUGGAAAAUUAAACUUGAUUACAGAUUGUCUAGUUGUAUACACCAUGUAGGACCUUGACCGCAGAACUCCACAAUGAAGGGAUAUCUGAUCUACAACUCCAUAGAUAUUUAAAAGCUUUCAGAACUAAUCAAAACAAUUCAAAAUAACAUCAAAUCCUACGAGAAAACAGCUUCUCUUAAAAACACGCGAUUACUAAAAGAAAUAAUAUUGUAUAUCCAUGGCACCUGAACAACCAACACAUGUUUACAAGUAUACAAUUGUACUUUAAAAAUGAAAGGAGAUAAAGAUGAAAGCACUAAUCAUCCUCUUCCUCUUCUCUUACCUCUCAUUCUCUCCCUCCUCAUUCCAAGUCGCCGACUCCCAAUUCGAAGGCUACGGGACGAAAUAAAUGAGGACAACGACGACUACUCCUCACUCCCUCUUUCAACUCGCACCCGCCUUUUCCUCACCACCGCCUCCCAACCCGACUCACCUUCUGAUCUCUCCCUACCAGACCCGAUUCCCAACCUGAUUCCCGAUUCCCGAUUCGGACUCACCAUGUAUCCAUCUUCCCAAACCUUCCUUCACCAGCUUCGUGUAUUGGGAUGAAGAUGAGUUCGAAUGCCUCCCACUCCAACCCUAGAAAAUGCCCCUCAAUGACCCUGCAGUUACCAAAACUGCGAUUACCUCCUCCGAUUCCGAUUAUGAUUCCAAACUCUCCACCGAUCCCAACACCCCGCCGCUCCGAGAUCCUUUCUUGUGGAGAUCGUGUGCGGAGGGUUCCUACCAAGGUUUUCUGGCAACGAUGGAACUCAAGAGCCUCCACGAUUUGAUCUGGGGAAGGUAGUGAGAGAAAGGAGGUUGGAGAGAGAGAGAGAGUCUAAGGGAGGCAGAGAGAGAGAUGAGAGAACGGGAAGGAAGGGGUGCGGUGUGGGUGGGUUUAGGGGAGAGAGAGAAAAUGGGGUCUGGGGCCACAAGUAUAUGACAAAUAAUAAAAAACAAAUAAUUGUGCCUAGACCUGGCAGUUUUUGACACGACACAGUGACACGAUACGAAAAUAACAUGAAAAUAACGGGUUUCGGGUCAACACGAUAACUUAUUAGGUCAUUAUCGGGUGACCCGUUAAGAACCCAUUAAUAACGGGUUCUUAACAGGUAUACAUGCGAGUAACACGUGGGUAACCAGUUUCGACCCGUUAAGAAAAAAAUUAUUUUAAUAAUUUUAAAGUUUAAUUACUAAAAGAUUUAUUAUAAAAUACAAUAGUCAUAUUAAUAUAUACAAUAUAUUCUAUAUUAAAUAUAUAGUUUUGUAUUAUUGUUCUAUAUAAAUUAUAAAAAAAUUUAAAAAAAAGUUUUAGUCAUUAUUUAUUUUUAUUAUGAGAGUUCCUUAUUAUCAUUACUAAGAUAAAUUUUACAUACCAUAUUCUUGUCCAAAAUUAAAAUAUACUAGUAUAGUAUUUGUAUAUGCAAGAACUAAGAAGACAUACAUACAAGUAUGAAAAAUGUGAAAGAAUAUAUAAACACUCGUGAUUUAUCAUCAUUCCUCCACGAAUAGAUCAUUGUUACACUUAUAUUAUCGUUUAGAUUUUUAAAAUCCUUCAAACCCUCAUGAAUAAUGUUUUUUAUUUGAGGGAAAAAUUAAUAAAAUUAAUAAUAAUUAUUGUAGAAGUGUAAAAAAUGUAAAAAUAUAUAUAUACAAUCACUCAUAUAUAAAAAAAAUGUAAAUGCUUUAAAUUAAAGAUCAAAUUUAUUCAUUACAUUCUUAUAAGGUCGAGGAGUGUAUAUGUACAAAAUCAUCAAAAUCGAAGCUAAAAUAACCGUUAAAUUGUGAUUUUUCGUUUAUAACCGUCAACAACUUUUGUUCCGUUACGUAAUCUCUGAAUGUUUGUUUUUUACAAUUUUUUACGUUUGCAAUCUCGGAAUGUGUACAAAUAAGUUUGACGGUUUGAUCGUUGAAAAAAGUUUCGUAGAAUGCAUAUUGCAUCAAAACGGUAUAUUAAACAAACACUUAGGGUUAAUAUUAUACUUCUAUUAAGUAUAAAAUAAGUUUUUGUGGUAUCCACUAGUGUAAAUACUUUAAAUUAAAGAUCAAUUUAUUCAUUACAUUCUUAUAGGGUCGAGGAGUGUAUUUGUAAAAAAUCAUCAAAAUCGGAGCUUAAAUAACCGUUAAAUUGUGAUUUUUCGUUUAUAACCGUCAAAAUCUUUUGUUCCGUUACGUAAUCUCUGAAUGUUUGUUUUUUAUGAUUUUUUACGUAUGCGAUCUCGGAAUGUCUACAAAUAAGUUUGACGGUUGGAUCGUUGAAAAAAGUUUUGUAGAAUGCAUAUUGCGUCAAAACAGUAGAUUAAACAAACACUUAGAGUUAAUUUUAUACUUCUAUUAAGUAUAAAAUAAGUUUUUGUGGUAUCCACUAGUGUAAAUACUUUAAAUUAAAGAUCAAAUGUAUUCAUUACAUUCUUAUAUGGUCGAGGAGUGUAUCUGUAAAAAAAUCAUCAAAAUCGGAGUUAAAAUAACCGUUAAAUUGUGAUUUUUCGUUUAUAACCGUCGAAAACUUUUGUUCCGUUACAUAAUCUCUGAAUGUUUGUUUUUUACGAUUUUUUACGUGUGCAAUCUCGAAAUGUGUACAAAUAAGUUUGAGAGUUGGAUCGUUGAAAAAAGUUUCGUAGAAUGCAUAUUGAGUCAAAAUAGUAGAUUAAACAAACACUUAAAGUUAAUAUUAUACUUCAAUUAAGUAUAAAAAAACACUAGUGUAAAUACUUUAAAUUAAAGAUCAAAUUUAUUCAUUACAUUCUUAUAGGGUCAAGGAGUGUAUCUGUAAAAAAAUCAUCAAAAUCGGAGCUCAAAUAAUCGUUAAAUUUUGAUUUUUCGUUUAUAAUCGUCGAAAACUUUUGUUCCGUUACGUAAUCUCUGAAUGUUUGUUUUUUAUGAUUUUUUACGUAUGCGAUCUCAGAAUGUGUAAAAAUAAGUUUGACGGUUGGAUCGUUGAAAAAAGUUUUGUAGAAUGCAUAUUGCGUCAAAACAGUAGAUUAAACAAACACUUAAGAGUUAAUUAAUCUAUUAAGUAUAAAAUAAGUUUUUGUGGUAUCCACUAGUGUAAAUACUUUAAAUUAAAGAUCAAAUUUAUUCAUUACAUUCUUAUAGGUCGAGGAGUCUAUCUGUAAAAAAUCAUCAAAAUCGGAGAUAAAAUAACCGUUAAAUUGUGAUUUUUCGUUUAUAACCGUCAAAAACUUUUGUGCCAUUACGUAAUCUCUGAAUGUUUGUUUUUUACGAUUUUUUACGUAUGUGAUCUCGAAAUGUGUACAAAAAGUUUGACGGUUGGAUCAUUAAAAAAAGUUUCGUAGAAUCCAUAUUGCAUCAAAACGGUAGAUUAAACAAACACUUAGAGUUAAUAUUAUACUUCUAUUAAGUAUAAAAUAAGUUUUGUGGUAUCCAUAGUGUAAAUACUUUAAAUUAAAGAUCAAAUUUAUUCAUUACAUUCUUAUAGGGUCGAGGAGUGUAUAUGUAAAAAAUCAUCAAAAUUGGAGCUCAAAUAACCGUUAAAUUAUGAUUUUUCGUUUAUAACCGUCAACAACUUUUGUUACGUUACGUAAUCUCUGAAUGUUUGUUUUUUAUGAUUUUUUACGUAUGCGAUCUCGGAAUGUGUACAAAUAAGUUUGACGGUUGGAUCAUUGAAAAAAGUUUUGUAGAAUGCAUAUUGCGUCAAAACAGUAGAUUAAACAAACACUUAGAGUUAAUAUUAUAUUUCUAUUAAGUAUAAAAUAAGUUUUUGUGGUAUCCACUAGUGUAAAUACUUUAAAUUAAAUAUCAAAUUUAUUCAUUACAUUCUUAUAGGUCGAGGAGUCUAUCUGUAAAAAAUCAUCAAAAUCGGAGAUAAAAUAACCGUUAAAUUAUGAUUUUUCGUUUACAACCGUCGAAAACUUUUGUUCCGUUACGUAAUCUCUGAAUGUUUGUUUUUUACGGUAUUUUACGUAUGCGAUCUCGGAAUGUGUACAAAUAAGUUUGACAGUUGGAUCGUUGAAAAAAGUUUCGUAGAAUGCAUAUUGCGUCAAAACGGUAGAUUAAACAAACACUUAGAGUUAAUAUUAUACUUCUAUUAAGUAUAAAAUAAGUUUUUGUGGUAUCCACUAGUGUAAAUACUUUAAAUUAAAGAUCAAAUUUAUUCAUUACAUUCUUAUAGGGUCGAGGAGUGUAUCUGUAAAAAAUCAUCAAAAUCGAAGCUAAAAUAACCGUUAAAUUGUGAUUUUUCGUUUAUAACCGUCGAUAACUUUUGUUCCGUUACGUAAUCUCUGAAUGUUUUUUUUUUACAAUUUUUUACGUAUGCAAUCUUGGAAUGUGUACAAAUACGUUUGACGGUUGGAUCGUUGAAAGAAGUUUUUGGACAGCCAGCAAUAGAUAAUUUUGUAGUAGUGAAACCUUAAAUUUAGUUAACCGUCGAUUGUCAUUUACGCUUUAUUCUUAUUACUGAAUUUCAUUUUUAAAAUUUUAUUUUUAGAAAACAUGAUCAUCUGCGCGGAUGUAAGAAGAUGAUAUCACGUUUCGAUAUUUACGGUUAACUGAAAUAUGAGUCAAUGUCAUAUAAUUUGUAGAAACUUUAUAAACAUCAAGCAAUAUUUUCACUAACCAUAAAACCCUAAAUAUAAUAUCAAUGAUCCAAACCAUUCAUCUACCUGCACCCUCUAAUAGAUCAUGUUUUCAAAAAAGAAAAUCUAAAAAAACGAAAUUUGAUGAGAACAAUGAAGCAUAAAUGUAAACAACAAUCAACGGUUAAAUUUUGAUCUAUGAUUUAUAUGAUUAUAGUGGCGAAUUUCGAAGUUAAGCUCUUCAUGAAAGUUAUAAAACUUGUCAUUACGAGUGUUUAUAUAUUUUUUUCUAUAUUUUUUUACACUUCUACAUUAAUUAAAAAACUAUUAAAGACUUUAGGUAAACGAAAAUAUACUUAAAACAAAAUUGCGUUUUUAUGUUUUUGAUGUGAUAAUAUGGAAUGUAUAUACUUAUUUAGUAUUAUGUUUUCAUUUGAUUAUUUAUUGGUUUAAAAUAUAUUUUCCUUAACGGGUAACGGGUCGGGUCAUAUUACCUGUUAAUAUUAUCGGGUCGAUUUCGGGUCGGGUCAUUUUACCCGUUUAUUUUAACAGGUGUUAUGAUGAGUAGAUUUUAUAUUAUAUAUUUUACCCUAAUCUUUGUAUAUUUUGGUUAAUAUUUUGGAAGAAUUUUGAUACUUUGAAUUGUAUUUUCAAUAUAGGACUUUGGAUUUCCUCUGGAGAAAAACAGGACCAAAUGGACGAAUUUUGGAGUAAUUCUAGUUGGAGAACGUUCAUGAGUCACUUAGCUUAAUCGUAUCAAAAUUUUGGAUUUUUCCACCAAGCGGUUAUUUUCUGGCGAUAAAAUAAAGAAGCAGUGCGCAGUGCUGGAAAAUGGCGUUUUUGGGCUUAAAUUGCAUUUUUGGAGCCCAAGAUGACCUCGAAUGGGUUCGUGGCCUUCUGGAGAAGUGUUCAGAAUAUUCCAAACAUUAAAUCCAGCUAUAUUGGGCCAUUUUUGGAGCAGCUUAUGGGCCAAAACGUGGCUGUUCAGAUUUUAGACGAAUUUUAUCAUUUAAUUUAGGGUUAUGUUUCCUAGGGUUUGUGUGGAGGCUUAGCAGAUAUAUUGCUUGGCCGUCUACAGUUUUUGGGGACAAUAUUUUUUUUAUGCAAUUUUGGAGACAGAGAGAAGUGCUAGGGUUUUGGAGAUUUUCUACUUGAAGGUGUUUUCAAUCCUUUUCUUAAGAAUAUUUUCUAUGAUUUCAAUUAUGAGUAUGCGUAACUAAUUCCUUUUGCUAGGGCGAAGCCUUGAGCCUUAGCAUGAAUAUGUGAUUUUUAUUUAAUUGCUUAUGAUUGAUUGCAUGCAUACUUUGAAUUGUUAAUCACCGGGAUAAAAAGUAUCUAAUUGCUUUAAUGGCUGAUCACCAUUAGGAUCUUUAGAAAAGUAAUUUGAUGCAAUUUUGGUCAGAAGGUUCCCUGAAAUUGACGCUGGCUUCUUGUGAUUAAUAAUUGUAAUUUCGCUUAGGAUGAAUAUCACGUCUUAAGGAUUGCAUGGUUUUUCAAAGGAUUUUCAUAAAGCGUAAUGAGUCUUUCAUGUUCAGAUUUGAUCCGAACGUCCGGACGGGUUGCAUGUUAGAUAUACGUUAUAUGUUGGAGGUUCCAAGUAGAAUAUGAAUUAGGAAAAUCUAACCUUCAAAGUGGCAUGUGUAGAUUAUAAGUAAUUGGUAAAAAUUCAUAGGAUUGCUAGGUGAUGGUGGAACCCUAGUGUUUUCUUAAUUUGAUUCUCCCAAAACUGUUUUCUUCUCUCUAGCUCUAAUAUUGCAGAUUGUUUAUUUUAAUUCAUUAAUUUCGUUUUUAUUUUAAUUAGGUUAUAAAAUCAAUCACCUAAACUUCUACUUUACAAUAAUUAAAUGGAAUCUGAUUAGUUUUGAAUUAUUUAAUAAUCCAUGUGGAGACGACCUUGCGAGAUCCGUUUAUACUACAAUAACUUCGUGAUUCUUGCAAGUAAAAUAGGAGAAUUAAGCCCGUUCACAUGAGUAGUAAAAAUCCUAUCAAGAAAAUGGCGCCGUUGCCGGGGAUCGAACCCGGGUCACCCAAGACAACUAGCUAAAACUCAACCAUGACAAAACUUCCACCUUCAAGUUGGCAAUCCAUAGCAAAUUUAAAAAACUAGAACAUUUUCAAAAGUUCCAACCAAUCCCACCACAGAGUCUAAACCAUUUAGAAUCAAUUAGAAAGGAAUUCACAAACUUCAUUUGGUGUAAAGUGAACCACAUAGUUAAAGGGACUCGACUAAAACCCUUACCUCUAGUCUUUCUUUAUUUCACACAUACUAACUUUAAAUAUAACUCUCUUUCUUUUUUUUCUUUUUCAAUUAUUUUUUCUCUUUUUUUUUCAUAUAUAACAUUUUUUUUUCAAUAACAGUAGUGGUCGUGCAAUGUUGGUUCACUUAAGCUUUCGAUCCAACCCAUGUAGCGAGCUUUAGGUCAAUGACACCCAAACCACUAGGGCUUUAGGGCACUAGGUGUAGAACACCCCUAAGGACUUAUUAACUCGAACUGAAAAGGCUACGAAACCAACUAACCAUCCUGCCCCAUGCCAAAACUCUACCGUUUGACGCGAGAAUCACUGCUGAUUAGGCAGGACUGGCCCGGUUACUAGGCAAAACCUCGGGUGAGACAAUUAUUACUUUAUUCACAAUAAUAACUGACUUUACUUAAAACAAAAAUUAAAAAUAAACUUAGACUAAAAGCAAGUGUUUCAAUCUCACUCCCCACAAACCAUGUUGGUGUGAUGUGCAAAGUUCAAAGUAUAAUUCAUGAAUUAGUGUCUAAGCAACGAUAAAUAGAAAAGACUCUACUGUGGGAUUAAUCUUCACCAUGUCCAUUUGUUCCAACAUUUAAAAUAAUCUAUGGAUAUUAACUUAAGAAGAAUGAAAAUUUUAUCCUGACACAAAAAUUAAAAAAAACUAAAAUUUACUUUCCCACCCCCAAACUUAUUUCACACGUUGUCCUCAAGGGUGUGGAAACAAAAAGAAAACUAAAAAAACAAAAGAAUAAAACACAAAAACUCUAGUGGACACUUUAAAAAAAACGACAACACUAUAAGAAGAAAUAAAAAAAUAACAAAUAAAAUAACAAAUAAAAUAAAAAUCAAAGAAAGAAAAACACCUGGCAAGUAUGUCAGCCCACUCGCAAAGGAACAUUGGAUUCCUUUCUUUGAAAGGCAUGCAAUUGGCAUGCCAUGUGAAAAGUGGCGUGCAGCUGGCAUCAGUCUACUGUCUCUGUCAGUCAUCAAACAUAGAGCCCAAACGGCUCUCUCCCCUCUCUUCAAACCCUGUCCUAGGGAAAGAAAAGGUCCAUAGGAUGCGCCCACUUGUCAUGCAUCAGAAAGAGAAGGUCCAUAGGAUUCUAAAUCAAGGGUUAAGAUCAACCCCAUAUGCCCAUCUAACUCUCUCUAGAAAGUCUAAAAAUGCUUUUACUCUCUCCAUUUCAAAGCAAGUCCUUCUGCCUCCAAUUUAUUUUUUUCGCAUUUCUCUCGGAUCCCAUGUCUCUGCUCUCUCUCCUUCAUGGCUUCUCAGACCCCAUUUCUCUAUAAAAUAAAUAAUACCUUUUCCCCCCACAUUUUUCCCUCAUUUCCACAGUUGCUUCUUCAUAUUCGCUAAACGUGGCAUCCGUGCUGCAACCAACAGCCCAGCUAUCUACACACCUCCGUGUUUCUCGAACACAACCAUGGUGACAGGAGUGGAAAAACUGAUAGGCAGGAAGGUAAAUCCCUGCUCAAAUCUUGUGGAUUUCCUGUUCAGAUUUAUGUGUUUUAGAGAACUGGAACAAAAACUAACACAUGCAUGUGGUUUUAUCAGUGUGACGACCCCUAAUGGUUUCAAAUCCAAGACAACAACACAAGAACACACCCUGAGUCGCCAGCUCUGCUCAACCAAGGAUCUGCAAAUGUUGAGGUAAAACCCGUAACCCUUUCGAUGGAUUGACGCUUAUCUGAUAUUUGAAUAAUAUAACCACUGAUGGGACUGAAAAAUGACACUUAAAUCCAGCGUAUAACCGAGAGAAAACAAGCUUAAGUUGCCGGUCUAAUGGUCCCAGAACGCAAACUAAACGGCAAAUGUCUCGACCGCUGCAAAUCAUGAAGGUAAAGAUCUCGUUCUUUUGCAGUUGCUAAACUCAACAUUUACAUGUUCAACGACAGUUCAUUAUAAUGCCAUAUUUAACCUGUGUGUACUCAUAUUUUCGCUCUUUAUGAAGGGGUAUACGAAUCCAUGAUAGAGCCAAAGAAACAGAAGUAAACACACAAGUUCAAUGGAUGAAAACAGCACAGGCCGCAUGACCCAGAUCGGUGCAUCUGGGAGGUAAAAUUCGAAUCCCUGCAAGUGUAGUUGUUGUAGAUAUGGUAAUAAUAAUAGUUGUACUCAGUUCUGUGGUGUACGGAUCUGUGAUUUAAUUGUGCUUCCUCCAUGCAUCGCAAAACUGAGCUGCAGAAAAUUAACUGCUCUAAAUUAUGUUUCUGUGCUGGAUCUGCAACAAUCUCCCCCAAACUUGCAUCUGUGAAUGUCUUGUUAUGUUGACUGCUUUAAAUUUCCAGCAUAGUGUAGAUGUGGUUGAUGUGAACGUUAGACUUGCUGCUGGGUGCAAGAUUCCAGCAUAGGACGCGCUUUAUUUUCCACGUUCGCAACCUGCAAUUAACCAAUAUGCGUAUAUUAAAAAAGGAGCUAAAAUCAACAUGCGUAAAUGAAGAAAGCGACAUAUUUUUGAAUUUUUCAUGGUCUUUUUAUUUUUUUUGUUUUUGUUUUUGUUUUUGUUUUUUUAGUUUUUUGUUUUUUGAAAACUUAGGUCUAUAUAUAUGCAUCUAGAAUUUAAACUUAUAAUAAAAAAAAUCAAACAAAAAAAAAAAAAUAAGGAAAGAGUUUAGAAAAAUUGGGUUGCCUCCCAACAAGCGCUUUAUUUUAAGUCUGUAACUAGACGUUGCAGAACUCCGGUGGCUAGAUCACUGGUGCCUUCAGAGUCAAAGACUCGCUUUCACCAAAUUUCCCUAUGCAUGGUUUUAGUUGAUAUUUCUUGACCUUGAGCAAACAACCCCUGCCCAAAAUGAUGGGUGUUGUCAAAUCCUCAUCCAUGUCCAACACCAUAAAAUCAGCUGGUAAAUAUAAGUUGUCAACCUUCACAAUAACAUCUUCAAUGACUCCUCUAGGAUAGGUAAUUGAACGGUCAGCCAAUUGAAUAAUACUGGAGGUUGGCUUCAGCUCUCCUUCACCUAAACGUUUAAAAACAGAAUAAGGCAUUAAGUUUACACUUGCACCUAAAUCAGUUAAAGCACUUUUAAAAUCAGAAUUGCCAAUAGUACAAGAGAUAGUAAAACUCCCUGGAUCUUUUUUCUUUGGAGGCAAUUUAUGCAAUAAGACCGCACUGCAUUGUUCUGUUAAAAUUACUUUUUCGGAAUCCACAAGCUUCUUUUUCUUUGUACAAACGUGCUUCAAAAACUUGGCAUAAGAUGGAAUGUUCUUGAUUGCAUCAAUUAAUGGAAGAUUAAUUUGAACUUUAGCCAAAGUCUUCAAGAAAUCUGUCAACUGUUGAUCUUUAGCUUUAGGCUUCAACCUUUCGGGAUAAGGCAUAGGAGGCUCAUAACACGUUCUGCAGUUUUUGUGGUAGCUUAUGCAGUAUUUUCGGAUCUGUCUUGGGGCUGCCCAGAAUCUGCAGAAAUUGCAGAAUCUGCAAAAAUUUCAGAUUUAGUUUGGGGAUGUUCUGCUGCCCGCGAAUUUCCAGCGGAUUUUUCAUUUCUAUUGUAACUUUUGCCAGACCGUAAAGUUCGUAUAGCAUUGCAUUCUUCUCGUCCUCUUAGAUUAGGUACUGUUUGACUAGGAAAUGUACCCGGUGCUCUUUCUGAAACCUGCAAAGCAAUCUGUCCCAUUUGUUUUUCCAUGUUUUUCAUUGCUGCCUGUAUAUUUUGAAUUUCUUGAGUGGUAGUAUUUGCCAAUUUUUCAAUUGCAACCUCCCAAGCAACCUUAGGUGCAGCAGGUUGCUGUUCCUGCUGUUGAAAUUGAGGCCUAGAGUGCUGGUCUUUGUCCCACCUUAGAUUUGGCUAAUCUUUCAAACCUGGGUUGUAGAAAUUAGAAUACGGGUCAUAUCUAGGACGCUGGAAAUUGUUAAAUGAAUUAACCUGCUCCACUAUAAACUCCGGAUAAGCAUCUUUAUGUGGACAACUCAAAAAAUCAUGAUUUGUCAAGCUGCAAAUGCUGCAGGCAGCUUGUAAAGGCUGCUGUACAGCAACCUGUGAACCCGAAAUUCUUUGUAAUAACAUGUCAAAUUUUGCAUCAAAUCUUUCAAGCUUUUUCUCCAUUUUUUCAAUUUGUGCCGACACAUAUGGUGAACCAUUAGACAUCUCAAAAAAGGAUCUAGAUUGUGGCUGCUCAACUGCCCACUGCUGAGUAUCUGCUGCCAUUUUUUCAAAUAACAAAUAAGCCUCUUGUGCAUUUUUAUCUUUGUACGAACCUCUGCAUGAAGCGUUGACAAGAGUUUUUGUAGUCAUAUUCAACCCUCUGAAAAAUAUAUGCAUUUGAUCAGUAGUGUUAAUACCUGAGUGUGGACAUUUUCUAAUCAACUCUUUGAACCGCUCCCACGCAUCAUGAAACUCCUCAUUUGGCUUUUGGGCAAAAGAUAAAAUCUGAGUUCUCAUGUCAAGAGUCUUAGAAGCCGGAUAAUGCUUGUUUAAAAAUUUUUCACUAAGUUGGGCCCAAGUUGUAAUGCUUCCAAAUGGGAGUGUGAGGAGCCAUCUCCUUGCUUGAUCUUUUAGAGUAUAAGGAAAUAAGCGCAGCUUAAUAGAUUCGGCUGAAAAUCUCCUCACCAAAAUGUUUUUGCACCCAUUAAAAAUUCUGCAAUGUGCAUGUUAGGAUCAUCAGAUGAUAACCCAUGAAACGUAGGUAGAAUAUUCAACAUGUGCUGUUUUAUUUCAAAUGCAGUCCCUUCCUCCACUGCCGGAUAAGUAAUGCAACUUGGUAUAUUUGUGGUAUGGGCAAUCAGUGACUCACCCAGAGGCAGACCAGCCUCUGGAAUUACAAAUGCCAUUUUUUCUUUGCUGUGCAGGUCCCCAGAAAAGAAUGAUUGCAGAAAAGUCUCCUGCAGAGGACGAACCCUCUGCAAAGUUUGUGAAGGAUUUAUUUUGAAAAACAUGUUCAUUUGAAUAACAUCUAUAGCAUGCAAUUAACAAAUUAAAGGCGGAAUCAUGCUUGUAUGCAUUCAAAAACAAAACAUUACCCAUGAAAUUCAAAGCCUAGUAGAUUGGUGAACCAAUAAUCAACUCAAAACAAAGUGAGUUGAAAUUAAUACCUUUGUAGAUUCCUCUUUGCAUAAGCAAAGGCUAAUCACCCAAAGAGAUAGGGCCUUCAUUCCUUGCUUCUUAGAUCCAUGGAUUUGGAUGGAAGAAUAGGUUCUCCAAGUUCCCAAAAUUGAGAACCUCUAAGUCUCUUCACCAAGGUUUGAUUGUAGAAGAAAUGAGUGACCUUGGAGUAGUAGGAUUGCUAGAUGUACCCUCCAAGGUGUUGGCCUCUUUAGAGAGAAAAUGGAGAGACAAUUCUCACCCAUUUUCACCCAAAAUAAACCCUUAAUCACAUUAUGAAUAUUUGGCUAUAAAGUCCUUUAUAUAGUCCCUUCAAAUAAGUGACCUAAAGAACAAAAAACCCUAAUUCAUCUACAUGGCCGGCCUACUUUGGGAUUUUUGGGCUUUUGGGCCUUUGUGAAUCUUUAUUCAUUAAGUUGUCAUACAUCUUAAGUCAAUGGGCUUGACAUUCGAAGCCCAUUGGGCCUUAAGGUCCAAAAUUAUCCCGAGGUCUUUAACGAACUUAUUCGUUUGAUUAAUUAACAUAUUAAUUAAUCCUUGCCAUAAAUAAAUGAUUAAACCAUUUAAUCAUUCUUACUCAUUUCCGUUUAAUCUUCAAUCUCCACCUUUUAUGGUGUGCGAUCCAUUAGGUUCCUUUUAGCGAGGCAGUGGGGGGCGAUUAAAACCAUUUUACAUCGAUUGUGAAUUGAAACAAUUUUCAAUUCUCCCUUUAGUGGUUAUACACGUAUAGGGCUUCCACAAACCAUGGUUGACGCCUAGCAGCAUGUCAUGGUUACCCAAGCUAAUCAGAAGAGGUUAGAGAACCUAUUCAGUUCGGGAUUACAAGUGCAAUACGGUCCUUCUCUAAUCUAAUACUCUUGACCACAUUGUUUGGUAUGAUAGUUUAUUUACUCAUGUCUACUAUCCAAUGUGAAUCGUUUGCUUAUAUGAUUUCCUUGAAUGUGAUUUGGAACGCAUUCCCCAAUCUUAUUCAUACUCUGGCCAGAGAUUCCAAAUCAUAUCAUAGAGUAUUCUCCCUCAACUGUUUGAAGGUUAGAGAUCCCUUGUUGCGCAUUCACUUGUCUCCAUAGCUAAGUGGCUUAACCCCAACGAUGCCGUGACACCCCGAGGGGGUGAAUUAGACAUAAUCAAAGAUUAAGGACUUAACCACAAGACAACUGUGAUGCCUCAGGUCAAAGGACAACUUUGCAUUAUCCCAACCAUGAGUUCUCAUGUGACAUGGAAUAUAAGAACUCUUCGUUGAUCACGUUCAGUGAACUCAUUCUCUUAUUUGAGCACCUACGUACUUGUCUUGAUGUCACACACACCAAUGACUCGAGACUAGUCACUCUCCCUGAGAGAAGACACAGUACGUACUGAUCUUAACGGACUGUCAAUGCCCAAUUGGUAAUCCUAUGAUCAGGAACAUUUAGGAUGUGUCUACGAAAGAAUGGUCUCAUUAAUCUAACUUCAUUAGAUUGCAUUCUCCCAAUCACAUAUUCCUUGGACUUUAUCGUUUAAGCAUAUAACAUUUAUAUGAGACGGCUCAAACAAUAAUCUUUGCCCUUUAUAUGUUAAACUAGAUUAGUUUAACAUUUGAAAUGUCCGUAAAGUAUCAUCAUAUGAUUGGUUUUAGGGCACAUUUCCAACAAUCUCCCACUUGCACUAGAGCCAAUCAGCAUUGGUCAUCAGUGAUGAUACCUCUUCUGUAGUCAUUUCAUAAAUGGCUGAAAAGUAGGCCUAGACAAUGGAUAUCUAUAUGUUAUCCAUAGAAGCAACGUUGAGAAUAUCGACUUCACCAUUAUACAUGAUUCUCAAUCAUGAGGUUCAGUCUCUCAUUUGUGUUCGGAUCUUGAUGAGCCCUUGAUUCCCAGGCUUGAGCUAUCGCCCCAUUAGUGUCAUACACUUUCUGGUUGGAACCGUAUAGAGAGUUCAUAAAUGAACUUUCCCAUCCAAACAACAUUGUUGUAAACUUCUAUAUGGCAAUAUAUCUUGCAUUCAUAAUGGAACACACUAAAGUCAUUACUUUAAUGUUUCCAUCCAAAUAUCUCUUUAGUCAUAAUAAAGAGAUAUCUGUUUAUUUCUUCAUUCGUAAUGAAGAAACAUCCAAUGAUGGAUUAGAUUCAUAAUCUAAUACAUUUACGCUUCCAUUACGUUACUCUAAUUCUUCCUCGAUCUUUGAGGAAUUUAUCCUUUAGUAUUUCUUAAAUACUUAAGGACUCACUUGACAGUUGCCAUGGUUCUGAUCCUGGGCUUGUAUUGAUAUCGUCUUGUACCGUUCUCGGUACAACUCAUAUCAAUGUUUUUCAUACAAUAUGAAAUACAUAAAUCCCCUUUCUGUUUACGCAUAAAGGAUUCUAUUUACGCAUUAUUUCUUUGGGAGUCAACAACUUCUUAGUCUUACUAGAAUUGUCCAUUUGAUUGAAGUUUAUCAUCAUAUGAGAAACUUCCCAGCAUCUCUUGUCUAUUAUUGGGGAUUGAUACAAUCCAAUUAUAUCCUAAAAUCUAUCAAUAUAGAUUUCAUUCCCAUGUAUAUAGACUAUAUCUCCCAUAUACAUUCUAUCGUUUAUAGAAUGCUUAAAGUCAUAACUUUAACGAAGAAGAAUUCAUUUCAUUUCCAAAAUUAAUAUAUCAUAUAUAUUUUAAAUUUUAGGAACAUGAUUAACUCCCACUAAUCUUUUGUAAAACUCGUAAACAAAAGAUUCAUUUACAUCUUGAUGAGAAAUCAAACGAUUUGAUUCUUUUUCCUCAUAAAAUGCAAAUAGCUCCCACUAACUUGCUAAGAUCCAUGAUGGAUGGAUCUCUACAACUUACAUGUCUUGUGAUUUAUAGUUUUGGACAUAUAUUAUCAAGACUAUCUUAAUAAUGGUUUCGGAAACCCAUAUUAUGUCAAAACAUUGAAUCACCAUUUUAGUUGUAGCUAGCAAUCUUCGAAUUAAUUGAAACCAAGCCUACCUCAAAGAUGGUUUCUUCAAAGUCAACCAUUCUCUUUGAUUGUAGUUACCUUAAGCUACCAAUUAGCUAUGAAGGUUUUAUUAUUUCGAGUCAAAUGGUACUUUACCAUUUCCUUGAGCAUGUAUCAUAUAUACACUCAAUGUAGUCAUAAGGAUUUUCAUUCUUAUUUCUUUCGAAUUAAGAGGUGCAACUCUAUGACAUAGUCAUAAAGUUCAAACCAUUCAACUGAGACGGUUUAUAAAUCCUUCUUGACUACCUUGGAGCUUAAGGUAUAGGAACUAGGUUGUUAUAUUUGUUGAUUACUUUCUUGUCUCUCAAAGAACCCAUUCUUCGAGUUCUAUCUCUCGUUCAUUUGCUUUUAGGCAAAUCACAUUGUAGAAUUACAAUGAACUACCCAACAAAACAACAUUUGUUAGUUGGUUUAUAGAAGCGAUAUCCAAAAGUUAAUUUAAGGAUAUCCUACAAGAUUGUUAUCAAACAAAUAUUGCUUAUUAGCACACAACCUCAAAUCUUAACAUGCUUAAGAUUUGUCUUUCUUUCCAACUACAUCUUAUGGAGUUAUGAAAAUUUUGGAAGAUCUUCUAAUUGACAAUUAUAUUGUUUUUAGAAGUAUAUAUCCUAUAUAUGGGUAAUAGAUAACAUCUAACGAACUAAAUCUUAUUUGAGUUCGUUCUUCUCCUAAUGGAGAAAUACAUUAUCUUAUGAUGCUAUUUUCCUUGAUAUCUUUCAAGGAAACUCAUCUAAAGUGUUACCUUUCCUUGGAUCAAAUCUAAGGAGGUAAAUACUUUAGAUAUCUUACUCAUCUAUUUACAUUUCUUGAAUUCUUUGAAACCUUUUGCAAAGUAUUCGGACUUGUGUUUAUUCAAAAUAAACUAUAGUCCAACCGAGAGUGAUCUUCGGUGAAUGUCAUAUAACAUGAGUAGUAUUAUGUUGUGGACAAGUGCCACUAACAUCUAAGUGAAUUAACCUCAACAACUUUGUGAUUCUUUCUUCUUUUUCCAAAAGAAUAAAGAUUCGAACAUUUCGCCUCCAUACAAUUUUAACAAGAAGGUAUUGGAUCCGGAUCUAACGAUCCAAAGCGUCCAUCUAUGACCAACUCGUAAUUUAUGUUUUUAGAGGUAUCACAACUUUAGUUGGGAUUAGUCACUACCUUGCAACCUUUUGGGUUUUAAGCAUCAUUAUUUUCUAAACAGUUAACACUACCAUAUUAUCUCUACUAUAGAGACAAUCAAUUAGAUUACUAUAAAUCCAAUUUCUUUGGUAGUUCAUAUGAGGAAGUAAGUACUAUCUGCUUUCGCAGAGAUCUAUAUCUUAUUCACGUUCCGUAUGUGAAGCACCUUUUCUUCUCUCAUAUAUCUUCUACUUCUUAUUAGUCACACUUUUACAACGAUUUGUAAAACAUAGUUACUAAUACGGAAUCAUACAUUCAAGUAGAAGAACCAACUGUUUUGAACUAUUCAAGAACAAUUUACAACACCUUCGAAAGGUGUGUUCUUGACACUUGCAAGACAUUUCUUGCAAAUACCCCUUCCAAUUUCCAUCCUUUCAUAAAGAAAGUUUGUUCCCUUGGAGUUAUUUAUCUUCUUUAUUUGACUUUCACCUUUGACUACAUUAGUCAUGGUCCCUAAACUCCCACUAUCUCUCUUGAAACCCUUUUCAAUUGUGUUAUACACAUCAAACAAUUUGGAGAGUAUGUGGUUAUUGUUCACUACAUAGUUUACCAUAAACUUAGUGAACCAUUAGGAUAGGGAAACAAAGGUAAAGUCCUUGCCUAGUUUCCGUCUCGUUAAGUGGUUUAACACUUCAACACUCAAUGAUUCAAAAUCAUCAUAAGUCCAUGUUAAUGGACUAUUUUUGUCAACCAACCAUUAUGUUCUAAACAUAAUUACAAACUUUCAAGAGUUGUACAAGGCAACUCUCAUUUCUUCAUACAACAUUUGGAAGUGAAGAAUCAUGGCACAUUAAGUGUCCAAGCCUUUGUGCUUUCUUCUCAAGUUCCUUGUUCAUGUAACAAAGAAACAAGCACUAAGUGUUUGCAUUGAUUAAGGGUUGUUCAAAGCAACUCUUAUUUCUUCAUACAACAAUUUGUAAUUGAAGAAUUAUGACAUUAAAAGUGUUGUCCUCUUUAUGAUAGACCUAUUCUAACAUAUUCUUCUAAUGAUACAUUAUCAAUAGGAAGAUUGUGAGGAUGAGACUACUUAGGUACAUUUACAAGCCAUUAAAGACAAUCUAUGGUUUUGUAGUACCAAGUCCGUAAACUAAACGUUCGGCUUUUAUUUGUCAAGUGUUGGAUAACGUUUGCAAAUAUAUUGGUAAACAAAUACAUAACGAAUAUAAAUUGAUUGAUUUUAAGCCAUUUGAUUCGGGUCUUUAAAUCAAAUAGCAUCACCCACUAUUUUUGGCAAAUUCCAUAUCCCUCAUUGGAAUUCGAGAGUUUUGGAUGAAACUCUUAGUAGGUUAUGGGAGGCUCACUAUUACCAAGCCCACCUCAGAAUUAUAUCAUGUUGGCUAGCGUUAAUGAUAAUGAGAGAGUACGCUUACUCAUUUGCAACUAAUGCAAGUACCCAUCUUAUUUGGCCUCUAGAGAAUGAUUGCCUCAGAAUUAUAUCAUGUUGGCUCCAUUGCACUUAGUUAAGUCAUUUCCACCAUGCUUAGUUCAUGUAGGGGUUCAAGCAUAGCCUCAGAAUUAUAUCAUGUUGGCUAAACUCGUUGCCUACACUCACCUCAUCAUAUGCGUAUAGACUCUUCCUGAGUAUAAGCAUGCACUUUGUACUUCCCCAUUAUAGGGUGAAGGCGGUGUACAAGUCAUAAACGAUUGGAGCCUACCACGGUGGAAGGCCACGAAAGAGUGUUCAAAGCACUCUCACGCUUUCAACUUAAUAUUGGGUUGGUUGAGGGUUUUAGGUCUCAUCAUAUAUCAAUAUACAUUUUAAUCUCUAUUAAAACAAUUUUGGUCCUAUUACAACUAUUGGUCCAUAUGAUUGUUUUAGUUGUACAUAAUACUCCCACUAUGCUUUUAAAACGGUUUUUAAAGCAAGAGUAUAUGUUACUACUAACAUAAGGUUUGCAUUCAUUUAAUGGACUAUAUAGUUGCCUUAGGGCCUUAGGAUGACUAUGAACCUUUGUUUAGAUUCAACACGAGCCUUGUGUUGAAUCUCGGUCUAGGGAUGGAGAUUGAUUUUAGUUACGCGUUUAAUCACAUUAAGGCGUGUUGUCUUAGGGGCGUUGGACCCAAUUACUUCAUUUUCAUGCAUAUCAUAUAAAGCAAGAAAGAAAUACUUCAAAGUAAAGGAUGAGCUUAUGCUCAUUACAACAUUUGCAUAAAACAAAUUACCUUAAAGUAAAGAAGGACUUAUGCCCUUUUACAACAUUUGAUUAAAUCAAAUUACAACCAAAAUCUAAUCUACACAUUCCCAUGGUUCAAACAAAUUUGAAACGCCUUUCACAUAGCUCAAUUAUAUUAGGCUUAGGUUCAUAAUCAUCCUUUAAUUAAUUAACGCUUUAACUAAUUAAUUGAAUGCAACAUUUUCAUUUGGUUUUUGUAUCCAUAAAAUUGAUUUAAGUGGAGCUAAACAAAAUGAAAAUCCAAUUCUCAUUUAAAGAGACAAAACAAUUUUGUUCUCAUCCUAUUUGGGCCAUCAUGCAAUAACCACAACUUUUUGGGCCAUAUUGCGAAAACAUAAACUUUUGGGGUCACUUUGUAAAAACACAAAAGUCACUACUUUCAUGUAAAUACAACUAGAACCCAAAAUUUAAAUAAAUUCAAAAACUUCAUUAAAGGAGCAAAACAAUUUGUCCUUUAGCGUUUUUAGGCCUUAACGUCAAAACGUAAACUUUCGGGUCAAAGUACAAAUACACAAAAGUAUCAAAACUUUAUGUAAUUGCAUAAAAGCCCCAAAAAUACCCUAUUUUAUUAGGGUGGCCGGUUUUUAGGGAUAAAAAUGAGUGAUGGGUGUUUUGAUUUAUUAGUUUUGUCAAAAACAAUCAAGUAGUGCUUUCACCUUUCAUAAAAAUAAUAUAUGUUUUGAUGAUUGAUGUUUCCAUCAUCAUUUAUUCAAAUAUUUAACACUUUAAAUACUUUCAUAAAAUUAAUAUAUGUUUUUGAUGAUUGAUGUUUCCAUCAUCAUUUAUUCAAAUAUUUAACACUUUAAAUACAUGAUAAAUCAUUUGAAAAACAUAUAACAUAAACUUUAUGAAAUAUUCAAAACUUUGAAUCAAAACACAAAACCUUUUUGUUCUUGGCAAGAACAUCAAGAACAAUGAAGAACAUCCAUGAAAACCCAUAAGAGCUCCAUGAAUGUUUUCAAGCCAUAAAACUCAAAUUUUCACCAUUCAAAAUGGUGUUAACAUCCUAGGGUACUUAGGGGUUCCAAAAGUCACCUUAAAACAUUUUUAACAAGACAAACAUGAACCCAAAAAAUCACCCUUUGGAUUUGGCCGAAAAUCCCAAAAAUCAUGGCACCAAAUUUUAGCUCCAAUAUUCAUCCUCAUAUGAACUACAUCUACAACAUUUGAGAUGGCAAAUUUUCAAACAAAAUUUACAUUCAAAGAAGCAAGAAUAAAGCUUGUAACAAUUACAACUUUUAAAUCAUAAACUUAUGAACUACAAAACCCAAAAGGAUUCACCAACUACUAGACCUACUAGACCUAGGCUCUGAUACCACUUGAAGGAUUUAUUUUGAAAAACAUGUUCAUUUGAAUAACAUCUAUAGCAUGCAAUUAACAAAUUAAAGGCGGAAUCAUGCUUGUAUGCAUUCAAAAACAAAACAUUACCCAUGAAAUUCAAAGCCUAGUAGAUUGGUGAACCAAUAAUCAACUCAAAACAAAGUGAGUUGAAAUUAAUACCUUUGUAGAUUCCUCUUUGCAUAAGCAAAGGCUAAUCACCCAAAGAGAUAGGGCCUUCAUUCCUUGCUUCUUAGAUCCAUGGAUUUGGAUGGAAGAAUAGGUUCUCCAAGUUCCCAAAAUUGAGAACCUCUAAGUCUCUUCACCAAGGUUUGAUUGUAGAAGAAAUGAGUGACCUUGGAGUAGUAGGAUUGCUAGAUGUACCCUCCAAGGUGUUGGCCUCUUUAGAGAGAAAAAUGGAGAGACAAUUCUCACCCAUUUUCACCCAAAAUAAACCCUUAAUCACAUUAUGAAUAUUUGGCUAUAAAGUCCUUUAUAUAGUCCCUUCAAAUAAGUGACCUAAAGAACAAAAAAAAAACCCUAAUUCAUCUAUAUGGCCGGCCUACUUUGGGAUUUUUGGGCUUUUGGGCCUUUGUGAAUCUUUAUUCAUUAAGUUGUCAUACAUCUUAAGUCAAUGGGCUUGACAUUCGAAGCCCAUUGGGCCUUAAGGUCCAAAAUUAUCCCGAGGUCUUUAACGAACUUAUUCGUUUGAUUAAUUAACAUAUUAAUUAAUCCUUGCCAUAAAUAAAUGAUUAAACCAUUUAAUCAUUCUUACUCAUUUCCGUUUAAUCUUCAAUCUCCACCUUUUAUGGUGUGCGAUCCAUUAGGUUCCUUUUAGCGAGGCAGUGGGGCGAUUAAAACCAUUUUACAUCGAUUGUGAAUUGAAACAAUUUUCAAUUCUCCCUUUAGUGGUUAUACACGUAUAGGGCUUCCACAAACCAUGGUUGACGCCUAGCAGCAUGUCAUGGUUACCCAAGCUAAUCAGAAGAGGUUAGAGAACCUAUUCAGUUCGGGAUUACAAAUGCAAUACGGUCCUUCUCUAAUCUAAUACUCUUGACCACAUUGUUUGGUAUGAUAGUUUAUUUACUCAUGUCUACUAUCCAAUGUGAAUCGUUUGCUUUGCUUAUAUGAUUUCCUUGAAUGUGAUUUGGAACGCAUUCCCCAAUCUUAUUCAUACUCUGGCCAGAGAUUCCAAAUCAUAUCAUAGAGUAUUCUCCCUCAACUGUUUGAAGGUUAGAGAUCCCUUGUUGCGCAUUCACUUGUCUCCAUAGCUAAGUGGCUUAACCCCAACGAUGCCGUGACACCCCGAGGGGGUGAAUUAGACAUAAUCAAAGAUUAAGGACUUAACCACAAGACAACUGUGAUGCCUCAGGUCAAAGGACAACUUUGCAUUAUCCCAACCAUGAGUUCUCAUGUGACAUGGAAUAUAAGAACUCUUCGUUGAUCACGUUCAGUGAACUCAUUCUCUUAUUGAGCACCUACGUACUUGUCUUGAUGUCACACACACACCAAUGACUCGAGACUAGUCACUCUCCCUGAGAGAAGACACAGUACGUACUGAUCUUAACGGACUGUCAAUGCCCAAUUGGUAAUCCUAUGAUCAGGAACAUUUAUGAUGUGUCUACGAAAGAAUGGUCUCAUUAAUCUAACUUCAUUAGAUUGCAUUCUCCCAAUCACAUAUUCCUUGGACUUUAUCGUUUAAGCAUAUAACAUUUAUAUGAGACGGCUCAAACAAUAAUCUUUGCCCUUUAUAUGUUAAACUAGAUUAGUUUAACAUUUGAAAUGUCCGUAAAGUAUCAUCAUAUGAUUGGUUUUAGGGCACAUUUCCAACAGUUUGCUCCCUGCGAUUCCUCCGUAAAUUCUACUCAAGUUCUGGAUCAAGUGGAAUCAAUUUCUGCACUGUUGAACGGGUGCUGACCAUGCACAGAUUUCUGAGAUCUGCACUGCCGUACUGUUGUAAUCUGUAAAAAUAAAAUAAACGAAAAUUAAUUUUUUUUUAUAUGUAUGAACAGCAAUAACUAAUUGAAAAUCUGAUUAGUAUGGAUUAUUUUAAAUAAUCCCCGGCAACGGCGCCAUUUUUUCUGGAGAAGUGUUCAGAAUAUUCUAAACAUUAAAUCCAGCUAUAUUGGGCCAGUUUUGGAGCAGCUUAUGGGCCAAAACGUGGCUGUUCAGAUUUUAGACGAAUUUUAUCAUUUAAUUUAGGGUUAUGUUUCCUAGGGUUUGUGUGGAGGCUUAGCAGAUAUAUUGCUUGGCCGUCUACAGUUUUUGGGGACAACAUUUUUUUUAUGCAAUUUUGGAGACAGAGAGAAGUGCUAGGGUUUUGGAGAUUUUCUACUUGAAGGUGUUUUCAAUCAUUUUCUUAAGAAUAUUUUCUAUGAUUUCAAUUAUGAGUAUGCGUAACUAAUUCCUUUUGCUAGGGCGAAGCCUUGAGCCUUAGCAUGAAUAUGUGAUUUUUAUUUAAUUGUUUAUGAUUGAUUGCAUGCAUACUUUGAAUUGUUAAUCACCGGGAUAAAAAGUAUCUAAUGAUUUUAAUGCCUGAUCACCAUUAGGAUUUUUAGAAAAGUAAUUUGAUGCAAUUUUGGUCGGAAGGUUCCCUGAAAUUGACGCUGGCUUCUUGUGAUUAAUAAUUGUAAUUUCGCUUAGGAUGAAUAUCACGUCUUAAGGAUUGCAUGGUUUUUCAAAGGAUUUUCAUAAAGCGUAAUGAGUCUUUCAUGUUCAGAUUUGAUCCGAACGUCCGGACGGGUUGCAUGUUAGAUAUACGUUAUAUGUUGGAGGUUCCAAGUAGAAUAUGAAUUAGGAAAAUCUAACCUUCAAAGUGGCAUGUGUAGAUUAUAAGUAAUUGAUAAAAAUUCAUAGGAUUGCUAGGUGAUGGUGGAACCCUAGUGUUUUCUUAAUUUGAUUCUCCCAAAACUGUUUUCUUCUCUCUAGCUCUAAUAUUGCAGAUUGUUUAUUUUAAUUCAUUAAUUUCGUUUUUAUUUUAAUUAGGUUAUAAAAUCAAUCACCUAAACUUCUACUUUACAAUAAUUAAAUGGAAUCUGAUUAGUUUUGAAUUAUUUAAUAAUCCCUGUGGAGACGACCUUGCGAGAUCCGUUUAUACUACAAUAACCUUGUGAUUCUUGCAAGUAAAAUAGGAGAUUUAAGCUCGUUCACAUGAGUAGUAAAAAUCCUAUCAUGUUACACGACACGACCCGUUAAGAUAUCGGGUAUGACACAAAAACGACACGAACACGGAAAACACGACACGAAUGCCAGGUCUAUUGUGCCCUUAGAUGUAAAAUAUAGGCACAAUAAUAUAUUUGAGUUCAUCUUUUUAAACAAAGUGGUCAGAAAAUGUGUUUGUGUCCAUUUUUUUUUAUAUUGGGCAUAAUAUGUAGUGUCCUUUAUUGAAUGGGCACUGUUUUAAUCCUUUUGUGUUGAAAGACACACAAUUUUGUCCAUAAUUUUGUGCCCAAAGGCCAUUUUUGUUGUAGUGACAGUUAACUCAUCCGACACUUCAUCUUGAGCAGCUCCGAUCUUGGCAGCUCCAUCCUUGACUACUCCGUCUAUGGCAGCUAAGAAAUCAAACUUAAGCAGUUUCCUUAUUUUUGGCAAACAACCCAUACGUGGCAGCCCAAACCGUUGUCCAUGCCACGCCACUUCCUCGGCCCAUGCCGAGCCAAUCCUUGGCUUUAAUUAAGCCGAGCAGCACAAGUAAUGGCCCCUGCCACACCUCUUCCUUGGGCCAUGCUAAACCGACUCCUGGCCCCUGUCAGUCGAUGUACCGCACCACCCCGACGGCUGCCCCGUGGCAGCACCUCCCACGAAGAAGACAAAGAAAUCAAUGGAAGACGGUUCUUUGCACGGGCAAGCAAAGAAGAGUGCUAGGGGAGGGGGAACAAAUAUCCUCUAGCUUUCUCUCUUUCUUGUAAGGAUAAAUAAUUGCCCUUCAAAGUUGAUUUAAUCCCCUACUUAAGGUAGGAUUAAAUAGGCAUUGGAGGCGAUUUAUUUCCAUUUCCUAAAAGAAUAUAAUUCCAAGUCCUUGAGAAAAUCUACAUCAAAGUUGGAGAUCUCUACACCUGCUGCCCUUUCCUGUGAGCAGCCCAGCAAGUAUGGAGGCAUUUGUGGAGCCCAAAAUAAUCACAAGGCGACACAUGGAUUUUUGGGAAGAAGAAGACAAAAAUACUCUUGAGGCAUACUAGGAUUCUUACGGUCAAGCAGCAGACACUCAUCACUCAACCAAGUCAAAAUUGCCCAAAAUAGGUAACAAUUCAAAGCCUAUUUCAUCCAUCCUCAUCAAAUCAUUUCUACAAGAUAAUUCCCAAAACAUUCCUUUUAAAUUAUGUUAAUUGGCUAAUUAAUAGAUUUAUUACCUAAUUAAUCUAUUAAUAGCCAAUUAAACCACCAAUUACUCCCAAAAAACACACAUAAGGUCGGUCACCUUCUCUCCCAAGGGGGCCGGCCAUGCCUUAUAAUUUCUACCUCAUUUUCCCCUUUCAUUAGCUAAUCAAUUAGGCAAUUAUUCUAUUAAUUGACUAAUUAAUUAGUUAAUUAUUCCAUAACUCCCAAUUUAACACAAAUCAAGAACCUAGCCCACAAAGGGAGCUAGGUGGCCAGUCCUCUCUCAUCCAAGGAGGUCGGCCACUCUCCUAUUUAAACCACAUCAUCCUCCUCAAAGUCCACUUCCAACUCUCUUGUUAAAAUUCUCACACUUUCUCUCUAAAUUUUAACUUUAACAUCAAAGAUUCUCUAGCCAAAGCGCCCCCCCCCCCCGGCGCCAAUUCAUCAUGGGCGUAUGAGGCUCUUGGCCUUGACCAAAGGUGUUAAUUGUUUUGUAGGUGCAAUUUUGUCCAAGAUCAAGGAGGAGGAAAUUUGCAUCCACACAACCCCUUCAAACCGCACCAAAAAAUCAAAACAUCCAUUCGAAACCUCAAUUUUUGAAACCAAUUUCAAGUUCGAUUCAAGUUUUCAAACAAUAAUCAAUACAUCAAAUCCGGAAUUUCUCAACCCAAAAACUUCAUUUGAAGACGAAAAACUGAAAAAAUUCGAGAUAUAUAUUUGCAGAAUCCAAAUCAGAGAAACACAGGUAUGAACCUAGAAAUUCUUAUAUUCUUGAUGAUUUCUUACUUUGAUUUACUACAUAUGUAUAUUUGCAUGUUUGAGAUUCUAAAAAAUAAAUUAUGUUUCCAGUUCAGAGUAUUCUGAUUUGCAUCCAGACGAAAACGAACAAAAAAAAAAGGGGGAAAUAAAAGCAACAUAGAAGAAAUAGAGGUACAUACUACAAAAUUUAUAAUAUUCUCGAUGAUUUUACAGUAAUAUGUAAGUUUGCAUGAUUCGAAUUCAUUGAAUGGGCAAUGUUUCUGCAAAAUGGUAUUUUUUUACUUCACUUUGAUAACGCUUGUUUUCUUAUAACCUUUAAAUAGUCUUUUCUUGACCUCAUAUGUUGGUUACUUUGCUUAAAUAACUUAAAAAUAAUCAACAUUCUAUUACAAUGGUUCCAGAAACAGUAUAGUUUUUUUGUUUCUGUUUGAUUAACAGUAUGGAUCCAUAAUCAAUAUGGUGUUUUAGUUCAUUUUCUUAAAUAACAUGCCCUAGUAUGGAUCCAGAAUCAAUAUAGUGAAAAAGGACAUUUUUGAAGCGUACCAAAAAUACUCUAAGACGAAACUCUUGAAGGACGAAAGCUACUGCUUCAAUUAUAUGUGCGCAUCUCAUCCAAUCCCUCUUAUUUGCAACCUCCAGAACAUACAUCACAUGGAACUUUAUAACAAAUUGUGGGGCAUUUGACCAAAUCAGCAAAUAUAAUUGGGCAAAAGGAGUGAUAGACUACUUGUUCAAGAUGAUUGACAAAUCAAAGAAAAAGAAGAAAAAUGGAGGAUAAUUAGCAAUAACAAGCGGAUGCACUGCUAUUAUUUUGGUAAAAAAAUUAGAACUAUAGUUUUAAAAGCAUGAAUUCUAUCUUAUAAAUUUCACAAGAAACUAAUUCAAAGUUCUUAUUUCAUGCAGUAUUGGAUUUAUCUUCACACCAAUCUAGUGGAGACAAUAAGUUGACGAGAAAACAUGAUUCCUGCAAUUAGAAGAUGGACAUAACCAAGAUAUACAAAGCAAUUCUUGACCUUUCGAUUGCCUUGCGGAUUAGUGAGUUACUGGGUUCUGCCCCAUAACGUACAUCUUUGUGUCUACAUACGACGACUCCGUUUCUACUCAGAGCCGCAUAUAGAUGGCUCGCGAAACUCAUGCGGGUGUCUUGGCCACUGAAACUGAGGUAGACAUCGUACUCAUUUGUAUGCGUGGUGGCCAUGGAUCCCAACGGAAAUCUCUGCUCUCUUCUCUCUCUUCUUCUUAUGGAAACUCAGACCGAUCAAAUCCAGAUCUGAGAGUCUUCUAGCAUAGGAAUGGAUAAUGAAAUGUCAACGGCUAUACAAUCGUCCGAUGCGCAGCAGCAAAUCUCCAUUAGUUUGACUUGAACUACAUAUAAGUAUUGUUUUUUUUUUGUUAGAUACAUAUUAAUAUUGUUCAAAGCUACAUAUUAAUAAAAAAAAAUUGUUCAUUAAAAAUUAGUAAAAAGACUAUUUAGUUUUUUAUCUCAAUAAAAAAAUUAAAGACAGUAACGUAAUUUUACAAAAUAAAAUUUUACUUUUUUGUUUAAACAUCACUUACAAGUACUUUUAACAUUUUUAAUUUUUAAAAAUUGAAAGAAAAAAAAAAUUAAACUCUCCUCGCUCUCGUUCUCUGUCUCUCCUCCAAUUUUAAAAACAAAAAUAAAAACAUUUCACACACAUUUUAUGUAUUGGCAUACUAGUAUUUAUUUACAAUUCACGUUUUUCACAAACAAACUUACCACAUUGAUCUCACAAAAAUAAUUUGGACAGGAUUAUAUAAAAUCAUAAAAGCAAAUUUGUUGAAGAUCUACUUUUGGCGUUUUAAUUACACUUAGUUAAAACCGCAUGUUUAAACUAUUUUGCUAUAUACAACACUAAGGGGUUGUAUUCAAUAUGGAACGGUACCAUAUGUUAAUAUAUAAUUGGGUUUUUUUUUCCUUCGAAUUGUAUAAAAAUAUGUAUUGUACCGUUCCACGUUCCAAGCAAUUUCUCCAUAAUCAGGAUUUUGAGCAAUUUUAAUUCUUUUUACAAAUCCAAGGGAAUUUAAUUAAAAUUUAAGUGAUUUUCUAAAAAUAUAAGUGUAUUCAAUUAUGAUUUUAAAAGAGUUUAACACAUUUCAGCAUUUCAAUUAGAAAUUUAGUUUAAAAUUUGAGGAAUUCGAGUGAAUUUGAGAGGUUUUGUAAUGUAUUUUAAAUAUUCUCAAAUCUCACAUCUCUCCCUAAUUAUUUGUGAGAAUUCACUCAAAAGUUUCGUAAUGUAUUUUAAAUAUUCUCACGUCUCUCCCUAAUAAUUUGUGGAAAUUCAUUCAAAAGUUUACAUGUGAAUAUCUAGAAGUCAAAUAAACUCCAUCAAAAUCCAUCAAAAUCCAUUAAAAUCCCUCGAAAUCUUAAUCGUAAACAACCCAUGAAUAAGAGGAGGCUUGAGAGAGAUUUAUGCGACCAAACCAAUGCUGAAUGUCUACUUACUUGAUGCUGCGUGGUUAGGCUUAGUCGACCUCACUCCAUCUUCAUUGCUUUGCUACUUGAAAUGAGGGAUUCCAAACAUAUUGGCGAAGCCGGCCAAUGUACCCUUCAAUCUACCACUUCCACUAGGUCCUUCUCCGUCACCAUCGCUACUGGAUUGGGUCGCUAUUUCAUCCAACUCUUCCACAGCGCUCUCGUACACAACGUCCAACUCUUCCACAUCACUCUCGUACACCAAACGAGUGCCGCAACUCUUCACCAAGCAGGGGCCUGAGCUUUUGAAAUUAAAUUUUAACUGAUUGCAACUGUUUUGCCACUCUGUACCAAAGCUUAUACCACGAGACACAUAGAGUAGCCAGAUAUGAUCUGACACGGGCUGGACAUCCGAAGAUAGUAGAGGCGCAGGGUACUCUUCCUUUCCAUUGACUUCCAAAACACCAGAGAGCUCCCAUCCGCUCCCACAAACUUUAAAUACAGCGCACAGAGCAUAUCCCAUCCACUUGUUAUCACGCCAUUGCGGAGUUAGGUCGACGGUUACUUCUGGUCCCAUCCUUUGAUGAGUGAACCACCCAGGAAUUUCCUUUCCAGGCAUGACAAUUUCAUAUCUAUCUCCUGCAUAAGGGACUCCCUGUACAGGUGAAACAGUGAUGUCAAGCAUUGAGAGAGAGAGAGAGAGAGAGAGAGAGAGAGAGAGAGAGAGAGCACCUUAAGAUAUCUUUGGAGCAUUGUAAAUGUUAUAUGAUUGUAGCUUUCUUUCUCAAGCAUUCCAAAGCAAUUGAUGAAAUUGAAGCAUGAUGAAUUCAAUCUGUCCAAAUUUGAUGGACAUUCCAGCAUUUUCAGUUUAGUACAACCAUCUGCAGUUACUUGUAAAUCCACAUCUGACGAAAGAACUGGAAGGUGUUGAAGCCUCCAGCAACGACUCAAGUAUAAAUUCUCUAGCUUAGUGAGUUGGCUAAUGCUUGUAGGAAGAUUAACAAAAUCGUUUCCACUUAAGUUCAAUGAUACCAAAGACGAUAAGCAGCCAAUAUCACUGGGGAUGUCUCCUUUACCAAGACUGUGACCACUUAAGUCUAAUUCCAUUAAAGAACAAAGGCCUGAUAGAGGAGGCAAGAACAAACUGAUGGAAUGAUGAAGGCUCCCUGUUGGCAUUAAUCUAAAAGGGAGCAACAUAUGCCAUGGUUGUUGUGAUGGCCCUUCCAUUCCACGAAAAAUCAAUGCUUUAAGGUUUUUCAGAAGGGCAAUGGAAGAUGGGAAUUCUUUUAUAGCAGUUCCACUUAAAUUAAUCUUCUCCACAAACUCUAAUUUCCCGAGGGUUUCUGGCAAUUUGGCAAGAUUUGAGCAUCCAGAAACAUCAAGACUUUUAAUAGCCGUCAAAUUUCCAAUGGUACGAGGAAGACAUUUCAGAUUUUUGCAAUCUCUCAAGUCCAACAAAGAAAGGCUGGUUAGAUGUUCAAUUGAUGAAGGUAUACAUUCAAUACCGGUCCCAUCUAAAGAAAGCUUCCAUAAAUGCUCCAUAGGUUCCACAAAAUUCGGUAUCUUUUUAACGCUUGAGCAGCCAGAAAGAACUAGAACUUCAAGGUGCUCCAUUUCAAUCUCAUCCGGAAGAAGCUCGAGACUUUUGCAGUCUUUAAGAGUCAAGAAAGUGAGCUUUUUGAGAGUUCUUAUGGAAAAGUGAAUCUCAACUAGACUUUCGCAUCCUUCAAGAUCUAAUCUCUCAAGAUUCUGAAUCCCUUCAAAAUCAGGGGUUCCAGUCAAACUUUUGGAAUGACUAACUUUAAUGAUUUUCAACUUGUCAAAUUUCUGCAAUGUUUACAAGAAAUGAAGAAUAAUUAGAUCCAGAAAACUCAAAUCAGGUAAUGAAGUAUAUUCUACAUCAAGCAAGGUAAUAAUAUUAUAGAUGUAGCCAUAUACCUUUUCUCCAUUCCAGAGCUGUUUAAUUCUACUAUGACACAUAAUAAGUUCAACAAGCUCUGCCGGGUGGAAUCCUAAUGGGAGAUAUUGUAGAGGAUAACCUCUCCAUUCAAGAAAUCUCAAGGAAUUAGGGAGACGGUUUAGGCCUUCAGGAAGGCGCACGUUAUGGACUUUGAGCAAUCUAAGAUUAACCAUCUGAGAAAAAACUUCAGGAGGGCAUUCGACCUCUUCUGAGGUAAGCAAGUCUAGGACAAUACCUUCAACCGUCGAUGUCCCCUGAUAACCAAGAAUAAAUAAAAAAACAAGUGAAUUGCAGUAUAGUCUGCACAUUAUAAGUAAAGGAAGAUAAGUAAAACUAAUAGGUUUUUUUUUUUUGUGCUUUUAAUUGUUGGAUUAAUUUAUAUUUGAUGUAUUAGGUAAGCUCUUACCGUAUUUUCCUUCAAAACACGAAAGAUGUCCUUAGAAAGCCAUAAUCUGCUCCGUUCACCAGGUUCUUUAGAUUGUUGACCAACAAUUGCUUGACCCAUUUUUUGUAACAAAUCAUGCAUCAACACCAUGUUAUCUGAAAUUGUUAUCAGAGACUUCUUCACAAGGACAUCUAUGCCAAUACCUGGAUUAAAACCACAACCAUCUAGUAUUUCAACUACUCGAUCUUUGUACUCUCCUUUAAAGAAACAUGCGAUGUCAAGGAAAAUAUCUUUCUCUUGUGGAUCUAAACCCUCGUAACUUAUUAUAAGUGUCUUCAUAAUUUUUUCAUUAAAUAUUAAAUCAUCCCCUAGUUUACUUAAUUGACCUCUCCAUGCAUCUAGACCUCUUCCAUUCAAAAAUAACCCCAAGACUUCAAGAGCUAAUGGAAGGCCUUUGGCAUAACUCACAAAACUUAUAGACAGAUCCAUAUGACUUUUAGGCGGAUUGUCCCUUUUAAGGGCUCUCAAGCUAAACAGUUUAAGAGCGCCAACAUCACUCAACAACGGCACCUCAAAUCUUCUUUCUACACCAUGUGAAAUUAGAACCUGUUUAUCCUUAGUCGUAAUAAUGACUCUACUCCCUUGACCAAACCAAGCUGGGUUUCCACAUAGCUUUUCUAACUGAAUACUAUCGUCCACGUCAUCAAGAAUGAUGAGAACCUUUUUGUCACGUACGAAGUAUCUCAUUUUGGCGGCUUCACUGGGACUCCAGUCUUGUAUAUUUCUAUUCAUAAGGCUAUUGGAGAGCUUCCUCUGUAUACCGUCCAGACCGUGUGCCUUAAAAUCCUCGCUAACUCUGUCAUGAAAGCUUUUGACUUGAAAUUUAUGAAGAAUCCUCUGAUAAAAUGCUUUGGCAAUGGUUGUCUUACCUAUCCCACUCAUCCCCCAUAUUCCUAUAGAGAGAACAUCAUUUGACUCUUGUUCUAAAAGCACAUCAAGUUGCUCCAGUUUCGACUCCAUUUCAACCAGGUUUUCUGCAGGCUCCAAUGAUAUAGGACCUACUUCAGUUCGUACCUUUUCAACGAUUUCCUUGAUGAGCUCUGGUUCUUUCCUACAAGAAAAAUAUACAAUGUUCAAGAUAUGACCUAAUACACAUAGAAAUAAAAAAGUUAGAGACUAUUUUUGUUUUCGUCCACCUGAAGUCCUAGUAUCAAGUGGUCUCUGUGUCCAUUUAAUAAGAGGGUAGUUUGGUAUUGGACCAAAUUAGGGACGGUUUCGGAAUAGGGGAGGAUUAAAAAGCGCAGCAGUGUUGGAUUUAAAAGACAUGAAUUCUUAACCGGAGCAAUUUUUUCCCCUUAGAUUCUCAAAUGGACCAAAUAUAUGGUAAAAACAAAAGGUCCUCUAGGAUGGAACCGUAAGAAUAAAGUUAAACAAAGUCUACAAGGCCUAAAUGCUUCCUCAUUAAUUAGUUGUGCUGUCAUGGGAUUAAGUAGUUAUCAAGCACCUUCGUUACUGUCGUCGUACCCAGUGCACAAGGCUCCCGCUUUACGCAGGGUCUGGGAGAGGUGAAUGUCGGCUAGCCUUACCCCCAUUUAUGGAGAGGCUGCUCCCAAUGUGUGGGGGAUGCAACACGAGGACUUCCCAGGAGGUCACCCAUCCUAGUACUACUCUCGCCCAAACUCGCUUAACCUUCGUUACUGUGCAAAAAGUAAAUUAUAUGAAUUCUUCGAUUUUCCUAAAACUUAUCAGAUAUUCUUCAUGCAUCAGGAUUUGGCAGAAUUGUAUUGAACUCUAGCAAAACUCAACCGAAUUAUAGAAACAUUGCAAGAAUUGAGUGAAAAAAGAAGGAAUACUAACUUGUUAUUUGAAAUAGGCCCUUUGAUUUUUGCCACUAUUUUUAAGGCAGCUUUCCAUCCAUCCACCAUCUCUUUGUCAUCCUUAUACUCUUGUUCGAGUUUAGUGAAGCCAUUCCCAAAAAUCCCAGACCGAUCUCCAACAUCGGAGGGUUCCACUGAGUAGAAAACUGGUAUAGCUGCCCGUCUCUCUUCCAUGCAUUCAAGAAUCUUUACGAGUUCGUUCAGGCACCAUUUUGAAGAAGCGUAAUCUGGAGAGAUGACAACGAUGGCAAGCCUCGACCUUGCAAUUUCCGGGAAGAGAUCAGAAAUUGGGCUUCCUAUUUGAAGUUCGUCAUCAUCCAAGAAAGUUCUUGUAAUUCCUUGUUCUUUCAAUUUAUCAUGUAGAUGGGCGGUAAAACCUAAGCGCGUGUCUGCACCCCUAAAACUCAAAAAGACAUCAUAUUUCCAUUCAAGAGCUGAAGGAAGAGAUGAAGUGGCUCGUUGGGUGCUCGAUGCCAUUGAAACAAGCUAACUGGAUACGGUGGCAUAGCAGCAAUUAAUAUGGUAUUAGUUUUUCAAGCAAUCAUCAUAAAAUUAUUUGCAAAAACAUGAAUAUAUAAAUUGACUUGUGACCAGAAAAACAAUUCAGCAUUCAUAAAAUUAUAUUAGGCAAUAACAUGAAUCAGAAAGAUGAGCAAUAACCUGGGUGUAUGUAGAAAACGAAGUCACAGAUCAAGUCAGAGGGGUCAUGAGAGGAGCUGAAGAUCCGUCAGAAAAAAGGAAACACUGUCUCUGUGUACUUGCUACAAGUCUCUCUGUAUGUCGUCGUCAACGAAACUUCACCGCGUAAGCUUGAUGGACGUGAUUCAACUGCUUCUUCUAUCCGACGGUCAAACCGCGUAAGCUCUAUUUUCCCUCUUUUUUAUUUUUAUUUUUUAUUUUAUUCGUUUGGUGAACUGUAAGCUCCAUUAUUUUAUUUUUGCGUGGCUCCAUUAUUAUUUUUUGGCCAAAUUGGAUUGUUCAUCCCGUAGCCAUAAGACACUUGCAUGAUGACAUCCGUGGUGAAAAAAUUAGGAAUUAAACCUAUGUGGUCUAGAAUGUUAGCAAAUUUAGUCCAAAAGUAAGAUUUCUGUUAAAGGACUGUUAAAAGUUGGGGUAAAACUGUAUUUUCAGUUCCAAUUGACAUUUAAAAUAAAUAAUUUUUUUAUAACAAUUAACAAAAAAAAUAAUGCUUAAUUUUUUAAAUAAAAAAAAAUACAGUUUCUAAAACUGUAUUGGAACUGAAAAUACAGUUUUACCCAUACUUUUAACAGUCAUUUAACAGAAAUCUUACUUUUGGACUAAAUUUGCUAACAUUCUUAACCACAGGGGUUUAAUUCCUAGUUUUUUCACCACAGAGAUCAUCAUGCAAGUUUCCUAUGACCACAGGAAUGAACAAUCCAAUUUGGCCUUAUUUUUUAUACUAAUGCAGAGCACACCAUAGUUGAAUGUUUCUAACAAACACAAAAUUUAAUUGCAAGCACUUCUUUUUCUUCCAGAAACACAAAAUUUAAUUUUCUUUAAGUUGACCCAGUGCGUUCACUUAGACAACAGUGUUGUUUGAAUAAAAAUAACUCUUAACAAAAACUUUUUUAUGGCAAACCAGAAAUACACCUGAAGCUUCUUGAACUACAUUAUGUGGAAUCAACACACUUAAAUUUAUUUAGAGUGUUAUAAACUCCUUUAAAAUAUUGAUUGUUCAAACCGAUCAUUUUGAAGCGCUAACUUAUUAGUAAGCAAAUACGUUUCUAGCUACACGUUUGAGCACAUUUGCAAGAUUCAUGAUUAUCCAAACCGAUCAUUUUGAAGGCCACCAUUGAAUAAGGAUUAUUCGUGUAAAAUCUCACUCAAAUUGAGCAUUGCUUAGCUAUCUAGCUAAUGGCAACACUAUAAGCAAACGAACAUGGUAAAUAAUAAAGAAAAUCAAAGGGCUCAAUCAUUCCAAUUUAGGUAAUUUUUGCAAGAAUGAUUUUGUAUUGAUUUUUAUUUUUUUUCUUCAGAAAACUAUUAAUCAUCAAAGUCCCAAGGGAGGGCGAACAAGAAACCAAAUCAGCAGGCCAAACAAAGGACCGUGGGCACUGCCGUUACACACUUCUAACAGAACGCAAAGAACCUUCCGACGUAUGCCUCAGCCUUCACCCGGCAACGAUUUCUGGCGAGCAACCGGGCAAGAAGAGAGAUGCUACAUCUCCAGAGACAAUGCUACUUGUAAAGAGGAGAGGACUAACCCACAAGUUAUGACAAACCUACCAAUAUUAAAUUUCAACAUCUCGAGUCCAUGUGGUUGGUACGACAAUUUGAUCCAUACAUACAUACAUACAUACAUACAUACAACAAAGACACACAAGAAAGAAAAAUUUGGCCAACCGUUAAAAACAAACCGAGAUCAAAGAAAUCAAACAAUAAGGUACAUCAAUACAUUAAAUUAUAUGCAAUGCCUGCUGACAUCUCGGAAAUAUACCAACUAAACAGCAUAGACAAACCAAAACUGAAAAAGUUCCUACCAAUAUUUAUUUAGCAACAGGUAAUCUCAUGAUCUCAUGUGUAAGUGAGGAACAAGGUCCAGAGCCAGACUGACCGAUACGCUGAUGGGCACAACUCAAAAUGACCUAUUCGGGUUUGAAGAAGAUGACUUGGCUUUUGCAAAAUCAACUAGAUCCUUGAAAAGAGCAUCUUCCUGUUUUACUUGUUUUGUUGGGGUAGACGAAUUAAGGGAGAGAUUCUGAGUCUGUCCCACUAAGUUGUCAUAAGAUGAACCAGAUCCACUGCCUGGAACGCCUUGUUUCUCAAAAAACUGUUGUCUCUGGUUAUACCUGGAAGGCGGAGGUGGAAGGCUGACAGGAGAUUGACCAUUGCCAGGAGACUGAGGAUUCCCCAGAGACUGAGUAUCCCAAGGGGCAGGAGGGAGCCCAUCUAUAGAUUUGCUUCUAGGAGCCGGUUCAUCAUAUACAGGCUUUCCAGUGAAUAUAGGUGAUGGAGUUGUGUUUUGGGAAGAAGGGGGUGAGGGUGAUAGUGGAGUCAAUCGUGAGGUGGAGCUGGAAUGAACUGGAGCUGCAAAGGAUGUGGAUUCUGAUGUUGCAGAGGAUCCUUCAGAUUUGUAGGCUUCUCCACUGAGAUAAUCAAUCACACCAGGACCUAGAGUGAUUGGCCUUUGCGAAGACGGUGGAGGAGGAAGAAGUGGGCUGACUUGCACAGGUUCAGCCUUGGCAUUGGCUGAUCUCUGGCCCUGUCCUUGUGAAUUAUCUCUUGAUGACCUGCAAUGCAUCUUACCGAAUUUUACUAAGAGGAUAAGAAUAUUAAAAGUAAAAAACUAACAGAACUUGCAAUAUUCAUAUUCUGAAGCGCACACAUACAAGUAAAAUUGGUAGAAACAAAAACAAGUGAGAAUGAAAUGACAAUGCAAAAUAAAACUUAGAAGUGCUCCUCUAACAAUCACCUGUGCGCUAGUUGGGAAAAUUCAUCCUCAGACUCAUCAUCCUCAUGGUUCACAUUCACAAGUGGCACAACUGAAGAUUCUGCUCCUCUUACUACAGUUGUAGUUCCUUUCACAAUAUCGUCAUGCCGAGAAAUUACACACGCUGCAGAUCAUCGUUCAGUGCCAAUCCCCUGACAUAGAAGCUCCUCAUCUCUGAGAGGAGAGCAACCACAACUGUCACUAUUGCAUCAAAUGUAUGAGUAAAACUCAAAUCCAUAUCAAAUCACUUACGCAGUCUCAUUCACAAGAAGCCUGACACGCUUUUGGUAUGAACGGCACUGAUCAACAAGGUCAACAAUCACUUCUUCCUUCAAACCCUGCCAUAGUAUUUCAUUUUGACCAUUUAUGACCAUUAAAUUUGCACACAUUAAGAGCCCGGAUGGUAAUAUUACGAUUUUGGUUCAUUUUUUAUUUUUAGCAAAAGCCGAAGAGGAAUUGUAUGGAGAAAAUAGGGAGAAAGAAAGGGCUCAGAUGGAUGAGCAUUAAAAUGAAUAUGGAACGGUAUUUAAACCAAAAAUUAAAUCAAUCUCAACUAUUCUAUUUUCUCCUUCAAGUUUUUAUUUCACCCAUUCCCCUUCAAUCAUCAUACCUCCUCCCUUCUACAAGCACAAGAAAAGUGCAGCCCUUAAAGGUACUAAUUUUCGAGUAAUUAACCACCUAAUUCCAACUCUGCUAAAAGUCCCAACUUCAAAAAAUUUUACAAUCACAGUAAUUGACACCUCUGGAUAACUAGCCUUAUAAAUAAAGUUUUGUUAUCAAUAUAUCUCCUCAAAUAAUUUACAUACAGUGCAUAAGUAAAGAAAAGUAUGGACCAUAAAUAUUCUCCACAAUUGACCAUAUACAACUUUCAGAAUUUUCUACUGUGGGCCCAUAUGAAACUUUCACCGCUAGAGAACUCCACACACAAAAACAAAAAAAUAGAAUCAUUGGCCUCUCAACAAAAAAAAAAUUCUAGAAAAACAUAAAUAAGAAAUUAUCCUUUAAUAAUACCUUUUUGGAAAGAAAUUAAUCAGACGUAAAAAAAUAAGGUAGAAAAUAUAUUACCUCAGGAUUCUUAGCAUCCAAGGCAUUAAGCAUUUCCAUCAACACAUCUGCAAUUCCACGAGCAUUCUGAAUCUCUGGCAAGCUGAUUAAAGACAGUUCCAAUCAGGAUGGAUCUAUCAUAGCUUCAAUAAUAAUUCAGACAAUUUUUACCAAAAAUAAAAAAGCAUCCCAAAGCAUAAAAAACAGAUAGCAUCUGUUACAAUAUCAUUAUGUUGGAAUUGUCUGUAUAGGUAAUUAUGGGGGAUUCGGGAAAGAUGGAAUAACUAUACAAAGAAGAGAAAUGAUUUGAAGUCUAUUGUUCAAUUUCUUAUUAGCACAAAAUUCAAUCAAGCAAGGAUGAAUUCUUUCAUAAAUUACAGUUACGGAUCAUGACAUUCAACAAGCAGCAGCUGAAAUAAUUGUACAAGCAUAAAAAAUAUAUGCCGACUGACAUCUCUUACUAAAGAUUAAGACCCUAGGACUGACGGGACUUAUAAUAGUAAGGAUGUAAGAGACAUCCUCAUGUCAAGGGGAGAAUUGAUGAAUACUUGACAAGGUUAAGGCCUUUCAGAUAUAUAGUCAAAUUUUUCUGCAGUAUUAAAGCAUGCACAACACAUUCAAAUUUGAUAAUGAGAAAGGUAUAAAAAAAAAUUUUUUUUGAAGAAGUUGAAGAAAUAAAAAAUGAAAGAGAAACAAUCGAAUCGCCAAUUUAUGCAGUACAACAUAUGUAGAACAUGUCAUACUGAGGGUUUUAAUCCUGGGACACUUUCCAAUUGCCUACAAAUAUUUUUAACCUCUCUCAUGCAAUCAACACGCAAGUUUAUAGUUGUGACAAACAUGCAUGUGAAGGAAACAAUAAUUGUUUGAACAGGGAAUAAAUACCAUACUCAAAAGGCCCAAAAAAUGUAUGUUUCCAAGAAAACCAUAUUCUCGGCUAGUACCUAAGGCCCGAUGCAUCCGACUGGAGAGAAGCCUGAAUGGCAGCAUCAUCAUAUGAUGUAACAGGAGAAACUACUGGCUGGGUCUGGGGCGGAGUAAAUAUUGGUACACUGUUCUCUUCUCUUGGUGGAAAUUCAACUCCUGCAGACUGUCGGUUAUUCAUUAAGAGAGUUAGGGUGGAAGAAGAAACAGAAUAAAGAGAAAAUAAUUAAAAUCCACAGUUAUACUAAAUAUUGAAUAGCAAGCUUAUAAGUAUUGCUGGCCAAACUGAUGGAAAUGUUAUUUUGGACCUAUUAAACAUCAUCAAAAGGUAGAAAGGUAAAUGCGUUGAAAUCUAAUUGUGUGAAAGCUGAGGCGUAGUUGCCUCUUUUGUCAGACAAGGCAAGGCAUAAGCCUCUCGGACAUGAAAUCUUAUAGGAAGCAAAUAAAUAAUGCAAUACUAAUAAGUUGAAGUGCUAGUGAGUAACUGAAGUAUAAUAAGAAAUCCCAAUAUGACCACAUAUAAGUUAUAACAGUCAUUCAAGCAUAACAACCAAUCACAAAAAUAAAAUACUCAAUUGGUCAUACAAAUAUUCAAAACCCCAAAAGAUAAACUCAGUUCACCACAAUACUUGUGAUGAAUAGAAACUAACAUCACUAUCAUACUGGUCCAACAGACUGAUGUGAUAAGGGACGCAUAGCAGUGACUUGCACUAGAGGAGGGUUUGCAAGAUCACUAUUACUUCCAUUGUUCACAACAUUUACUAUCAUCUGUCAAAGCUGAAGGCACUUGGGCUGAACAUGUUUACCCAUUAAUCUUAACUUAACUAGGUCAUAUAAUUAAACAGAAAUGUUUAAAAACAUGGCCUAUUAAGCAACUCAAAAGAAAGAUGACAGCAAAGAAUGUCACUGAUUGGACCGGUCAGACUGGGUGAUAUCAUAAAUAUAUAACAACAUGAUUCUAUUCUCUAUAUACUAUAUCCAUUCUUCGACAAAUGAAAGAAAUAUCCUAUAAGGCAGUUUUAAAAGGAAAUACUUUUUAGAAGACGGUCUACUUUGAUUAGUAAAUUGAAAAUUUAGUAAGAUAGUUCCAUGGGAACACAGCACAAGUACAAAUGCAGUGUACAUAGUACAGAUUACAAACAAAAGCUUAACAUGAGUAUAACAAAGAUGUGAUAAAACAAUUACCCUCAAUUCAUUAUAUGCUGCAUAAUACUGGGGAAAUCUUCCCCUUGGUCCCCCAAAAGCUUCUUGCCAUGUAUCUAUCAAAAUUAGUAUCUUUUCCCUAACAUUCAAGUCUGGCUGCAUAAUGGAAUUAGAAUAACAAAGCAGAAAGAAAGUUAGUAUCCUAUUCAUGCACAAACUGGAAAGAAAAAAAGGAAGCAACAAGUUAGUGAAACAGAAAAACAAAGGUUGGGAGAGAAAUGCAGCACCUUCUUCUUUACUAUUUUGACCAUUUCAUGCAAGAUAUCACGCUCAACGAUCUGCUGAAAAACAUUCUCACCACAGUUCUUGCUCACAGUCUCCAAUGCCUGCAUCGAAUAAUAAAUUAGGAGAAGGAAAAAGACACCAUUGCUCAGAAAUGGCUUGUUUUGUGCUGAUGAUAGGCUAAUGCAAGGCAAUCAUUGAACCACAACAGGUCCAUCAUAAAUCACAAAUUUAUUAUGACAUUUUCACAUGUAUACAUAUUUUUGGGAUGGGAAGGGUACCACAAGCUUUACAUCAUGAAUUUAAAAUUUUAAAAGAAAGAUGCAAAAACAUGACAAGAAAUAACACAAAAAAUACUGAAAGUCUCACAAAGAAAAGGAAUAGUACUAACAAAAAGAGCCAGGAGUUGUAUUUUUGGAUUUUUGCUGCCCAGGCGCUUCUUGAGUAUCUUCAAGGCCUCUUUUGCUUGCCUGAAAGUUCAAACCAGUUCAUUGGCAAAACAAAGCAUUCCGAAUAUUUAAAUUAGGAAAGAGAUUCUAUGGGAAAAAUAAUCCACAACAAUAGAAAAUAAAGAGGAUAGUCUUCUGCAGAGUUUAAGAAGCUAAGAAAUGUCCAACAUAUAAAAGAAAGCCCGAUACACCAAGAUGCUCAUGGAAUCUAUUUGAAAAAUAAAUUACUCCUUCUACGAAGUUUCCAGUUCAUCCCAAAUCAAUGUAGCGAAAGCAUUCUACUACCCUGUCAAUUUUUUAAAGUGUUACUUUUCAGGAGGACAUGAUUUCCUUAUGAGAUGAGCCACAUCUCCAUUUCAGGAGGAGAUCUCCUCUUCUACCAGGAGCCAAGUAUUAAACUUCGUGUGUAUGUGCGUGCACAUGUAUAUAUGAAUACAUAAUAAGCUCUGAGCACUUUAAAGUUUCAACCAACAACUACGAUAUCAAUAUUUCAGAAAAGAUUCAACGUACUCAACAAUUUAAGAAAUGCGAACUCUAAACGGGUGGAUAUACCUAUAUAUAAUAUUCAAUCUAAAAAACGAAAUUGAGGGAAAACAAAGUAAUCAUACCCAGGGUCAAUAUUGAUAAUAUCACAUAAUUCAAUAUUUAUUGCCCAGUCUGGACCAAUCAACAUAUCACUUGUUGCCCUCUCUGCACAGGCCGCACCAUUACCAGCCAUGUCGUAAUCCCCUUCACGCAAGUCUUUAUCCUUAAAACUUCCUAAAUCAGAAGCCAAAAACAAGUUCAACUACGUGCAAUUCAACAUUUGUGAUGUAAAAGAACUUAAUAGAUGCUAGAAACGGAAGAUCAUAAGACACCUGUCAGGCUCAGGCUAUCACUAAUUAGCUCGAUGUCAGUAAUCUUGUUCAAUUCCAAAAGUUCCACAAAUUAUUUCUUACCCACCAAGACAAAACUUAUGAAAAUCCCAAUUCAAUUACGAUAAUUGACAGCGGAACUAUACAAAAUUGAUCCAGAAAAUAUUAAAAACCCGAAAUCGCAAACAAAUAGGGUCUAUAAACAAAUUCAACUAUCUGCUCAUCCCCAUCACAAAUACGUAUCCCAAAUCAAAAUAACAAACAAUCAGAUAGUCAACAAAGUACGAUUAACACAAAUCCAAGUCCCACAUCAAGAAACCCACAAAAAUUUGUGCCCAUAAAACACAGACAAGCAAAACCCAAUUGGAUAUUAGUACUAAAAUUGAAAAUCAAAAUUCGAAUUAGCAAGAUAAUGGUCCUGUGCUUAAAGUUAAACCCAGUUGACAAAACGAUCAGAGAAUAAGAGAAAGGAAUGAGAAGAUUUUGAGUAUUUUGGGUGAGGAUCUCGGGGAAAAAGCGUACCUGUGGAAACCCAAUAUCAAAGCGAAUCAGAACCGACCGAAAUGCCAAGAUUUGAGAAUUUGAGGAGAGAAAUUGGGAUAAUUAGGGGAGUGGGUUUUCCUUGGGGAAUUCUCGCUUUUCUUUUUCUCUCUGUUGGGGAUCGUUUGCUUGUUUGGUGUAAUGUUUAUCUGCGUCAGCUUUUGCUGUUUAGAAAUUAGAACCAAAACUUGUGACUAACGUUGCCUACAAAAAUAUAUUAUAAGACAAAAGUCUCUUGUUUUUUUUAUUUUUACUGCAAAGCUGAAUUUUCCGGGACCACUGCGUUUGUCUGCCAUUAUUUUGCUUUAUUUAACUGGACUAAAAGUUAGUGCAGCCUCGUAUUUAUUAUCCGCACAAAAUUAUUUUUAAUAAGAUUACGGGGAAUUUGACUUUAAAUUCUAAAUUUUAGAUUGUGUUAUUCACACUUUUUUUUUAUUUCUUACAUAUUUUUGUUAAUUUUUGUCUAUUAAUCUUCUUCAUCUCAUUCGAUUUAUAAUUAAAAAAAUUGAAAAAAGUGUGUGAGAAGUAAAAAAAUAGCUUGUGGAAACACUGGUCUAAACUUUCCCCACAUGGUUGUUGUGCAUAAGAUUUAUAUUCUUUCAAAAAAGCUUUCUUUGAAUUUUAAAUUUUAAAUUCUAAUUUUUUUGCACGCGAAUUUAUCUUGUUAAGGAAUAGUAGCCACACAAAAUUUCAAAUUUCUAUAUUCAUAAACGGCAAUGAAAAUUGAUGUAUGACAAUUUAAAAGUUAUUACUUUUAUUUAAAUUUCAAGAUUAUUUCUCGUAUCUAAACGAAUGUAUGUUUGUUAAUUAAUUUUCUUUAGCCAAAAGGAAACAUCUUACAGUAAUCUUGAUUUGUGAUGAAAUAGAAUCCAAAAGAAUUAAAAUAUAAUUGGUUUUGCACGAUGCUAGUAAACAACAUUUUCUCUUUAAAUUUUUGUUUCCUUCCCAUGUAAAUUGGAGGUUUUAAUUUCCUAGGCGCUUCCUGUUUAGACUUUUCUUUGAUUGCGAAAUAAUCCUGACCGUGAACGCAUUUUGGAAGCGGCGACUGGGCCCACAUGACGGUGCAUUGGAAACGGCUGUAUCGGUGUUGGCGUUGAAUUCUUUGAGCUCUGGGUGUCGAGCAAAAGUCAACUGAACCUAAAAUGAUACCAUGGUUGACUGGGUCAGCGGUCAGCCUCAUCCCUCCAACUUGUUCAUCCCUCCAACAUUUUCUCUCUCAUUUUGUUAACGAAUAUUAAAUCAUUAUCAAUUAUAACGUAUUUAACUGAGUCAUUGUCAGUUAUCAAAUAUUUAUUUCAUUAAUAUUUUUUUUCAUUUGUAAAUGAAACGUUUUAAAUUUGCGAUAUUGAUGAAUUCAGACUUUGUGAAGGCUUAGUUGUACUUGUUGCGAGUGGUAUCAGAAGCCAAUGCUUGAAACUUGGGGUCUCUCUCGUAUUAAAUGGUAGUAAGCCACGGAUAUUUGUUCAAGUUCACCAACAUAAAAAGCGAAGAAAAUUGCACAGAGAAUUUGAUUUCAAAAAAUUCUCUUUCGAUGCACAAGAACUCUCCUUCCAAUAACUUCAUCGGUCUAAACAGAAUAAUUUAAGAAUGUCAACCAAAUAUUACCAAGUGGUCAGGGAUUGGAAUCGAACACAAUGCUGAAAUAACAGCAAAAAACGAAAUAAUUAUCAAACGGACCCUAAGUGUUUCACUUCAAGUUCCAGAAUGGAGAUUUGUAAAGGGUGCUCACUGGCAGUGUUCUAAAAAGCCCCGUCUAUAGUUUCGGAGUAUAUUUACUGUAAUUGAAAAUCAAAACUCAUUAUAAACAAGGAUUGUAGUAGCAUCUUGAACGUUGAUUUACUAUUUGACGUUUUUCAAAUAACUGUCAACAAACGAGAAGUAACAGUUUGGAUCAUUUAGUUCCUUUGGUUUAUCAACCUCUCAUUUGUCUCAAAACAUAACUAUAUUAAUUAUUCGUUUUAAUGACAAGAGAAACUAUAUUAGUCAUUUUGCUAAUUGCAAAUACUCAUAAGUUGCAGCGGUGCAAUCAGUAUACAAGAAAAGAGUAGCAAAGUAUCAUCACCUCAGAGCCGGUAUAGCCUUCUCUUCUUCGGUGAUAACGAGCUUGCCCUCUGUGAACUCACAAGCUGCAAUGGAAACACUGAGCUGCUUCUGCAGCUUCUUCACAACAAAAACCUGUGACUCUUCGCAUAUUGUUACGACAGUGCCCUUCCGGCCAAGCCGACCAGUCCGACCAGCUCGAUGUGCAUAAUGAAUUGAGUCAGUUGGCAAGUCCAGGUUGACAACAAGAUCACACUCUGCCACAUCCAAACCCCUCGCUGAAAGUUCAUUUGUCACCAGGAUUCUAACCUCCCCAUUUUUAAACUUUUUCAGAGUUGUUGUUCUACCAAGUUUACCAAGAUCCCCAUGUAGCUCUGCCGCUACCAUUCCACGAGCCUCCAGCUUGAAGACGGUAUCUUUAAGCUGCUUAGUGUGGUUCAUGAAGACUAUAACAGACUUGGCAUCGAGAGCAUGAACACAUCUUCUCAACGCAUCAACCUUGUGUUGUAUCUUUGUGACACAGUAGUAGUGUUUAAGAGAUGGAGGUAGGCUCUGUAUUGCAGACUGACCUUGCAAAUUCUGGGAUGGAUCGGAAUUGGUCGAUUGUCCUGACAAAUUAAUGGGCCCCGUUGGAGAAAUAGAUUCAAUGGACAUGACUUUUUUGGCUUGGAUGAGAAGUGGAUCGUGCCCCCAGCUCCUGGCUGCCCGUAUCACUGAGAAUGGUACUGUGGCAGAAACCAAAACGGUCUGACGCUCAGCCCGCUUGGCAAGUGAUCCUUUUGGUCCAUGCGAGUCUCCAGUAGAUUUCCUCCCAACAUGUUCCAAUAUCCGGUGCAUGUCCUCCCGAAAAUUAAACGAGAGCAGCUGAUCAACCUCAUCUAAGACCAAGAAACGACAGCCGUGGGUGUGAAGCUUACCAGCUGCACUAAUCUCCGAAAGCCUUCCAGGGGUACCAACAACAAUGGAAGGUUUAUUUUUCCUCAGCGCUUCUUCCUGCCUUGUUCGAUUUGCGCCCCCAACAAGCUGCUGCACCACUUUUUUGUGUGCAGGCCCUAAUAUCUUCUCAAACUCCCUCACAAUUUGCAUACCCAGCUCCCUAGAAGGAGCCACAAUUACUGCUUCUAUAUCUGUUUUCUUCCCAGGUUCACCAUCGCCCUCAGAUGUUCUCGUCUUUAGAGGGCCCACUUCAGAAAGGAUGGGAAGAAGAUAAGCCAACGUCUUUCCUGAGCCCGUGUAAGAUUGAAUUACAACAUCAUGAUCUUCAAGAAUUGUUGGAAUUGCAGUGGCUUGAACAUCAGUUGGAGUCUUGAAGCCUUCCUUCUCUAACCUCUCGAUCAACAAAGGUGGAAGGCCGAGCUCAAAAAACGACUUCGCAUUAAAGAUACUCGAAUCUAUUUCAAGUGAUCUGUGUGGCCCAGCUGCUUUCACUACAUGGCUUCUAACCACCUUGGCUUUACUCUUCGGGACCUCUGUAAGCGACUUCAACACCUUGACUUCAUUGAUUUUCCCAUUCUCCGGCGUUUCAAGAUCGCCUUUGAAGCCAAGACUUGCAAGACUCAGACUACAAACACUUCUAUGGAACCAAGCAUUCCGAGAAACAUGUGGAAACCUAUGCAAGGAGAGAGACUCUCCAAAAAUGAGCAACCUUGGCGAGAUCAAUGCUGGCAUCUUUAAUAGUCCCCACCAGUAAUUACUAAUCAGAUACCAGCGGAUUGAACUCAGAGCUGGAUAUUCGGAUUUGAGAAGAAACAAGAAUUACAUGAUAGGACCGAAACAAAAUACGUAUCCUGGACAGCGUACUAACAGAUACUUAAUAACUAUCAGUAAACAGCUACUGAACCAAAACUCAGAUCAGUAAAAAAUAUGGAAACACUUCAUCUGACAUUAAAACGAAAUGGAAAAUGAACCAUACCAACAGAUUAGUAAUCUUAAAUUAGUACGAAUUUACGAAAACAGCAUCGGAAUUAGAAAUUUCAUGACCAAAUUUAACAUAUCUAGCAUCUAUAUACUACAUAAUCCAUGAAAAAUUUGAAAUAAUGGAAGCUAAAAGAAUCAAAACAGAUAAAUGUGUCCAAAUAUUAAAUUUUGUUCUUCCGAAUUUGACAACACAACAGAUGAGAUUAGAAUUACAUUUACAGCUGCAAAUAUAUAUACAACAAACAGAAAACAGAAGCAAUUCAGCAAUUCAGCAACACAGCGAAGCUCAACUCAGAGCAGAUUAGAAAUCAAACCCUAAACUAGAAAUGGAGAAAUACCUUUUGUGGGUAACGGGUUACGUCGUCGGAAUGGAAGGCGCCUAGGAAGAACUGAGGAAGAAGAAGAAGAUAGGAAGGGCGGAAGAAACUGAUUCAGACGACAAGUUCCACUUGAGAAAGGGUUUAAGAGGGGGACUGCGGGAGGAGAGCUGCUGGGUUUACGGAUGAGGUUCUUCUACGGUUAUGAAUGGCUAAGGAUGGGCUUGGUGACUUGGGUCAGCUGGGCUUCCGAUCCUAAAAAUACUAUGAAAAUAAAUAGGGUGGUUCUUUGUACAUCAAAGUUUCGUCUCAAGACACUUUGGUUUCUUUUCGAAACACUAUGGAUGUCCAAAGAGAAUAACUGGUUUCCUUAAGAAAUUAUUGAGCCAUUUGUGGUAGUUUUGUAUUGAUUAUAGAGUCAUUUUUAAAAAUAAAAUUAAUAAAUGUUCAGAAACAAAACUUGAGUAUACAAAGAACCAUUCCUGAGUAAAUUAUGGUGUGGAUGGAGGUUUUGGGCUACUUGGGGAAUAUCCAAGGUCAUUCAUUUUGAGUUCAACAACAUCAGUAGGCAAGCCGGAUCCCCUCCGGAUCCAAAGGAACUGAGUCCAAAAAUCAAAUGAUUUAGGCCAUUGAAAUUUGAUCCAACGGUCACAAUUAUUAUAACUUUUAGAAAGCCACAUGUUUGUAGUCGUUAAAUCAAAUUUCAAUCGUCCGGAUCAUUUGAUGAGUGGGCUCAGUUCCUUUGGGUCCAGAGGGAAUCCGGUUCCAAUAGGCAGGGGAUAGAAAAAGCUUUGUUGGCAGUUCCCUUUGUCAACCCUUUAGCAACAAGGCACCCAAAUGUCAAUGCCUUAAUCUGGAUCCACAGAUAAGUGUUUGAGAUGUGGUUUUGUGUGGAAGCAACAUCGAGUAGAAAGUGUUUGGAAUCUAUCACAUUGAUUAACAUGUCUUGUUUUGCUAGAGAAAUUGUCGCUUAUCCUCUCUAACAAACGAGGCCACAAAAUAUAUUCAUAGACUAAAUUGAUUUAGUUGGAAUUUAGAAUUAUGAGGUCAAAUUAGUGAAACGAUUAAAACAAAUAAACCAUUUUGAUAUUCAACCUAAUUCGGCCUUAGGCCAAUACGACAUUCGGCGGCCUUGAGCCAUUGAUAUUGUGCCCACUCUAAAUAUUUGGAAUAUUUGAAUAAAAGUAACAAACUAAAAUAAAGGCAAAUGGCACUUUGCUGUCAAGGUUCUAGAACAAGUUGAUCUGCGAAAUAAUAAAGGAAAUAGAGAAAUAUAAUAAUCCUAGCAAUUUAGUCCUACGGGUUCCUAUCAUGGAAGGUCAUUUCGCAUUAUCAUUUUCUCUUUUAUAUGUUUAUCUUAACAAAUUAAAAGAUAAUUAAAGGAAAAAAAAUAAAGAACAAGACAGGUGCAGACGCUACCUUUGUAUUAUAAGUUUAUAAUUACUUUGGUUGUUCCAUGUGCAUGUAAUUGGAAUAAUGAAGAAAGUUCACAUUUCACUAUAAAAUUAAUUAGCGAUAUGAAGAAUAGUUCAAUUUCUUAUACGCAGAUACAAGAUUUUUUUUUUUUUAUGUGAGAUUCAUCCUCAAUAAUUAGGCCAUUGACAAAAAAUGACAAUAAUUCUUGUGAUAUCAAUAAACUUCUCGUUGUUGUAAAUAUUAUUUAUUAUGCGGUUAUUCAUUUUUAAAUCAAUAUGAUAUAUGUAAUUAGUUAAAAAAAAUUAUGUAGAUUCUAAGCUCUUUAUAAUCUCUUUUUUUCUCUGUACUUUUAUGCUUUAGUUUGAACACUUGCAAAGUGGUUAAGCAACAACCACAUACAUUAUUAUUUUGUUCUCUGUAUCAAUAAUUAGUUAGUGUUUGGUCAAAGCAGAAUGGAAUCAUCACUCAGCUUUCCAUACAUUUUUUUUUCUUUUUUUAUAAUGUCAAUAAAAUUCCUCCUUCCAUGCUUACAAGUGUGGCAUGUUAAGGCAAGAAAAAUAUGUGCCUCCCUACCUACCUCAAAACAUAGAUCAUUCUUUUCUUUCAAGUUACGUACAAAACAUCUUCAUGAACUUUUAAGCCAAGCUCAAACAAUUUCCUUCUUUUAUUUCCUAAGAAGAAGCCAACAAUAUCUUACAUACUAUAGGUUCAAAGACUUGUGAAAUCAACAACAGGAAUACACAUUCAGCAAGCACGAUCUGAUAUUGGUGCUCGGUUACUUGACAUGAUCAUUAUUCUCAACAACGCCUUGAUAUGUUUGAGAGUUUAUUGUCUGAUAUUAGAUACUCUCAAUCAUAGUUAGUAAAUUUGAGUAUAAUAUGCGUAUUACACACACAUGUACGUAUUUUCUUAAAUUACUUUUGUUUUUCCGCACACGUCUUAAUGAUUCGUUGAAUUACAUAUUUUUUUAAAACUCUAACAUGGUCAACACCAUAGUUUGCCAAACAAUCUGCCACCUGAUUUCCUAUACAAUAAAUGUGAGAAAACUAAAUAUGCAUAGAAGAUAGAAUGGUACAACAAUUUGCCAAUCAACUGAUAAAUGCCAAGGCACCUGAGAAGAUCCAUUAAAAAGAAAAUGUAUUAUCAAAGAAGAAUCACACUCAAUCCAAAGAGAAUGCCAACCCCUCUCCAAAGCCAUAUAAACAUCAUGAAUAAUAGCUUUAAGUUCUGCCUCCGAGGCACUAUUAAUGCCAAAAAAAUCCUGCAAAGUAUCCAAAACAAUGACCAAGUGGUCACGGAAAAAUACCACCCAAAUCAGCCGGAGAACCACACCGCCAAUGUUAACUUUAACUUAAAAAACACAAGGAAAAAGUCAAAGAACCUUGUGAAUUCUGUGCAUCUUUGAAGGACUUCCAUGCACUCGAAGCACACUAAGAAUGCAAAGCUCAUCAACUAAGUAUAACAUAAAAACCCAUAGCCCAAGAAUUCACCUCACAAACAUGCAAGCGAAUUGCCACUAACCAACUGUAAACUUUUUUCCUUCAAAGCUGAAAAUUUUUAAGCUUGCCAAAGUGAGUAAAAACUUGUCUCAAUCAUACCCCCACCAUAAUAACAAAUGUUGAGUACUGAAACCACGCCUAAAAGGAUAACAAAAAAAAAAUAUUGGAGAAUAACAUAAAAACUUGAAAUAAGGCUAACACCUUACACCAAAUUGCUAAAGAAAAUGAGCACAUCGAUACAAAAGAGAACCCUCGGUGAAGCAAAUUAGUAAAGGAUAAUGCUUUUGUCUCCCUAGAGGGGACUUGCUCGUCCCUCCAUAUAUGAUUAACGAACCUUUACAAUCCGAACAUCAUAAUCAGAACCAUUCAAUCUCUUUAUCAUCAUCUAAAGAUUGUAUUUGCAAGAAAUAAUCAAUUUGAAGAUCGUUUAGUCACCCACAUGUAUAAAACAAAUGGACGGUUAAUCAUGAAGUUGCUGCUUGGUACCAAAACCGUUGAUUGGUUUAAUACACAUGGAUGACUAAACAAUCUUCACAUUGAAUGAUUUUUUGCAUAUACAAUCUUUAAAUAAAUAUAAAAAGAAUGAAUGGUUCCGUUUACGAUAUUCGAACUUUAAAUGUUUGUUAAUCUUAAAUGAAGGGACUAGUCCCCAUAAUAAGGGGACACAAUCAUAUUCCAUUAGUUAACUAUAAUUCAUUACAAACCGUUGAAGCGUCUAUAUAUAUAUUAAUUCAUUACAAACCGUUGAAGCGUCUAUAUGUAUUAAUUCAUUACAAACCGUUGAAGCGUCUAUAUAUAUAUAUAUAUAGCCAGAACAAGUAGACGUCGAAACAUAAAUCCAAUUAAACAAAGGGGAAUAAAAAAUUAAAAACAAAAACAAAAAUAUACCAACUCUUCCAAAAACUGCCAGAAUAUAUACAAGCAACGGCAAAUUUUCUUUUGCAAUAUUCUACUAUAUCUUUUAAAGCAUAUUUUUAUUUGAGACGUAAUUACACAAACACUUAAUUAAACACUUAAUUAAAUAUUAAUCUCCAGCUUGUAUUGUAUCUAAAAGGCAGGCAAGGCAAUCCAUUCAAUCCUUCCUCUUGUUCUUCUUGAACAUGAUGAACGACCAGCAGCCGCUACUCUUGCGCCUGCAAUUAUUCAAGCAGAAAAACACCAUUAAGAAAAAAACCAGAUAAACUAAGGACAAAAAAUUAGGAUGAGUUGAAUAUUCUGUGGUGCGUUGGACUAAAGAUUGAAAGUGAUGUGUACAUUUUGUCACCCAUUCGAUCAUUCGAACAGUCCAUUUAUAAGUCAUGGUGCUACUAAAUAUAAAAACAUCUAUAUACAUACAUAUAUAUAUAUAUAUAUAUAUAUAUAUAUGCCUCAAAAUUGUUAUAUAACGUUACAUAAUGUUACAUAUUAUAAGAAAAACACUUCAAACUCAAAAUUUUACAAAAGCAAUUGGUAUAAUACAAAAGGAAUUUCUUGCACUAAGGCGGCAUAUGAGUUUAAUUUUAAUAUGUAGGAAUCAGACAUUCGAGUUUAAUUUUUAUAAUCCUAGUUUUAAGAAUCAAUACAACAAGUUAACGGGGUCCCUAAAAUAUAUAUUUAUUUUAUUUAUAAAACUUAUAGUCAUUAGGAUGUUUGUACUAAUUUAAAUUUUUUGUAGGCCCUACCUUGAAAUUUUUCAUAAACGAAAAAUAUCUGACCAUGGUUCUAAAAAUACUAGAAUAAUAUAUAGUUUUGUAAACGUCACAACAAUUUUGUAAUGGUGACAAAUUCUAGAAGGCCCCCUUACCCAAAACUUGCACAACUUGUGCACCAAACAAUCCUUUGUAUAUAUCUUUCAAUAUUAGUCAUGACAUUUGGCAAAUCAGCUUCUAGAAUGUUAGUGAGAUACAUGCAACUCAACCACUCUCACACGUUUUAUGGCUUUACUUUCUUUGCUUUUCCCCUUUCUCUCUUUCGUUAAUGGAGACUUUGAUAUUUAGGAAAUUUAGAUAAACUUUCCCCUUCACCCAAAAUUUCUAAAUGUUGACUUAGAGGAAUUUGGCAUGCACUGGAGCAAUCGAUAUUGUAUGACAAUAAUCUAACGGCCAAGAAUCUCACUGUAUAACGACUCGUACUAAAAAUAUCCCAAUUUAAAUAGGUUUUGGUUUAUAAGUUUUUAAUACUUUUCUCAUGAAAUCAAUAAACUCAAGAUUCCCAUGUUUCAUCAAGAAAAAUGACUUGCUCUGCAAUUUUAAGACAAUCAUGGAAAUAAGGAAGACGAAAUGAAGACAUAACUAAAAAUUAAAGAGAAUAGUUUCCAAAAUAAAAUAUAAUAAAUUAACUUUCCUUUAUCGUUCUAAUUCGCUAAAAAGUGUUACAAAUACCAAUUUUAUAAAUUAAAAUUUAGAUUAGAUUAAAUUAAAAUAUCGUUGGAAUGAAAUGAAACUCUAUGGUAAAAUUGAUAACAUACCUGCUGUUGCUUCUGCUGCUACGACUACUGCUGCUGCUGCUGCUGCCACUGCUUUUCAUGCUUCCACUAUUGAUACUAGAAACACCACUUUCACUCCUUUCUGAUACAGAAACUCUCUUCAUCUUCCACCAUUCAUUAUCCACACCCACUCCCUUCACAGAUCCAUCCACCCCCUGAGGCUUUGGAGACACCUUCGCACUCAUAUUAUUGCUAUUUGCACCCACCGCCAAACACUCACCCUUCUUCUUAAUGCUCUUAUUGUUCUUCUUCUUACCCCCCAAAGAAAUUGGCAAAACCAUCUUCAAAAGAAACCCCCCACUAUCUAUACUCCCACUCCUCAUCACCAUUUUCUUCCUCUCACCAUUGUUCUUCCUUUCGUUUACGCUUCCGUUUCCAUUUCCCCUCCUGAUCAUCAAGUUCUCAGUACUUCUAUUAUCAUCUUCUUCCUCUUGAUCUCGAUCUUCUUCUUCACCACCCAUUGUCCUAUACUUAUGCUCAACGAGAUCCUUCAGUGAAAGCUCAUAGCAUGGCUCGGGCAUGUUCUUCACCAUCUCCAUCAGCUCCCUCUGUCCUCUGGCAAUCGCUUGUGUUCUCGAAGUCGGGGAAAGACUCCGGUAGUUGUUCACGCGGUUCGUCGUCUUCCACAACGGCGGCGAGUCAGACUCAUCAAAGGGGGCGGCAGGAGUAGUUUCGACGUUGAUACGGGCGUCCAUGCUGUUCCAACUCCUGUAGUUUGCAUAAUUUUGAGCAGUUUUCUGAGCCCGGGAAGCGUAAUUUACGGCCUGCCAAGAAUCGUAGGUUGUUGUGUCCCCUUUAAUUUGGUCGUCGGCGCUGCUGUUGAAGAGGAAAGGGUGUUCAUGUGUGUUUGUGUUGGGAUCAAGCAUGGUGUUUGUUUCCUGGGAAAAUUUUGAGGGGAAAGGGAAGGAAAGUGAUGGAAGAAGAAAGAAAAUGGGGAUUGUGUGAAGGGUAGGGUUGUUGUAGUUAGUGUGCUUGAAGCAGGGAUUGCCAGGUGGGUGGGUGCUGGGAGUUAUCACCGACCCUUUUUUUUUUUUUUUUUUUGUUGGUGUAUUUGUGAUUUUCUUGGCACCCAAGUUUUUAAUGGGGAUAUCACGGCAGGGGGUCAAGGGGUUCUAGAUGGGGGCUGUGCUGGGUGGAUGUGAUUACCUUACUUGUCCUCUCUAUAUUUUCUCUUUGUUUGUUCCUUUCUCUUUUGUCUUUUGAGGAGGAGCUAAGAUGCUAACUUAUUAGGCUUUUAAUUCCUUUUUUCUCUACUAGAUUUGUAGGCUAUUUAUUUCAAUAAAAUAUUGCACUUUAAAAAAAAAAAAAAAAUCGGUUUGAGCAGUACAUUAUUUUUUGGGUCGUUUUCUUCACACCUCAUAUUUUGUUGAUUACAUCUCACAUACUUAAUAAAUCCUACUUUUACCUUUUAAAUUAAAAUUUAUCUUAAUGCACCCCACAUUUUUUCCAAUACUACCCUCACACCCACACUCUCAAUAUACACCUAACGCUCAAACUCUUUAUCAACAUCUAGGUUUAUGUCAAUUAAGUGUUUUGUUUUCUAUCAAUUAGGGAUUUUAAGUUUCGUAUUUGAAGAAAUUGGAUCAAAACCAUCGAAUGCAAACCAAGUUUUGCAAAAAAUAGAAUAGUGCCUUUGCAAUCUUAGCAAGUGAAUUCAAAAGAUUGUUCAAGAGAAUUUCGGAAGUGCCUAUCAUCAUCAAGUCAUCACACUGAAGACUAUUACUUCUAUUGGUUCGAGUAAGGAGCAAUAAUGUGAGAAUUAUGACAAGUUGCCCUAAGUUGCUUCAUAAGGCUUUCAAUAUUUGCUUUCUGUACAUGCCCAACAAGCAACAGCAAACUCCACCAUAUCAAAAACAAACCCGUUCACUUUUCUCUGAAGAGAUUUUAGCCAAUCAAAGAAAUAUCAUAAACACAAACUGAUAUGUGAUAAAUGACAUUGCAUUGAAUUGUGUCGUUGAGUUCAAUAGCAGGCGAGAGUGGCUUCGAGAGCUUGAAAAAAAUAAUAUACACUAAAAAUGAUUUGGAGGUGUAUUCAUAAUCUUAUGGGGGCUAAACAGUCUUUUUGUAUUAUAGUAUAUAAGUAAUAUUUUAUGUGGGGUGCAUUUAACAAUAUGUGGGGUGCUAAUAGAAAAACCCUAUUUUUUUAUGUACUCAAUUUUAAGUCAAGUUCUUUUAAUAUUUGCAUCUACAUGAUAUAAUUAUUAUUUCAAUCGUCAAAUAGUGAUUGUGUUAAAUACAUAAAUUCAUAUAAAUUAUAUCUUACCGUUAAAUAGUUAUUGUAUUAAAUCAUGUAAGUAUUAUAGUCAAUCUCGAGAAUUUGAAGAAUCUUAAAAAGUUUAAUUCCAAUAAGAAUUAAUUAAUUUUAAAAUUCAGAAACCUAGAAAAAGGAAGAGUCACUAAGACAAGAGCUAGGUAAGCAACCGUUGGAGCAGAAGUUUCCACCCUCCCCCUAAUGAGCAAGUAACUUUCCUCCUCCCAGAUACGACGAGACUAGGCCGGUCAAGAAUAGGAGAAUGACCAUCUAGUUAUAGCUCUUAUUAUCUUAGUUGCUUUUUUAAAAUGUGAAGGAUUUUUUUUUAUGAAUUUGAGGGAUUUUAUAGUGAAAUUUAGGCUUUAAGAAGUCAAGUCCCCCUCUCCUAUAUUUUGAGGGAGUCUAUUCAAAUCUGCAUAGAGUCUACGAAAGUUCCUUAAAACUUUCUCAAACCCCAUGAAAGGUCGUUUUAUUAACACCACACAUCAACAAUAUAUGAGAUACCACUAAACAACCAGUCCAUGAAUUUAUAACUUAAAAUCCUUCAAAAUUUAAUUGAGUACACCUCAAUUAUUUUAUAUUAGAAUAUCGCUCCAAUCAAAAUAUAUUCAUUUUUUCAAUGAUACAGUUACAAGAAGAGGUUAUGAAUUUACGCUAAGCUACACAAUUAGAAUGUUAUAAUAAUUUAGUGUCGAACUUACUAUCCACGAGAGUCUAACACAAAACUUAACAUUUUAUUUAUUUUCUGAACAAGUAAUAUUAGCUACACUAAGGGGUGGAGGAGUGAACUAAGCAUCACAACAGACAAGUCAUAAUAAUGUGUUUUAAAUUCUUCUUUUGCGAGAAUCAAAUAUAAAACUUUUUACUUACAAGUAAAGACUACUAAACCGUAAUACUAAGUGAUUAAAAACGUCACACUUUAAGACCAGAGAAAUAAGCUUGAAUUGUAGUACUAAAUGGUGGAGAUAGCUGUGUACAUUUGGAUGGACUGAAAUGAGCCGCAUGUCCCAUUCCUUUGUCUUAAUUUAUUAUUUCUUGACUUUUUGGUUUCGUGUUUUGCUACUAUAAAUGAUAUCCUGUAACGUCUAUAUAUAUCUUAAAGUGGAGUUUAUUAUAGCUUGAUUAAUCUAAUCAUACUAUAAUUUUGUUGUUGCCUUUAUAAAAAGAAAGAAGGAAAGAAAUAAAGGGCAAAUAUCAAACAGCAAAAGCUCCUUCUGCCUGCUUAGUGCCUUGUAAUUAUAUUGUCUGAUUAGACAAACUUGGAGGAGGAGAGGUCCUUGCUUUAAGUUUCACCCUUCCUUUUAAGGCUUUACACGUUUCUCCACUUUUUGUGACUAACUACUAACCUGGCCCCACUUUCUUUAAUAUAAUAAUCUCCCUUUCUUCUCACUCCUGAAUUGGCUCCAGAAAACAUGAGAGCCAAAUACUUUUUUAUUAUCUAAAUUAUCUAUAAAUAGUAUUUUCUUUUGUAAAUUAAAAGAUAGCGACAAAAUUAUUUAACUUUUUACUACAGAAAAAAUGUUAUGUAAUAAUGUAAUUUUAUAAAAUUAAAUUUUGUUUUUUUUAAUCUCAUGUAGAUAUGAUUUUAGUAUAUAUUUAAUAUUAAAAGAAUAAAACAAAAAUUCUCGAGUAAUUCUAUUUUUGUCAUCUAAAUAUAUCAUACUAAUAUUCCAUCUUAUAUUGCAAUUGAGGUAGACAUCCACAUCGAUUAAAAAAAAUCCUAUGUUAAGGUGGAUAUUUAUAAUUUUACAUCAAUGAUUUUACUAAUAAAAUUAUUAAAAAAUAAAAAUGAAACCUACUUGCUCAUGUUUUUGAGAAAUUUUUUGAGGUACCGGGUACCCCAGUUGAGUUGGUGUUCCUAACGAAUAAAAGUUUGACAUGUAAUUAUCCAAGUUUUUAAUUAAGAAAAUGUCAAACUAGCAUUUUUUUUGUUAACAAAUUUUCUAAUUUACCCCAAACCCUAACAAAAAUUGAGAAUAAUCACCCUCAGCAGCACCACCCACCCAGUGCCGCCAAGAACUCAGCCAAGACAAUCACCCACCUCAAUCGAAGUUGAUAAUUUUCACUGGAGAAUGUCGAAGUUGAUAUUUUCACUGGAGACUGAUCGACGACACUCCGACCUUCAAAUUAGAUGUCGCCGACCUCCGAUCAAAGCGCGAGGGUGGUCGCAGGCAACUUUUAGGAUCUUUCUCCGACGUAAAGGAGGAGUAGAGUAAAAAAUUGGAAGAGAAGGAGAUAGAAAGAGAAAGGGAGAGGGAGAGAGAGAGAGAGAGAGAUAGUGACGGCAAGGGGAGACGGAGAUGGGUGGGGGUGGGGUGAAGGUCGGAGACUCAGGACGACAAUCUGGGUUCAACGGUUUUGUAACUUUUUAUGUUUUUUUUUCUAUAUAAUUAUUUUCUGAAAAUGUUUUUGUGUCGGGUGUCCAUUGGUGGGGAGCACCAGCUGUCCUGAGUACCCAAUACCCAUAAAAAUUUCUCCACGUUUUCAACCUCACCGCUGGGCCGAACACCUUUGUCACCAACUCCAAGUUUGCAAUUUCAAUGGUUUAUGCUUUCUAGCCGAACUUUGAAAUUUCACUGGAAUUAUCUUCUGUUUGACUCAGAUUAGUUGGAAGAAUGAAGCGUACACAGGAGUUGAACGUAUAAGGUUUAAGCAACAAAAAAAAUUUAAAAAAAAAACCAGAAAUUCUACCUAGGUUGAUACUUAAACUUCAGUAUGUGUAUACUAAAUGCGAUAUAAUAAGAUGAUAAUAAUAGUAUUUAUUGAAAAAUCUCUCUUCGAACUCCUAUUUCACGUUUUCUCUCUUCUUCUCACAUUCUUAUUUUAAAAAUAAAAAUAAAAAAUAUUCACAAACACGAAGUGUGUAUACAUUUGCUAAUUUUAUUUAAUAAAUGAGAAGGAAAUUGAACCAUUUACAUUGGCUUGAGUAAAAUUCUCUUUACAACUUAGAUUAUAAGUUAUUAGUAAAUGCCCAAACAUAAAGUGUAUGUGAAAUUUUUUAUUUUUGUUUUUAAAAUUGAAGGAGGGAGAAAGAGAGUGAGAAAGAAGGUGGGCGUGGGGUGGGCUUGGGGCGAGGAUGAAAGAGGCUUUUUUUUUUUUUUUUUUUAAUAAUUAGAGAUGGUAAAAUCAUCAGUAAAUGAGGUUUAAACAAAAAUAGCAAAAUUCCAUUUUGUGAUAUUACGUUACUGCCCUUAACUUUUUUGUUGUGAUAGAAGACUCAAUAGUCGUUAUACCCAAUAGGAUUAUAUUAAUAUGUAAUUUAGAUUAGUAUGAGUUUAAUUUAUUUUUAUUUGGGCAAUAUUUUAAUCUAAAAUGCAAGAAAUUUUAGGCUUUUAGGAAUUUUAUCUAUUAUAUAAUCAUCCAAGAUAUUUCAUCAAGUAGUCAUACUUCUAUUUUCUUGAAAAGGGAGAUUUUAAGUUUUUACGUUAUAUAAGCGAUAUUGAGAGAGAAGAAAUUGAACUCAUGUGGUGCUAAAUAUUCUUAAUUAAACUGAACUCUAGGUUCUGCAAAGUGAAGUUAGAUAUGAAUAAAUAAAUUGGCCGAACAAAAGAGGAGGCGAAGUUAAGUUAAAGAUUUUUUUUCAUAUUAUUAUUUUAUUUUGAAUUUACUAUUAUUAGGGAAAAUUGAGAGAGUUUGAAAAACUGUUACAAUAACGAGAUAUGAGAGUUUCGAACCUAGAGUUAACGCAAGGAUAAAAAUCUAACACCUUAUUUACUAAGAUAUUGAACCACAUGCAAGUAGUUAAAGAUUUAGGUGAGGGUAUCUUCUAUGCAUUAUUUUUUUGAGUGCAAGUAGUUAAAGAUUUAGGUGAGGGUAUCUUCUACGCAUUAUUUUUAUUUUUUGAGAGAAAAAAAAAAUAAUGCAUAGAAGAUACCUGACUUGAAAGUUAAAAUAGUGCAUAUGUUGCAUAGGUUUAAACAACUUUCGAAAGUUCAAAUAGUCAAUGGUUCAAAUAAUCAAUUAAGCUUCUAGUCCUUAUUUUUUCUCUCUUUCUUUUUCAACAAAAAAAAUUUCAGAACUAAUUUUUGUUUUGAUUGGAUAGUUUCAUUGACCCAAAGAGAUCAGUGUGGAUUUCAAAGGUACUGAAUUAUACUGUUGCAUUUCCUCUUUGGGAUGAUCUUUAUUCUUUUAUUUGCAAAUAUAUUAUUACCGUUAAAAUUUCAUAAUAGGAAUCGUUCAAUUUCUAACUCUUCAUUAAAAGAUUAUCUCUACAAAAAAUCAUUUGAACUGAACAUCAUUUUCCGAAUAUACCAAAUGAAUCAAAUGUUUAUGUAUCAAGUAACAUAUUAAUGAUGAACUGUCUAUUUAUUUAAUAUAUUUAGAUGACUAAAAAAUCUCAAAUUCAAAUAAUUUUUUUUUUGAAGUAUGAUUUUCAAAUGAAGAUUACGAUAUUGAACCAGUUAUAAAGUUUACAUCUUUCAUUGUGAGUUUGUGACGGUACCACUAAGCAAGAAGAACCACAGCAGUCGAGUCGUGCAUGGCUAGCAAAUACGUGGCUUCUGAUUAAAUUUUUCGUAGUGUCACCUCCACAUAUGCAAUGAGGAUUACACAAUUUUAUCUCGUAAAAAUAAUGCUAAUAAAUGAUACUAGCCUUCGUUCACACGCAUGCAUAAGACAUUUUUUAAAUUACGACGUGCUACAAGCGACUUACACAUUUUAGAUGUAUUUAUAUGCAUAAAUUGACAAAAAAAAAAGUCAAAUAUUUGAAGUAAAUGAAUAAUCUUAGAUCAUACUAGAAGAAACCCCUUAUAAACCAAUUAAAGCAGCUGAAUUCAUAUAAUAAAAUCGGUCUCUAUACAAAUUACAUUAAGAAUAGAGAAAAUAACAUUUAAUAACCAAUUGAUUGAAUUACAUUAUUGCUAGCCCAUUGUGAGGCUAAGCCCACUCAUUUCCUCUUAGUGUAGAUAAUAUCAUUUGUUAAAAAAAUAAUAAUCAUUUGACAACUAAUUUAAUCACAUUAUUAUUGACACAUCCUGACCUAAAUCAGGGCAUGCUGGCCAUCAUAUGGGAGUGACGUAACCAUGUGCACAAUGUGGAAACAAUAGAGAUAUAAGGGAAUUGCAAAGGAAUAAAACCAAACUACCAACAGAACUAGUUAAGAUAGAGUGCUAGUGAGAUAUUAAGUGUGAAAUACAUAACCAGAACAUAAAUAGUCUAAGUGCAGUCAAGCAAGAUAAGUACUAAGAAUACAACACCCGAGGGUGAUCCUACAUGGUGAUGUUCUGUCUAAACCCCCGUCAGAAUCCUUGUGAUCCACCAAAUCACUUCUACUUAAAACCUGGAGGGGCGCAAAACAGAAAGUGUGAGUGGGCAAAAACAAAGCUUUUCAAAAUCAUUUCAUUUCUCAAAAGUUCUAACCCCUCGUCAUAAAACCUGUAUAAUUUUCCCAAAAAAAUAGAAUAUAUAUAUAUAUAUAUAUAUAUAUAUAUAUCCCAAAACCAUGCUCAGAAAACGAUAUUCAUAAGUAUGCCAUGCCAAAGUAUCUCAAUGCAAUGCUAUAGGUAAACCAUGCAAAUUAUAUAAAUAUCAAAUAUCGUAUCAACCAAAUCUCUCUAACUCAAACUGCACUGCUGAGUAUAUAGCUUAUAACCAAUCUCAAUCAUAUCAAAUCAAAUCUUGCACACAAGUCGGAACCACCUACAUUGAUCUGUAUGACAAGACUAGAUAUAAAGUAAAUAUACUCUAGUGCUACGAUCACGUGAAGACUGUGUGAAUGAUCGCGGGUCACCUACGAGUCGGAACCAUUUAUAAUGGUCUGUACGACAAGCAUGUGCACCUAACUUGGAUCCAAGGUGAGCAUAUGGUACGGGAGGUGAAUAUCACGUGAAGGACUAUGCACUAACUCUGGGCGGGAGCCUUAACACCGGGGUACAAGUUUAUGAGCUCUCAAGACAUUACAACAUAUCUCACAUAACCGAAACAAUCUCAUACCUUUGAUUUAUGAACUUACUUGACACUUACAUGUGCGUCCGCAGCACCAAUCAUGAAUGUAUGCAACUACUAAUGCAUAAUUAAAAUAGAUAGAUACUUGGAUGGCAUUUCCAAAACAUAUAUUCAUUUAAAUUCAUUUUCUGGGAAAAAUCUCAAGUAUAUAGGUAUAUACAAAAAACCAAAAGCCCACUCACUGGUAUGUCGAAGGGUCAUAGCCCCCUAGCCUCGAUUGAUGGCGUUUGUCCUCAGGAUAGGUCUCACCUAUAUGCGAAAUAACUGAAUAAACGUUAUUUAAAGCACAUAACCAAAACUAGGUAAUAACUUCUCAUACAUUGCUCAAAUGGGCUAUUUCAAUAUACCACUAUGAUCUACUAAACCUCAGGAACAUCCCCAUAUUUUUAGACAAAAAUUUCGACGUCCCACGUGCCACCACGCGCCGAACAAGGCACGCCCAGACACGCUCUCACACACGGCCAACCCUUACGGAAUCCUUAACCGCCGUUAGGGAAUAUUUAGCUAAAAAUUAGAAUAUUCCGUUAAAACUAACCUGACACCCUUAGUUGCCGUUACGAAUAUUCCGUCAAUAUCGAUGGAAUAUUCUCCUUACUUCUCCGGCGAAUAGCCGGUCACCGGAAACUGGAAAUUUGAAAAACCUUAAUAUCUUCUUCAUUUCUCAACCAAAUUUCACGAAUUUUAUACCAAAAUGAAACUUAAGACAAGUAGAACAAAUCCUUACUAGCUUUAGGACAUAAAACUCACGAGAUCUCGCCAGAAAAAUCCACAAUAACCGGCUACAUCUGCAACUCACUAUUCCCGAGCUUCUUGAUUUCCAAAACGCCUUAACUCUCUUCUCCGAGAUUUGAGGGAGUGAUCUAAAGCUUCCUAUAACCUCAAAACUCCCUGAAAACUACACAUUUACAUGUGCAUGAACAGUGCAUCAAAUCGGGAUUCGAGUUCUCACGAUCCCGACAUCCUCAUGACCAACUAAGGGUACCAAUGUGUUCCUGGGCUUGCAAGGAACACAAAACCAACCUUCAAGUCUUCGAUCGUGAAUGAAAUGGAUACUUGAAACUUGUCCGUAUGAUUAUAUGGAAAAUGGGAAGAAAAAUCGAAAGGGAGAGAGAGAGUCAACGGAAUUGGUUGAGGGUGAGUGUAUGUGGUCCAAAUUGGGUCACCAACCAAAACAAAUAAAACUUUAAAAUUUGAUUGGGUCCAAAUAGUUGGGAAAUGAACUUAAUUUGUGCAAAACCUUAGCCCAUUUACACACACUAUCACCAAACACUCAAGGGCAAUUUCGACAAUUCACACUAUCGAAAAAAUAAUAAUAAUAAUUUGGGACGGGCUGUGACAAUUAUCCGCAUGUGAAAUACCUUUUUUAUAACCAGCAUUACACCCCUAUUAAGAUGUUUUGAACAUGUUUAAAAAUAGAGAAAAUAAUAUUUAAUAAACAACUGGUUAAAUCACAUUAUUGCUAGUCUAUUGUGAGGUUAAGCCCACCCCCUUCCUUUUAGUGUAGAUAAUAUAGUUUGUUAAAAAAAAACAAUCAUUUGACAACUAAUUCAAUGUAAUUUAAUCACAUUAUUAUCUGCGAAAGAUAUUUUUUAUAACCAGCAUUACACGCCUCUUAAGAUGUUUUGAAUGUGUUUAAAAAUAGAGAAAAUAAUAUUUAAUAAACAACUAAUUCAAUCACAUUAUUGCUAGCCCUUUUUGAGGCUAAGCCCACCCCUCCACCUAAGUGUAGAUAAUAUUGUUUGUUAAAAAAAAAUCAUUUGACAACUAAUUUAAUCAUAUUAUUAUCUGCGUGCGAAAGAUUUUUUUUAUAACCUACAUUACACGCCUCUUAAGAUGUUUUGAACGUGUUUAAAAGAGAGAAAAUAAUAUUUAAUAAACAACUGAUUGAAUCACAUUAUUGCUAGCCUAUUGUGAGGCUAAGCCCACCCCCGUCUCUUUUAGUGUAGAUAAUAUUGUUUGUUAAAAAAAAACAAUCAUUUGACAACUAAUUUAAUCACAUUAUUAUCCCCGUGCGAAAGACUUUUUUUAUAACUAGCAUUACACAUCUCUUAAGAUGUUUUGAACGUGUUUAAAAAUAGAAAAAUUGAAUCACAUUAUUGCUAGUUAUUGUGAAGUACUAAUUAAAAAAAACCACACAAAAAUUAAUUAUUAAAAAAAUACUAUUAAAAUGACAAAAAUGUGUGCCUUAUUUGAUGCAUUAUUUUGGAAUGUCUUUAAAGUUUUUUGUCUUGGGAGCAUUUUUAUCUAAAUUUUUUGUUGAAACUUGGUGACAUCAAAAUCACUAUUCAACUUUUCCAUUGAUUUUAUAUAUAGAAGAUGUUUGUACCAUAUUUAGGGUCUCCGUAUUUAGACCUUGUAUAAAUACUCGGGGGACUCAAAUGUAAUUAUGUAAUAAAUGAAGGGGCAAAUAUGUAAUAAGUAAGGAGCCCUUAUUCUAUAAAAUGACUUCUCACUCUCCUCAUUAGGGGAGGUUAAGAUUUAGGUCAUGGGAAGAGAGAAAAUAGGCUAGAGAGCACAUUGCCUCUAACCUUAUUGUAUAUUCACCAUUCAGAGUGAAACAAUAUCAACAUUAGUGUGGACGUAGCCCAAACAUUAGGGUGAACAACGAUACAUCUUGUGUUAUUUACUUUCUUGCAGAUUCACGGUCGGAUUUACGUUGUUCCAAGACCCUUCCGGUUUUGUGCAUCAACAUUUGGUGCCGUCUGUGGGAAUCGACACGAAAAGCUAUGUCGGUUCUCUCUUAAUUUUUCACCUUCGUCGUGAAUCUACAAAAUCACAAAAAACCAUCAACCAGUCUCAUCUCUCUCUCCUCUCACUGACCCACGCUGAAGUCACCUCUUUGCUUUCCCUCUCGUCCGUUCUCUAUGCUCUCUCUGCCACACUGAGAACACCACAUCAGGCAAACCAAAAAACCCAUCUCCAAAAAUACCCAAAUUCUCUGAAAGUUUCAAACUUUAUGUUUCCCGGGAGCUUCUGAGAUUGUUUCAGAAAUACCCAAAUCGUUGUUCUUUUUAGAAGCUUUUAUCUUAAAUGCUGAACAUUUUGGUCUUGAUGUUUGAGAUUGAUGACUCCAGUUCCUGUGUCAGGCGAUAUGCUGAGAAGUUCCUAAAGCAUUCCAUGCGUGUUGGAAUAAGGAUUGCAGAGCUCAACCAGGGAGCUGCAACACAAGAUUAGUCAUCAAAUCAGCAAGAUCACGCCCGAUGCAAGUCCAUAGGUUCUUGUUCUGGUUCGACGUCAAUGAGAUCAUGGUUGAUUUUCCGCCGUUCGUACAUCAGCAAACACCAUGAAGCAGCUCAUCCACCGUCUGUCCCACGCCGCCAACUCCUCGCAGUAUUGCCUCCUGCACUCCGCCUCGAACAUGCCCCCUCACGUGACCUGCACGAUCUCCUGAACUCGAUCUCCGAUGACCUGAGAUCUUGGGAAGGGACACUAAUGUACUGAAGGGCUUGCAUGUCGAGAUGCAAUUCAAAAGGCUGAGCAAAAUCCAGGCAAUCACUUUGCCAAUGAUUUUGACCCCUCCCUACAAAGAUCUUAUUGCUCAGACGCAUAAUGGAAGCAGUUUGAAGUCGAAGAGACGAUCAAACUCCGCAGAAAUAAUGUGUUUUAUUAAGAGAAGAUGUGUUCAGAAGAUUUAUGGCUCAAGGCAGCACAAAUCCAACAGUGCUGAAGGUCUUUGGUUGUGCAUCUUUUUUCAGUCCUUUGCUGUUUGGGAAAUUUUUUUGAUCCUUCUGAUGCCUUCCCACUGUGGGAGUUUGAGUCGGAUAUCUUGUUGUCUGGUCUCAAAAGCUCUGGCCAAGACUGUAUUGAUUGGUUUCAAAUAGAAUGAGCAGGGUAACACCACUGACAACGAAAAUGGUGAGAAUAUGCUCGAGUCGGAGGACCCCAUACUAAAGAAAUCAGAGGCGCAGUGGAAAGAGAAAAGAAAAAGCAAAAGGAUGUCUGGUAAUGGAGUGGGAAACAAAAGCAAAAGCAAAAAGCAAAAAUAGGGAAAAAAGGGGAAAAAGAAGGAAAGAAGAAUAUCUCAUCCUCAUCUCUCUUGAUCCGCCUCUGCAAAAACAAGGAAAUGGCAUUAUUCCCUUGUCUGUCGUCUGCCAAAAGAAAGAAAAAUAAAGAGAAAGGAAAAGGUAAAACAUUCAGUAUGCGCAAUACGCACAUGGAAAAAUAUCUGUAACAAUCCGGUACGCAGUAGGUGCAGUACACACCAACGAUCUGCAAAUGCCGAAGCUUUUGUGUCGAAACCUUUGUUUUGAAUGAUGUGAUUUAUUUUUCUUAUCUUUUGGAGACAUAUGUAUAACCCCAACAAAGGGUAAUCAUAAAUAAAGAAAGAAGGCAGCAUGCCAAAAAAAAAAAAAACAGGGCCUAAAUGUCGGCAAGCCCAUAAGCCCAAAAUAGUGGGCUGGAAUGUUAUGUGGAGGGCGAAGACCCAUAUACCCAAAAGAGCCAGGCCAUAUGGCUUCAAACUCCAACCUCCACCCCUCCACUUAAGGUUCACCCUCUAUUAUCACCAACCAGAUGAUCAAAAGUAUAUCCAGUACUCCAAAAUUAUUCGGCAGCCUGCCGCUAUUAUCACCAACUAGGUGAUAAAAAAUACGUCCAGUACUCCAAAAUUAUUUGACAGUCUGCCUCUAUUAUCACCAACUAGGUGAUCAAAAGUACGUCCAGUACUCCAAAAUUAUACAUGAGCAUCACUCAUGUCAAUCAUACAUAAACAUUCAUGAGCAUCAUACAUGUCAAUCAUACAUAUGAGCAUUACACAUGUCAAUCAUACAUAAACAUUCAUGAGCAUCACUCAUGUCAACAUCCAUGAGCAUCACUCAUGUCAACAUCCAUGAGCCUCACUCAUGUCAACAUCCAUGAGCCUCACUCAUGUCAACCAACAUAAACAUUCAUGUCAACCAGCUUCAAAGCUUCACUUUCAAAACUUUACCUACAAAGCUUCAGUGCAUGGUAUGCAAAGAAUGCCUCCGAACAACCGCUACUUCGGCCCAUACAGGGAUUGAAUUUGAAGUCUCUAGCCAACAGACUUUAUUGACUGAAGACUUGGGGGGACUACAUUGUACCAUAUAUUGGGCUUCUACAACUGGGCUUCAUGAAAAAUACCUGGGGACCUAACCCAUCACUUAUGUAUUGAGGAGCGGGCCCUUAUUCUAUAAAAGGGACUCCCUCACUUUCAUUAGAGAACACCCAUUAUUCAUGUAUUGAGGAGCGAACCCUUAUUUUAUAAAAGGGACUUCAUCACCUUCAUUAGAGAGCAUCGCCGCCAGCUGAGCAACCGCCUCGCCACGAGUAUCACUCCUAACCCAUCACUUAUGUAUUGAGGAGCGAGCCCUUAUUCUAUAAAAGGGACUCCCUCACCAUCAUUAGAGAGUAUCGCCGCCUGCUGAGCAACAGUCUCGCCCGAGCAUUAACUCUAGCCCAUCAUUUAUGUAUUGAGGAGUAAGCCCUUAUUCUAUAAAAGGGACUCCCUCACCAUCAUUAGAGAGCAUCGCCGCCUGCUAAGCAAUCGCUUCACUGCGAGCAUCAACUCUAACCCAUUACUUAUGUAUUGAGGAACGAGCCCUUAUUCAAUAAAAGGGACUCCCUCACCAUCAUUAGAGAGCAUCGCAGCCUGCUGAGCAACCGCCUCGCCGCGAGUAUCAACUCUAGCCCAAUAUUUAUGUAUUAAGGAGCGAGCCCUUAUUCUAUAAAAAGGACUCCCUCACCAUCAUUAGAGAGCAUCGCCGCCUGCUGAGCAAUCGCCUCGCCGCAAGCAUCAACUAUAACCCAUCACUUAUGUAUUGAGGAGCGAGCCCUUAUUCUAUAAAAGGGACUCCCUCACCAUCAUUAGAGAGUAUCGCCGCCUACUGAGCAAUUACAUCGCCGCGAACAUCAACUCUAGCCCAUCAUUUAUGUAUUGAGGAGCGAGCCCUUAUUCUAUAAAAGGGACUCCCUCACCUUCAACACCUCAAAUUGAGCCAACCAAGGCAACAUAAGCCACAAGCCGAGCAGCCUCGCAACAUGUGCUACUUCUAGUUGAGCAUCAUUUCACAUUGAGCACCGCCUCAUAUCGAGUAUCAGUUUUAGACGACAUCUAGUUACUUCGGCCCACACAUGAACUGAAUUUCAAGUCUCUAGCCAAAAGAUUCUCUUGACUGAAGACUUGGGGGACUACUGUUUGUACCAUAUUUAGGGCCUCCGUAUUUAGAUCUCAUAUAAAUAGUGGGGGGACUCAAAUGUAAUUAUGUAAUAAAUGAAGCGGUAAAUAUGUAAUAAGUGAGGAGCCCUUAUUCUAUAAAAGGACUCCUCACUCUCCUCAUUAAGGGAGGUCAAGAUUUAGGCCAUGGGAAGAGAGAAAAUAGGCUAGAGAGCACACUGCCUCUAGCCUUCUCGUAUAUUCACCAUUCAGAGUGAAACAAUAUGACAUCAGUGUGGACGUAGUCCAAACAUUGGGGUGAACCACGAUACAUCUUGUGUUCUUUACUUUCUUGCAGAUUCACGGUCGGAUUUACGUUGUUCCAAGACCCUCCCGGUUUUAUGUAUCAACAGAAGAUAAGAAAUAAUUCCCGACCAUAUGUUAAGCAUGUAUGUAUAGAUUAAUAUAUACGUGUGCAUAUGAUAUGAAUAUGUGGGACUUUAAAAAUAUUUUGGUUUGGGUGGUAUUCAUUAGGAGGGGUGAAGAUAGGCCUACUCAUUAAACAACGAGGCUCCGCUUACCAUUUUUAUACGUGUGGCUACCAAAAACAUUACAUGAAAAGGAUGCAUGUGAUGUCAUCACCCAGAAUUACAGGAAAGGGAUGAGAAAAAACGAACUAUUAAGAAAAUAAAUGUCAAUAGGAUUAAAAUCAUAAUGAUUAAGAGUGUUUAAAAUAUCUACAAAAUUAUCGAUAUUUUAGUUAAAUUAUCCGAAAAUCAAGGAUCGAUAUGAAAAAGAAGGAGGGGUUUGAAAUGCAAACUUCACCGUAUAUCAUUAAGAUAUAGAAAAAUCAAAGAAUAUUAUCUAUUCACAAUAAAAAAUUUGCCGAACCCAUUGUAGAUUUCGAACUUUAAAUUUUUUUCUUUCUUUCUAAUUUAUACUAAAUCUGAAUGAGUUGAUAUUUGUAAGUUUCCAUAAUUUCCGUCGAAGGCAACUUAUAUCAAUAUAUGUCAAAAAAUUUGCAAAUUGAUAUUUCCACUUGUAUCGAUAUUUUAAACACUAAUUAAAACCCACCUUUUAUUAUUUAUUUAUAACCUAAAGUCUAUAUUACUUUCAAGGGGUGUGCUAUCCACACACCCUAUUUUACUUCUCACACACCUCUUAGUAAUUUCUGUCCGUUGAUCUUCUUCAAUUCAUCCGGUCCGACGGUUGAAAAUUACAAAGAUGUGUGAAAAGUAAAAUGAGGUGUGUGGAUAUCACACCACUACUUUCAACUCACCUAUGUCUUGUGGUGUGGAAGAGAAACCAGGUUUUCGCGGCAAAUAAAACAUUUAUACACAAUUGAUAUACAUACAGUUUAAGAUAAAUGAAAUAACGGGAAAUUUGGAUCUCUAGAAGGAUAUACAAGUAUUUUGGCCUUGUCAACGUGAUCCACAAUUGUUUAAUUACAUAUGUAAUCAAUUAUUUGAUACGAAUUUGACUAAGCUAUACAAUGAAUCAGCCAAAUUAAGUUAGUAUUGAACUCAUCAUUCAUGAAAAUGGAACAUAAACAAGUAUAGAAGGAUACUACUAACUAUAAUACUAAUGGCAACUACAUACCCAAUUUUCAGGUCCAAAUAAAAACUGUAAAGAAAGAAUUUAUCUGAUGACGAGUUGUAUCUUAUUUAGAGUCCAAACAAAAAUGUUGUAUCUAAAUUAUUGUAUUUACUUUCCUUGUUGUAUAGUUAAUUUGACCUAAGGAAUGUAAUAAGUCCUUACUUUUCCUUGUUGCUUACGCAAUGUAUACUUGUAUAUUUACCUAGAUUGGAUAGUAAAAUAAAACAAUUUGAUUUGUAACUACAUAGUACAUACUCCCUUUUCUUUUGUUCCAAAUUUCCAACACCAUGGCUUUCGGCAAGAGAGGUUUUGAGAAACUUGAGCAUGAAGAAAAAUGUCCCGAAAACAAUGGUGCUGACGUUAAAAAGGCGCUCGCCGCAAACGCUUAUAGAAUCAAUAGGCUGAGUAAGUAGUGCAUGGACUAGCUUCGCGAGGUCGAAGAAAAGAGACGAAAAACUGAGAAUUUGAAGAAAAGUAUAAAGACGGGUGCACUCAAGAUUGACGAUUUUCCUAUUGGAAAAUACUUGUAUUUUGAUUUUUUUGAAUGUUCGGUUUUCUGGGCUUAGCGAGUUAGUAUUAGGGUUUCGGUUUCUUACCUUUUAGGGUUAGUGUUAGUUUAUUAUAAAUAACAUGUUUGUUAUUCAGUUGAGGACAAGUCAUUCACAAUGUAAUCUUUUAGGGUUUUGUAGCCGUUUCGGCAUUCUUGUUUGUUUAAUAAUAUUCCUUUUAUUUUGUAAUCUUGUUCGUUACGCAAUCUGAUAUUCAACUUGGUAUCAAAGCAAGUUUGAUCCUUCGAGAUUUAAUCUACUUCGGGUUGGUAUCUGUUUGCUUGUUUCUGUUGUCGUUCGUGUUCAGAUUGUUAGUUGGUAUUGAUUGUUUGCAAGAAGAAAAAAAAAUUUCGUUCGUUUUUUGUCCCGUGACUUUGCUUCUGCACCUUUGAACGCCGCAGCCUGCAGGAGUAUCUACAAGUCUGUAUUGCUGCCAAGGAAAAAAGAGGAAAUGGUAGAAUGGAAUGAAAAAGAAGAAAAAAAAGGGGAGUAAAAAAAAAAAGGAAUAAACAAGAAAAAAUUGGUUGCUUGUUUGAGGCCCAUGCGGGCAAAAGGAAAAAAAAAUAUUUGGUUGGAUUUUUUGUUUGUUUGUUCGGAAAUCAGCAUUGGUAUUGGUAUUGGGAUUGGCAUUGGCAUCGGCAUCGGCAUCGGCAUCGGCAUCGGCAUCGGCAUCAACAUCGAUAUCGGCAUCGGCAUCGACAUCGACAUCGGCAUCGGCAUCGGCAUUGGAAUUUGGAGGCUUACAUCCACAUCUGCUUGUUGGCAAACUCAUGUCGUGUACUGCCAUGAGUUUGAUCCGGGGGGGGUGUUGGAAAAUAUUUGUAUUUUGGUUUAUUUGAAUGUUUGGUGUUUGGUUUUCUAGGCUUAGCCCGUUAGCAUUAGGGUUUUGGUUUCCUACAUUUUAGGGUUAGAGUUAGUUUAUUAUAAAUAACAUGUUUGUUAUUCAGUUGAGGACAAGUCAUUCACAAUGUAGUCUUUUAGGAUUUUGUAGCCGUUUCGGCAUUCUCGUUUGUUUAAUAAUAUUCAUUUUAUUUUGUUUGUUUAAUAAUAUUCCUUUUAUUUUGUAAUCUUGUUCGUUGCGCACUCUAAUAUUCAACUUUUCCAUCACUCAACAACUAUGCUGACAUGUUGUUUCUAAAGUUGCUCGUAAAAGAUGAUGAUGACAAGUACGCUAGGUUUUGCGAAUAGGGAAGACAACGAUGCUGGAGAAUGUGCACGACACAUUUUGUGAACUUACUAACGCUAAUCAGCAGUUCCACGUCAUUUUUUGGGUAACCAUGACAGAGGAGAAGGGUGUGGGAGAGAUACAACACGUGCUCGUAGGAGAGAUACAACACGUGCUCGUAGGAGAGAUACAAGCAAACAAGAGCUACUUGUUUGUUGAUCAAGAUUUCUUGUGAGCUUGAUUUGUAGAGGGCUGGCAUCCGUAAAGACCAUAAAUGUGGAAGGAUCGUGCCUGGACUCGAAUAAAGAUGUUAUUGUUGAUUUGAGUUUUAAUUAUAAAUAUUAUUAGAGUCCUAUUUUAGGUAAGAUUAUGAUAUGUAAUCUUUAGGAUUUAAUUUCCUUGUUCUUUAUAAUUACUUUCCUUGUAGAAUAAGGUAUGUGUGCCUAUAUAUUUGUAAACCCUAAAUGAUAAAUAAUAUAACGAAGUAUUCAAAGUAUUUCUUCUUAGCAUCAAGAGCUUGGUUUUGAUCCGAACUUGUGUACAGUUGCUGUGUUUUCUGCAAUUGUACCGUGUAUUGGUGUGUAGUGUGUACUUGUCUACUGCUUGUCUGCUACCAUAUGAAGACUUGGGGCUGCUACGGUAAUGGUGGUGUCUUGUCCAAUCAGAUUUGUUGUCGCGUGGAAAGUUUGGUAGUACAAUUGCAGCAAUUGUACUUGUUUUAAUUCGGCAAUUAACUUUUUGUAUCGUGUAGUGCUUUGCUAUUGGUUUCAUAUAUUUAAGAAAAAAAAGGUCUAGUGCUUUUCUGUGCAAUUGCAACAAUUGUUAGAGUAAUUGAUUGAAUUCAACAAUUAUUUCUUGUGCCGUGUAUUGCAACUGGUGGUUUCUUGCUGCUACUUGGAAUUACAAUACAGCAAUUGGUGGUUGUGUCGCGUAUUCGUUUAUGGUGCCGUAUGUUGUCUUGGGUCUUGAAUUAUCGAACACCACUUCAGGAGCUUACUCAACUUGUUUCAGUGGUUUUUACAAAUACUUCGUCACCUUGGAUCUUUGAUUGUGUGGUUUAUGUUCACGUUCAAAAAGCUCAUCGCAGUAAGCUUGAUCCACAUGCAUACCGUUGUGUAUUUCUUGGAUUCUCUCCGCAUCAAAAGGGAUCAAGUAUUAUCAUCUUGCUAGUCAACAUACAUUUGUAACUAUGGAUGUGACUUUCUUGGAGUCUAAAUAUUUUUAUACUUCAUUUGUAUCCAAUUCAGAUCACCAGGGGGAGAUUAGUGAUAUUGGUGAUCUAAGUUGGUUGAAAUAUACUUUAAGGGGAGAAAGAGAAGUUGUAGAAAUCCGCCUAGUUGUUUUGCAGGAGUUUUCUAAACCCAGUAGCCCAAUUCGACAGACUACCAUUGAACUAGACAGCCCAGUUAGGCAGGCUGCAAUUGAAGAAAACAACCUAGUUAUGCAGGCUCCUAUUGAACAGUACACCCCAGUUCGACAAGAGUAUGUCGAAGUGCCCAGUAUGUCCACAGUACCCCAUUUCUUUGAUCCUACAAUGCUCGUUCCAUCUCCUUUGAAUGUUCAAGAGGUAAGUAUUUUAAAUCAAAAUACAACUCAUCCUGAUAUCGGUGUAAGUACUUAUAAAUUGCCAGCAAGAUAGAAUCGUGGUGUGCCACCUGACAGGUUAUGAAGGUCAAGUAUCUGAUUGCUAAUUAUGUAUCAUGUGAGCGUUGUUCACCAAAUCGUAAGGUGUUGGUUCAUAUGGAAUCAAUCAAAAUUCCAACUCAGGUAGAAGAAGCCCUCUAAGACCCUAAGGUAUCGUUUGGUAUGCAGACGGGAUAGGACAGGAACAGACAGGACGAGACGGAACGGAGGGGGAGCAAAGAUGCCAUCGGAUGGAAACAAGGAGGAAAAAGAAGGAAACGGAGAGGUUAUAAUUUUGUGUUCCACGGAUGUGGAACGAGUCGUUUCAAGGGGUGAGGCGGAACAAAAAUUAACCCAAAAUUUGUCCCAUGGAACAGUGCGUUCCAUCCAUUUUAGGCGUACCAAACGUGAGAUGAAACACCUCAUCCCACUUCGUUCCGUCCCGUACCACGUACCAAACGGUACCUAAGUGGACACAAACGAUGGAUGACGAAAUGUCAACAUUGUAAAAGAAUAAAACCUAAAAGAUAGUGCAAUUACCAAAAGCGAAGAAACUUGUUGGCUGUCAUUGGGUGUUUACGAUCGAGUACAAGGUUGUUGGAUUAGUGGAUAGGUACAAAGCAAGGUUAGUGGCUAAGGGGCAUACUCAAACAUAUGGUGUAGAUUACCAAGAAACAUUUUCUCCGUAGUAAAGAUGAAUACGGUGCUUGUUUUGAUUUCCUUAGCUGCAAAUACAGAUUGGCCUCUUAAACAGUUUGAUGUGAAGAAUGUGUUCCUUCGUGGGAACUUAGAAGAGGAAGUGUAUAUGGUCUAUCCACUAGGAUAUAGUGCGAGUGGUAAUACAGGAGUGUGCAGAUUGCGUAAAUCUCUUUACACGCUCACGCAAUCACCCCGUGCUUAGUUUGAUAGGUUUACUCAAUCAAUGAAGAAAUAUGGAUAUCAUAAGAGUCAUUCUGAUCACACUUUGUUUCUGAAGCGUAGGCUUGGCAAAUUGAUUGCUUUAAUCAUUCAAGUGGAUGAUAUGAUCAUCACAGAAGAUGAUUCUGAAGAAAUAGAAGUUACAGGUAAAUCUUGCAUCUGAAUUUGAGAUGAAAGAUUUGGGAGAAUUGAAGUACUUCCUUAAAGUUGAGGUCGCUUGUUCACCUAAAGGAAUUUUCUUAUUGCAACGAAAAUGUCACAUUCCAGUCUCGACUCCGCCGUAGUACAAUAUUGUCCGCUUUGAGCCCCGGCCACGCCCUCACGCUUUUGUUUCUGAGAACUCACAUGAGAAUUUUCCAAAGGGUCACCCAUCCUGGGAAUGCUCUCGCUCCAACUCACUUAACUUUGGAGUUCCAAUGGAAUCUGAAGCCUCCCCAAAAGGUCUCGUGUUAUAAGAGGUGGGCAUGUAUAUAUAAUGCACAUCCCCCCUCUCCGUUGGUCAAUGUGGGAUGCUACAGAAAAUAUGUGUUAGAUUUGUUGAAAGAGACUGGUAUGUUAGGGUGUAAACCUAUGGAUACUCUUAUGGUAAAGAAGCAUCACUUGGGUGUUUACCCAUAUCAGGUUUCUGUAGAUAAUGGUAGAUAUCAAAGACUUGUAGGGAGGUUAAUUUAUUUAUCUCAUACUCAUCCUGAUAUUGCGUAUGUUGUGAGUGUUGUAAGUCAGUUUAUGCACUUACCCAGUGAAGAUCACAUGGACGUGGUAAUGCGUAAUAAUGCGAAUUUUGGCAUAUUUGAAAUCUGCACUUGGUAAAGGAAUACUUUAUAGAAAACAUGGACAUCUAAAUGUUGAAGGGUUUACAGAUGCAGAUUGAGUUGGCAAUGUUACUGGCAGGCGAUCUACACCUGGGUAUUUUAUGUUUGUUGGAGGUAAUUUGGUUACGUGGCGUAGUAAGAAGCAGAAAGUGGUGUCAAGGUCGUUUGCUGAAGCUGAGUAUAAAGGUAUGGUCCACGGAAUAUAUGAAUUUCUUUGGUUACGUAAACUUUUGAGAUGUCUUAGUUUUGAACCAAAUGAGGCUAUGGAGUUAUAUUGUGACAAUAAAUCUGCAAGGGAAAUAACUGAUAAUCUGGUACAACAUAAUCGAACAAGGCAUGUGGAGGUUGAUUGACACUUUAUCAAGGAAAAUCUUGAAAAGAACAUUGUGUCUAUACCGUUUAUGAGUUUAGGAGAGUAGUUGUUUGAUGUCCUUACUCAUGCAGUAUCUAGUAAGGUUUUCCAAGACUUAAUUAUCAAGUUGGGCAUGUAUGAUAUCUAUGCACCAACUUUAGGAGGAGUUUUGAUUUGAGUCUUAAUUGUAAAUGUUAUUGGAGUCCUAUUUUAGGUAGGAUUAUGAUAUGUAAUCUUUAAAAUUUAGUUUCCUUAUCUUUUGUAAUUGCUUUCUUUGUAGAAUAAGGUAUGUGUGCCUAUAUAUUUGUAAACCCUAGAUGAUGAAUAAUAUAACGAAGUAUUCAAAGUAUUUCUUAUGAAGAAUGUUAAUAGUUAGGGAGUGUGGUGGGAUACCACAAGAGAGAGCAAGCAAUCCAGCAGUAUGGCCUCUUUUCGACAAGAAUCGGAACUAUGGCAUGCAACUAUUUAUGGAUGUUAAUUAAUGUGGCACUCUUUCUGUUAGCUACGCCUUUCUUUUAUAAUCUGUCUUUUCAAUUGUGAAGCUUAUCACCCUAUUGAUAAUCAUUAGAUAAGUUUGAUUUAAUCUAUUUAUUUCACAAAUCUCAAAGCUUAGAUUAAUCUAACGAUAAUUAAUAGGAUGGUGAGUAAAAACGCUCAUAGUACAAAAUGAGCCACGUCAUUGGGUUUGCAGGUGCCACAUCAGUACACUAACAAAACUAUUAACUAAAUGUUAGAUCCCACAUCAACCAACGGAGAUGAGGUGAUGUGCUUUAUAUGUACAUGCUCCCCUUUCUGUAACACGAGGCCUUUUGAGAACUCACUGGCUUCGGGUUCCAUCGGAACUCCGAAGUUAAGCGAGUUCGAGCGAGAGCAAUUCUAAGAUGGGUGAUCCACUGGGAAGUUGCUCGUGAGUUCCCAGAAACAAAACCGUGAGGGAAUGGUAAGCCCAAAGUGAACAAUAUCGUGCUAUGGCGGAGCUAGAUUGGGAUGUUACACUAAAUCCUAAUGGGGCCACAUUAUUGCACAAUGCUUAAAGUCAGAGACCACAUUCAAGGGCGGAUACACCUAGGGACCAACCAACAGUUGGAAAAACCAUAUAAUGUCUACUGAAACUCACUCGUAUCUAAAACCAUAUAACUGUUGGAAAUUAUAGUUGUUUUAGUGCUUCUUUAACCGUAUUCGUCAAUUUUCUUCACUAAAAAAAAUGUCUUAAUGGUUUUAGAUUAAUCUAAUUUUUGUAAGAAUGGUCUAUGAAUGAUGAAUUGAAAUAUAGACGGUUCGAAUCCUUGAAAAAAAAUACAGAGUAAAUCUUACAUAGUGUGUAAGAAAAUAAGGACACUUUGGAAGCGAUCCCUAACUAUCAAUAUUAUUUGAUUGAAACCUUGUUCGUUUUUAAUUUUUUAUCGAAGUUCCUGAAAUUAAUGUAAUAAUGUAUUUCUAUGUAGGUUACUAUAUUUUUUAAAUUAAAAAUUAAAAUUUAUAGUUGUUUUUAUUAAUGAUAUUUUAAAUAAAAAAACCCAUAAUUUGUGGAUUAAAAUUAUUAAAAUAUAAAUUAUACUCUCCACUAUAUUGUGUAUGUGUGUGUGUGUAUAUAUAUAUGUAUAUAAACAUGGGUACAUCCAUCAAAAUUAACAAAAAAAUUAUUGUACCAAAAUAUGGGUACAUUCUUCAAAACCACACAAAAAAUAAUAGAUAUUAGGCUUAAUAACAUUAAUAAAUUUCUUUGAUUAAACUUGACAUGGAUACAUUCUCAAAUCAAGAAAAAGAAUGUACCCAUAUAAUAUAAGUUUAAAAAUGGAUUAGAAAAAAAUUGAAUAGAUUUUAUAUAAAAAAAAGGGUACAUUUUACUACAACAAAUUGGUAUAUUUAAGAAUGGGUACAUUUUAAGAUUAAAAAAAUGAAUGCUGAUAAACCCAUCCUAUUGUCCUAUUUUUUCACCCACUAUGAAAAAAUAAUAAACUGAAACCCUAUUUUCCCACUUACUAUUAUUCCUAAAAUAACCUUUAUCACAGCACCACACCUUCAUUGACUUUUUGCAACCCCAGUCCCUCCUUGAACUUCCUGUAGCAGCCAAAUGCGUUAAUUGGUAGUCAUGGUUGCAACUUGCAAGUCAAGAGGACAAAAUAGGGAAGAAAAAGUAGCCCAUGAAGGACAACUAAACCUCUUCCCCUAAUCAUCCUAUCCCUCUUCUCAUUCCGCUGCUCUCUUUCUCCUCGUCCUCUCCUUGCCCUUCCUCCACCCCCACAAUCUCCCAUGCUUCCUUUAACCUCCGCUUCUAUUUUCAACCCAAAAUCCCCAAUCUUGGUAUUGAAAUGAUAUAAGGGCAAACUCCUAGACGAGCUCACUAUUUCCUUUGAAAUUUGGAUGGUCAUUAGUCUCUUGCCUUCUCCAGCAAUAGGUAACUAUUACGGUCUAGGCUACAAUGAAAGUUUUAGACUAACAACAACUUUCGAUCAUGGCGGUUGAAGCCGAGGGAGAGAUGAAACCGAAGAGAGAGAAAACCGAGGAUGCAAAGAGAGAUGAUGGGGGGACAGAAAAGGGGUUGAGUUUAAAAGUCUUUUUCUAUAAAGAUAAACAUGUCACUAAUAUUUUCAUUAAAAUGUAGGUAAAGAAAUAGGAUAAUGGGAUGGAUAUCACAUUUUGGGCUCGACUCCGCAGUAGCACGAUAUUAUCCGUUUUGGGCCCCAGCCACGCCUUCAUGAUAUUAUUUCUGGGAACUCACACGAGAACUUCCCAAUGGGUCACCCAUCAUGGGAUUGCUCUCGCGCGAACUUGCUUAACUUCGACGUUCCGAUGGAACCCGAAGCCAAUGAGCUUCCAAAAAGCCUCAUGUUAGGUAGAGAUAGGAAUAUACAUAUAAGCCUUACAGGAUCCACUCCCCUGAGCGAUGUGUGAUGUUACAAUCCACCCCCUUAAGGGCCCGACGUCCUCGUCGGCACACUUCCGGCCAAAGAUUGGCUCUGAUACCAAAUUGUCACAUCCCGGCCCAGGCCCCUACCACAUCCCAGGCUCGACUCCGCCGUAGCACGAAAUUGUCCGCUUUAGACCCUGGCCACGCCCUCAUGGUUUUGUUUCUGGGAACUCACAUGAGAACUUCCCAGUGGGUCACCCAUCAUGGGAUUGCCUUGCGCGAACUCGCUUAACUUCGAAGUUUCGAUGGAACCCGAAAUCAGUGAGCUCCCAAAAGACCUCGUGCUAGGUAGAGAUGGGAAUAUACAUAUAAGAUUUACAUGAUCCACUAUCCUGAGUGAUGUGGGAUGUUACAGUGGAUUUAUCAGCACUAAAAAAAUUGAAAAAUUACAUGAAUGGGUACAUAUAAGAUUAAAAAAAUGGAAACAUUUUUUUAUAAAAAAAUUAAGGGUACAAAUGAUAGGAUUUUUCCCAUCUGCAAAAGUAGGGAUAAAAACACACAAAAUACUUGCAAGAGAACAAGGUAGUCAUAAUAUAAACGUUUCAAGUAAGGUCGUUUCCACAUCAAUUAUUUAGAACAAUUUAUGUAACACCAAAAUUUAAGUUAAUUAUUUGAAAACAAAGAUUGGAAAAGGUUGAUUUAAUGACUUAAAUUAAAAAAAAAAAUUAAUUAAAAAGGGUAACUAAAAUUUGCAAUUUUAAACAAGGAAAAAGGAAACAAUUUUUAGAAUUCAAAGUGAGAAAGUACUAGGAUUCCGCCGUCACCCUAACAAUUCUAUGUGGCUCUUCUAAUUUCCUAUGAAUUACACAUGCAUAUUUUGAAGGUUAGGUUCUCCUAAAAUAUAUCCUACUUGGAACCUCCAACAUAGAAUGUAUAUCUAAUAUGCAACCCGUUCGUGGUGUCCAGAUCAAAUGUGAACAUGCAAGACUCAUUAAGUUUUGUGAAAACCUUUUGAAAAACCAUAUAACCCUUAAGACAUGUCGUCCAUCCUAUGAAUCUACACAUAUUAAUCAAAAGAAGCCUUAGUCAAUUUUAAGGACAACCCUCUGCCAAAAUUGCAUCAAAUUACUUUUCUAAAUAUUUUAAUGGUCGCGAAUCACUAAGACAAAUAGAUAGUUUAAACCGGUGAUUAACAAUUCAAAACUUGCAUGCAUAGAUUCAUAAAAAAAUUAAAAAUAGACUACAUAUUCUUGCUAAGGAUCAUGGCCACACCCUAGCAAAGAAAGUUAGUUACGCAUAUUCAUAUUAAAAUCAAAAGAGUUGUGUUAAACUAGAAAAAGAUUGAAAACACCUUGUAGAAUAAAAAAUGAAAAUAUCUAAGCUUUUAGCCAAAUUCUUCUCUUCAAUAUUGCGUAAGAGAAAAACCCUAAGGCCAGCCAAAAAAGCUUAUUUAUACUCUAAUUAAAUCCUCCUAGUAAAAGGUCUUAGAAUGAAACUAGGAAACCUAAUAAAUUGAAAUAAAUUGGGAAACAUAAUCCUAAAUUAACUUGGUAAAUUCGUCCAAAAUUCUCCACAGCCACGUUUUGGACCCAUAUCAACUCCAAAACUGCCCCCAAAAUAGCUGAAUUUAAAGCUUAGACUAUUCUGAACAAUUCUCCAGAAGGCCACAAACUCAUCUGAGGUUACUUUCCAGCAACGCAUACUACUUUUUAAUUAAUCACCAGAAAAUAACUGCUUGGUAGAAAUUGCUGAAAUUUUGAUACGAACAAGCUAAGGAACACACGAACGUCCUCCAAUUUGAAUCACUUCAAAAUUGGUCCGUUUGAUUUUGGUUUUCUCCAGAAGAAGUUGAAUGUCCUAUGUUGAAAAUAUAAGGGAAGAUAUUAAAAUUCUAUCAAAAUAAUUACCAAAUUAUACUAAGCAUAGGAUAAAAUAUAUAAUAUAAUAUUGACUCAUCAACAAACUUAUUCUAUUUUUUUUAUGGGAAAUGUUUUGAAUUGAGAAUUAGUUAGGAGUUUAAUAAAGGUGUGGGUAUUAAAAUCUUAAAUCAAUUAUUAAUUUUUAUUUUAAAAAUUAUAUAACUGACUUGUAAAUUCAUUAUUGCAUUAAUACUAGAGACCUUGAUCAAAAUUUAAAAACUAAUAAAAUUUCAAUAAAAAAAACAUUAGUAACUAAGAACCGGUACUAAUUUUUUCAAAAAAAUGUGUCAAAAAAUAAGUUUUCCCGAUCCAAACCCGCAUUUGUCCACUCAAAUUUUGCCAACUUUGUAAUAACUUUGCUUCUGUCCUCAUGUCAAUUGAUAUGUGUUUAUUUACGACAUGAUAUGUCUCUAUUAUAUGAUCCUUACAUGCAAAUUGGAUUAAUAAUUAUUUACGAAAUGACAAGCUCUUACUUAUUUUUUUAUUUCUUCGUUGGAGCGACAACAUAGUAAUUCUAUGCUUGUGUGGAAUUUAUUCUCAACAAGUUCAAUUCAAUUUGAUUCUUAAACUGAAUUUGACAAAUCUGAAAUUAAAAUCACACUAAACUAGACAAAACGGUCCAAUUCGACCAGUUUUCAAGCCCAAACUCUAAUUUGGAUCAAUAACAUCAUAUGAAACAAUGUAUGACGUUUGAUAACUAUUUUAAUUUUUUUAGUUUCAAAACAAUUAAAAACAAAAUGAAUAUCAAAAUCCCUAAAAAAAUUCUCCAAUUGGAGGUUUAUUUUACCUUUAUUUGAGUUCUUAUUUUAAAGGCAUAUAAUUUGUAUGGGUAAGUUACAUAAAACUACCUCAACUAUUGGGUCAGUCACAGUUUCGGACCUCAUCUUUAAAAAAUUUCAAUGUCAUACCUUAUCUUCGAAUUUGUUGCAAUGUCAUACGUUCUGUCAGUUGUCUAUCAAUUCCUUUGUUAAAUGUUGACAUGACUUGAGGUGGGAACCACUUUCUAUUAAAAAUUUAGUAAAAUAUUAAAAAAAUUAAUAAUUUACCCUAAAAAAAAAUAAAAAAAUCCCCAUCUUCCUUGACCCCUUCCCCUUCCCUGCAACCCAAAUCCAAAACCACCCCAAACCUAUAUCCCACCAACGCCAACAUCUCCCCCCCAAGACCCACCUCUUUCUUUUCUGCCCUUACCACAUCCUCCUCUUCCUCCUCCUAUCCAACCCCUAAACCCAAAUCCUCAAACCCUAAUUGCACCCUCAUCUGCAAGCACUAACCGUCGGCCAUCCUCGACCUCCUCAUCCCCAUUCUCAUCCUCUUCUCCGGGACUUUCCUUAUCACUUCUUACUUUUCCUACAUCUUCAACUCCCUCUCGCUCCUCCUCUCUCACUCCACCACAUUCAUGUCCCCUACGUCGUCGGCUUCGUCGCCUUCUUCGCCGCCACGCUGUUCGUAGUUAAGUUAUGCUGCGUCAGCGAGGGCAAUCUUGAUUACGAGUGCCUCAGGACUGAGCUUAGGCGAAUGGCACCGACGAAUGGUCGUGCAGUGCUGUUGUUUCAGGUGUGAUGCGAAUGCCCAAUGGCCAUGCUCAAAGGCUUGGGGGUUGGAUAGGGGGAGGAAGAUGAUGUGACAGCGGCAGAGAAUGAGAAUGUGGGUCUUGGGGGGGGGGAGAUGUUGGCGUGGGUAGGACCUGGGUUUGGGGUGGUUUUGGAUUUGGGUUGUAGGGAAAGAGAAGGGGUCAAGGAAGAUGGGGUUUUUUUUUUUUUUUUUAAUAAGUGUAAAUUAUUAUUUUUUAAUAGAAAGUGGACCUCGACCUCAAGCCACGUCAGCAUUUAACAGGAAAGAAUUGACAGACAACUGACAUAAGGUAUGACAUUGCAAUAAAUUCGAAGAUAAAAUAUGAUAUUGAAAUUGUUUAAAGAUGGAAUAUGAAACUGUGAUUCACUCAAUAUUUGAAUUAGUUUUAUGUACUUUACCCAAUUUGUAUUGAAUUAUGCAUGGGCAGCAAUUCCAAACGGCAAUUGCAACAACAUAUGCAUGGGCGGCAAUUCUCUGUUAAACCUUCUUCUCUGCGACAAAGGCCAUCUGACCAAACCCUCAAAUCCCGCCACCGCCAAAGCCGUUACCACCACCAUUCUCAACCACCUCGACUCCGGCCGUCUCCGAAAAGCCGUCUCAAUCCUCUUUUAUGCCCCAUUCCCCUUCCAUUUUUCUCUAUACGCUCGACUCUUCCAGCUUUGUUCCUCCACCGGCAGCCGUGCCAUUGUCGAGGCCCGCAAGGUCGAGUCCCAUUUGUUUACAUUCUCCCCCACCCCGCCGGUGUUUCUAGUGAACCGUGCCAUCGAGGCCUUUGCAAAAUGCGGGUCUUUGGGGGAUGCGAGGGAGCUGUUCGAGGAAAUGCCUCAGAGAGAUGGGGGAUCUUGGAAUGCUUUGAUAACGGCGUGCUCACAAAGUGGGUCUCCUGAGGAAGCCUUUCGCUUGUUUGUGAAAAUGAGUAGGUCAGGUUUUUUGCCGAAUGAGAUUACGUUUGCUAGUGUUCUUGGCUCCUGUGCUGCUGUUUUGGCGCUUUCGCUUUCGAGGCAAGUUCAUGGACUAAUUGUCAAGUAUGGUUUUGGCGGGAAUGUGGUUAUAGGGAGUUCACUUGUUGACAUAUACGGGAAAUGCGUGAUUAUGGAUGAUGCCUGUAAAAUAUUUGACGAGAUUAAGAACCCGAAUGACAUUUCAUGGAACAUAAUCGUGAGGCGGUAUCUGGAGAUGGGUGAAGGAGAGGAGGCAAUAGUUAUGUUUUUCCAGAUGUUUAAGGCAGCUGUAAGGCCACUUAAGUUUACCUUUUCUAAUGCUCUUGUUGCUUGUUCGAGUAUUUCUGCACUUGAUGAGGGGAUACAGAUUCAUGGAGUUGCAAUUAAAAUGGGGUUCGAUGACGAUGAGAUUGUUUCAAGCUCCCUUAUCGAUAUGUAUGCUAAGUGUGGGGAUUUAGAGAGUGCCAGUGCAAUUUUUGACCAGCCCAAUUCAAAAGAUGUGAUUUCUUGGACUUCAAUUGUUUCUGGGUAUGCAAUGAGUGGACAGACAUGGAAGGCCAGAGAGCUCUUCGAUGAGAUGCCCGAACGCAAUGUAAUAUCUUGGAAUGCAAUGCUGGCCGGGUAUACUCGCUACUCCCAGUGGGAAGAGGCAGUGGAUUUUCUAUUUUUGAUGCGGAACACAACCAAUAAUAUUGAUCAGGUCACUCUUGGGUUGAUCCUCAAGGUGUGUGCUGGCCUUUUGGAUGUGGAAUUGGGGAAACAGGUGCAUGGAUUCAUAUACCGGCACGGUUUCUCUUCCAGUAUGUUUGUUGGCAAUGGCCUUCUUCACAUGUAUAGUAAAUGUGGGAAAAUGAGAAGUGCCAAAACAGUCUGGUUUCACCAAAUUAGUCACUGGCGGGAUAGAGUUUCUUCAAAUGCUUUGUUGAGUAGCUAUGCUCGUCGUGGCCGGAGUGAACUAGCUAUGACAAUUUUCUGCGGGAUGCAAUGGUAGGAAACACCGGAUUAGUUUACGUUUUCAAUUCUCCCUGCAGCUUGUGCAAAUAUUUUUGCUCUUGAGCAAGGCAAACAAAUACACGGUUUCAUGAUCAGAAAUGGUUACACAAUGGAUGGUGUGGUUAGAGGGGCUUUACUUGUCAUGCAUUCCAAGUGUCGGUCUAUCUACUAUGCUAUCAAGGUUUUCAAAGAAGGGGGUUCGCGAGACGUGGUUCUGUGGAACUCCAUGAUUUUUGGGAUGCUGUCACAACUACAGUUAAUGACUGCUAAUGAUAUGCAAACAGGAGCUGACAGCACUUCGCCAACUUUGAUGUGCCUAUUUUAUGUGCUUGCACGUUGGAAAGUCACCGUUUUGUUUAUCAUUGCAAAUCAGGGUUCAGGAGGAUACACCCUUUCUCCUCUCUUUUUUCCUGUAUGCUUCGCUUCUGAUAGCGUUGCAUUAACCGAUCUAUCUUGUAACUUAGUACUUAACUGAUGCAGAAACAGGCAAACAAGAAUAGUAAAGGCUUUGCUAGCAGCCAUCUUCGAUUCAAUUUCUUGCGUUGAAUUACUGUUUUAUUGAUUUGUUAAAAGUAUUUUACGAAGAACAUUCGUAAGAAUCUAAGCAUAAACAGCACGCAUUUUCGAGUACGGUUGAGGGUCAAACUUCUAAGGGUUGUCUGGUGUUCCUUCUAGUUCUAGCGUUCAAAGAGGUCCUAAUUUUGAAAUCCCCCUCUGAUUGAUCAAAAAUAAAUAAAUCAACCAAACAUAGAUUAUAAGCCCCAACCCUAACCUUGGCAAGAUCUUACAAGAUUAAAGGCAUAACUUGUAAGCAGCCAGACAUGGCCGUAGCCACAUUGUUUACGACAGAUGUGCUCCCUCUAUGCACCGAGCUCGAAUUUCCCAAUCUCCCUUUCUGCAAUUUAGUCUAGUUUAAAGCAGGAUGAAACACUUGACAAAAACUGGAUUCUACUGAGGAAACUUCCACAUACUAUGAGUCCAUUGCGCACCACACAUUUCUUUUCAAGUUUAAAUAAGGUGUAAUUGAGACUCUGUAACCAAGUUUGAAUACAACUGUAUCUCAAUUGAGUUAACCAUCUACGGCUUCUCUUUUAUUCCAAGCUUGUCUACUGCUUUCCCUUCCUAUUCUCUCCAGAUUCCACUUCAACUGCAUUACAGCAGUUCUACUUUGGCAUCCUGUUUGAUCCGGAGGGCCAAAAGUACGAUGUCGCCUCGUGUAAUACCAAAAUUGUAUGGGAAGAAGAUUAGUUUAUUGUCAGUGAGUGGUGAGAUACAUAUAAUUAAGAAAAAAACAACUUAGUUAAAUCUCAAUAUAAAGAACAAACUCUUUUAGUCUCUCAUGUGCCUCUUUGUUCAAAGUUUUAAAAGGCGCUAGUCAGGCGGCAGCCAAAGGUCUAUAGCCUAGACGAGGCCUAGGUGGAUUUUCUAAUUAUAAUUAAAUUUAUUAUAUAACAUAGAAGAGUGUUAAAAGGUGAUAGUCGGCCGCCUAGUGCUUUGGCGGAGAUUUUUAGAACAGUGCCUCUAUAAAAUCUUGUAUGUUAUUUUUGUGUUAUUUAUCCAAUCCUACAAUCACAAAAAGAGUGUGAACAAAAAACAGUAUGUAAAAAUCACUUUUUUUUAAGAGCAUUUGCCGUUGCAUAAAAAAUUUAUGGGAACUUUAACAAAAAGCUCCUGGUACUGUUUACUUUAACGAAAAACCAUAUUUUUACACUAAAAAGUCAAUCCUGGUACUAUUCAUUUUACCCUUUAUUUUGUCCUUAUCGUUAAAACUCAAAAUUUUCAAGCCAUUUUCAUUAGUUUUCCUAAAAUUUAUAACUAUAGGACCCUUUUGUAGACCCAAUUUCACAAAAGUAAUGAUAUCUAUACAUUUAUUUUUACCUCUCAGACAAUCUUUUAAUUUUUAACUGUGUAUCAAAUGAUAUGAAAAAGGUUAAUGACGAUAGAUUAACAACGAUGGGUGCGCCAAUAGCACUAUCAAUCACAAAACUAACGGCAGCCAGGAACGCUGUCCUUUGCUUGCGCGCGAGGCAAAACUUGCUUAAAAUUGUUAAUGCUUUUCACAUUUAAGGCGUUGUCGAUUGGUUUUUUACCGAUCGGUAGCUACGUAGAUGGAAAAAGAAGGAGCAGACCCAGCAGCAAAAUCACCCGGCAAUACGGUACGGUAUCACUGCUUAAACCCUGCAUUGCCCAAAAACAACCAUCUCUGUAUCCAUACAAGCACUGAGUUUGCAUGCACUCGUACUUUAAGCGGCUUCAUGGAUUUCAUAAGACCUCUCUUUCCUAUUAUUCUCGUCAAAUAGAUCACUGUUUGUCACUAAAGUCUGUAAAUUUUGUGAAAAUUAUACACGCCCAGUUGAUCAAAGUAGGGUUUAACAGCCAUACUUUUCUGGGUAAUCGUUGUCUCGAUGUUUACUUUCGAUUUGGUGACACCCUGCACGAUGCAUUGAAAGUGUUUGAUGAAAUUACCGAUAAGAAUCUUGUUUCGUGGAACAUUUGCUUAAAGGGGCUCGGUCGAUUUGGGGAGAUUGAAAAAGCCCGCCAUAUGUUUGCUGCAAUGCCUGAAAGAGAUGUAGUUAGUUGGAACUCGAUGAUUUCGGGUCAUGUUUCCUGUGGGUUUAUUGAUAAUGCAUUGGAGGUUUUCUCACAAAUGCAAAUCGCUGGCGUGAGACCUAGUGAGUACACAUUCUCAAUUAUGAUGACGCAUGUGACGUCUGCUUGUUAUGGUAAGCAAAUCCAUGGUGAUAUGAUUAGGAGCGGUAUGAAUUUGUCAAAUGUGGUUCUUGGGAAUUCUUUAAUUGACAUGUAUGGAAAGCUUGGUUGUGUGGAUUAUGCUUUUGGCGUGUUUUUCACUAUGGAGGAGGUGGAUGUUAUCUCGUGGAACUCUUUGAUUUCGGGUUGUCAUAGAUCAGGGUAUGAGGAAUUGGCACUAGAUCAGUUCUUUUGGAUGAGAGCCACCGAGUAUGCACCUGAUGAGUUUACAAUAUCAACUGUGAUCAAUGUUUGCUGUAACUUGCUUGAUUUGGAAAAGGGUAAGCAAACAUUUGCAUUCUGCUUCAAGGUGGGAUUUUUUUCUAAUAGCAUUGUAUCAAGUGCUGCUAUUGACCUGCUUUCGAAAUGCAACAGAUUAGAGGGUGCAAUCCGGCUCUUUGAAGAACUGGAUUGGUGGGAUUCAGCCGUUUGUAAUUCCAUGAUUUCAAGCUAUGCACAGCAUGGCUGUGGGGAGGAUGCCGUGCAACUGUUUGUGUUGACCUUGAGGGAGAACCUAAGGCCAACUGAGUUUACACUAAGCAGCAUGCUAAGCUCUGUGUCCAUUUUUCUUCCAGCAGAGCCGGGUAGCCAAAUUCAUUCUUUGGUUGUUAAGUUAGGUUUUGAGUCAGAUGCAAUUGUUGCUAGUUCACUUGUUGAUUUGUACAGUAAAGCUGGAUUGGUAAAUUAUGCCAUGAAAAUAUUUUCAAAUAUGGGCGUGAAAGAUUUGAUAACUUGGAACACCAUAAUUAUGGGUUUGGCUCACAAUGGUAAAGUGUUCAAGACCCUGAGCAUUUUCAAGGAAUUGGUUAGCAAAGGUGCUGCACCAGAUAAUUUAACACUAGCUGGAGUUUUAAUGGCUUGCAACUUUGGGGGUUUUAUUGAAGAGGGGAUGACCAUAUUUUUAACAAUGGAGAAGGAAUAUGGAAUCAUACCUGGGGAAGAGCACUAUGCUCCCAUAGUAGACUUGUUGUGUCGAGCUGGUAGACUCAGAGAAGCAAUGGAUGUACUUGCAGCAAUGCCUUAUGAACCUGGUUCUGUGGUAUGGGAAUCGAUUCUUCAUGCUUGUGUUAUUCACGAAGACUUUAAACUCACUGAAAGAGUUGCAAAAAGGAUGAUGAAGUUGGUGCCACAGUCAUCUCUACCUUAUUUGGUACUAGCUAGGGCAUAUGAAAUGAGAGGAAAAUGGGAAAGCAUGAUUUGGGUCAGGAAAUCCAUGAAACUUAACGGGGUGAAGAAAAUUGUAGGAUGCAGUUGGAUUGGGAUUCAGAACCAUGUAUAUACCUUUAGCGCAGAAGAAUUACAGCCUCCAAGAGGCAAAGACAUUUAUUUGAUAUUGAGAUCACUGUCAUCGGAAAUGGAGGCUGAAGAUUACACUAAUAUCUAACAAAAUUAGUGCUGAGACGAUAAAAAGUGAAGACAAGCAACAGAGUAAGAGUUCAUCUCCUAUUAUUGAUCCAUACAGUUAGGGAUAUAGUCUGUCCAAUUUCAUUUAACCAUAGUAUAUCAAGUAUUUGUAGAACACGAAAAAUUGAUUUGAAUCUCUUUGUACUGCUAGAAUUGUGCUAAUUUGUGGCUGAAUCAAUAUGCUAACAAAAUGUCCAGGUCUCGGAUGUAAUUGUUUUUGUAGUGAAAUUGCUAGGCUGACGCCUAAUGAAUUACUUGUACCAUGCUGCAACUCUGUUUACCAUUGUUGAAACUUGAAAUAGCAAUGCAGUCCAUUGAAAAUAAAUAGUUUUGAGAUGUUCCAGAGCUCCUAGUUUCAGAUAGGACUAGCGACGGUGGCUUAUGGGCCCAAAUAUGGGUUUGUCAGCCCCGGAUGCAAGUUACAACUAAAUGCCGCAGGUGCGUGUGGGCAGAAGUUGUUAGCGUUACUCUUUAGAUGAUUGACAGCCGAAGGCCAAAAAGCCGAAACAUGCCCAUUUGAAAUGGAAAGAUGCUUUGGUUUGUCACCAGUUUUUCUGGUUAUUGCCUUUAAGCAUGAAGGGUGCCUGCCUCUGAUGAAGGCUUUAUGCUCAGCGGCAGAACGUGAAGAUUUUGCAUACUUGGAACUGCAUGUGAUAGCCUUGGCUUGGACUAAUUGUAGUAGAGAUUGAUUUGGAUAGGCUUGGCUUGAAAUUAGUUGUGUCCUACGUUUGGUGUGUCGUAUGGAAAAGAGACAGGAUAAUGCUGCCAUCCUCAACCAGGCUGCCCCCUCCAACCACACUACCAGCCAUGACCCCAAACCGCCCUAUACAGGCAUCCCCUCCCCCACCCAACCCGACCUUCCCCUCUUCCCUCGAAAUAUGCUACCGGUCGAAGGCGAGUGAUACUGUAGCGAGUUCAGCAGGGAUGAGCUCCAAUGUUCGUGGUGUUUUCUAAUUUUGUGUCCAAUGUUCGUGGAAAAGAGACAUCGUUUUUCAGUUUUCAAGUUUUCAGUUUUUGUUUAAACAGAAAAUUUGUUUCGUAAUUAUUUUCAGUUUUCAAAAAAAUAAAAAUUGAAACCAAAAACUAAACGGCUAUUUGUUUUUAGUUUUUAGUUGCAAAUCUGUCUGGUAACUACUUUCAGUUUUCAAAAUGAGAAUUGAAAACUGAAAGCAAGACUAGUUUUCACCUUUUUAUUUUCAAAAAACUGAAAAUAGUUACCGAAGGUGAAAACAAAAACUGAAAAUUGAAAACAAAUUUUUUUAUCAAACAACCUCUAAAAAUCGAAAAUGAAACCGAAUGAAACCGAAAUAGUUAUCAUACGGUCCCUUAGGAUAAUGCUAGGAAGAUCAAAUUUUUAAAUCAAAUUUGCAAACAAAAUUUUUUAAGUUUUGUUCUCCCCAGUGUUACUCCUUAUUUAAUGCUAACUAAUCUAGUUCUUACACCUAGUUUGGCCUAAAUUUUUUUUUAAUGCUAACUAAUUUUGUCCUUACACCUAGUUUGUCUAAAUUGCGAUUAAAUAAUUUCAUUCCAAUCCAAGUUAAGUUAAACAAAGGAGCCAUUUAAAAAAUAGAAUUCUUAAAGAAUCAUCAAAGUAUGAAACCAUUUUGAUGCUCAAUUCUCCAUCGGGCACAUCGAUGAAAUCAAAUAUGGAUAUCAAUUUUUUAAUUUAAAAACAUAAUCAGUGAUCCGGAUUAGUUCAUUUUUUAAUCAAAAUUCUGAAGAGAAUCAGCAUGAUCCUAGAUUCCCAUACAAUUAAAAAUUUAAUAACAUGUAAAAAUAGAUCAAACUUAAACAGCAAAUGAGAUGAGAUUAAAAGUUUUUUGGUUUGUUGUCUUGUUUUUUGGAUGGUUCAUUAAUGGUUGAAAUGGCAUAUAGCUUGAUCUACAUUGGGUUCCAACGAGAGAGGAGAUAAUAAACGGACAAUUAUUGCUCGGCUCCUUACUUGUACAAGUUAUCUAUCUUUUAAUAAACAAAGUUGUCCAUUCCUUUUAUUAUCGUUCAAAUUCAUUUAUUUUGAAUAAAUUUUCUAGAGGUAAUCUUUAAUCGACGAUAAAAAGAAUGAAUGACUUUUAUGAUGUCAUUUGUACGGCAAAGCGAACCAAAUGUUGUAACUAAAUUUAAUUUAUUAGUAACGAUCAAGAACGUACACACGUUGAAAGAAAACUUACAAUUGUAACCACAUUAGGAAUAAAGUACAAUUACUUAGUCUCUAAGGACUCACGUUCAACCAACAUGAAAGAUAAUAUUGCAAGUUGUAGUGCUAUCAUUUGAUGAUCUUGUAAUGGUCGAAUAAAAACUGGGUAUCAGUCACCUUAAACAAACGUCGAACUUCUUUCUAACAGUCAUUUGCCAUGCGAAUGAAACACAAGAAACACAAAAACCACCCCCUAAACUCUAAACAACAAUUGGUGCUUAAAGAUACAAAUUUGUGCAGUAAGUCAUAGUCGGUACAAAGGCUCUUCUUGACAGAGUAAAAGAGCGACCACAACCAUAAAAACCAUUAUCAAAUAAAGCGAAACAGCGGAGGGCAAUCAUAUGUUGUAUGGUGACGUGGAACCCAUGUGGGGCUCACAAAAAUGAAGUGGACAUUGAGUGGAGACCCAAAUAUUGUCGGUGUUUUUAUUGCAUGCAUGUAGCAACAACGUAUGCAUGCCCCUUAGACGGCGGGACAUGACUCAACGACACAAAGAUGAGUCCCCAACCUUUCGGGGCGACCGAUGAUUUAGCAGUCCAAACACUAGCCCUUCAAAAGCAUAAUCCAACACGGUGCCAGUCUGCCAGAGUUUCUCCAUUGGCUCCAUUGAAGACGACGGUAACUUCCCCACCAUGGCAGAAGAAUAUCCAUGGAAUUUAUUCCUGCUCCCCACUGUGAAAGCUUAAAAAUACAGAGUAAAAAAAUGGAAGAAAACUUUGCCAGAACUCCGAACCAAGCUUGCCAUUGGCCAACCAAUCAAAAUCCCUUUUGGGGUUUAUUCGUAUACCGAUUUCCAACUGCUAAAUCAUUCCACAAUCUUCCUUUAAAUAGCAUCUUCAAUUUUCACCACCAUAACAUUCAAAAGAAAGCUUCAAAUUGGUGUUGUGUGUGUAAUAUUCUGUAAAUGGCGAGCCCUCUGACGCCAUCCCACGUUGUCAUCGCCUAUGACGCCACCAAGGACCGCGGCGUGCAUGAGCUUACACUCGCAGUUGACAGUCUCCAGAAGAGGGGUGACGUUUUGCAUUCAGGGGAUACCAUCAUUAUGCUUGGAGUUUUGCACAAGGUAGUCCACCCCAGUAAGUGUUUGAUGAAUUGCCUCGCUGAACUGCACUUUUUUUUAUUGCUUUUUAUUCUUGUUUUCUCCUAUAAUGGCAUGAAAUAUUUAAUGGGUUUUUUAAGAAACUUCUCUUAUCACUGCCUAUUUACUUAUAAAUUCAUAUCAUUAGUUGGAUUGGAUGGUUAAUAAGAUGCAAACAAUUAAGGGUUUGGGUUAUGAAUCUAUAUUUGAAUCUUACCUACUGGAAGAUCGUUGCAUUGCCAUCAUUGAUCCUACUUGCACAUUGAAAUCUUUUCUAUCUAAUCAUGAUUCAUUUCUGGAAAAUGCAUCUGUGCUCGUAUAUAUUCAGCAACUUAUGCUAUCAGUAAAAUGAUCUGAAGAUAUGAGUACUGCGGUUAUAUGAUAAUGAAGUCUGCUUCUUUCUGAAAUGCGGUACCCGUGCUUCUUGUAUCUUUGUUGGGGCAGUGGGCUUUCACAUAAAACCAUGCGCAGAUUUUUUGGAAACCAGCAUUCGUGCAGUGGAGGAAGAAGUUACAAAGAAAGUUGACAUGUAUGUUAGCAUGCUUCUUGAAAGUGCGAGAAAGUGUGAAGAUCAAGGGGUACAAAUUCUCUGAAGCUAAGCAUUGCUAUUUUAAUUGAUUGUUAAUCUGUGCUUUCAUUUUGUUCCUGCCUUAACAUAGUGUUGGCUUUCUCUCAACCAGAUAGUCUUAACUCAAGACAUCUUUUUUCCGAGAUUGCAGAAAGAUCAUUUUUCUUAUCAUGAAUUACAUUUUGUACUGCUUGUAACAUUACAAUUCACAUGAUGACUAUGGAUGUGCCUGUUCUUUUUCAUAGUUAUAAUGAACAUCACCUGAACAAUAAGAUAUGAUUGCUGCUUCUAUUUUUGCUCACCUCGCUAGUUUCCCUGCUGUAAUCAGGUCAGCAUUGAAGUCAAAGUUACUGCUGGUUUUCCCGUUAAGCAGGUUAUUUUGCAAGAGAUUAUGGCCUGCAAUGCAGCUUGGGUUAUACUUGAUAGGUACCUCUGCUUGUGUAUAUUAGACUUCACUUGAGUUACAGUUGAUAUCAGAUCUGUUUGGCUCUUUCAUGAUUUACGAAACCCAUUCCUAUGUAAAUGAUUUCCGCUCACCCAUAACUUCUAUUCUUCACCCUUUUAGAUGAUUAAGGAAGUGAAUGACAUAUUAUAUUCAUGCAUAAGGUACGGUGGGUCUUAUAUAUGAAUGGAAAAGGGAUCCAUGCUUCAAUGAUGCUGCAAUAAUUUAAUGUGAUUGCUAAUUGAAAGAGAACUCCGCCUAUGUAUCUUACAUUGCCGGUCCCAAGCCCGGAUAAAGGAGGAGGGGGAGGGCGUCAGGUAGUCGACAGCCGGCACUCCAUGAUCACGUCGAAUCCUUAUGAAAAUGAAUCCAGAACAAAAUCGCGCUAAAGCUAGGGCGUCACCCGUAAGUGGCGCGCUGUGUGGCCCGAGCACAGUGAUAAAUGAGCAAGGGUCGCUGUAUCUCCAUCGGCACCCGGAUGCAGUGUUAAAUGAGCAAGGGGGCCAUAGAAACUUCUUUUCGAACGACUCCACUCAAAGUUGUUUGGGAGCAUAUGCUCCUAUCAACUUUACACGGGACACACAAAAGAAGUACUUUGAUCCUAUUAGACGGGGGAGGGUGAAGAAGCUAGGACAGAAGGGUAGAGUUCAAGAGAGCAAAAUGCGUUUAGGAACGUGGAAUAUAGGAACCUUAACGGGAAAAUCUAUGGAAGUAGUGGAAGUUAUGGUGAGGAGAAGGAUAAAUAUUAUGUGCCUACAAGAAACUAAGUGGGUUGGUAGUAAGGCAAAGGAUCUAGAAAACUCAGGGUUUAAACUUUGGUAUUCGGGCACAAAUAGAACGAGAAACGGUGUUGGCAUCAUCGUGGACAAGACCUUGACACAAGAUGUUGUAGAUGUCAAGAGGGUAGGAGAUAGAAUCAUGGCAAUCAAGAUUGUAAUAGGACAAGAACUUAUCAAUGUGAUUAGUGUGUACGCACCUCAAGUAGGGUUGGAUAAGAGUUCGAAGGAGAAAUUUUGGGAAGACCUUGGAGACUUGGUGCAAGGAAUUGCUCAGACGGAGAAGUUAUUUAUAGGAGGAGAUUUAAAUGGACACGUGGGCAGGGAGACAGGCAACUAUGGAGGUUUUCCAUGGUGGCCAUGGUUUUGGGGAGAGAAACGAGGAUGGGGAAGCUAUCUUGGAUUUUGCAAUGGCAUAUGAUCUCUUCUUAGCCAACACCUUCUUUAAGAAGAGAGAAGAACAUGUGAUCACCUACAAGAGUGGGUCGUCAAAAACACAAAUAGAUUUUCUCCUAAUGAGGAAAGGAGAUCGUAUAACUUGUAAGGAUUGCAAAGUUAUACCAGGAGAGAGCGUGGCUAAUCAACAUCGCUUGUUGGUGAUGGAUGUACAUAUCAAAAGAGUGAGACAAAAGAACAAAACUUGGAAGUGCCCAAGGACUAGAUGGUGGAAUCUAAAAGAAGAAAAACAAGUCAUUUUCAAAGAGAAAGUAAUCACCCAGUGUGUGUGGGAUAGAGAGAGGGAAGCUAGCCAAAUGUGGGAUUCCAUGGCUAGUUGUAUUCCGAAAAGUAGCAAAAGAGGUAUUAGGAGAGUCCAAAGGUUUUGCCCCACACCAAAAGGAAUCUUGGUGGUGGAAUGAGGAGGUACAAACAAAGGUGAAGGCUAAGAAGGAAUGUUGUAAAGCCUUAUACAAGGAUAGGACCGAUGAAAAUGGUGAAAGGUAUAGAAAAGCGAAGCAAGAAGGCGAAGAAAGCUGUGAGAGAAGCUAAGUUAGCGGGCUUACGACGAUAUGUAUAAGCGACUAGAUACCAAAGAAGGAGAGUUGGAUAUCUAUAAAUUAGCUAGAGCAAGGGAAAAGAAGACAAAGGGACCUAAACCAAGUGAGGUGCAUCAAGGAUGAGGAUGGAAAGGUUCUUGCUACAGAGAACGCGGUUAAAGACAGAUGGAAAGGUUAUUUUCAUAAUCUUUUCAAUGAAGGACAUGAAAGAGUGCUUCUUUAGGGGAGUUGAGUAACUCAGAAGAGUGUAGAAACUACUCUUUUUAUCGUAGAAUCCGGAAGGAAGAAGUGGUUGUAGCUUUGAAGAAGAUGAAGCAUAGAAAAGCAGUAGGCCCAGACGAUAUACCAAUCGAAGUGUGGAAAGUUUUGGGAGAGACAGGUAUAACAUGGCUCACUGACCUUUUCAAUAGGAUUUUGAAAACGAAGAAGAUGCCAAAUGAGUGGCGAACGAGCACUUUGGUGCCUAUCUACAAGAAUAAGGGUGACGUACAAAAUUGCAUGAACUAUAGGGGUAUUAAGCUAAUGAGUCAUACAAUGAAGCUCUGGGAGAGAGUCAUUGAGCAUAGAUUGAGGCAAGAGACACGGGUUUCGGACAACCAAUUUGGGUUCAUGCCAGGGCGCUCAACCAUGGAGGCAAUCUAUCUCUUACGAAGAGAUUGAUGGAAAGAUAUAGAGAUGGGAAAAAGGAUUUACACAUGGUCUUUAUAGAUUUGGAAAAAGCGUAUGAUAGGGUCCCAAGAGACAUUCUUUGGAGGAUUUUAGAGAAGAAAGGAGUACGAGUAGCAUAUAUCCAAGCUAUAAAGGAUAUGUAUGAAGGAGCAAAAGACUGCCGUAAGAACUCAUGAAGGACAAACCGAAAGCUUUCCCAUAACUGUAGGAUUACAUCAAGGCUCAUCCUUAAGUCCUUACCUUUUUGCGUUGGUAAUGGAUGAGUUAACAGGACAUAUUCAAGAUGAUAUUCUUGGGUGUAUGCUUUUCGCAGACGAUAUAGUGUUGAUAGAUGAAACUCAGGAAGGGGUAAAUGCAAAGCUUAACCUUUGGAGAGAAGUGUUGGAAUCUAAAGGUCUUCGCCUAAGCCGAUCAAAGACAGAAUAUAUGGAGUGCAAGUUCAGUGCAAAUGGAGGCCAAAACGAGUUAGGGGUGAGGAUCGGAGAUCAAGAAAUACCAAAGAGCGACCGUUUUCGUUACCUAGGAUCUAUCUUGCAAAAGAACGGAGAAUUAGAUGGAGAUCUCAACCAUAGAAUACAAGCUGGAUGGAUGAAGUGGAAGAGUGCAUCCGGCGUGUUGUGUGACCGCCGUAUGCCACUAAAGCUCAAGGGAAAAUUUUAUAGGACGGCAAUAAGGCCAGCGAUGCUGUAUGGCACAGAAUGUUGGGCGGUGAAGCAUCAACACAUACACAAAAUGGGUGUAGCGGAGAUGAGGAUGCUUCGUUGGAUGUGUGGGCACACGAGAAAGGAUAAGAUUAAGAAUGAGGAUAUCCGGGGUAAAGUAGGAGUAGCCGAAAUUGAAGGCAAAGAUGAGAGAAAAUCGGUUACGGUGGUUUGGACAUGUGCAACGAAGGCCUACUGACGCUCCGAUUAGAAGAUGCGACUAUGGGACAGAGGUUCAGGGCCGAAGGGGUAGAGGAAGACCUAGGAAAAACUUUGGAAGAGACUCUAAGAAAAGACUUAGAGUACUUGGAUCUAACGAAGGACAUGACACAGGACCGAGCACAAUGGCGUUCUAAGAUUCAUAUAGCCGAUCCCACUCAGUGACUUGGAUUUUCCAAGUCUCCAAUCGAGAAGUUUUCCUCACUCGGGAAAUUAAGGGAACACUACCCCAACCUACAUGCUCCACUCAGAAAGCUUCAACAUACAAGCUUCAACAAAAGAAAAUUCAAAGAACUUAGCGAAGAAGGUUUUGGCGUAUUUAACACAAUACGUUGAAAUGAAGGAAAACUUAUUUAUUGAUAUCCCCGAUAAGCUACAAAUGUGUACAUAUACAUGAGUCAAAAUAAACAAACAAGAGGGAGCCUUCACAAGGGUUGCUUAGGAGAAGUCUCAGCAGUCGGUAGAGCCCCAGAAAGAGAAGGCACCGGAGGGGGAUCAUUCGGAACCUCAGUACUGGACAGAACCCUAGAAGGAGGAGGCAUCAGAGGUUGAUUAUUUGGAGCUUCAUUACGCGGUACAGCCCCAGAAGACGAAGGCAAUAAAUGCCUUUGGAACAAACCCACAAAUCUCUGAUGAUCAAGUAAAACCUGACCAUCAGUUUCCUUCAUCUGGUCAAGCUUCCUCUUCAUGUUUGUAGCAUAGUCAUGUGCGAGCCGGUGCAACUGUUUAUUCUCAUGCUUGAGCCCUCUAAUCUCCUGUUUGAGACUCAUCACCUUCAGCCGCCAAUGAUUCAACUUGGCGGGUUCGAGCAAAUAGGCGUUGGGCCAUAUUAGACACAGAACCUGCACACUGAACACUGAGAGCCAGCGAAUCCUUAACAGCUAACUCAUCAGACCGUUUGGAAAGUAGUCUGUUAUCUUUGGGAGUGAGAAGGUUCCUGGCCACCACCGCAGCAGUCAUAUCAUUCUUCAUCACGGAAUCCCCAACGGUAAGAGGACCAGUAGGGGAGACGAAGGAUGGGCACCAUAUGUUGUCUGGAGAAGGCGGGGCUGCCUCUUCAACAAGGUUCAAGUCAAAACGACGGUCGGAGGGGCCAGACAUUUUCAAAGGUGUUGAAGAGAGAAGAGGUUGGACAAAUCAAGAUCUUAGAAGUGCAAGAAUGGAGCUUCUACUGGUGGAGAUUCAAGUGUGCUUUGGAACUUAAUGCCAGCCCCUAUAAAAAUCUGCACUCGACGGAUCUUCAGAAAUCGAAGAGGCGCCUGCUCAGAAAUCGAAGAGGCGUUUGCUUUCUCAAAAGCUGGGCUGCUUAGAGACCACGAGGGUUGAUCUCAGAAAUCGAAGAGGCGUUUGCUUUCUCAAAAAUUAGGCUGCUCAAAGACCACGAAGGCCGAUCUCAGAAAUCGAAGAGGCGCUCGCUUUCUCUCAAAAGCUGGGCUCCUCAGAGACCACGAGGGCCGAUCUCAGAAAUCGAAGAGGCACCUACUUUUCCAGCCUUGUCAGCACCUGUCACACGCACACUCAGCUUUGCGGAAAUUAUGGGCAUUCUGUCGAAGACUUCUGAGGAAGUAGAAAACACAUGAAUCUUACUGUUCAAUCACCCACUUCCCACACGCAACACUAGCUCAUGGGUACCACAGAUAACUUUGCCAAAGUUCUCUGCCAAAAUUGAGCACGUAAAGCUUGCAGCUCCCACUACAUCGCUCUGACCAAGAAAGGUAAAAAGAAUAGCAAAGAAACAGCACUAACAAAGUUUAGACCCAUAAAUUUUGAAGGUCUAGCUACCAUAUUAUUACCCACAAGGGUAAAGGAACAGUACCACUGCUGGAUAAUUGGAAAGUCCCUGUGUGUCAACCUCUGUGCUUCGUGGCAAGGUAGACUAGUAAACAUGCCCAACCUUUACUCACACUCGAGAAAACACUACCCAAUAAGAUUGCUUGCUCCAAAAUCGAAGAGGCACCGUCCUCCGAAUCUCGAGAGCCAGACUCCCAACAUGACUACUUUCUCAAAAAUCGAAGAGAGGGUAAAGGAACAGUACCAUUGCUGGAUAAUUGGAAAAUCCCUGUGUCAACCUCUGUGCUUCGUGGCAAGGUAGACUAGCAAACAUGCCCAACCUUUACUCACAUUCGAGAAAACACUCCCAACAAGAUUGCUUGCUCCAAAAUCGAAGAGGCACCGCCCUCCGAAUCUCGAGAGCCAGACUCCCAACAUGAUUACUUUCUCAAAAAUCGAAGUGACACUGCUCCCCGAAUCUCGAGAGCCAGACCCCCAUCAUGAUUGCUUUCUUAAAAAUCGAAGAUGCAUCGUUCUCCGAAUCAAUCGAAGAGACGCUCGCUUUCUCAAAAGCUGAGCUGCUCAGAGACCACGAGGGCCGAUCUCAGAAAUCGAAGAGGCACCUACUUUUCUAGCCUUGUCAGCACCUGUCACACGCACACUCAGCUUUGCGGAAAUUAUGGGCAUUCUGUCGAAGACUUCUCGAGAGCACAGACCACUUUUUCAAAGUGCUCUGACAGAGUUAAAACAUGUGAAGCUGGCAGCUCCCACUACCGUGCUAUGACCAAGCAGGGUAAAGGAAUAGCAUUACUACUUGUUGUUAGGGAGACUCCUAUAUAUGUCGACCUCCAUCCCCAACGGACAGGCAGACCUGCAAAAAUGUUCAACCCUUCCUCAUAUUUGAGAGGGCACUCCCAACGAAGCCUUUCGAAAUAUUCAGCUUUCUUUCCCCCCGAUAAUACCUUUGCAAACAAGCUAUACUAGAGCAAGAAUAUCUCAUAUCAUCAGGGUUAAAAGCAAGAGUAUCCCAUAUCAUGCUUUUUUCCCUGUCUUUUCCUUUGGCCUUGUUGUUCCCUGCAAGACAAGGAGAAAGAGAGCAAUCAGUCAGCACUUGGAAUCAAGCUUCCAGCCAGGAACUGACUGCCUGGAACCCCUUACCUGAUUACUUACCUGGCAUUGCUCUCGAGUACUCAUCUUCAACAUCUUAUGUUUCCAGGGAAGAUACCGCAUAUGCUUGAGGAACAGAUAGGGCAAGUGCGAAGGAUACAAGGAAGCAUGUGGAGACAAGCGUAACAGCACACGUGCCGAUACAUCCAUUACUCUGUCAAAAGCAAAAGUAUCCCAUAUCAGCAGGGUCGAACGUACUCUAGAUUUGAUGGACUUGUUUUGACCCUCAAAUUCUUCAGUCGGCUCUGGAGGGAAACCAGAAAACCCUCCAGCUCAGUUCAAGAAUAUAGCCUGUGGAAAGUUACUUCUUCAAAAGCAAAAGUAUCCCAUAUCAUCUCUUCUCAUCUUUCUUCUCUUUAUCCUUCAUGCUGCUGCAAGAUGGGGAGAAGGUGAACAAUCAGCCGGAGCUUUGAUUGCUUACCUUGUCUGUCACCUCUUUCAGCAGAUCCCCUAGCUCGGCGACUUGGGAGACUCCUACUACAUGGUUUGUAUCGCGCUUGACCAAGCCUGAAACUACAAGUAAGCUUCAAGUGAAAUUGAUACAUUACCUUGUGCAUCUCCACCAGUUAAAGAUACCACCCCUGGAUGGAGGAAGAGUACUUCCAGAGAAGAUGCCACAUCUACCUAUGAGACAGAUAAGGCAAGUCAAGACGAUACCACACUCCGAUACUUAGAAGUUUCGUGAUUACGAGAUCAUUCUCUCACAAUAUUUCCUAAUGUCAUUUGUACUAAAUCAUUCACUUGUACUCACUAAAGGAGAGCUUGAACCUAUGUACUUGUGUAAACCCUUCACAAUUAAUGAGAACUCUUCUAUUCCGUGGACGUAGCCAAUCUGGGUGAACCACGUACAUCUUGUGUUUGCUUUCCUAUCUCUAUUCAUUUAUAUACUUAUCCACACUAAUGACCGGAGCAAUCUAGCGAAGAUCACAAAAAGCGACCGUUUUUGCUGCCUAUGAUCUAUCUUGCAAGAGAACGGAGAAUUAGAUGGAGAUCUCAACCAUAGAAUACGACCUGGACGGAUGAAGUGUAAGAGUGCAUCCGGCGUGUUAUGUGACCGUCGUAGGCCACUGAAGCUCAAGGGAAAAUUUUAUAGGACGACAAUAAGGCCAACGAUGUUGUAUGGCACAGAAUGCUGGACGGUGAAGCAUCAACACGUACACAAAAUGGGUGUAGCGGAGAUGAGGAUGCUUCGUGGGAUGUGUGGGCACACGAGAAAGGAUAAGAUUGGGCAUGAGGAUAUCCGAGGUAAAGUAGGAGUAGCCGAAAUUGAAGGAAAGAUGAGAGAAAAUCGGUUCCGGUGAUUUGGACAUGGGCAAAGAAGGCCGACUGACGCUCCGGUUCGAAGAUGUGACUACGGGACAGAGGUUCAGGGCCGAAGGGGUAGAGGAAGACCUAGGAAAACUUUAGAAGAGACUCUAAGAAAAGACUUAGAGUACUUGGAUCGAACGGAGGACAUGACACAAAACCGAGCGCAAUGGCGUUCUAGGAUUCAUAUAGCCGACCCCACUUAGUGGGAAAAGGCUUUGUUGUUGUUGUUGUUGUUGCUAAUUGAAAGAUCACUAGAAUUUGGCCCUAUCCUAUAAAGAUCAUCAUUCCUUGCCUUUGUUGUAGAGCGUUGAGAGAGUACUCCAUUUUAGUGCUGAACUGCAAACGGUCAUUAUACAAUUAGUGAAAAAUUAAAAAUAGAUGGGCACCUUCAGAUUAUCCCUUAAAGAUUAAUUAGCUAGUUAAACUAAGAAUCCCCUUAACCGGUUUUUUUUUUAAUCAUGUAAAUAAUAUUUUCUUUUGUAUAUGUUUUCAACUCAAAAGUUAAAACCUUGAAUUGAAUCAAAACUGGCAUAUUGGAGAAAUUUUCUGCCACAAUUUUAUUUGUUAGAUAUCCUUAAAUAUUCAAUUGAAUCAAUAUUGAUGCAGUGAAAACAAAUGACCAUUCCAUUUUUUCAAAGAAAGCUCCAAUUUGUCGCACUUUCAGUUUUCCUUUCCAUUUUUUUUUAUAUUACCUCUGUGUGUGCUUGUGAGAAUGCCUCUGUCAAAUUCUCUUUUUUGUUUCGAAUUAGCUUCAAUUGUAACUUGCAGAGCUUAACACAGGCACCUUAGACGGGAUAUGAGGUUCUACCUUAAGAAGAUACCAUGCAAGGUUGCAAUAAUACAAGAUAGUUUGGCUGUGGAUGUUGUAAGACCUCAUACAACGGAUGACACUGAUACCAUGGAACACAAAUUGUUUUUUUCAUUGUCCAAGCCUGUUCCACUAUCCAAUUAUCAAUCUAACAGAAACAAUGAACAGCCACUCAGUGAUUCACCUGAAAGUUCUGAUAUUCAGAAAACCUAUUUGACUUCACCUACAGUUAAGUUACGAGACUAUGGUUCUUUAUUGAAUCUAGGGUCUUCCCCUACUCAAGAAAAUUCAGGUCAGAAACUUUUUAUAUUCCUUUCUACAAUAUUAUUUACAAAUUCAAGGUAUAUACUGUUGUUUCUGCAGUAAGGGUUUCAUACAGCUGUAAUAUCGAUGCAUAAAAUCUUAGCCAUAACUUUUGGUAGAGAGUUUCAUCAAAUCAUACAAACCUCAAAUGAGAAAAUUUUUGUAUGCUCUAUGAUCUAUCUCUAGAUUUAAAAAUAGUAACAUUAUCAGUCUGUAUCCUUUGUUUGUCUUUGUUGAAUAUUAAGGCAUACGUGUCUCAUUAUUUGGAGUUCGGACUUUGUAGGUAGCACAGCAAGAAAUCUUGCUUAGUUUCUCCAAUAUUUGGAUUUAACAUUUUUUAUAAGUUUCUUGUCAAAAUGAUCAAGACUGAUAAUGUGUCACAUUUGAAGAAGAAUAAAGUUAUUAUUUCAUUGCUUGAAUGACAUAUAUUCAUACGGUCUCUAGAACAAACAGGUCUUUCUAACCAUCUACAUCAUUCAGUUUGAAAUCACAAGUAGGUGAAGGCCUUACAUCAAACAUAUGCCUAGUCCACUGAAGGGAUGACAAGAACAUGGUUCUGUUUAUAACAAAGAAGUUCUCAAUGCCUUCUUUCAUAUUCAUCUUAGCUUGAAAUAAUUCAUUGCGUCAGGUGUUUGUAGUGACAAAGUAUGACUUUAGCAAUGACCAGGGCUAUAACACUCACUACUGUAUAGAUUAAGACUAUAUUUUCUGUUUUCCAGGUGUAAAAACCAAAGCAGACGAUAAACACUCCAUAGUUCCUCAAAAAAUCCAGAAGCAAAAUAACGCCUUCCGAGGAAGAUGCUCAGAUGCCCCAAUUCUGUGUUCCAUAUGUGGAACACGGACUGAAAUGUAUGUCAAGAAUUCUAUGACAUUCAGCUACUCAGAGAUACAGCUUGCAACAAAUGAUUUUUCCAAGGAAAAUUUAUUGGGAGAAGGCGGAUAUGGUCAUGUGUAUAAAGGUGAGUUUAAGGACGGACAGCAGAUUGCAGCAAAGGUGCAGAAAGAAGCAAGUACACAAGAAUUUACAGAAUUUCACUCUGAGGUCUAUGUCUUGAGUUUUGCACGCCAUAAGAACAUUGUCAUGCUGUUGGGUUAUUGUUGCAAGGAGAACCUAAAUAUAUUGGUUUAUGAAUAUAUUUGCCACAAGUCUCUUGAAUGGCACUUAUUUGGUAAACUUCUGUUAAAAUUUUCCCCAGUAUAUUUUGUUUUUCAUUAUUGUUAGUUCUUAUGUUGAUACUAUUACUAUAUGAAAAUGAUUAGUGCAUCUUCCUUUGUUAAUCCUUACUGGCUAUAUUUGUAGAUGAAAAGGCAGCAGUUCUUGAGUGGCACCAAAGACAGGAAAUCGCCAUUGGAACUGCGAAGGGAUUGCGUUUCCUCCACGAAGAAUGUCGUGGAAGUCCUAUAAUUCACCGAGACACGCGACCAAGCAAUAUACUGCUAACACAUGAUUACGUUCCAAUGGUAAAUUAAUAUGCCAUGUUCUUUGUGUGCUUUAUAUUUGGUUAGCGGGUAAUGACGUCAAUAGAUCAAAGUUCCUUUAAGAAUCUGGUUGGGUAGUCUUGGUGCCCUCCAGAUUUGUGCAAAAAUCUAGAGCAGAUCCAAUGCUAAUGAGCUGCAAGUAAAACUUCUAGGAAUUAUGUAUUUUUGUAUUUCUUUCUAUCUAGUAGCUCUUUGAACUCAAAAAAAAGGUCAUCUUUCAGUCUUCCCUAGUGUAAAAAAUAUACAGGGGAGGUGUGCAUGAUGACCUUUUUAGAGUGCUAACAAUUCCCUUCUUCCUAUGUGCGAAAAUACACAUUGUGAUGCAUGAAACAUUUCUCUUAUUUCAAAUGGAGUAUUGAUAUAUUUAAAAGAAUAUUUUAGGAACUAGAUACCUCCGACCCAGAAUAAUGAGGACUUGUAGAUUACGUAUUAUUAAUUCUCUUCUCUUUCUUUUCCCUUUUUUCGCUUCUUUUUGUUUUGUUAUUUACACACCACCUCCUAUCUAAGUUCACCCACAUUUCUAUCUACACCCCAUCCAAACAUUUAAAUUUUAAUUCAUUCUAAGAACGCCAACUUUUUUUUUCCUUAAAAACUACCCUUAAACACCAAUAAAUUCUAUCUUCAUGCUUUAAACUAGUGUUUUGAAAUUUUGAAUCCAGAAAAAUAAUUUCAAUAGCAAUUACUUGUUAUGUUGUGCGUGGUUAAUCUGGAAACAAUACAGCAAUUGAAUAAUGAAAAUAAUUGGCACAGAUUGCACCUACAAUUUUGAGUUUUCGACACCCAAAUAGAUAUUUCGUUUUCACAGCAUAACGGUUUUGAAAGUCUGAGGUUUGUUUAUUACCUAUAUAUUUGUUCUUCAAAUCUAAUUUUUGCGUCCUAGGGGUUGUUAGGUGUUUGAUCUUCUGUCAAUAAAAUCCUUUUUCUUCUUGACAGUAAUCCUAAUUCCUUUUUUGAAUUAUUUGAGCUGUUUCUUUGCAUAUGAUGAUGUUUGCCAACAAUCGACAACAAGUGGCAUUCGAUGAAAUGAAGCCAAUGCAGCUGUAAAGAUUAGGGUGUUUGGAGAAAAAUAAGAUAGUAAUGGUAUUCUUUUGUUGGGGGAAGAAGAUGAACCAUAUGUGCUUUUGGUUCUUAGUAAAGAUUGGGAUUUCUGUGGGUGUAGAUAGAAAUGCUGUCUUUAAGUUUUGCAUUUUUGGCUUCUACUUUUGUUUGACUUUGGAGCAUAAUCUUUUGUUUUGAUCUCUGAAAUUAACAGGCCUUGAUUGCAAAAUCUGAGUAGUUAUUAUCAAUGAAUCUGAAGAAUAUAAAAACUAUUCUAGUUAAUGGAAUGAUUUUCUGCACAGUUAGGUGAUUUUGGCUUCGCCAAAUGGAAGACGGCGAGUAAUGACACUGACCAGACAAGGAUAAUUGGCACACUAGGGUGAGGACUUCUAUACGCUUUUUUCUUCAUUUAAUUUUCACAUCCUACAUUCUCCGGUCUUGGUAACUUUCACUAAACUUGUGCAAGUAAAUUUUUGGUCCUUGUAGCUACCUUGCUCCAGAGUAUGCAGAGAACGGUAUUGUUUCUGUACGGACAGAUGUAUAUGCCUUUGGCAUGGUUCUGUUACAACUCGUAACUGGCCGCAAGAUUGUUGAUUCAAACGGAGAAGGGCAAGCUCAAUCCCUACGGGAGUGGGUAUGUUGGGCUUCAAGAUGUGUUUUUACAUCUUAUUUUAUACUCACUGGUAAAAGGGCAAAAAGAAAACCAUUUUUUACUCAAUCUCAGAAAACAGCUGUGCUUAAUUCUCUGGGUUCCAAUCUAAUAAGUCUAUAUCUGCAAAAUGUAGGCAGAACCAAUAAUCCAGAGGCUGGCACUACAUGAACUCAUUGAUCGUCGUCUAGGAGAUUCAUAUGACACAUAUGAAGUGUACCUCAUGGCUAAAGCCGCAUUCUUAUGUGUACAAAGAAAUCCUGAAAUGCGUCCAUCAAUGCAAGAGGUAAUCAAAAUUUUACCCUCUGGGUUCUUGUGGUUUUGUGGGAACUAUUAGUAUAAGAAGUUGGUGCAAGAUCAACUCAUAUACUCUAACCUGGUAUGACAACAAUGUGACCGCCUUUUUCAAGAAACAAAAAAUGCAAUGCUCAUGAAACACACAUAAAUAUAUGUUGUCGUGUUGGUAGUUAGAAAUACCGCUGGCGUAAACAGAGAUCCUUGUAUAUCCGACAACAAAUGUCUCUAUGCUGCAUUUCAAUACGAACUUAAAAGAUUUUCUUCCAACAGGUUGUCCGCGUUCUUGAAGGUGAAAAUGACAAUUACCACCACCUAGGAGAGCACUUUGCACCUCAAUAUCUCACAAAGUGAAGGAUCCAGCGGCACAGUUUAUUUUCAUUUCGAAGAUGGUAUGCUGUUUAUAUUGUUAUAUCCACUGUUUCUAUCUUCUCAUGUACAAAUAUAUGUCGUAUUUCAUGGCAGUGAGACGCCAGUGCAAUCUAACAUAUGUUUCAUUUGGUUCUGUCCCAGUUCGCAGUAGCUUCUUGAAGGGAAAAAUUACCAUUUCUGCAUCCUAGGAUAGCAAUUCUACCUCGACGAAGACAAUGGCACACUAAACUUUCGUUUGACGGCUGAGGUUAUUGUUUUUUUCUUGUUUUUCUUGAAGGUGGCUCUAGCUUCUCUGGUUUUGCGUGGUUUCGAUCAAAGGAGGCAUUAAUUAUAAGGCUCUGAAAACUUGAACGUACAUAGAGUGAAGUUUGUCUAUUGAUGCCUUAAAAAUAAGAUCCUUUUCAUCUAAGAAAUGGAUCAUCAGUAUUACUCUCCACUAGUUUUGUAAAAACAACUACAUAUAUGUAAUCUGAAUUUCUAUGUCCCAGACUUUGUGGUUGUUGCAUACUUGCAUUAUGUUGGAUUUAUCACAAAAGAUUGCACCUUAGCAGGAAGGUUUAGCUCUUAAAUGAAAUUUAAUCGUCAACGAUUAAGGGAUAUGUAAUUGGCAUUAUAAAAUAAUAAUUUUGCAUGUUAUAUGAAGAAAACAUUGAAGGAAGAAGUGCAUGAUGGCAUUUGUGGAGUACUAACUGAGGGGAUGAUUUGAAAUUAGUACAAUAAUUUAGAGGAAGAGGAGUUUCGAGUCUGAGACACAGUAGGUAGAAACCACAAUACUCUUGAUUAACUCUGACAAUAAAAGUUAAUUACUAGUGAAUAUUUAUGUGACAUGCAAUUUUUCUUGAGCCAUUUUUUUAUUUGGUUGUUUUUGUCGACAGUCUAAACUCCAAAGGAGAAAAUGGUGGUGAAUUGGUUCAUAAAUAUUUGUUGAUGUCUCAUGUCUAUGAGAAUGCAUUUUCUCUGUGAUCAUACAAAUUUUGAUAAAAUACUAUCAGACCGCAGUAUUAAGUGACAAUUCAUUAUAUAUUAGUAACUAGAAAAACAUAUGUUGUUGAAAUAGAAACGUUUACAUCAAAUGCUAACAUAUUACACAACCAAUCCGUUCACAAUAUGAUCUCAUUUUUAAAAGCCUCCAACUCAAAUUAUAAAUGAAGCAACUAAAUGAAGUGCUCUAUUACAUUCACGGGGUGCUAAUAAGAAACCUACUCACACACAAAGUUUUGUUUCGUCUUAUAAGAUGUGGACGGUAACAAUUUUCUUUCCCAUAUUUUGGCUUCGGAAACAGUAGAUGUGUGCUACAAGCACAAGACCAUGGCGACAACAUUAUAUGGAUUGAUGUGAUAAUUUGUGAGCAUCGUGGAUCACCGUUGUUAGUUGCCGCAUGCAUUCCGCCAAAUUUGGAGAAUGUGUAGUCGUUUCAGGUGGACAACCAUGCAUGGCUAGUGACGUCAGUAUAAUAUUAACUGCAACACGCGUCCUCUCAUGGGAAGACGGUUUCCAAUUUGUUGUCUAGGUUGGACAAAGAAAUAGUGUUCGCCAUAAACUGUAUGUGUCACGUGUGUGAGGUAUAAUAUAUCAUUAGGGUUAUCCGUACUUCCAUAGGAAAGAACAAGAGAGAUGGAUUUUUAUAAAUAUACGGUAUACUUCUUAUAACUAGAAAUUAAGUUUUGACAGAUUUAAAGAUAAAAUUAUCAUGUAGUUUAGUUGCAAAUGACGAUUUUGGUAUCAAACGACAACAAUAGCCAUCAUCUCUUUGCUGUAAGUGACACUCACUUACGCAACGUUUUUUCAUACCAGAUAAUAAUUAAAAGCCGUCUUUUCACCUUGUAAGUGGUAUUGAUUGUAAUCUUCUCCUUAUUUUUUUUAUAAUAAGAACUAGAGGAAAACAGUUUAUUCUUCUUUUCUUGUCCUUUGUUAUUUUUUAAACCGCAUUCACGCGACGGAUUUCAUGAUUGAUAUGUCAAACACAUCAAACAUGAAUGAGGGAAAUCAUGCGUCUCUCAUGGCAACUGUUUCUAACAUCAUUUGCCUUCAAUUGUCAACUAAAAUAUCAAUGUCACACCACUAGGCUUUACGCGGUCAAAUUUAUGUGCUCAAGUUAAUUAUGGUAGGUCUGAAAUUGAUAUAUAAUAUCCCAACUGGAAAGUAGUGGAUUCAAAAUAAAGUAGUGGGACUCAAAAGCACCCAACAAAUGGGGAGCAGGAAAAUUGAACUAGCACUUCAGAGGUUAAUCAACAUGUGAUUACUGCCCCAAAUUCACUUUAAAGUAUAAAAAGAGAAAAAGAAGUGUUAAAUUAGAUUCUCAGUUGCUAUCCACACCAACUCAGAUUGAUAAUAUAAUUGAAAUUGCACAAGAAAUUAAAGAUUGUUUUUAAAGUAUUUUGUUAGGUCUAUUUUAGGCUAGAUCAGAUCGUAAAUAUAUGUUUAUAAUUCCAAUCCAAAAAGUUUGGGAAAUAAUAUCAAUUAUAAUUUUAUAAUUAGAAUUUCGGGAUUUCAUAAAUCAUAAGGAAUUUGAAACUUUGGAAAUAGAACUAGUUUCGGAAUUUCAAAAUUGUGAGAGUUGUAUGGCUAUAUACUGAAAUCAUUCCAUGUCUAUGCCUCUUUCUGUAUAACUACCUUCCACUCCACCAAGUUCAUUUAUUUUACAACUUUUUCAUCUAACUAUUUUACCCUUUACAGUAAAUUGAGUUUCCAUUUAAUAUCGCAUGUGUGUUCAUUUUUUUGAGAUUGUGAACAAUUCACUUUGUUUUUUUUUUGAACCAAGGAUACAAUACCAAGGCACAGAAGCCAGCCAAGAACAAAGAAAGUCGCAAAGGCUAACGCAACAAAGGAACUAACGACAGAGCAAAGGCCUGGGAUUAAAAUAGACGCUACCACAGCUGGCGAACACGUCAUCCCCAAAAAACAAGGCAAACCAUCCUUAUUUAAAAUUCUAACAAGAGAAGAUGGGGGCCUGUAAGCCCAAACAGAGUUGCACAUCUUCAGAGUGAAGUUCUUCACAACGAAGUCCGCCGCACAGUUUGCUGAUCUUGGAAUCCAAGACCAGGAGCAAGCUUGGAAAGCCUUCCCAACCAACCAAAUACACGAUCUUGGAUUGGGAAGAGUUCCCAAGCGCAGCUCGAAGAACAAUCCUGCAAACACGAAGUAACCAGUUUUGAAUCCGAUUCAAUCACCACCCGGGGGAAAUUCAGACCCUUCGCUAGAAGACGCCCCUCCAAAACCACCAAGGACUCCGCCAUUGCAGCAGAAGAGGCCAGGACCUUCAUCAUUCUGACCUCCAAACACCUACGACUCGAGUCAUGAAUCACCAAGCCAACCCAUGCCGAAGAAGCACCAUGUCUCCAACUCACAUCCACAUUUAUCUUCAACACGGAAGGAGGAGGAGGAGACCACGAAACCUCACACAAAUGGUUGUUCCUAGGUGAGGGAGCAAGGCCAUGGAUCCUGGAGUUAGCAUCAGCAAAGGCCUCCCAAGUACUGGACAAAUUAAAAAUAGUGUGAGAUGGAGAAGAGGAUCGUCCGUUGAACACCGCGUUGCAUCUGGCUUUCUAGAUAAACCAACAAGAGAAAGCCACCUGAGACAAAAACCUUGACUUAGACUCGGAGGACCCCAGCUGCAACGAAAACAGGUGAGAGAGCCAGUCAUCAAAUGAGGAAAUAGAGGCGCCAAUAAUACGAAUGCAGAGAGGACCACCAAACCACACAGGCUGCACCCACGGGCAUAGGAGCAACAUGUGCUCAACAGAUUCCGAAUGAAGAAGACAAAUAAGACAGCAUGGGUUUUCAGCACUCAUUCUCUUAAACAGGUUCUCCCGAGUAGCAAUGGCACCUCUAACGCAACGCCACAAAAAGAAUUUCACUUUUGGAGGGACCCAUAGCUUCCAAAUGCCAGCCCACUCCUGAGGAAGAAUAGAAUGAGAGGUCGAUGGAUGGUCAAGCCUCAUAACAGGAAUAGAAUUGCGCAACCACCAAUACCCUAAUUUAACAGAGUAAGCGUUAGUCUUAGAAGCAGGCCAGAAGAGGUGAUCAGGGGAACACGAAUCCCCAAUAUGAAUCCUGGAGAUAGCAGCCCCAGCAGACUCAGAAAAUAGAUCCCUAAUCUCAUCCUCGCUCCACGUCCUGCGCUCCGUGUCAAUGAUGGAGGCCACCACCCGUGUCUUGUUAAUCUCCCCUCCAUCCGUGGGAAUCGAACGACCGUUGAAAAUGCUUGAAACCUAAUUAUCCUCCCAUAAAUUAAAGGAAUUCCCACUCAAAACCUGCCAUCUAGAACCAUGAAUGAUCAGGUCCCAACCCUCCAACAGGCUAGACCAAACCCACGAUGCACGCCCACCCCGCUUUGCCGUAAAAAACGAGUCCUGAGGGAAAUAUCUAUCCUUCAGCACUUUAACCCAAAGUGACUCAAGCUCGUGGAGAAGGCGCCAACACUAUUUAGCGAGAAGGGCAGAGUUGAAAUCUUUCAAGCUUCGGAAACUCAACCCUCCAUCCCCUUAGGUGUGCCCCAAGUCAUCCCACCUCAACUAGUGAAUGCCCCGAUCCUUGUUUUUAUUUCCCCAGCAUAACUUAGCAAGGGAUGCGUUAAUCUCCCUACAAAGACGAUCGGGCAGCCGGAAUACGUUAAUAGGAUAUGUAAGAACAACCAGGGCAACUGCCUUUAUAAGCACUUCUUUACCUACCUGGGAGAGGAAUUGUUGCUUCCACCCCAAAAUUUUUGCCAAGACUCGCUCCUUGAUGAAAGCAAGCGCAUCACGUUUCAAUCUCCCCCACAUUGUAGGAACACCCAAGUACGUCCCCGGAUCCUCCACAACCGUCAUUUCUAGGAUGCCACUGAGCUCAUGGGCCAAAGCAACAGAAGUGUUGGCGCUAAAGUAAACCGUUGAUUUCUGAAGGCUUACCUGCUGACCAGAAGCCUUAUAGUAUGCUUUCAAUAAACUCGACAAGUUCCUGCAAUUAUCAGGAGUAGCUUUCAGGAACACAAGCGUGUCAUCAGUGAAAAGAAGAUGGGUUAGCCGAUGACAAUUCGCAUUGAUCUGAAUACCAUCCAGGAAUUGAAUAUCAGUAGCCCUCUUGAGAAGACGGGAGAUAACUUCACUGACAAUCAAAAAUAAAUAUGGGGAUAGGGGGUCCCCCUGACGCAACCCCCUUAACGGCUUGAAACUCUUUCCAGGCUGCCCAUUAAGAUGCACAGAAAACUGGACAGAAGAAACACAACACAUCACAAUAUUCACCCAAGCAUCACAGAAACCCAUUUUCCUCAUCACGGCCUCCAAAAAAUCCCAUUCAACCCAGUCAUAAGCUUUGUUCAUGUCAAGUUUGAUUCCCAGCUCAAAACAGUGUUUAGCUUUCUGGAGCUUCAGGAAGUGGAUAACCUCAUGGGCCAAAAUAAUAUUAUCUUGGAUUUGGCGACCAUGGACGAAGGCAUUUUGACUGGGGGAAAUUAGCUCCGGCAAAAAAGGUUUCAACCGAUUGGCAAGGAUUUUAGAUAAAACCUUGUAAGAGUAAUUGCAAAGGCUUAUUAGUUUGAAUUGAUUCACGUUUUCCGGGUGCGGGACCUUGGGAAUUAAAACAAUACGUGUCGAAUUUAUCAAGUUUGGGCAAGCUCCCCCACUAUGGCAUUCAGCAGCCAUCCCCAUCACCUCCGGAGAAAUAAUAUCCUAGAAAUUUUGAAAGAAGACCCUCUGGAACCCAUCCAGACCAUCCGCCUUCAUCCUUCCCAUUUGGGUCGAUGCCUCCCUGAUCUCCCCCUUAUCCACCGGCUUUCCUAAAGCAACAUUGAUCUCAGCAGUAACAAUUGGGUCAACACAUUCCAGAAUGUCCCCCCAGCAUCGACUCUCAUCCAUUGAGAACAACCGCAAGAAGUGGUCUUUAACCACACGCCAGAUACCCGAGAGAUCAUCCGUCCAAUUCCCACUUGCAUUUUGGAGCCUACCAAUAUGGUUUGACUGCCAGCGUUGAAUCGUAGAUUGGUGGAAGAAAGUGAUGUUUGCAUCACCUGCUUUAACCACCGAACGCGGGACCUCUGAAGCCAAAAUUGUUCCUUCUGCUCCUCAAGUUUGUUGAUAUUCUCUGUGAUCUCCUUAAUAUCAUCCAUUUUUACCCCCCAAUUUACUUGUAGCCUUCCCAGAUGGUUAGAUAAAGAAGCAAUCUCAUUCUUCCGGCCUCUGAAAGAGGCAUCGCUCCACCUCUUAAGGUUUCGUUUAGUUGCUUGGAUUUUCUUGUGCCAUUUGUUCAACCACGAACCCUCAACAUCCAUGUUCCAGGUUCGUUCAAUAAUUUCUUUGCACCCCGACUCCUUACACCAGAAAGCUUCAAACUUGAACAAGUUCUUGGUCCACAUACCACCUGGGUCUGAAUUAAUGAUUAAGGGGAAUUAUCAAAGGCGCGGGCCAUCCCGUGAGUGAUGGUGGUGCGAGGCCACGGGGCUUGCCAAGCACCAUUCACCAAACCCCUAUCCAGACGCUCUUGGACCAGGGAAUUGUUACGGGUUCCAUGCCAAGUGAAUUUCGGACUCGUAAAUCCCAGAUCUAUCAGCUCCAUGGUGUUCAUGAAAUCUUGUAGAAACCGAGGUCUAGAAAACAUUCCUAGAGACCCACCUCAUUCUUGAAAUCUUAUAGAAUUUCAUUCAAGUCUCCUCCACAAAACCAAAGUCUUCCCACUGGUUCCAAUUCCUAAGAGAUCCAUCUCCAAAAAUCCCCAUUCUCAUCCCUAUAUGGGUUACCAUAGACCUAGGAUGCUACGAACCAAUCUGACUCACCCCUAACCCUCAACUCGGAAUGGAUCAGGUUUUUUGACGAGCUGAGAAUGUUGACUUCUAUCGUUCCAUUCCACCAUAGACUGAGGCCCCCCGCAGCACCUAUAGGGGGAACAUCAAAAGCAUCUUGAUAACCCAUCCUCCUGCGCACACCUUCAUUCCUGUGAUUUUUCAUUUUAGUUUCUAAGAGAAAAAUCAUAGAGGGUCUAUAUUGCCCAAUCAUCUCAUGCAGGGCUCAAACCACCAUGUCCGACCCAAGACCACGACAAUUCCACAUAAGAAAAAUCAUGGAGAUCUUGCGACUGUUCAGGGCCUGCCACCACCGCCAUAGUUUGAUUCCCCUACGUCAAUAGCCUUUCGGUUCCAGUCGACCACAUCCUGGAUUGGGACCUCCAAAAGAUCAUCCUCCUCCACAGGGAUACCCACGUUGUGCUGAUACCCCACCUUGAUAGUUGACCCCCUCGACGAUCUUCUCCAACCUUUCCUCCUAACACUACCCGAAAUGCAACCUUCAUCCUUCCCUUUCUUGUUAUUUUGCUUUGAGUUAAUCAUCGAUCCCUUGGUUGCUCGCUUCAUUCCCAGCUUCCCAAAGACUGCAGUAAGGUGGUUUUUCUCUGAACACCCUUCACCCAUUUACGGAAUUGAAUGAUGCGAAGUAGGAAGGCUGUGAACGAUAGGGCAUGUCCUCAAGAUUUAAGACUCCGAAAUUGGCUUGCUCAGGCCAAUCUUGGUAGUUCCAAUAGGUCUAGUCACAUCCAACUCCUCACAAAUGGCAUUCCUAUUUUAGGCACUCCUGCAUCCUCCCACAGAUUACCUAACUUGCCUCUGAGAUUCUCCAUCGCUAAUCACUAGUUGAGGCCCAGCAGAAUAAGGCAACCCAUGCACCUAAUGCCCAGCAAUGAUACCCGCGCAGGCCCUGGAAGAGCGUCCCUCUGAGGACAUGGCCUGCCUUCUCUCCCUACUCGCUUCAGCACACCUCAUCUAACCUUGAAAGAUCAUGUCCUGUCUGGUAAUGUCCGGCACGUCACAAACCAUCUUCGUUUGAGUCCAAUCCCCAUACCCCGUGACACUAUUCAUAUUUGGUUGAUAGGAGCAUUCAGUACUAUCAUGCUCGAUUCUCCCACACUUAUAACAGAAGUUCUGCAGUCUUUCAUAUUGGAAUUCCACCCAUGAGUCUCGAUCCUCCUUCCUAGCUAACCAACACCCAGGUAGUAAAGAGUUAGUGGUAUCAACCAUUACCCUUACCCUGAAUAAUGGAGUUCAUUGUUUUUUUUCAGGGUUAGUGGUAUCUCUUUCACCUUUAACGCCCUACAGUUCCACCCCUGAAUAAUGGAGUUCAUUGUCAUAGAUUGAAGUCCUCAAGUUUGCUCAAGAAUUGGGAUUUCGGGAAGUCAUGAUCAUAAGGUGGAAACUGAUGCUAAGAAUAUAGUUAAUUAAUGUUUUGGUUAAUCAAAUGAAGAGUAGAAUGAUGAAGAACGGUGAUUGUGUCCUGUGUCUAGUUUGUUGUGGUUCUCUUUUUCUCAACCGAUUUUUUUUAAUACAAGCGUUAUUUUAUACUAAUCCAUAUUAAGAGAAUGGAGAGAGUUUGAACUUAAGACUAUGUUGAAGAAAAAAACCCCAACCGCCUGAGCAAUCCAUGACUUGCUUCCUUGAUUGAUUUCUUCAUCAGAUUAUUAUGGCAAAGUUUUUAGUGAGGCUCUUACUCUGGAUCCCUUUUAUUAAACCAUUUGGUUGUAAUCACUUUUAUCAACGAAUCCAUAUCUUUUGAUAUAAAAUAAGAUUAAAAUGACGCAUUUUGAUAGAGAUUUUACCACCUAAAAAAGUAGGGAUAAAAACAAUUAAAAAUACUUGCAAGAGUACAAGGUAUCGUAUUAUAUCAGCUUAAGCAAGGUAUUUCUCCACAAUGAUUGAAUGAAUAAUUUAUGUAAAUACCAAAUCUUAAUUAAUUAUUUGAAAACAAAGUUUGGAAGAGGUUGAUUUUAUAACCUAAAAUAUCAAAAACAAAUUUAAUUAAAAAUAAUUAAAUAAAUUGAGAAAGUAAAGAAAACAAAAGAAAAUAGUUUUGAAAAUCUAUUUAAGCACUAGGGUUCUGCCAUCACCUUAACAAUCCUACAUAGUUCUUCCAAUUACUUAUGACUUACACAUGCAUAUUUUGUUUAGGUUUUCCUAAAGUAUAUCCUACUUGGAACCUCCAACAUAUAACGUAUAUCUAACAUGUAACCCGUCCGUGGCAUCCAGAUCAAAUGUGAACAUCCAAGACUCAUUAAGUUGUGUGAAAACCUUCUGAAAAACCAUAUAACCCUUAAGACGUGUCGUCCAUCCUAAGAAGUUACACAUAUUAACCACAAGAAGCCAGCGCCAAUUCCAGGGACAACCAUCCGCCAAAAUUGCCUCAAAUUACUUUUCUAAAUAUCCUAAUGGUGGUCAAUCAUCAAGACAAUUAGAUAGUUUAAAUCGGUGAUUAAUAAUUCAAAACUUGCAUGCAUAAUAUCAUAAGCAAAUUGAAAAAAACUACAUAUUCUUGUUAAGGCUCGUGACCUCACCCUGGCAAACGAAACUAGUUAUGAACAAUCAUAAAACAAAAUAUUAUUAAAAACAUGGAUAGAAAACACCUUGAAAGAUAAACUUGAACCGUCAAAACCUUGCAAAGUUCUCCAAAAUAUUAUGUGUUCUUCUCCUCUCUUUUCCUUAAUGGUUAAAUAACGUUUCCUUAAUGCUUAUUAUAUUAACACCCCACAAAUUGUUGAAUAAACCCCACAUAUUUAAUACACCCCACGUUUGCUUUUUCACUUAAAAAUUAUCUUAAUACACCCCACAUUCUUAAUAUACACCUUAUAUUUUGUACAUACACCCCACAUUUCUCAAAUCUUAUAACACUCAUUUAAUUUUUAGGACUGAAUCUAACCAUAUGAACAUUUACUUUGCCAAAAGAUUUCAAAUCAACUGAUCAAAUUAGUUCCAUUACCUUAGUUGGACAAGUGCUCUACCAUCGUCUUCUAGUGAAUCUCACCAACAUUACCCACAUUCAGAUCAUCCACAUAGAAGAAGAUGAUCUCAAGGGUUGCCAUACUUGCUAACAAGAUGAUGGUCACUUGUAGUAGAAUAAGGAGCCCUGGAUGAUAUUCUUGCGAUAGGGUUUUUGAGAUAUGAAAAAUUAGGGGGCAAUAAUUUUUUAGAGUUUUUUUGUUUGCUGCAAAUUUCCCCAUAAUGAAAGAGAGGAUUUUCCCAAAUUUUCAUAGCAACUUUCAUCAUCUUUCACUUCAUGUACAACACUAUUAAAUAGAACUAAACCUAGAGGCUUGACGUUGGAAAAAGGCAAAGGGGGCUUGGGCAUAGGAUGCAUCCAAUGCACAAUCAACUUAUCAGGGGGGGGAUUAGGGUUUUGUUCAACAAUGGAGGGUGGGAGAGUUUUAAUAAGUGAAAAGAUCAAUAAUACGCUAAAAGUGAUUUGGGGUGUAUUUAGAAAUUUUUAUUUUUUUUAAAACCUAAUAAGGUCAAAAUUGUCAUUGCAUAAUGGGGUAAAUAAGUCAUUUAAUAUUAAAUUUUAAUGUGGGGUGCAUUCAACAUUUUGUAGGGUGCUAAUAUAAAAAACCUAAGAUAACUAGGAAAUAAAAGGUUUCCUAUUUAAACUGAAAUUCGGACUUCUCAGAAAAUCUGACUUUUGACCAACCAAAUCAACUCCAAUUUGAUCCCAAAAUGUCUCUUUUGAAAGCUGGAGACGUCGUUUACAAAUCCUCAGAAGGAAUCUUCCUCAUAUGCCAUAUUGACCUCCAAAAUACUCAAAGUAUCCAGAAACGUCACAAAAUAACCACUAAAUUAUAACUAAAAUUAGGGUAAAAUAUAUAGUAUAAUAUCGACUCAUCACCCUUCAUCGCUCAUUCUAUUGUUUAAUGAUCACUUUCUCUAGCAAAAGUGCCUCUCAACAUGAUGAUUAGUUCAUGAGAAUCCAUAUCUUUUCAUUAAAAAGAAUGUAGUAUAAUGUGUCUUUUCUCUCUAAAGCCUUAUAAACAACAUGAAUAUAGUAGCUUUAAGUUCCACCUCCAAGGCAGUAGCAAUGUCAAAAGAUUCUACAAGGCAUCCAAAACAAUGACCCAAGUGGUCAUGGAAAAUACCACCAAAACCAGCCGUGCCUGAACCAUAAGUUGCACCAUCAAUGUUAACUUUAACUUGAAAAGCACAAGGAGAAAGCCAAAGAACCUCAUGAACUCUAGGCGCCCUUGUAGGCAUUCCAUACACUCACUUGUAGUAGAAUAAGGAGCCCUAGAUGAUAUUCUUGCGGUAGGGUUGUUUGAGAUAUGAAAAAUUAGGAGCAAUAAUUUUUUAGAGUUUUUUUGUUUGCUGCAAAUUUCCCUAGAAUGAAAGAGAGGAUUUUCCCAAAUUUUCAUAGCAACUUUCAUCAUCUUUCACUUCAUGUACAACACUAUUAAAUAGAACUAGACCUAGAGGCUUGACGUUGGAAAAAGGCCAAGGGGGCUUGGGCAUAGGAUGCAUCCAAUGCACAAUCAACUGAUCGGGGGGGGGGGGGUUAGAGUUUUGUUCAACAAUGGAGGGCGGGAGGGUUUUGAUAGUUGAAAAGAUAAAUAAUGCACUAAAAGUGAUUUCGGGUGUAUUUAGAAUUUUUUUUUUUUUUAAAAACCUAAUAAGGUCAAAAUUGUCAUUGCAUAAUGGGGUAAAUAAGUCAUUUAAUAUUAAGGAACAUUCAACAUUUUGUGGGGUGCUAAUAUAAAAAACCUAAGAUAACUAGGAAAUAAAAGGUUUCCUAUUUAAACUGAAAUUCGGACUUCUCAGAAAAUCUGACUUUUGACCAACCAAAUCAACUCCAAUUUGAUCCCAAAAGGCCUCUUUUGAAAGCUGGAGAAGUCCUCUACAAAUCUUCAGAAGGAAUCUUCCUUAAAAUAUGCUAUCUUGACCUCCAAAAUACCCAAAGUAUCCAUAAACGUCACAAAAUAACCACUAAAUUAUAACUAAAGUUAGGGUAAAAUAUAUAGUAUAAUAUCAACUCAUCACCCUUCAUCGCUCAUUCUAUUGUUUAAUGAUCACUUUCUCUAGCAAAAGUGCCUCUCAACAUGAUGAUUAGUUCAUGAGAAUCCAUAUAUUUCCAUUAAAAGGAAUGUAGUAUAAUGUGUCUUUUCUCUCUAAAGCCUUAUAAACAACAUGAAUAUAGUAGCUUUAAGUUCCACCUCCAAGGCAAUAGCAAUGUCAAAAGAUUCUGCAAGGCAUCCAAAAUAAUGACCCAAGUGGUCACGGAAAAUAGCACCAAAACCAGCCAUGCUUGAACCACGAGUUGCACCAUCAAUGUUAACCUUAACUUGAAAAGCACAAGGAGAAAGCCAAAGAACCUCAUGAAUUCUAGGUGCCCUUGUAGGCCUUCCAUACACUCCAAACGCUCUGAGAAUGCAAAGCUCAUCAAUUAAAUGUAACGUAAAACUCAUACCCUAAGAAUUUACCUCACAAACUUGCAAGGGAAUGCCACUAACCAACUGAUCAACUGUAAACAUUUUCCCUUCAAAUGGAUUUAAUUUUGAGCUUGCUGAGGUGAAUAAAAAUCUACACCAAUCAUACCCCACCAUCAUAAGUGAAGUUGAGUACGGAAACCAUGCCUCAAAGGAUAAGAAAAAAUGAUGUGAUAUUGGAGAAUAACGUAGAAAAUUAAAAUAAGGCUAAACUCCUACGCCAAACUGGCAAGGAAAAUGAGCACUCAAAUAAUGAUGAGUAGAUUCAGUAGCCUGACAACACAAGAGUACAUCGUUGCAAAAGAAAACACCAAUAAGACAAUAAAUCAUCAAUUAAAAGCUUACCAUGAAGAAAACGCCAUAACAAAAUAGGAUUACAUGAUAAAAAACGUCUAUGCCGAACUCAUCUGUUUUGUUUACUAUACUUAAAGUUAUAAGCCAAAAAUAAGGAUAGUGCACAAUUUGAAGCAGUCUACUAAAUUUGUUUAAACAUUGAAAGAAAAUUUUGAAUGAUGAAAUUUGAAAGCAAUGUAGCAGAAUGGACGGCACUAGUUAGAUCAAUAGGACAAAACCAACAGCAAUUUCGAAAAUGUUAUAAAUAGGCAAAAUUUAUAGAGAGAUAACCUUUACUCGGGACAGGAACGAAGCAGUUGCAGAGUAUUAUACCAACACAAGCUGUUGCAGAGGAAGUAAUGUAUAUUAUUGCUAUUAGAUAUAUUUCUCUUUUCUUUCUUCUUCUUAUUCACUCUUUUGCACAAAUGAAGUGCUCUAUUUAUAGAGCCACUUCAAUGGAAAAUUACAAAACAUUACUAUUUAGCUUGUGAGUAUAUAGUACACACAUGUGGGCAAACAUACCCAUUAUUUACAACACUCCCCCUUGGAUGCCCAUAUAUCAACAUCAGUUGCCUCAUUAAAACCUUGCUUGGAAAAACCCUGUGGGAAAAAACCAUAGCGAAGGAAAAAGAGUACAACUUUACCCGGAUGGUGUUGAGCAUGCUUAGGUUGCCUCGUUAAAACCUUGAUAGGAAAAACCCAGUGGGAAAAGUCCUAAGCGAAGGAAAAAGAGUACAACAUGCAUGUAUCAUGGAUGCUCCCCCUGAAUUGUAUCUCCCCCUGAUUCCGCAUUCUUCAAAUCGGUAAGCCGACGUAAUCCGAUUCCCUGUACCAACUUUUGAAAUGUGCACUUUGGUAGAGAUUUGGUGAACAAGUCUGCUAAAUUUUCAUUGGAACAGAUUUGUCUGACUUCAAUAACUUUAGCCUUCUGAAGCUCAUGUGCGCUGAAAAAUCUUGGAGAUAUGUGUUUAGUCUUAUCACCUUUGAAAAAUCCUUCUUUCAUCUGGGCGACACAUGCUGCAUUAUCUUCAUGGAUGACAGUUGGAGUGUCUGUCUUUGAAGGUAGACCACAUGAAUUCCGGAUGUGAUGGAUCAUUGAUCUUAACCAAGAACAUUCACGACUUGCUUCAUGUAAAGCAAUUAUUUCCGAAUGAUUGGAAGAUGUUGCAACUAGCGUUUGCUUUGUUGAUCGCCAUGAAAUUGCAGUAUCUCCAUUAGUGAACACAUAUCCAUUUUGUGAGCGGGCUUUAUGCGGAUCGGAGAGAAAACCAGCAUCUGCGUAUCCAACAAGGAUUUGUUCAUUUGUGGGCUUUUCUGAGUAGAAGAGACCCAUAUCUGUUGUCCCACGAAGGUAUCGUAGAACAUCUUUGACUCCCUUCCAAUGACAAAUUGUUGGAGCAGAGCUGUACCUGGCUAACAAGUUAACUGAAAAAGCUAUAUCUGGUCUAGUACAUUGUGCUAAAUACAAUAAAGCACCUAUUACGCUCAAAUAUGGUACUUCUGGACCAAGGACCAGUUCAUCAUCUUCCUUUGGACGGAAUGGAUCUUUCUUAAUGUCUAAAGAACGAACGACCAUUGGGGUGCUAAGUGGAUAAGCCUUGUCCAUGCCAAAUCGCUUCAGUAUUUUUUCAAUGUAAGCUGAUUGAUGGACCAAAAUUCCAUUAACACAAUGCUCGAUCUGCAGGCCUAGACAAUAUUGGUUUUCCCAAGGUCUUUCAUUUCAAAUUCGCUUUUCAGAUAUUCAGCAGUUUUAUGGAGCUCUUCAGGAGUCCCAACUAAGUUCAUAUCAUCAACAUAUAUUGCCACUAUAGCAAAUCCAGAGUUGGAUUUCUUAAUGAACACACAAGGGCAGAUGACAUUGUUGAUAUAUCCUUCUUUAAUCAAAUACUCACUGAGACGAUUAUACCACAUUCGCCCAGAUUGUUUCAACCCAUAUAGUGAUCGCCUUAAUUUGAUUGAGAACAUACCCCGUGGUUUGUUUGUUGCUUCAGGCAACUUAAGUCCUUCUGGGACUUUCAUAUAUAUGUCAGUAUCUAAUUCUCCAUAUAGAUACGCGGUGAUGACAUCCAUAAGUCGCAUGUCAAGUUUUUCUGAAAUCACCAAACUUAUUAAGUAACGGAACGUAAUUGUGUCCAUUACAGGAGAGUAUGUCUCCUCAUAAUCAAUUCCAGGUCUUUGUGAAAAGCCUUGUGCAACGAGUCGUGCUUUGUAUCUAGCAAUCUCGUUUUUCUCAUUGCGUUUCCUUGUGAAUACCCAUUUAUAACCUACGGGGUUCACACCAGGCGGGGUUUGGACUACUGGUCCAAAAACACUUCGUCUUUCCAAGGAUUUAAUUCUGCCUGGAUUGCAUCUUUCCACUUAGGCCAAUCUUGUCUCUGUUUGCAUUCAUCAACAGAGCGGGGCUCAAUAUCAUCACUUAAUAUAAUUUCAGUGGCUAUUGCAAAUGCAAACAUGUCAUUGAUGAUUAUUUCAUUUCGAUCCCACAAUUCAUUAGUACAUGAUAAUUCUAUGGACUGAUUUCUUGCUACUUCAUGUACCUCUGAUCUCUUCCUGAGGAACAUGAGCUCAUGCAGAUCUAGACAGUGUUGUCUUUUGCACGUGCAGCGAUCAUUUUGCGGAAGACGGUGAUGAGAAACAGAGUCACAAAUAUCGAUGUUGCUGCAGCAAAGAGUAGCUUUACUUUUCAGCUGCUCAAUUCUUUUUGACUUAUAGAAAAAAACUUCGGUGCUCUCCAUUAAAGAGUGAGAAAUUCAUUAGGUAAGAUAGGCCGACUCAAGGAUCUAUUCAUAGUAUACAUGUUCUAAAGAGGGUGGUUCUAAGAAAUCUUUUGAACACUGUGCGCGACUGGGGAAAACAGUUUUCCAUUUUUGCGACUCCUUAACGCGGCUCGAGUUCGCGUUUGCCAGACACUUGGAUGAAUCAUUCGCUAUGACACAUCCUAUUAUUUUUCCUAUACUCUCAGUGAACGCUAUAUCAAUUCUUGACAGUAUGGCAGUGCCGUAAGUGCAGAACCCACGGGGUAUAUUGGCAUCUUAAAUUUAAUGUUGUCACUUUCUCGAAGCCAUUCCAUUAAAGCGCGACAUCUGGCUUUUGUCCAACCAAAUUAGCUAAUAUUCCACUUGUGAAGAUCCAUCGAUACAUAACGAUUUCCCUUUGUGGCAAACUUCAUCGGUGUUAUCAGCAAUUUGUGAUUUGCGUAUCUGGCGAUUUUACAUGCAAGAAUGAGAAUGUAAGGUUGAGCGACAAAUAGGGAACAACUGUCCUAUCGUUCGCGCAAAAGAUUUUCCUAAUGCUUGUUCUUCUUGUCCGUCUCUUCUGGAAACCGUGUCUAUUUCUCACAGCUCUAAACGAGCCGGGCUAAAUGCUUACUCUAUCCUCUAAUUAAUCUUCGACACAAUUCACGUCGCUCAUCAGAUAGCCUGAGCUAGUAAAAUGCAGGUAUGCGCGGAAUUCAAAGAGACAACAAAGCAUUCAUCUAGAGAAUAAUGUUGCUGCAUGAUAGAUUCGGUGAUCAAAACCUCACAUAAUUCCCCAAUCUUGGCGUGAACCACGCGAUUAUUAAUGAUUCCCGAUUUGUUUAGUCACUAUCUUUGCGUUUGUUUGGUUCUGAUGCGAUAUCAUGCGUACCAAGAUUCAUGGACAAUGAGGAAAUAAAGUGUGCCCCACCAUAGACUAUGUCGUUAAAUGUUGAAGUUGAUUGUGUGGCUUGGAAAAGCAUGGUGCCGGGGACAUUGUGAUGACAAAAGCUAUUGGAUUGGUCAAACACGGAGUUUGUAUUAUAUAUGGUGGUGGCUAGGGGUUUCUCAAUUCUACCAAUGAUGAGCAGUAAUAUUGCAUGUCAUCCCAUUAGAAACUGGCAAUUUUGUUCAUGAAACUGAGCAAUUGAAGUGUACGAGAGUAUAUUUGUUGAUGGACUAUUCCUUAUAAUAGACGUUCUUAUAUCAAGGAUAAUUCCUUUUUGCGCAAUUAAUCAUCGCUGAAUUUUUGAGUUAUUUAGGACAAUGUAGAGUAAUGUCAGGGUGUGUAUUUUGAUAGUUGGUUCAAAACAGACUGUUUCCUCCUCGCAUGAGUUGAACCAGAUAGCGGCGCAAUUAAUACUUGAUGAGUAAGAUUGACUCGUAGCGAAAGUUUGCGAGUGUUAGAUUCGACCGGAACGUGGUCUAUAGUUUCAAGUCGGUAUUGUGCCGUGUUGAUAGAAUUAAUGGGUCUCUCAAUGAUCUCGCCUGAAAACUGGUAUUAUCGGCACAACUUCCUCAUGAGUUCUUCUGGGAUCGGAAGUUAUUAAUUAUGUGUUGUUUUCAACAAGUCUUUUUAUCCAUUGUUUAUUCGUAAUCGUAACUGAUCAAUUGCUGAAAAUUAAAUGUGCUAAACUGGAUGAUAGACUGAUAAAACCAAUUCUGAUUUGUGUAGAAUUUUUAGAAAUUAGCAUUUUCAACCGUAAAUUAACCCAUUUAUUAUAUCGAAAAAUGAGAUAUCUCACAAGAUGUUUUAGGGGUAUUAAUUUAGUAAUUGGUUAUCGACAUAAAAUAUAUCCCCAGUAGAUUAUAUCUUAAUUGUCUCAAGAAAUAAAUAGUAUUAUGUAGGAAGGUUUUUCAAAUCUUGCAUUGUCAGCCAUUAUUUGAUGUUUGGUGAGUGGUUACAAGUUUCUUCGGUAAACAUAAUUUAACAACUUAUUCCCUAUGCUUUUUAGCGAACUCAAGACCUUCUGCUAAUAGGGUUUAUAGCAAUUUACGAAGACUUAUAUUUAAUGGUGUUAUCUGUAUAUUCGGUCACCAAUAUAUAGUAUUGUCGGAUGUCCAUUAGGGAUGUAUAUGUGUUGUCACGGUCAGAUGAUUUCUUACGGGCAUCAUCGUUUAAGAUUUCCUGUGCAUGGGUAGUGUACGCCUAGUUGCAUUAAUCGCAUAGAAAACCCUUUCCAUUGAUAUAUGCUAUACAAUUGAACUUGCAUUGUUAUAUUCAUGAGCACCUUUUGAGGACGGUGCCUCAACUGUUCUUUAUGAUGUACAAUAACAAUCACUCGAUAAACCAACUCGACACAUCAUUUUCCGUCCGUUCACAAAUGACGCUUCUGGGUUGGGCAUUAUUCUUUGGGAGAGUGCUAGUCAAAGGAGUAAUUACACAAUAUCCGUUUCAGAGUCGAAGUUUCAAAAUUUUUUGGUUUGUUAUUACGGAAAAAAUCGAUGGUAGUCCAAAACACGAAAUUAUCGAUAUGUGCCGAUUUAUUGGGGAGAAAUAUCAGGGGCUUUGGGGAAAGGGAAAGUGUAGUGGAUUAAUAAUCGUAGAAGGAAUAUCGAUAAAUUACAGUGGAACACACGGAAUUGAAGAAAAACUUGGAAAAAAAUAUUUUUUAUUGAAACUUUGCAAGAUGGGAUUUACCGACGGAUAUUCGAUCCAGUGACUUACGUACUUUCUGAAUAGUUGUGCACAAAAAUUAGAAGUUUGAGCAUGCUCGAUAUGGCGUAUGGGAUUGGAAUCGUGUAACCAUCUCGUAUUCAUAGGUUAUGAGCAUUAGGGAUAUAUUUUAGCGGGAGAGUGGCGGGUGACAACAUUAGGUGGGAAUUGUAGUAACUGAACUCCUGUGAGUAUAUAGUAAAGUUACUAUAGGAAAAAGGAGAGUCUAUAAGCAGGAGCCUUAAGUGCGAAUUGGCAAGUCCAUGCUGGGUAGAGUAUAAUUUCUAGUUAGAUAUUUUUAGGUUUACAAUGAUGUAUUAUACAAUAACUGAAAAUUAUUUUUGAAUUUUAAAACGUACAUAUUUUUUAAUUACUAAUAUACAUUUUAUGGUUAUGGAUAUGAGGCAUAUAAUUUUAUGAUGAACUUCGUAGGUUCAUUGGGAAUAUUGAUUGAAACAAUGAGAUAUAAGCAAACUAAGGAUACUUCGUGGAUUUGAUGGUUUCCUUAUUUCAAGUCAGAGAUAAUUUUUGCGGGGUAAAGUGAUAGCGUUUGAUGUGUUGCAGGCGAGGGAGGAUUGAAGUUGAUUGAGGGUUGUUUUUUUAUUUGGUCAUAUAUGUAUCAGGUUGUCUUAAAUAAAUUUUGUGGACCUUCACUAAGUUUAUAUAUGUUGAAAUGUACUAAUGAUAUAACAUUUUAGCUCUCUUUUAUGUGGAUUGUAGUCAUUUAUUAUUAAUUACUGCGCAAAAUCCUUAAUUUGGUAUUAUUUCAUAGUUUUAUGUUAGUUCAUCAUGGUUCGAAUUAUGCCUAAAACUUAAUGAGUAAAUACCCUUGCUUUUAAUAUAGAUUUUUAUGAUAUUUAAUUUAUAGACUUGUUUAUUGAGUUUUUUUAUUUUAUUUUUUUUAUGAUUUAUAUGAUUUUAGAUACUAUAAUUUAGUGAGCAGGGAAUCUCUACUCCCCUUAGUGUACAUACAAAUUAUAGUACGCCCGGAUGACAAAUCUUCAUCAGUCUCAUCUAAUACAAUCUGUAACAACUCUACUUUAUCAUUUCUCUCACUUUCCCAUUCCUCGCCGCCUCUUCUUGCAACUCUAUCAUUCUCCUCUCUCUGCAACUCUCAUCGUUCCUUCUAGUUCUUCGGUUCAUCCCCAAACUCACACACACACACACCAGCACUCCCUCAAUCCUGCCGGUUCUCUUCUUCUUUUCCUCCCCUCGCACUGAUAGUGCAGUAACCAAGGUAACCAAUUAGAGACCCGUUGUUACCGAAUACAGCAUUCGUCGCGCAAGACACAUCAGUGUGGACCGUUUGGCGGCAAGGUGACAAGUGGAAAUCAAGAGGUCUCGGUACCCGCUCAGGUGCCAUGCCUUGAAGAUUCUAAUUUGUGCAUAGAUCUCUUCCUUUUCCCUUGGGCUUCAGCGGGUCGUACGAUUAUGACAUUGUUGAUUGUGGUGCUGCACUGUGUCUUUUUGGAGAGGAUUCGAGUCUGGAAUCCUUGUUUUUGUUAACGCUCACUGAGACAGGUUACUCCACUUUCCGCGCUUUGGUAGCAGACACAGGGGCCCAAAAACAAUGAUCCAAAAAAUUGUAGAUUGGCUCUGCACUGCAUCCUGUGGAUUUUGCUGAAUCUGGUAUCCAGUAUUUUCAUUUUCUCUCAAUUUCCUCAUCUUAAACUACUCCCUCCAUCUUCUUCGUAGGGUUUGAAGUCGUUUUCUAGUGCAUCGGAAUAUGAUGGUUAUGGUAAGAGUUUUUUGUGUUAACAGGGUUAAAAUACGAAUUAAUGAUAAAAUUAUACAACGCUUCAUUUCAUGAUAAUUUUACUGAUUUCGCUCUAUAGGGAUAUUGUGUGUUGAUUAGCCAUUGGUGGAUACACGAUUGAAAAAGUAGUUUAAUUUUAUCUGGAUAAAUUCUAGUUUUAUUUUUUACAUUACUUGGAAUCUCAAAUACAAAUGAAAUCUCUAUGAUUGAGACGUUUGCCCUUUUUUGUUAAAAAAUGUCUCGUAUAUGAUGACUAUGUCCUGGGGCGAAUUAUUAUACUCUUAUAUUUGUUGCGAUUAAAUAUUAUGUGUGGACUUACACUGUUCGGAUACCCAGAAUAGUAUUGUGUGUGGAUGGUGAUGUGAGUCAGGCAGUUAAAUUGAAAUUUAUUCCACUAUUCUGUCAUACAUCUCGUUUUUCUGUUUUCUUUUAUAUAAGUAAAACUUUAAGGUUUUCCCGUUUGGAUAGUCCAUUUAGACGUAUGUCUUUAAACCAACCAAUUUUUUCGAUAUAGUAUGGAUUUUUGUUUGCGACAUGGAUGUGAAAGCGAAUGACUGCGGUCCAAUUAAUUCUUCGCGAAUUUCCAUUUAAUAGUUGUGAGCAAGUAUUAAUAUGCAUUUGGCGAAUGCUUUAACUGAGUGUCAUAGUGUGCUUCGAUCCAUUGUUAUUUUUAUGGUUGAGGGAACGAUUUAAAGUGGGGUCUUCUCUUUCCCUUUACGUGUGACAAUUUACAUAUUUUUCUGGGUAAUGUUCCUCUCUCGUACGUUUUCUUUUUCUGCCGUUUUACUGUUUGUACAACCGUGAGUACGCAAAAUUUGCGAAAGCGAAAUCUUUCUAGUUCUCUCGCAGAGAUGCAGUAUUGAUGCCGAAAUGUUCCAUCGUACGGUUGUCCGAAAUCUGCAUCUUGAUGUAUGCUUGCAGAUAAACACAUAUAUCUUGUCGACCGCCAAUUUGUAUUACUGUUUAGUGAUGCAAAUAACCGUUAUUCUAUCCCAUGAUCUACUGAGCUGGUUAAAUAGGAGAAACCGCAGUUAUUAAUUCUGUAGCGGGGACAUUAAAUCACACAUUUAUGUGAAUUUAAAAUUGCGAAGCAUUAAACGCGACUGAAGGUUACAUACAGUAAUUACUGUAUGAUAAUGAGUUGCUAUUAUCUAGAUAAUCUAUCGACCUCAUGAUAAUCUAAUUCUCUCUUCAUUAAUAAAUGUGCUAGUGUGAUUGUGUAGCAUCCAGGUUGGUGUUAUUUGGUGUGAUUGUUAACUGGGUUCACUGGAAUAAUAUUUAGUGUGGCUACAGACGGACGUGGAUAACAGAUACCUGGGUUUCCAGUUGGUUUCGAGAAUCCUGAGUGUCACAGAGAAUUAGAUCGCUCACGUUGGCACAUGGCACUCUGUACGUGAUCCUUUUAGAUUAGGAGAGUUCUGUCAUAAUAUACUAUUCGCCACCAGAUGACCUUCUGCGCGGGCGGGGCUGACUAGUACUGCACGACUAGAAUUCGGUUGUCUUUGUAUGGAGGUGGUUAACAACACGUAAGGACGGGACAACAUAGAUGUCGCAAAAUGUUCUUAGCUUUACCCAUCUUAAUCAAAGCCGAAUGUGAUUGUGCGAUUGAGGAAACCACUUCUUAUUCAAUUGGAUUGUUACACAUUAGGCAGCAUGGGUGAGUACAAUACUAUUGGAGCUCUAUGCCUUGUCUCUUUGGGCGAUUUGGCGAUUCUUUUAUACACAUCAUGUGCCACCUGAAGAUAUUUGAGUAUAUACUUGUGGUUAACACCAUGCGUUGUAGUAUUAGUAUCUGGAUCACUAACCACUGGUUCAUAUGUGCUACUAUUCGCUCAUGGCUUAGUAUGUUCCACCGACCUUUUCUUCGUCAGUCUCUACGGUCACUCAUAGUCAAUUACUACCAAGUAUAAUUUGCAUCGAUGGGAGAGGGAGGAAUAAUUGACGGUGUCCUUCCUUAUUCCACACAAGUGGACGAAAUGCCAAAAGUGCCGAACAUGCACAUCUAAUAUGAAAAACAAGAAACUUGCAUUAAUACAAAGUGCCAAUACUCAAGAAGUUAUACGGUGCGGGAGGUUUGGGUGUUGCGUUAAGUGUUUUGUACGCGUGUACAGUCUACGACACUCUGAUUUUUGUGUGGAACUUUUCAAGGCUUCAUAGGCCAAAGAGAAACAGAGCUAUACAUGGUGUCAUGUGCGUACUCAUCAUGUCUGAUUGUCGAUUAGCCUCUGCGGUUAUAUACACGCUCAAUCUGCCUUUUGGAGGUUUUCAAGAGA
This 221196-nucleotide long non-coding RNA is filed under the name Malus domestica (apple). RNAcentral's name for it is "long non-coding RNA (MDOM_LNC008864)". The stretch from base 110241 to 110345 matches the Rfam family "Plant small nucleolar RNA R71". The record is from RNAcentral. Lineage: Eukaryota; Viridiplantae; Streptophyta; Magnoliopsida; Rosales; Rosaceae.